This 248115-nucleotide long non-coding RNA is filed under the name Citrus maxima (pomelo). RNAcentral's name for it is "long non-coding RNA (CMAX_LNC000189)". The stretch from base 154918 to 155024 matches the Rfam family "Plant small nucleolar RNA R71". The record is from RNAcentral. Lineage: Eukaryota; Viridiplantae; Streptophyta; Magnoliopsida; Sapindales; Rutaceae.
AAUAAUAGGCUUUUACUUUCACCACACGUUUGAUAAUUUCUUAACCUUCCCAAUUAGGUUAUAGCAAUUUAUAUAUAAAUAACACUUACACCUGUUAUAAUAAUAAUAGCAUCCGCCGAUCGACUACGAGUGAUCAAAUUGUUUGCACAUAUGUAAUUUGCAGGAGCAAUUCCGCGGGAGUUGGGAAAUCUUACAGGAUUGGGGACCUUAGAGCUGUCUGAAAAUUUUUUGACCGGUAUCAUUCCUUCAUCUAUCUACAAAUUGCUUUUCUCUAUUAAAUUUGAAAUUGUCAUUUAAUAACUUAACAAGUAACUUCCCUUACAACAUCUAUCUACAAAUUACUAAUUUAAAUUAAUAUUAAAAUAUGUUGUUUCUUUCACUAUGUUAUUUUAUUUACACAAUGAUGUGACUAUUGGAAUUAAUAAUACUUAUAAUUAUUUUGUAAAAAUAUAAAUUUAAUACUUUGUUAACAUUUUAUCUACAUAUAAUAAUUAAACUGAAACUUCUAUUUAAAAAAUUCUAGUUACGCAAAUUCAUUUCAUGACAUAAAAGUGUAUAUUUAUGCUAAUUUACCAUUAUCAACAAAAUGCUUUGAGACAAAUAAUCUAAUUUAUAUUUGUAUAUUUAAAAUACUUGCAUUUAUUAUAUUUUGAAAAAAAAUUAUUUUACUGAAAUAAUAGGCUUUUACUUUCACCACACGUUUGAUAAUUUCUUAACCUUCCGAAUUAGGUUAUUGCAAUUUAUAUAUAAAUAACUAAAGCAUACUAAAGCUAGCAUACAGUACUCAUGACUUAGGCUUGCUGCAAUAUCCAUUAAACACGGUCGAACACUUACACAUGUUAUAAUAAUAUUAGCAUCCGCCGAUCGACUAUGAGUGAUCAAAUUGUUUGCACAUGUGUAAUUUGCAGGAGCAAUUCCACUGGAGUUGGCAAAUCUUACAGGAUUGGAGAUCUUAGGCCUGUCUGAGAAUUUUUUAACCGGUAUCAUUCCUUCAUCUAUCCACAAAUUGCUUUUCUCUAUUAAAUUUGGAACUGUCAUUUAAUAACGUAACAGUUAACUUCCCUUACAACAUGUCUGUGUGACAUGUUUUGCUUCUUAAUUAAAAUAUUUCACUUCUCUCAUUAUAAAUUCUCAUAGGAGGAUGUGUUGUUAUUACUAUUUAACAUUAUCUCGUUUUUUAUUAGAAAUUAAUCUGUGUUUAUGCAAAAAAAUUUAGCAUCUAAAAAAAGUAUAAAAACACGUGGAAUAAAUCGAAAAUCUUUCUUCGUUACUGAAUUUCAAUUUCUCAAAAAUUAUCAUGACAGCUAUGUUAGUGUCUUACUAAUGAUAUGCAUGUGUGACAGCUCCAUAAAAUAUUUUACAUGGAAAAUAUGAAAAAUAGACUUAAAAAAAAAAAUUAUUUUACUGAAAUAAUAGUUAAAAAGAGAGGAGAAGUACAGUACUCAUGACUUAGGCUUGCUGUGUACUUAUUUUACUUGGGCUUCGGGCUUGAUUACACACGGUUGAACACUUACAUCCCCCGACAUAGGCUUUGAGGGAUGAGUGGCGUCAAAUGUGUAUCUGCUUUUAUGUAUUAUUAUUCUUUGAAACAAAUCUGAUUAUAAUUCUUUUAAAAUACAGAUGAAAUAGCAUGUGAAAUCGAAAAAUAUUUUACUGCGAUAAGAAUUCAUAUAUUCAUUGUACUAGCACAUAUAAAAUAGACUAUAAAUUUAGUUCCAAAAUACAUUCUUAUCUUCAUAUAAAUUUUACAUUAUUAAUUUAAAUUAAUAUUAAAAUAUGUUGUUUCUUUCACUAUGUUAUUUUAUCUACACAAUGAUGUGACUAUUGGAAUUAAUAAUACUUAUAAUUAUUUUGUAAAAAUAUAAAUUUAAUACUUUGUUAACAUUUUAUCUACAUAUAAUAAUUAAACUGAAACUUGUAUUUAAAAAAAUUCUAGUUACGCAUAUUCAUUUCAUGACAUAAAAGUGUAUAUUUAUGCUAAUUUACCAUUAUCAACAAAAUGCUUUGAGACAAAUAAUCUAAUUUAUAUUUUUAUAUUUAAAAUACUUGUAUUUAUUAUAUUUUGAAAAAAAUUUAUUUGCAAUUAUUUUAAACCGUUGGAUUCAAAUUUUCGUAGUUAUUAAAGUCAAAGGGUAUAAAUGUAUAAUAGUCAAAAAUAGAUUUCUGUGAUCAUUUUUCAAUGUAUAAAUUUUCUUAGUUAGUAGAAAAAUUAGAAAUUGUUGAUUUACUCAUAAAUAAAUUUAAUGUUUAGCAUUUCAAUUUUGGAAACUUUGAAUCGGUCGAGCCGAAUUUCGCUUCCUUGACCCACAGACCCAAUGAAAGUUCUAUUCGAAUUGAGUUUCCCAGUGCUUACAAAAAGCAUUUCUUUUCCUUGUCGCAGUAAUUUAUUCACAAAUGAGUUGAUUAGCAUCGAAGUUACCUGAGAGUCUGAGACCAUGCUAGUAGGAGAAAUUUGAAAAGAAAUUAUUUUACUGAAUUAAUUUAUUUUAUCUUGUUGUAACUGAAAUACUACUUUUUUUUUUGGGCUGUCACUUGGGCUUGAUUUACCUUAAUAGUAGCAGCCACCGACUUAGGCGUUUUUUACUUCUCACCACACAAUUUGAUCUUUUAAUUUGUUUUAACCACAUAAUCUAUCUAUUUUUCACCUAUUGCUUACUUAAAUCGCAUACAUAUUUUACCUACUAAUUUUUAUAAAUAUUAGUCAAAUAUAUUUUAUUACGUUUCUCUCGUAACUGCUCCAAAUGUGUACUAUUAAUACUUAACCCUCCCUUUUAAUUCACCAUGCAAUCUAUCUAUCACUUAAGUCACAUAUAUAUUUUACCCCAAAAAAUAUAAAAAUAAAAGAAAAAGAAUAUGUGUAGCAAUUUGCAUAUAACUAACAAAGCAUUGACGGUGUGUAGCCUUUCAAUACUUCACGAGUGGCUUUUCUUGUGUGUUAGUACUUGUAAUAAUUGUGUAGUGUAUAAAUGACAUUUUAUUAUUAAAGUGUGUCCAUUUUUAGAUAUUACUUAUUAUUUGAAAAAUAAUCUGAAUAUAAUUCUUUUAAAAUACAGGGGAGAUACCACUUGAAAUUGGUAAACUCCAAAUUCUGGAGGACUUGCACCUUGGUCAAAACAAAUUAAUUGGUACUGUCCCAGUUGCAAUCUUUAAUGUGUCAACACUCAAAUUACUUCAGCUUCAAAAUAAUUCUCUCUCGGGAUGUCUUUCGUCCAUCGCAAACAUCCGACUACCAAAUCUUGAAAAGCUUCAUUUGUGGGGUAAUAAUUUUAGUGGCAUAAUUCCUCGUUUCAUCUUUAAUGCUUCUAAGCUCUCUACACUAGAGUUGGAAGAGAACUCAUUCUCCGGUUUUAUUCCCAACACAUUUGGCAACUUAAGAAACCUUGAGCGGCUUAAUUUAGGUGAUAAUUAUUUGACAUCUUCAACUCCAGAAUUGAGCUUUCUAUCCUCGUUGUCAAAUUGCAAGUCUUUAACACUUAUUAUCUUAUCAAAUAAUCAACUAGAUGGCAUUCUUCCUAAGACGUCUAUCGGUAAUCUUUCUCGUUCUUUGGAAGAAUUUUACAUGCACAAUUGUAACAUUAGUGGCGGCAUCCCUGAAGAGAUCAGCAACUUGACCAACUUGACAACCAUUAUUUUAGGAGGCAAUAAAUUGAAUGGAUCAAUUCCGAUUACUCUCGGCAAAUUACGAAAGCUUCAACGGUUGAAUCUUGAAGAUAACAAAUUAGAAGGAUCAAUCCCAAACGACAUUUGUCAUUUGGCUGAACUGUAUAGAUUGGAGCUGGGCGGCAAUAAGCUUUAUGGAUCAAUCCCUGCAUGCUUCGGUAAUCUGGCUUCUCUGAGGAUACUGUCGUUGGGUUCCAAUAAGUUAACUUCUAUUCCUUUAACUUUUUGGAACCUUAAGGAUAUCUUGCAACUCAACUUUUCAUCAAAUUUUUUGACUGGCCCACUCCCAUUAGAGAUUGGAAAUUUGAAGGUUUUGAUUGGAAUUGAUUUUUCGAUGAAUAAUUUUUCAGGCGUUAUCCCAACAGAAAUUGGAGGCCUGAAAAAUCUAGAAUAUCUCUUCUUAGGAUAUAAUAGAUUGCGAGGAUCGAUUCCUGAUUCAUUUGGUGAUUUGAUAAGUUUGAAAUUCUUGAAUUUGUCCAAUAAUAAUCUCUCUGGGGCUAUUCCUACAUCUUUAGAGAAACUCUCAUAUCUUGAAGAUCUAAAUCUUUCUUUCAACAAGCUAGAAGGAGAAAUUCCUAGGGGAGGAUCUUUUGGAAACUUCUCAGCUGAAUCAUUUGAGGGAAAUGAAUUAUUAUGUGGUUCACCCAAUUUACAAGUCCCGCCAUGCAAAACUAGCAUCCACCAUACAUCAUGGAAAAAUUCUCUUCUCCUAGGGAUUGUCUUGCCAUUGAGUACUACAUUAUUGAUAGUAGUCAUUUGGUUGAUCCUAAGAUAUCGACAGAGAGGAAAACAACCAUCGAAUUAUGCUAAUAUGCCACUAGUAGCAACGUGGAGAACAUUUUCAUACCUAGAACUUUGUCGAGCAACAGACGGAUUCAGUGAAAACAAUCUAAUUGGCAGAGGAGGUUUUGGCUCUGUUUAUAAGGCAAGACUUGGGGACGGGAUGGAGGUUGCAGUGAAAGUUUUCAAUUUGCAAUGUGGAAGAGCGUUCAAGAGUUUCGAUGUUGAAUGUGAAAUGAUGAAAAGUAUUCGCCAUCGAAACCUUAUCAAAGUUAUUAGUAGUUGUUCAAAUGAAGAGUUUAAAGCGUUGGUAUUAGAAUACAUGCCUCAUGGAAGUUUGGAUAAGUAUCUGUAUUCAAGUAAUUGCAUUUUGGAUAUUUUUCAAAGAUUGAACAUAAUGAUAGAUGUUGCAUCAGCUUUGGAAUAUCUGCACUUUGGUUAUUCAGCUCUAGUAAUUCAUUGUGACUUAAAGCCCAGCAAUGUAUUGUUAGACGAUAAUAUGGUUGCUCAUUUGAGUGAUUUUAGCAUCGCAAAAUUGCUAACUGGAGAAGAUCAAUCUAUGACUCAAACACAAACACUUGGCACAAUCGGCUAUAUGGCACCAGGUUUGUUCAAUAUAAAAUUUUUCUAUUUCUUGUAAACUUCCUAAUAAGUUAUUUAUGUUUCAUGAUCUUCAUUAGAUAAGGAAAUUAUUAUUAAUGAUAUAUCUUACUAAGUAACUGUUACAAUUCAUAGAGUAUGGAAGAGAAGGACGAGUAUCCACAAAUGGAGAUGUUUAUAGCUUUGGGAUUAUGUUAAUGGAAACUUUUACCGGGAAGAAACCCACAGAUGAAAUUUUUAACGAAGAAAUGACAUUAAAGCAAUGGGUUAAUGAUUGGCUACCCAUUUCCACUAUGGAAGUUGUUGAUGCUAAUUUGCUUAGUCAGGAGGACGUACAUUUUGUUGCAAAGGAGCAAUGUGUGUCAUUUGUCUUCAAUUUGGCUAUGGCGUGCACUGUGGAAUCUCCUGAGCAGAGAAUCAAUGCAAAAGAAAUUGUAAAAAAGCUCUUAAAAAUUAGAGACUCAUUACUUAGAAAUGUUGGAGGCAGAUGUAUAAGACAAUCAAAUUUAAAUUGAUUCUACCCUUCCUUCAUUGCUCGUUAUCCUUUUUAGAGAAUUGAACAGUUAUCCUUCAUAUAAGUUUUGUUGAUAUGUUUUGUUAUUGCUCUUGCUCAUGUUUAUUUCUCUGUUUCUUUAAUUUGCAUGCAUGUAUUUUUCAUUAUCUUUUAUGUUUUUGUUGGUUUGUAUGUAGUUUGUUUUUAGGGGUAAGUUGAUCAUGUCCUCCCCUAAUUAGACGUAUCCUUUUUAUGUUUAUUCAAUAAAGCUUCUCUAAUAUUAUGGAGGUUCAUCAAAAGAAAAUUUUUAAUUAAUUUUCUUUUCUUUGAUAGGUAAUGAAAUUUUAAUCUUCAUCGUGAAUAACUUCAAUAACAGAGUGUAAGAGUAUUAGUAGUUAUGGUUAUUUUUUGAACCUGGAGUCAAGAGCAAUUUAACAGCAACAAACAAGUCUCUUGUAUUAUAGGCAAAAUUCUUUUCAUUAAUCUUAUUUGUCUACAUGUUCUCUUAUUUUCUCCAUUAAUCUUCGCUCAAGGUUUCAUGCUUCCUCUUUGAUAAAGGAAAAUAUUACUUGAGAAUAUUUCAAUUUGACAUAAGAGACUGUUUUGCCAACCAUUUGAUAAAAUGGAUAUGAGUGGAGCUUUCAAUCAUUACCUCCACCAAAAUCGUUACAACGCCACUUUUAAAUUUUAUUUUUUAAAAUGCAUUCAGUUUAAUUUAUAAAAAAUAAAUCCAUUUGUUAAAAUUAAUCUUUUUCUCAUAAAUUUCAACCUAAGAAAUAUAUUUCUUUUAAAUUUUUAAUUAUAAAAUACAUACAAGUUCUAAACUGUUAUAUUAUUUUCUUCUUAUUAUAUAGAUUAUAUCUCCAUAUCUCCAUAACUCUAAACUCCUAUAAUUUUUUAAAAAUAUUUUUAAUUUAAGAUAGGAAAAUUAUCAUUUGUAUACCCUAUAUUUGCUCUGUUAUCAAAAAUACUACAACACUUUGAGGGUGUAUCAAUCGUCCACCCUUAGUUGACAAAAUGUAUCAGCUGACCACCAAACCGUUAGUUGCCGUUUGAAAGUUAACGGAAUUACAGUGAAUUGACGAUUUUACCCUUGAAAAUUAUCACUUGUAUACCCUUAAUUUCUCUUUUUAUCACUUGUAUACCCUUAAAUUAUCACUUGUAUCUUAUGAAAAGACCAAAUUACCCUUCUAACGUCAUCAUAUUUAAACGGCAACUAACGGUUUGGUGGUCAGUUGAUACAUUUUGUCAACUUUGGGUGGAUGAUUGAUACACCCUCAAAGUGUUGUAGUAUUUUUGAUAAUGGAGUAAACUAAGGGUAUACAAAUGAUAAUUUCCCUUUAAAAUAUAAAUAUAAAAUAUAAAAUGGAGUGGGUAUAAAAAAACUUGUUAAAAGAAUAAUUCAUUUAAGUAUUUAACUGAAUUUAAAUUAAAAUAAGAAAUAAAUAAAUUUAUUUUUUAUUAGUUAAGUAAUUUUCAAUUGAAAAAGAGCUGUAUGAGUAAUAUUAUUGAAAUAUGAUUAAAAUUCUUAUGAAUUAAACAUUUUCGUAUAAAUACUAGUGAUAAUUAUAGAGAAAGUAUGAUGAACCAAAGAAAACUUGAAUAUAAAUACUCCAAUGUAAUUUUACACAUGCAAAUUAUGAACCAAUGAUCUUUAGAGCAUUAUAAAAUUAUUUUGACAUAAUUAUUUAUUUUGAAAAAUUGCCAACAAUGUUUUAUUAAAGUGGGAUUGAAAAGAUUAUGCUACUUAUAUAAGACAUGAUAUCAUUUAACAUGGCUUGCAGAUUAUGAGAAAUAUAUUGAUCUUACAAAUAUUUAAUAUGUUAAUUAGACAGGUCCAGCUGCCUUCCACCCGCUGGAAGGUACAACUUAUUUUGUCCUCUAGUGUUGUGGCCAUUGGAUAUUUGAGAAAUUGAUCUAUCGGUUCUUGUUCAGCAGCGUGAAAUUGAAUUUCAAUCGGCAAACGUUUCAUGAACUUUGCAAGGGACAAUUAUCUACAAAAAUAUUUUUUAAAAAAAUAAUUUUUCCCUUUCAUCAGCCGCCGCUGCCACCCACAACUCCUUAAUAUCAUCAUCACCAUCCCAAUCCUUAGCCGCCAUCCACAAGCUCUAACAACCACCAUGACCGCCAUCACAACCACCACUCCUCAUAACCCCUAGCCACCACUACAAACAUUCACAAACCCUACCAAUCAUCCACAACACCUAACCGCCGUCACCAACAAACUUUCGCCGCCGCUUCCUACAAGCAAGCCUCACCACCCACCACCGCACACACACAAAGCCACACCAACCGCCAUACUAUUGUGACAGAGCCCACAAUGUAGACAAGAUCCAGCAGAGGGGGGAUGUUUUCCUUCUUCGGCUGACUAUUCUUUUUUUUUUAUUUUUUAAUUAUUAUAUUACUUUUAGUUAUUUUUAGUUAUUCUUUUAUUUUGUCUAUAUUUUGGUUGUUAGAUUGUUUUUGUUGUUGUUAUUGGCGGCAGUGGAGUUGCAGCUCGUGAUGAUGAUGGUGAUGUUGGUGUCAUUUUAAUCGAGAUUUUGUCUUUUUUUUACCGGCUACGCCAGUCAUCUUCAUUCAUUACGUGUCCAUUUCUAACAUGUUAGAUUUUACUACUUUUUAAUCCAAGGAUUAGACCACAACGAGACAAAAGAUGGGGUACCUUCCAAUGGGUGGAAGGUAGUUUCGGCCCAAUUAGACUGAGUCUAUGCAAUAAAAAUUUCAAAUUAAAAAAUAAGCCCUUUAUUUUCUUUUAAUCAUAAGUGUGAUCUUAAUUAUUAAAGUCAUUUAAUGUCCAUUACUUAUUCAUUUUUUUUAAUUACCUAAAUGACAUUGAAAGCUCUACUCAAUAAUAAUUCAUUCAAAUGUUUUAUUUUAAAGUAAUCGGAAACUGCAAAUGAAGCAAAUGCUUGAAAUCACAAACAACCUAAAAUUAGAUUUUCAUUUUUCAAUGUUGCAAUGACUUUGAUCUUGAUAUUGAAAAUUUAUUUGUAACUUAUAUAUAGGCCUCGAUUUUAUCAUAAUUGGUUAGUAAGGCUACGUAGGGAGCAUGGAUAAAUUUUGGGAUUGGAUUAUAUUUUUGGAACUAAAAAAUUAAUUUCAUCCAAUGUUAGUUUGGCUGUUAGGACUAGCAACUUAGUCUAAAAUUAUUGAAAUUAUUGAUGUUUUAUAUUAUAAUAUUUUCAUUACCACUUUAAACAUUAUUGGUAACUUAAAUCAUUUUUUAAAUUAAAUAUAAAUUUAAUUAAUUAUAAAAAUUAAUUUAAUUAAAUAUAAAAAUCAUUUAAAUUAAAUAUUAACAUUAAUUUCAUAAUUUUUUACCUAGAAUUUUAUAUUAUAUUAAAUACUAAAAUUCUAUUCGAUAAUUUAUUAUCAUUUAUUUAAUAAAUGUUUAGUAUGUUAUAUUAUUAUUUAAAUUAAUUUUUUAUUUACAUAUAAACAUAAAUUAAUAUUUACUAAUUUCAAAUUUUUUUAGUUUGUUUAAUAAUAAAAGCUAAAUUACUAUAUUGAAAAUAUAAAUAGUAUUCUAAUGUAUUAUAGUCUAAAUCUCACCCCAAUGAGUUUAUUUUAUACACCUUUUAUUAUAUUAACCACAUUUAUAAUGCAGUGCAAUGCAACAAAAUUUUUUUAACAAAUAUGAGUUAGCAUGAAAAUAAUAUUUUAGUACAAUGUAAUACAAUGUAAUGUAAGCUGACAAAUGGAUAUUUAAUGGAAGCAAAAAUUGCAGAUGGUUUGGUUUGUGGGUCUCUCAAAAGACAACAAAGAAACCAAUAUGAUAAACUAAUUCUAUCCUCUUUAAUGGUGUCUUUACUAAAUGGAAAUCAGAAGAGUUAGAAUUGAAAUAGGCUUGAAUCGAAAUAAGGAAUUAAAAUCAGAAUAAGUUGUUUAUUUAAGUUGUAUGAAUCAGAAUCGAAAUAAUUUUUAUUCAAAUUGAUGUGUUUAUUUUCUCUUGAAAUUAGAAUGGACUAUUACAAGUUACUAAAAAAUCAUUUGGUAAUUGUUGUCUCUAGUAUUAUUUGUAUCUGUUAUAAUGUUAAAAAUAAUACUAAAAAUGAAAAUAAUAAUAAUAAUAAUAAUAAUAAUAAUAAUAAAGACAAUUAUAAUAAAAUUAAUAAAUUAUUAUUAUUAUUAUUACUACUACUACUACUAGUACUGAAGACCGCCUAGUGAAGAUUGGAUAGUGAAGAUGAAGACAACGAUCCUGGCAACCAACUGUUGCUUCAAAGAUGAUGUGCCCAAAUGGAGACAACCAGCGAUGACCAGCCAACUAGAUCCCAAUCUCGAUGUUGUGAUCUCACAUGAUCACUGAUAAAGCGAUGUGCGAUGCCAGUGUUGUGAUUUCUUUUUAUUUAUAUUUUUUAAUUUAUUGGGGGUAUUUUCAAAAUUUAGUAAUUUUAAUAUGGGCAAAUUGGAUAGUUGAGGGAACAAGAGACUGAUUUCCAACCAUCCUAAGAAUUAGUCUCUCAUUCUCUAUUUCUAAUUUGAUGUGGGUCCUAUUAUUUCGAUUUCAAUUUUUACAUUUAUUUGUAAAGUAAAUGACGUUAAUGAUUUCAAUUUCUAAUUGGAGAAGAAAACACAUCAUAAUAAUUUUUUAGAUGCUUCCAUGGCAUAAUCUCAUUGGUCCGUUUUUCUUCACGCCUUAGAUUCAACUUCAAGAUUUAAGAUCCAAUUUGAAGCAAACACAACUACAAAACAAAUAUAAUAAGCGUUACUAAGCCUGCGGCUGACUGGCUGUGGCCAAGCAAAUGGAACUCAUAGUGACCGAACCAUAUCUUAUUAUCUUACGCCAGAAGUUAAACAAUGUUCCCAUUCCACGUGUCACUCUCUGACCAACCCCCAAACUUUCUACAUAUUUCCAAAGAAACCCUUACCAAGUCAAGAUAAUUACCUUCACUCUACUUAUAUAAAUACUGUCCUCGAUUCAACUGAUGACGACAUAUCCUUACAGUCUUUAUUUAAAAGGAAAAAUUAUAAAAAAUUAUCCUCGUUCCCUAAAACUCUAGGGUUUGUCAAGAAUCGCUAAACAUAUAUCCCAAUCAUUCAAAAUCUCAAUUUAACCUCUCUAGGGUUUUGAUUGUCGAGGAUUCGCUUGAAAAUUUAGUAUUUUUUAGUGGAUUUUGCUUGUCUCGUAUGCUUCAAUUGUUGUUCGGUUCUGAAAAUAAUUUGGAAUUUUAGGGAUUUUCAAUUGUUGUUCGGUUCUGAAAAUAAUUUGGAACCAAAAAUUCCCAACAAUUGUCAGUUGUUUUAAACUCUAUUCCGAACAGAGCAUGAAGGGAUUCACUUAUCUAAUUAUGUCAUUUAUGCUUUAACUUCACUUCAUUUCAUCUUGUCCGUCACCUUGACUAAAGUUGUGUAUGUUGGAGUAUUAGGUUCAUCACAAGGAUCAUAUUAUGGCUAAGGAAGUAGCACAGUUUAUUAGCUACACUCAAGUGUAGCAGAGUAUUUGGAUUCAAGACUGUUAUAAGGUUGUUACAGAUGCAAUGCUGUUGCUGUGUAACUGUAUGCCAUGCUCGCAAGUGCGCUGUAACAGAUUGCUCAUCAGGCACCGGAUAUUUUAAGCUAAUUUUGGUAAUUAGUCUAGAGUGUUCUGAUUUAUUCUAUAAAUAGCUCAUUUGAGCGUAGAACCUUUAAGGUGUAUCGUACAUUUCUGUUACUUCUAAUAAAGAAUUUCUUUAUUCCUUUUUCUUUCACUUUCUCUUUCAUUUUCAUGAUCCCCAAACACCAUCAAACAUAGAAUUGCUGUUUUAGGCCAAUGGACAUAACGUGACAAGUUUUUGAAGUGAAUGACUCCUCUUUUCUCCAUAAAUCUUUGCUUAAUUUUUUUGUUCCCUCAACCUUUUUUGGCCUUUUCUGCUAAAAUUCAUUUUUUUGAUACAUUAUGCAAAAAUUGAUGAAAAUGAGUUACUCUAGAACAUCAAUAAAUUUUUAUUACAUGAUAAGACAAUUAUACUUAGAUUACUCUUAUUUGGUUGAAUUAUAUGUAAUAAAAUUAGUUUAACAGAAUCUAACCCGUAAAUAUUCCUUAUCACAUGAUUAACGUACUUAAAAAAUAUAACUGGUCGGCCGCUUGUUUUACAAUUCUUUUAUAUAUCUUUGAAACUUUCAGCUUCCUAACACAUCAUAUUGUUCUCAAUUCGUCUAAAUUAUUUUUUUUGGUCAAACACUAUAGCAACAACCAGUAUAAAAUAGAAUGAACUCAUUUAAUAAAAAUUUUUCUAGAUGCUUUCAUGACAGAAUCUCAUUGGUCUAUUUCUCUUCAUGGCAAAAUUUUUCUGAAAUACACUUAGUUUUUUAAAAAAGAGCUUUAUGAGAAAUUUUCAGUGUGUCAAAAGGCCUACUUAAUGGACUGGAUCCCGACUCAUUAAUUUUAUAACCCGACUUACAAUCCGAAUCAUUAUUCACAGAGAUUAAUUUGCUAUUGCUUAAGGCACAAUAUUUACUAAGCAAUUUAUCAGCAAUAAAACAUGUAUAUUAUAGUGGUUUGUAAUAAAAUUGGAAGAAGACAUCACGUACGAAUUGGAUUUAUCUGAUGAAAUUUGAUUAACGAAAGUGUAUGAAAAUAUAUAAAGAAAAUAGUAAAAAAAAUUGUUGUGUAAAUGUUGUAUAGGUGAUAUAUUACUUUUAUAAUCCAUCAAGGUACAUUUGAUUUUAAUGAUGAAACAAAUACAAAUAAAUCCAUGUAUGUCAAUGCUAGAUGGUUCCAUAUUAAACUUGUGAAGUAUAGAAAAUAAGCGAGAUUCGUAAAAAAUAUUUUAGAUAAUACCACUGAAAAGUUAUAAAAAAUAUUUUUAAAAAAAAAAAGAAAUACAUACUCGAGACACCAAGACCGAUACGCACAAACUCACACAUUUACAUAUUAAUUGAGGGAAAAAAUGAUAUUCUGAGUAAUAUUGUUGACAUAUGAUUAAAAUAAAAUUCUAUUUAAUGAAACAUUUUCGUAUAAAUACUAGUGAUAUUUGUAGAGAAAGUAGAAUGAAGUAAAAAAAAAAAAACUUGAAUAUAAAUGCUCCAAUAUAAUUUUUCCCAUGCAAAUUAUGAACUAGUGAACUUUAAAGCAUCAUAAAAUUGUUUCAACAUAAGUAAUUAGUUUGAAAAAUUGCCAAUAAUGUUUAAAGUGGGGACGAAAAGAUUAUACUAUAUGAGACAUGAUAUUAUUUAAGAUAGCUUACAAAUUAUGGGAAAUGUAUUGAUCUUACAAAUAAUAUUUAAUAAGUACAAAUUUCAAAUUAAAUAAUAAACUCUUAAUUUCCUUUUAAUCAUAAUUAUGAUCUUAAUAAUUAAAGUCAUUCAAUCUUAAUCACUUUUUCAUUUUUUUAAACUACCUAAAUGACAUUGAAAACUCUACUCAAUAUUAAUUUAUUCGAAUGUUCUGUUUCAAAAUAAUUGAAAACUGUAAAUGAAACAAAUGCUUGCAAUCACAAAUGGCAUAAAAUGGGAUUUUUAUUUUUUAAUAUUGCAAUGACUUUGAUCUUGAUAUUGGAAAUUUAUUUGUAACUUAUACUAAGUCUUCAAUUUUAUCAAAAUUAGUUUCUAAAGAUGCAUUUGCCAUACUGUGUAGUUUUAUUGUAUGAUGAUAUAUUACAUUAGGGUGCAUUGUAUUGAGCUGUAAUGCAAUACUAUUUUAUAUUAAUGUUAAAACUAAAUCAACCUUAUUUAAAUUUAUUAAUAUUUUAGGGUUUUAUUAGUAAUAUCUGAAAUUAAGUAUUAAAUAAUUAUUUUUAUAAUAUACAAAUUAUUUAAUAAUAUUCUACUAUUAAAUAAUAAAAUAUUAUAAUAUUAUGUUAUAUUAUUAACAAUUAUUCUGUUAUAAUAUAAUUUAUUUUUAUAUAUUAGUUAUUAUAAUUUAUUAUAAUCAUAUUAUAAUAAUAUUAUGUUGUAAAAAUAUAAUACUAUAUAAUUGUAUGAUAUAAUAUGAAUUAAUUUAUAAUUUAACAUUAAAUUAUAAAUUUAUUUUAUUUAUUAAUGUCAAAUAUAAUUGUCUAAUUUAAAUUUAGUAUUUUUUUAAAAAUAAACUACUAAAUAAUUAAAAUAAUUUUAUAUAAUAAAGUAAAAUAAUGUAUUAUUAUUUAUUAAUUAAAUAUUUAGGUUUAUUAAUAUACUAUAUUAUUAAUUAAAUUUAAUGAAUAUUAAUUAAUAAUUUAAAUUUAUUAAAUAAUAAAAGUUAAAUGAUUAUAUUUAAAAUAUAAAUAAUAUUUUAAUGCAAUAAAACCUAAAUCCCACAUGUAUACCACAUUUGUUAUACAGUGUAAUGCAACAUUUGUUAAGUGUGAAGGAUUAAUUGCAAUUUCGAAUUUUUGAUAAAAUUUAAAUUAAAAUUGGGCGGUUAUUAAUUAAUUGAUGGCUAGUGAUACUACAACGGCGGCCGAAGCUCCGGAAGAAGCGGAGGCGGUGGAGGGUUAUGAUAGCGAUCCAGAUGAAGUGAAACACUAUCUCGUGAUGCGCAGAAUGGAAGCAAGCGAUGAUGAGGAGGAGGUGGAGAAAGAAUUUGAGCGUCGAAUAGGAUCUACAUUUACUCUUAAGAUGAAUCUGAUGAUGAAUUAGAACAUGACAUAUAAUUAGAAGAAGAAGAUGAGGACUAUAAUAGAAAUAUUUAUGGGACCCAUUUUCGCAUCCAAUUGAAGGUUAAGACAAGACAUCUAAUAAGGGCUGCUCUCCAAAUUAUGUUACCACACCUACGGUCAAAGCUCGCUAGCACUUUUAUAACGGGAUGGCAAUGAGGCGGCUUCGGGGCAGGAUGACGAUCCUCACCCCCAUCCCGAAUUAGAAGCAGUCUCCAAACCUGCCUUCCAUAUCCCUGAUAAUUCUCAAAAUGAGACAAGGAUUAAAACAGAGGCUCAAUUCUCAAUUAUUUAGUUUUUAAGUAAAAAAAGAGCUCUCAAUCUGGAUCUGAAUAAUUGUUUAUUAAGGACUAAUUUUGAAGCUAGAACAUUUAACAAUUCAAAUGAGGUUCCUUUUGUUUCAUCUGAUAUUUUCAAAAGUUUGAAAGCUACUUGGAAGAUAUCAUCAAUCUCAGUCUAUAAAAAUCCAAAUGUUAUUUGUGCGGAAAAUACAAGAUAAUUAACAAUCUACAUGCUCUCUCUUCCACUGGAAAAAUAUAUAUAGUCCAAUAUAUAUUAAAUAUUUCUAUUAUAUGAAGAGGAAGAAGAAGUUUAUGAACAAGAGGAGAGAAGGUUGUUACAGAUGUAAGGCUGUUACUGUGUAACAGUAUGCCAUGCUGGCAAGUUUGCUAUAACAGAUUGCCAAGCUGGCACUAAUUAUUUUAAACUAAUAUUAGUAAUUAGUCUAGAGUGCUCUAAUUUAUUUUAUUCUAUAAAUAGCUCAUUUGAGCUUUGAACCUGUAACGUGUACUGUACUUUUCUAUUACUUCUAAUAAAGUUUUUCUCUGUUCUUUUUUCUUUCACUUUCUCUUCCAUUUUCCCGACCCUCAAACAGCGUCAAUCCUUGAUUUUCUACAGUAUUAGCUGUUUGGUUCUACAAACAUAGAACUGGUCGUUUAUUGACUUGUUACUUGUGAACAGGGCCAAUAAAGGACAAAUAAGAUGUUGGGCCAAUGGGCCCAACGUCACAGAUCUUGAAUUGAUUGUCUCUUCUUUUCUCCACAAAUCUUUGCUUAAUUUUUAUGCUCCCUCAACUUUUUUCCCCUUUUUGUGCUAAAUUUAUUUUUUUGAUACUUUAUGCAAAAAUUAUGAUGAAAAUUAAUUACUUUAGAACAUCAAUAAAUUUUUGUUACAUUCAAGAUACGGACAAUUACACUUAGAUCACUCUUAUUUAGUUGAAUUAUAGGUAAUAAAAUUGGUUUUAACAAAAUACGAUUCUUAACCCUCGUAAUUAAAGGCUCGUGUUAUUUGGUUUAGUUAUAACACCAUGCAACAGGUCGUCUUGGUGGGUUCAAAUUAAUAUACGAUCAUUCUCAAUUUUUAAUAGUUCGUAAUUAAAAAGUCUUAUAUCACAAUUAGAAUUUGCAAACAUGCCAAAGUGAGUUAAAUCAAAACCUAUAAAUUUGAGGUGUACUACAAACUUCUGACAAAUUAAAAUUUAAAACGAUUAAUUAAAUGCUAGACAAAAUUUAGCUUAUUAAUGUUCCUGACCACAUGAUGAAUGUACUUAAAACAUCCUAACUGGUCGCUAAUUGAUUAGUUGUUAUUUUUUCAAUUUCUUUUUAUAUAUCUUUGAAACUUCUAGUUUCCUAACAUGUUAUUCGCAAUUCGUGUAAAUUAUUAUUUUUUAAAUAUUAGAGCAACAACCAGUAUAAAAAUGAAAUGCACUCAUUUAAUGGAAAUUUUUCUAGAUGCUUCAAUGGCAGAAUCUCGUUGGUCUAUAACUCUCACGCCUUUGAUUCAAGAUUCAAUUUCAAACCAACGCCGAACAAACAGUAUAAACCUUAAUAAGUCUGUGGCUGUAGCCCAACAAACCUACUUCCGGCUCACCGAAUAAUCAUCUCUUACGUCGGAAUUUAAACUUAAACAAAGCUACAUCCCACGUGUCCCCAACUUUCUUCAUAUUUCCAAAAAACCCCUACCAGAUCCAGAUAAUUACCUUCACUCUUCUCGUAUAAAUAGAGAAGACGACGGUUCCUGCAACGUGAGUCACGUGAACGUCAAUUUCAAACCAACGUGAGUCACGUGAACGUUACGGCCAUGGGACAUUGGAAUUGGAUCAAACCACCGGAAUGCACAGCAAAAUUAACCGAAUAAACUAAAUUAGAUCCAACCAAUUGAAUCGGUUUGGGGCCAAUUGCAGUUUUGAUAGCAACUAAAAUCUGUGUGGCCCAGUUACCACAGAGCCUUGCCCCAGAUCCCUGCCAUUUUCUCCUCCACCUCCAUUUGGGGAAAUUACUACUUACUUUUUGCAAGUUUUUCUUGAAAUAUUUAUUUUGAGAAGAAAACCAACAAUACAUUUUAUGAUUUGGGCUCUUUCAAAGAUCUUCGCUUGAUGUCUAUGCUACUGGUUUUCAGCAGAGUGCCCAAAAAUAAUCAGUGCACGCACUAUAGGCUCUAUUAUUAUCAGUAAAAAGCAUUAAUGAUAUAUUGGGAUCGACUUUUUUAUGGGAGUGGUAAAGUGGUGCAUCUUGUUCAUGCACCGUAGAGCCAAUUCCAUUUUGUGAAAUAGGAGUUGAAUAAAAUUUAUUGUAAUACAUGGAAGUAUUGUUAGAAACACGAACACAGUGAGUUGACAAUUUAAAUUGCAAUUAAUUGAAACAAAAUGUAAACCAGCAAUUGGAAACAGCAAAUUAAGAACAGAAGAGAAAUGAAACGGAAUAAGAAAUAUAAACCCGAGGCCUGCACAAGGCAGUUUCCUUAAAACAGAUUUACCACCUCUUUUCUUGUGCUUAAGGUCUGCUGGUAUCUAUUUCCCAGGAUACAACGAGUACGAAUUUCUAGUCAAGCACAGGCUGGAGAUUCCGGCGAACCACAACAGGUAACUCGAUUAGAGAAAGACGAAGAAGGAUGAAGGAAAAAACAAGUGUGUUUUGUGCUGGUUUUUAUGGUGUCCAAAAACAGAAGAAGAGAUGCCUUUUUAUAAUCAUGUGAGGAUGUAACAGCUAAUGUGUAUUGAAUUUCCGAAUUCAAAAUUGAAUUAAAAAAACGUGAACAACAGCUAAAAAUAAUUGUAAAAGCUGUUACACAUUCUUUGAAUUCAAAACAUCAAAUUGUUACAAUAAAAAAUUCAAAAGGAAAUUAAAAACGUGCCAAGCUUGCAUGGAUGAUUUUGGGCUUCUUUUUCCCAUGUGGGAUAAGCCUCAUUUCCUUUCAAUCUAACUUCAAGGGUGAACUUUGAGAGACAAUUUCUCAUUCACCCAAGCACCAUUUUGAGAAAAUAAGAUUAUACUAUUGAAGUAUCAAUGGAGUAGAAUUCGAACCUCACAAUAUUUUCCACUUUUGUUAAGUGGGACCCACUCAAAAUGUGCCCUCAAAAUAGCAUGUUAUGCUAUUUUUCCAACAAUCCCCCACAUGAAUGAAAAUUGGCAGUAAAAACAAGAAAACCGCUAAAUUUUGACAUCAAAACCAUUUUUGACUCUUAAUGAUCGAGUUUAUUGGAUUGAUACCUAGCACAUGAUAGGUAGGUGUUAUCCUUUGAACCUUUCCUUGUAAUAGUAUAAAUACUUUACUAGCUGAUCAGUAGACGCGAUGUCUUUGAACUGUUCUGCCAUUAGUGUAAAGGAUCAUAUACUACACAUAGGUAUUUCCCCUAACACUGUUGAGUUCUCAUGAUUAUGUUCGUUUUGGCCUUGAACAUCUGCCUGGUUCUGCAAGAGUUUCUAAGAGCUGAACCCUUUAUAGCUCCCUUUGAAGCGGCCCCACUUCUCUCUCACAUAGGUAAUAUUUUAAUUAAGAGUAACCCGCAUUACUCCGCUAGAAUUUUCGACGCAUAAGAAUCAUUAAGAGCCUAGCUCAACCUUAUUCCCCACGGGCAACACUGUUUCAUCAUAGGAAUGGUCAAUGAGGUAAUCCUCUCAAGAGAAUGACCCCCACAGUGAUCCAUCUUUAGUCUUUAACAAAUAGGUUGUCCAAUUGAACCUAGAUCUUAGGAUCUCCAGUCUACUAGGUUAGGUUUUCCUUCGUUAUUGACUAAUCAAUCUAUAGGUUUUAAUCACAUCCCCCUCGAUAAUUUUUCUACUAGCUCUCUAUUUAAUCCUUUGGUUAGCGGAUCCUCUAUGUUAUCCUUUGACCUUACAUAGUCAAUAGAAAUAACUCCAGUAGAAAUAAGUUGUCUAAUGGUAUUAUGUCUACUACGAUGUAUGUGUCUAGACUUACCAUUAUACAUAUUGCUUUGUGCCCUACCGAUAGCUGAUUGACUAACGCAAUGUAUACAAAUCGUAUACACAGGCUUUGGCUAUUUUGGAAUACCUUCUAAAAAAUUGCGUAGCCAUUCUGUUUCUUCACCACAUUUAUCUAAUGCAAUGAAUUCAGAUUCCAUUGUAGAUCUAGCAAUUACUGUCUGUUUAGAACAUCUCCAUGAUACAGCUGCACCUGCUAGUGUAAAUACAUAGCCGCUAGUAGAUUUUGAAUCUUUUACAUCUGAUAUCCAGUUAGCAUCACUAAAUUUUUCUAAUACUUCUGGAUACCUAGUAUAGUGCAGUCUAUAAUUACGAGUGUAUCGAAGAUACCUAAGUACUCUUACAAUAGCUUUCCAGUGAUCAGUUCCUGGAUUACUCGUAUAUCUACUAAGUUUGCUUACUGUAUAGGCUAGAUCUGGUCUGGUACAAUUUGUUAAGUACAUCAGACUACCUAUUAUUCUAGCAUAUUCAACUUGAGAAAUACUCUCUCCUCUGUUUUUCGAUAGAUGAAUACUAGUAUCUAAUGGAGUUUUAGACAUAGUAUUAUCCUCUUUAUUAAAUUUCCCAAGAAUUUUAUCUACAUAAUGAGUUUGACUUAAAAUAAGUCCAUUAGAAGUCCUUGAAAUUUUAAUUCCCAAAAUGACAUCUGCAAGACCCAUGUCUUUCAUGUCAAACUUAGACUUCAACAUAUUCUUGGUAGAUUUAAUCAUGUCAUCAUUACUCCCAACAAUAAGCAUGUCAUCAACAUAUAAACAUAAAAUGACAUAGCCAUUUUCUGUUUCUUUGACAUAAACACAUUUGUCACAUUCGUUGAUCUUAAAGCCACUAUUAUCAUCGUAUGAUCAAAUUUCUCAUGCCACUGUUUCGGUGCUUGUUUCAAGCCAUAUAAUGACUUAACCAAUUUACAAACUUUCUUUUCUUGUCUUGGAGCUAUAAAACCUUCAGGUUGCUCCAUGUAGAUUUCUUCAUCUAAAUCUUCAUUUAGAAAAGCCGUCUUUACAUCCAUUAGAUGUAUCUCGAGAUUGCGCAAAGCUGCAAUUGCUAUUAUCAUCCGUAUGGAAUUUAUUCUCGUAACAGGAGAAUAAGUAUCAAAAUAAUCAAGGCCUUCUCGUUGCCUAUAACAUUUAAUUACAAGCCUAGCCUUGUACUUAUCGAUUGAUCCAUCGGCUUUCAUUUUCCUUUUGAAAAUCCACUUAUACCCCAAAGGUUUAUAUCCUGGAGGAAGAUCUACUAGCUCCCAAGUAUGAUUUUGUAAAAUGGAUUCAACUUCACUGUUAAUGGCUUCUUUCCAUAAAGUGCCUUCAGCUGAAGUUACAGCCUCUUUGAAGCUUUGAGGUUCAUUUUCUAGCAAAUACGUCAGAAAGUUUGGACCAAAAGACUUUUUUAUUCUAGCUCUUUUGCUACGUCUAACCUCAAUUUCUUGUUCUUCUUCUUCUUCUGGUGCUUGAUCAUUUUCUUCAUUUUCAAGUGUUGUUUCAUGAAAUUGUUCCAAUUCUCUCGAUUCCACUCUAGAAUUGCAAGGAAACACAUGUUUGAAAAACGAUGCAUUUCUUGAUUCUAUUAUUGUAUUUUUGUGGACAUCUGGAAUUUUAGACUCAUGCACCAAAAAUUGAUAUGCACUACUAUUUUGUGCAUAACCAAUGAAAAUGCAGUCAACAGUUUUUGGUCCUAUUUUCACUCUUUUAUUUAAAGGAACUACUACUUUAGCAAGACACCCCCACACUCAUAAGAAUUUAUAUGAAGGUGAUCUACCUUUCCAUAGCUCAUACGGGAUUUUAUCUUCUUGCUUUCGGGGUAUCUUAUUUAAUAAAUAAUUAGCUGACAAAACAACUUCUCCCCACAUAUUCUGGGGUAACCCAGAACUUAUCAACAUUGCAUUCAUCAUUUCCUUUAAAGUUCGAUUCUUUCAUUCUGCAAUCCCAUUAGAUUGAGGUGAAUAUGGAGCUGUGACUUGAUGUAUGAUUCCACUUUGUUCACAUAGUGACAUAAACGGAACAACAUACUCACCACCACGGUCACUCUUUAAUUCUUUGAUUUUUCUAUUAAGUUGAUUCUCAACUUCAUUUUUGUAGAGAAUAAACUUUUCCAAAGCUUUAUCUUUACUUUUCAAUAAAUAUACAUAGCAAUAUUUUGUGCAAUCAUCUAUAAAGGUAAUAAAAUAUUUAUUACCACCUCUUGUUUGAAGGGAUUUAAAGUCACAAAUAUCACUAUGUAUUAAAUCAAGUGGUUCGGUGUUUCUUUUAAUUAUUUGAAAAGACGACUUAGUUAGUUUUGCCUCAACACAAGUUUCACACUUAUGUUUCAAAUCAAUUUGGAAAUUGGGAAUAUGCUUCAUGUUAAUUAAUUUACGCAAAGAAUUAAAAUUAACAUGUCCUAAUCUACCAUGCCAAAGAUUAGAAGACUCAACCAAAUAAGCAAAAGAUGUAGCUUUAUUAUUAAUUGUUGGUUUCAAAGUCAUUACAUUGAGCUUAAAUAGCCCAUCAUCAACAUAACCCUUUCCCACAUACAUCCUAUUUUUAGAUAAAACUACCAUAUUUGACUCAAACACCAUUCGAAAACCAUGUUUAUUCAGCAGCGAUCCAGACACCAAGUUCUUCCGAAUUUCUGGCACAUAUAGCACAUUGUUCAGAGUCAGUUCUUUCCCAGACGUCAUCUUCAAAACCACCUUCCCUUGACCCUCAAUCUCAGACGUAGCCGAAUUCCCCAUGAGUAGCUUCUCUCCAUUGCUAUCUGCUUCAAAUGAAGUGAACAACCCUUUUUCCGAGCAAACAUGUCUGGUUGCUCCUGUAUCUAUCCACCAUUCUCUUGGAUUAGAGCCAACCAGAUUCACUUCUGAAACCACUGCAGAGAGGUUUAUGUCUUAAACAUGUUGCGUGAUGUUUUACACCACAUUCGCCUCUCGCUUCUUUUUAGGCAACCUGCAAUCCGAAGCCUUGUGACCCAUCUUAUCACAAUUAUAACAUUUUCCUUGAAACUUUGUUUGUUUCUUGGAAAUUCCUCCUUUCGGGCCCAAUUUUUUAUUUUUUAUUUUUAGGUCCAUGUUCAACAAAAUUUGCAUUUGCCAUAGAAAUAGGCCCUCUUCUUUCUGCAUUUCUGUUGUCUUUCUCAAUUCUGAGCUUAACAACCAGCCCUUCAAUAUUCAUCUCCUUUCGUUUAUGCUUCAAAUAGCUCUUGAAAUCUUUCCAAGCAGGAGGCAAUUUUUCAAUAAUUGCAGCAACUUGAAAAGUUUCACUUAGAUGCAUCCCUUCCGCAAGGAUUUCAGAUAAUAUAAUUUGAAGUUCUUGUACUUGACUUAUUACAGUUUUAGAAUCCACCAUUUUAUAAUCUAGGAAGCGACCAACAACAAAUUUUUUGGUACCCGCGUCCUCGGUUUUAUAUUUUCGGUCUAAGGAUUCCCAUAGCUCCUUGGCUGUUUUCUUUCCUAUGUAUAUGUUAUACAAGGAGUCACUAAGACCAUUCAUUACAUAAUUUUUACACAAAAAAUCCGAAUGGUGCCAUGCAUCAAUUGCACUUGCAACUUGAAUAUCUGUUUCACCCUCUUUGGGUUUAGGAGCAUCCUCGGUCAAGAACCUCGCAAGGUUCAACGUGGUCAAGUAAAAGAACAUCUUUUGAACUUUUCAGGCCUUUCCGCAUGAUUGACAAGAAUCGCCACAGAGGCUGGUUCCUUCACAACAUUUGGUGCAGAAACCGGAACAUACGGAACAUCAUCACUGGUUUCAGUUGCCAUCUCAAUGAUAAUAAAUUCUGUUUUAAGAUUGUUAGAAAAACGAACACAGUGAGUUGACAAUUUAAAUUGUAAUUAAUUGAAACAAAAUGUAAACCAGCAAUCGGAAACAGCAAAUGAAGAACAGAAGAGAAAUGAAACGGAAUAAGAAAUAUAAACCCAAGGCCUACACAAGGCAGUUUCCUUAAAACAGAUUUACUACCUCUUCUCUUGUGCUUAAGGUCUGCUAGUAUCUGUUUCCCAGGAUACAACGGGUACGAAUUUCUAGUCAAGCACAGGCUGGAGAUUCCGGCGAACCACAACAGGUAACUCGAUUAGAGAAAGACGAAGAAGGAUGAAGGAAAAACAAGUGUGCUUUGUGCUGGUUUUUCUGGUGUCCAAAAACAGAAGAUGAGAUGCCUUUUUAUAAUCAUGUGAGGAUGUAACAGCUGAUGUGUAUUGAAUUUCCGAAUUCAAAAUUGAAUUAAAAAAACGUGAACAAUAGCUAAAAAUAAUUGUAAAAGCUGUUACACAUUCUUUGAAUUCAAAACAUCAAACUGUUACAAUAAAAAAUUCAAAAGGAAAUUAAAAACGUGCCAAGCUUGCAUGGAUGAUUUUGGGCUUCUUUUUCCCAUGUGGGAUAAGCCUCAUUUCCUUUCAAAUUUCUAACUUUAAGGGUGAACUUUGAGAGACAAUUUCUCAUUCAUUCAAGCACCAUUUUGAGAAAAUAAGAUUAUACUAUUGAAGUAUCAAUGGAGUAGAAUCCGAACCUCAUAAUAUUUUCCACUUUCGUUAAGUGGAACCCACUCAAAAUGUGCCCUCAAAAUAGCAUGUUAUGCUAUUUUUCCAACAAGUAUAUAUUGCAUUGAAUAAAAUGAAAUUGUUCAAAAAUUAACAAAUUCAGCUUUAUUAUAAUCUAAAACAAAGUAAAUAGAAUAAUACCCAUCAUGUAAAAAUAAAAAAUAAAAUUUUUUAUACCACUUGGAAUUUAUUUUAAAUGUUUUGGUCAAAUCUAAGAAGCACAAACUUUGAACAAUGAUAAUAGGUAAAAACUAAUAAUCUUAUAAUAAAAAGUAAGAAAAAAAAUAAAGUUGAUUUAGCAGCUAAGAAUAAAAAAAGAAAAAUAGAAAGAGAGAGAAAUUAGUUUAGGCUUUAACCAUUGUUAUAGUAGAGAAAAAAAAUUAAUUAAGAGUAAUUUUAUGACUUUUUAGAAAUGAGUGAAUUAAAAUAAUAAAUUAUAAUUUGAUAAUUAUCUUAAUUAAAAAAUGGCUGUUGAAAUAAAAUUAGUGAAUUUAAAUAGGCCGCCCAAAAUCCAAACUCGCAUACCAAUAAUUUUCUAAUUUACAUAAAGUUUUUCUAAAUGUUUGAUAAAAUUUGAUUCUCAAUUGGCCUAAUGGAGAAACAACCAGCAAAAUGCAAAAUUGCAUUCCGUUUGUGGGAUCCUGGAAAAAAUAAAAGAAAGAAAACAGAGUAAGACGCUGAUACCGGGGGCUUUAAUAUUUUUCUAGGUGCUUCCAUGGCAGAUUCUCGUUGGUUCAUUUUUCUUUACGCCUUAGAUUCUAUGAUUCAAUUUCAAUCAAAUACGACAAACAAAAGAAGCUUUUAAGCCUGCAGCUGAAAUAGAUGGUACUUUAAUUUCGGCUGAACAUACAUAUGGCAAGAUUAUUAUUCAAUAUCGAGAUCGGAUAAGGGUCCAUAUGAUCAUGGGCCAGGCCACUACUUGCUCAUGCUUUGAAUCAAAAUUAGUGACGUUGGAAGCUGAAAGGGGCAAAUGAUGAAAUGGGGUUCAUCAUAUACUAUGCCCGACGGGAUAAGAUCAUCAUUUAAUUGCCUCCUCUUGUCGAUAGAUAUUUGCCGAAUUUUUCUAUUUAAAAAAUAUUAUAUUGGUUAAUAUAAUUAGAAGUUUUACAAAAUAUAACUAUAAUUUUAAAAAAAAUUUAUACUUAUUAAUUUAAAUUUUUCAUUGAGUUCUGCUAUUUAUCCCGGGUUAAAUUUCGGGUCAAACCCUGAAUUAAACAAAACGACGUCGUUUUCGCUUCUUUUUUUGGUCAUUUUUGCUUCUAUGGAACGAAGUCGUUUCAGCCAAACAAAAGCGAAUGUCUUCGUUUUCUGCAACAAAACCUCACUCUUCUUGAUCCCAUAUCUCUCCUACUUUCUCAGAACUCCAAUUCUCAAAACCCACCAGUCACACUGAAACUCAUUACAGAGAAUUACUUCAUGGAGAGGGGACCCAGAUUCCAUGAAUACGCUGAACUGAGAGAAUCAAGACUGAGAAGGAAGGUUAUACGAGUAGAAGAUGAAACUGAUGAAGCGUAUGAGCCAAAGCGAUCGCCUUUAAAGAAACAAGUGAAGUUUCGGGGGAUUUUGACUGGUUCAAGAAAAGGGUCCUCUGUUUCCUCUGUUUUGGCUCAGUCAGUGCCUGACUUUUCAGCAACUUUGCGGAAAGAAAAUCGGAGGCCGGCGGGUAGGGCGCUUGAGUUGACUCCUCCGGCUAAGAAUUGGUCGAAAAUGAAUGGGAAUUUGUCGAAUUCCAGAGGAAGUAAGUCGGCAAAUGCGGGGUAGAAGAAGGGAAUGAUGGCAAGAAAGAGUUAUGCGAGUAUUGAAGAAUUGAAGGGCAUGUCAAUGGGAGUGGCAAAGGACAAAAGUGAAAGAAUUAUAAAUAAUAGAAAGCAAGUUAAUUAGAAGCACAAAAGCAGAUUUUGUGGACACCAAAAUAGUCCAGAAUCAGCAGCUUUAUUGCCUUCUAUAAGCAUGAGAAAAAUGACACACACACACACACACACACACAUCACUGCUGCUGUUCAAGCUUUUGUUCGGGUGAUGAAUCGAAGAGGAAGAAGAAGAGAAAGAAAAGCAGCUGCGUUUUUUUCUGUUUUCACUGAGUUGAAACGACUACGUUUCAUGGAAGCAAAGAGAAAAAAAAAAAAAAAAAGAAACUAAAACGGCAUCGUUUUGAUUUGAUUCGGGAUUUGACCUGGGAAAAGUAGCAUUUUCCUUUUUCAUUUGGUAGUUGUGUUUGAGAAAAAGUUGAUAGGCACUACUUAAAUAGUAUUAAUAUGGCAACAAAAAACAUGCGAGCAAAGUAGACUAUUGCUUUAUUCUAUAAAUAGCUCAUUUGAGCUUAGAACCUUUAAAGUGUGUCGUACGUUUCUGUUACUUCUAAUAAAGAUAUUCCCUAUUCCCUUUUCUUCCACUUUCUCUUCCAUUUUCACGAUCCCCAAACACCAUCAAUCCAAGAUUUUCUAGAGUAUUAGCUGUCUAUUUCUACAAACAUAGAAUUGCUGUUUUAAGAAACAAAAUAGUCUGUCCUGUCACCCAUGGUCUCCUCAUUUAUCGGUUUGUGAACAGGGCUAAAUAAAGGGCAAAUAAGAUAUUGGGGCAAUGGGCCUAAUGUGACAAGAUCUUGAAUUGAUUGCCUCUUUCUUUUCUCCACAAAUCUUUGGUUAAUUUUUAUGUUCCCUCAACCUUUUUGCCCUUUAGCACCAAAAUUCAUUUUUGAUACUUUAUGCAAAAAUUAUGAUGAAAAUGAGUCACUUUAGAACAUCAAUAAAUUUUUUUGACAUCCAAGAUAACGACAAUUACACUUAGAUCACUCUUAUUUAGUUGAAUUAUAUAUGUAAUAAUGUUGGCUUAACAAAAUAUGAUUCUUAAUCGUUGUAAUUACGGGCUGGUAUUCUUUGGUUUUAGUAGUAGGGCUUAUAACGCCGUGCAACAGUUCUUGGUGGGUUCGAAUUAUUAUACGAUCAUUCUCAAAUCUUUACGGUAUGUAAUUAAAAAUUCCUAUAUAGCAAUUAGAACUUACAAACAAGUUAAAGUGAGUUAAAUCAAAUGUAUAAAUUCGAGGUCUAUUACAAACUUCUAAAAAAGAUUUUCUGUUCUUUUUUCUUUCACUUUCUCUUCCAUUUUGCCAAUCCCCAAACACCGCCAAUCCUUGAUUUUUUUAGUAUUAGCUGUCAAUUUCUACAAACCUAGAACUGCUGUUUGUUUGUCUAAUUAUUUUCAAGAAACAAAACUCUUUGUCAUGUGGUCUCUUCGUUUAUUGGCUUGUGAGCAAAUAAGAUAUUGGGCCGAUGGGCUUAACGUGACAAGUUCUUGAAUUGAAUGGCUCCUCUUUUUUUCAUAAAUCUUUGCUUAAUUUUUUUUGUUCUCUCAACCUUUUUUGGCCUUUCGCGCUAAAAUUCUUUUUUUGAUACAUUAUGCAAAAAUUAUGAUGAAAAUGAGUUACUUUAGAACAUCAAUAAAGUUUUAUGACAUGUAUAAUAAGACAACUAUAGUGAGAUUAGUUGAAUUAUAUGUAAUAAAAUUAGUUUAACAAAAUCUAACCCGUCAGUAUUCCAUAGCACAUGAUUAACGUAUUUAAAAAAUCUUAGUUGUUCCGUCGCUUGUUUUACAAUUAUUUUAUAUAUUUUUGAAACUUUCUGCUUCCUGACACAUCAUAUUGUUCUCAAUUCGUCAAAAUUAUUUGUUUCUUCAAACACUGCAGCAACAACCGGUAUAAAAUAGACUGAACUCAUUUAAUGGGAAUUUUUCUCAUUGGUCAAUUUCUCUUCGCACCUUAGGUUCCUCUAACAAACUUAAAAGAUGUUCCCCAUCCCACGUGUCCCCAAAUCUUCGUAUUUCCAAACAAACCCCUGCCAAUUAUCAUAUUAAUGAGCCACUGUUAAAUUCAUUCAGUCAGUAUUUUUCUUUUCCCAUUUUCAAUGAAUGCUUAAUAUGGAAAACAAUCUGUCUCAUUGAGCACUGUUUAAAUCAUUCCCUAGUUUGUUUAACACGCAAAGAAUAUUCUUAUUCGGCUCGGCAGCCAAUCCGUUAAAAUUUGUUAAAAUUCAUUUAAGUGAUGACUGUGAUAUGACUCGAUCAAUAGUUUAAUUUGUAUAAUUUAUAAAAAUUUGGGCUUCAAGUAAUGUAGAUAGAAUGGUUAAUUAUUUUAAUAUUCAGAUAAAUUGAUAUAUGUCAUUAUAUUAUGAGUGGAUGAAAUAUCCAAUAGAAAAAAAAAAUGUUUGUAUUCAUCAUUUUUAGUGGGAAUCUAUUUAGUGUAACUUAUCCAUAAAAAUGGUUGCCGACUUAUCUUAUUUCUCAUUUUGUUUAAUUUCAUAAAUUUGACUCCCGAUUAAUUAUGAGUGAAGAAUUUGUUGGAAAAAAUCUGGUCUUCCAUUUAUUUUGUAGGAUUUAAAAGAUUAAAAAACUUUAAUACAUAUAAUUUUAUGUUCGAAACUAAGUACUCGUAGCAUUGCUGCUUCUAUAAAUAACUCAUUUGUGCUUCCAACUUGUUAUUUGUAUUUUACGUUUUUGUUUCUCUUCAUAAAGAUUUUCUUUUUUUUUCUUUUUUCCAUUCACUUUUUCUUCCAUUUUCCCGACUCCCAAACACCACUAAGCCUUGAUUUUCUAGAGUAUUAACUGUCCGUUUCUACGAACAUAGACCUACAGUUUGUCUAAAUACUAUCAAGAAACAACGUACUCUGUCGCGGGAUCUCUUCGUUUAUUGACUUUUGACUUGUGAACGGGGCUAAUUAAAGGGCGUUCCUUUCUUCAAGAAAGAAUGCAAAGAAAGUACUAUCCAUGAGACACGUUAAAAAUUAUUUUACAUAAAAAAUGAUAAUAAUCAUAAUAAUCGGUUAAGGAUCGACAAAAAUGUUAUAACCUAUAAAGCAUGGAUAAUUAAUUAAUGGGAAUGCACCUCUCAUCUUUACCAUUCUCUUUGUCAUUUUCAUAAUUCAGCUGUUUAUUAAUAAAGUGAAUAAAUUUAUCUUUUAAUAAUAUGUUUCUUGGCUGUUUUUUUGUGUAUUUUUGUGUACAAUUUUGUGUGCAAAUAGCAUUAUUCAUUAGUAAUUAGUUUGGAGUAGCUCAUUUUGAGCUUAGGACCUGUAACUAGUAUUUUAUGUUUCUGUUAAUCUUUAAUAAAGAUUUUCUCUAUUUUUUUUUCCCUUUCACUUUCUCUUCCAUUUUCCCCGACUCCCAAACACCACCAAUCCUUGAUUUUCCAGAGUAUUAGCUCUCUAUUUCGACAAACGCAUAACUGUUGUUUGUCUAACUACUUUCAAGAAAUAACGUAGUCUGUGGUUUAUUGACUUGCGAACGGGGCUAAUUAGUCACGGUCCGAUUGUCUGACUUCUCCAUUGACUCGGUCAAUUCACGACCUUGACCUGCACAGUUGAUACAAACGGACUUCUCCAUUUGAGGUGUACAAAACUUUCUUGAGUCAUUUUGUUUGGUGAUGAUGAAUUGGAUGUCAGUUCAUGAGUUUCAUGAUGAAGAGGACCAAAAACAUUAUUUUAUUAUUUAAAGAAGACUAACAAUUAUUUCGAUGGUCAUUUUAUUUUUUAUUUUUAAAUAUCCAAGGUGCUUGACUUCUUUACACAGAAUUACAAAGCAAAAUAAUUAAGAAACUAAAUACUCGUCAUCCAAGUGAGAAGAGAUUGGGUUGUUGAUACAUUAAAUAAAAGAAAAAUCAAUUAAAAGCACAACAAUUCAAUAAUUUCAUUCUCAAUCAUAUCAAAACUAAAACAAAUUAUUAGGGAUUUGCAGUUUUUUUUAGUGUAAUCCUCGUUAAUUACAGUUUGGUCUGAAGGGUUGAGCACAUGAGAAUAGAAGGUUUGAUCAUAGGAAAAUAAUAUAUCCCUAUCCGAUGCAAAAAUGAUUGUAAAGAAAAAAUUACAUUCCAUUUUCCAGUUAUUAAAGUAAUUCUAAAAUCACUAGGAUCACAAAGGAUAGGCUUUGGUUGACUGAGGUCAGCCUUAACGCAUGCCGGUCUUUUUCUCCUCUACAUUCUUAGAAAUUUUGGUUUCACUAUAAAUACUCGGUAUAUAGCAAACUUAUAAGUGUUCUUGCAUUACCAAUCCAACUAAGCACACGCUUACAAUAUAAAUACUCUCAUCUCAUGGAAAGAGUUCAUUCUUUCAGGAUGAUGAGCAGAUUUCUCUUACUCCAUUGUUUGAUUCUUAUUUCCUUAUUUAUCGCGGCAGCAACAGCCAACACAAGUUCUACUAUCACAGACCGAGAUGCUCUGUUGGCCCUGAAAGCUCACAUAACUCAUGAUCCGACUAAUUUCUUGGCUAAGAAUUGGAACACGAGUACUCCUGUCUGUAAUUGGACAGGUGUCGCUUGUGAUGUCCAUAGCCAUAGAGUCACAGUCUUGAAUAUUUCAAGCUUAAAUCUCACAGGCACCAUCCCUUCUCAACUUGGGAAUCUUUCUUCUCUGCAAUCACUCAAUCUCAGUUGUAACCGACUUUCUGGUUCCAUUCCCUCCGCCAUCUUCACCAUAUAUACACUGAAAUAUGUUAGUUUCCGUGAAAAUCAGCUCUCCGGCGCUUUCUCUUCUUUCAUCUUCAACAAGUCUUCUUUACAACAUCUUGAUUUUAGUCACAAUACACUGUCUGGUGAAAUUCCUGCAAAUAUUUGCAGUAGUCUUCCUUUUCUGGAUUUCCUUUCUUUGCAAGAAAACAUGUUCCAUGGCGGAAUACCGUCCACUCUAUCAAAUUGCACAUAUUUGCAAAAAUUAGGUUUGGUAUACAAUAAUUUCUCGGGGGCCAUACCUAAAGAAAUCGGCAAUUUGACCAAACUUAAGAUAUUAUAUCUUGGCGGUAACAGGCUCCAAGGUGCGCAUGAUCACAAAGUUUAAUUAUGAAAAUUGUUGCAUAAGUUGUAGUAUGAAUACUGUUCCAUAAUACAGUUUACACACGUUGAUUAAUUUUCAGGAGAAAUUCCUCGAGAGUUUGGCAAUCUCGCCGACUUGGAGCGGUUGUCGUUGGCAGGCAACAAUCUCCAAGGCAUGAUUUUAAACUUUUUGCAAUUUUAUUUUAGCCAUGCUUGCUUCUGUAUUCAUUCGCUUGUUCUUUAAUUAUGCGAUGAUUUAUUGUUUUUCUUUCAGAUAGAGAUAAAGCUCCAUGUCUCCCCUCACUCAUUUCAUUCUUUAAUUUAUGCAGAUAAAAAUAAAAUAAAAAUGUUUUGUAAUUUUCUUUUGUCAUAUUGCCACUUCCGUUUUGAAGCUCCCAAUUAAGUCUAUGAAAAUGAAUGAUGUUUCAUUCUUAUUCUUGUCAGCCUAAUUCUUAUAUAAUUGGAGAGUAAAUUGUUAUUAUGAUAAUCGUCAGCCAAUAAAUUCUUUUUUUUUUUACCCCAAAUAUGAGUGAUCAAAUUGUUUGCGCAUACAUAUAUGUACUUAAUUUGCAGGAGGUAUUCCACAGGAAUUGGGGAAUCUUGCAAAAUUGGAGAUGUUACAGCUGUUCCAGAAUAACUUGAUCGGUAACUUUCUUUACGAUUUAUAUCUGAGACAUCUUCCACUUCUUAAUUAAUAGAUGUCUUAAUUAAUAGAUUUCAAGUCUCUCAUUAUAAAUUCUCAUAUGAGGAUGUGUAGUUACCACUAUCUAACGUUAUUCCUUUUUUAUUAGAAAUUAGUUUGUGUUAAUUCAAAAUUCUGUAGCAUUUAAAAAAAUUAAAAACACGUGGAAUAAAUCAUCAAUCUUUCUUCUUUACUGAAUUUGGAUUUCUCAAAAAUAAUCUUGACAAGUAUGUUUCACUAAUGAUAUGCUUGUGUGACAACUUCAUAAAAUAUUUUACAUGGAAUCACUAAUUAUCUCUAAAGAUGCCAUCAGUGAUACAUAAUUUCUUAACAACACCAUACCAAAAGAAAUCAACAAUUUUAUUAAUCGUAAAGAGUUACAUCUUCAUUGUAAUUAUGACAUAAAUUUUUAGUCAUCAAUCGCAUAAUAUUUUAUCUUAACUGAUGAUGAUGUUCAGUCUUGGAAUUUAUAAUAUCUUGAAGGUUAGUAGCUUUAAAAAUAAGAAAUUGCUCAUUUGCUAAAAAGUUAACUUAGUAUUUAAGUUUUUCAAUUGAAAAUUUUGAAAAAAGCGUUGAGAACUGGCGCUCCAUGGUAUUUCAGCGGAUAAAUAUGAAAAAUAGGCUAGAAGAAAUUAUUUUACUGAAAUAAGAGUUAAAAAGAGAGGAGAAGUACAGUACUCACGACUUAGGCUUUCUGUGUGUGCUUAUUCUACUUAGGCUUUGGGCUUGAUUACGCCCGUUAUAAUAAUAGGCUUUUACUUUCAGCACACAUGAUGAUUUCUUAACCUUCUCAAUUAGGUUAUAGCAAUUUAUAUAUAAAUAACUAAAGCAUACUAAAGCUAGCAUUGAUGUACGGAUGAGUGGCGUCAAAAGUGUAUUUGUUUUUAUGUAUUAUUUAUUCUCUAAAACAUAUCUGAAUACAAUUCUUUCACAAUACCGAGGAAAUAGCACAUGAAAUCGGAAAUAUUUUAUUGCGAUGAGAAUUCGUAUAUUCAUUGUAGUAGAACAUAUAAAAUAGACUAUAAAUUCAUUAUUCUUUCAAGCAAACCUGAUUAUAAUUCCUUCAAAAUUAAGUUUGUCAUUAAAUGAUUUCUCAGGAGCCCUACAAAAAAAAAUCGGGAAUUUGACCAAACUCAAGUAUUUAUCUAUUGGCGGUAACAGGCUCCAAGUUGCGCAUGAUCACAGAGUUCAAUUAUGAAAAUUGUUGCAUAAGUUAUAUGGAUAUCCUUGAUAACCGCAGCAAGCAUACAAAAUCAAAUAAAAGCUAACUGAGACUCGAAUAUCCUAAACCCUGAAAAGGAAUGGUAAUGGUAUAAUAUGGAUUCUGUAGGCAUAUUUCACUGGACUCAACAUUUAUGGUUAAUUUACAACUCUUUGUUGUAAAGUCUGAGAAAUUGCUUUAUAUUAGGGGUGGGGAAAAUAAUUGUUGGGCCACAAAUUUCAAGCAGAAUCCAGAUUGGGCCCAAUUAGACUUAUAGCUCAGCUCUGUGUCGAUAUCUGGGUCUUUACAAAUAAUUAAUGGGCCAAUUAAUAAUAAUAAAUAAAUUGAGAAGGGUAUGAGUGAAAUUAGAUAUGAAUGAAUCUGCUAGUGUAUGUACACAUUUUUCUAAUUAAUGCGUUAUGAGCCUGCCGCUGCCAGCAUGGAAAUUACAGAAACUAAGGAGAGAAUUGACCCAUUAAUUAAAUUAAAAAGAAUACGGAAUAUAUAAGCAGUCAAAAUAUAGGUGAAGUAGGCAUGAAUUGUCACAUAACUAAAUUUGAGAGUAAAACCGUGACUUGGGUUUGAAUGUUUGAUUAAGUUACUUCUAUUUCAAGUUGCUUAUUUUGCGUGGGCUUCAGGCUUAAUUACACACAGUCGAACACUUAUACAGUUCCCCUGACAUAGGCUUUCACCUUCACCACACAUUUGAUAAUUUCUUAGCCUUCCCAAUUAGAUUAUAGCAAUUUAUAUAUAAAUAACUAAAGCAUAGAAAAGCCACCAUUGAUGUACGGAUGAAUGGUGUCAAAAGUGUAUCUUGUUUUAUUUAUUAUUGUUCUAUGAUACAAAUUUGAAUAAUGGAAUAUAAUGCUUUGAAAAUACCGAUGAAAUAGCACAUGAAAUCGGAAAAUAUUUUACUGCAAUAAGAAUUCAUAUAUUCAUUGUAGUAGCACAUAUAAAAUAGACUAUAAAUUUAAUUUUAAAAUACAUUCUUAUCUUCAUAUAAAUUUUACAUUACUAAUUUAAAUUAACAUUAAAAUAUGUUGUUUCUUUCACUAUGUUAUUUUAUUUACACAAUGAUGUGACUAUUGGAAUUAAUAAUAAUUAUAAUUAUUUUGUAAAAAUAUAAAUUUAAUACUUUGUUAACAUUUUAUCUACAUAUAAUAAUUAAACUGAAACUUGUAUUUAAAAAAUUCUAGUUACGCAUAUUCAUUUCACGACAUAAAAGUGUAUAUUUAUGCUAAUUUACCAUUGUCAACAAAAUGCUUUGAGACAAAUAAUCUAAUUUAUAUUUUUAUAUUUAAAAUACUUGCAUUUAUUAUAUUUUGAAAAAAAAAUUAUUUGCAAUUAUUUUAAACCGUUGGAUUCAAAUUUUUGUAGUUAUUAAAGUCAAAGGGUAUAAAUGUAUAAUAGUCAAAAAUAGAUUUGUAUGAUCAUUUUUUAAUGUAUAAAUUUUCUUAGUUAGUAGGAAAAUUAGAAAUUGUUGAUUUACUCAUAAAUAAAUUUAAUGUUUAGCAUUUCAAUUUUGGAAAACUUGAAGUAAAUGUUGAUAACUUUGAAUCGGUCGAGCCGAGUUUCUCUUCCUUGACCCACAGACCCAUUGAAAGUUCUAUUCGAAUUGAGUUUCCCGGUGCUUAUAAAAAGCUUUUCUUUUCCUUGUCGCAGUAAUUUAUUCACAAAUGAGUUGAUUAGCAUCGAAGUUACCUGAGAGUCUGAGACCAUGCUAGUAGGAGAAAUUUGAAAAGAAAUUAUUUUACUGAAUUAAUUUAUUUUAUCUUGUUGUAACUGAAAUACUACUUUUUUUUGGGCUAUCACUGGGGCUUGAUUUACUUUAAUAGUAGUAGCCACCGACUUAGGCUUUUUUUAAUUGUCACCACACAAUUUGAUCUUUUAAUUUGUUUUAACCACAUAAUCUGUCUAUCUAUCUCUCACCUAUUGCUUACUUAAAUCGCAUACAUAUUUUACCUACUAAUUUUAUAAAUAUUAGUCAAAUAUAUUUUAUUACGUUUCUCUCGUAACUGCUCCAAAUGUGUACUAUUAAUACUUAACCCUCGCUUUUAAUUUAACCCAAAAAUAUAAAAAUAAAAGAAAAAGAAUAUGUGUAGCAAUUUGCAUAUAACUAACAAAGCAUUGACGGUGUGUAGCCUUUCAAAACUUCACGGGUGGCUUUUCUUGUGUGUUAGUACUUGUAAUAAUUGUGUAGUGUAUAAAUGACAUUUUAUUAUUAAAGUGCGUCCAUUUUUAGAUAUUACUUAUUAUUUGAAAAAUAAUCUGAAUAUAAUUCUUUUAAAAUACAGGGGAGAUACCACUUGAAAUUGGUAAUCUCCAAAAUCUGGAGGAGUUGGAGCUUGCUCAAAACAAAUUAAUUGGUAUUGUCCCAGUUGCAAUCUUUAAUGUGUCAACACUCAAAAUACUUCAGCUUCAAAUUAAUUGUCUCUCGGGAAGUCUUUCAUCCAUCACAGACGUCCAACUACCAAAUCUUGAAAAGCUUGAUUUGUGGGGUAAUAAUUUCAGUGGCACAAUUCCUCGUUUCAUCUUUAAUGCUUCUAAGCUCUCUAUACUAAAUUUGGGAGGGAACUCAUUCUCCGGUUUUAUUCCCAACACAUUUGGCAACCUAAGAAACCUUAAAUACCUUUAUUUAGAAAACAAUUAUUUGACAUCUUCAACUCUAGAAUUGAGCUUUCUAUCCUCGUUGUCAAAUUGCAAGUCUUUAACACAUAUUGACUUAUCAAAUAAUCCACUAGAUGGCAUUCUUCCUAAGACGUCUGUCGGUAAUCUUUCUCAUUCUUUGGAAGAUUUUCACAUGUACAAUUGUAACAUUAGUGGCGGCAUCCCUGAAGAGAUCAGCAACUUGACCAACUUGAUAACCAUUGAUUUAGGAGGCAAUAAAUUGAAUGGAUCGAUUCUGAUUACUCUUAGCAAAUUACAAAAGCUUCAAGGUUUGGUUCUUGAUGAUAACAAAUUAGAAGGAUCAAUCCCAGAUGAUAUUUGUCGUUUGGUUGAGCUGUAUAAAUUGGAGUUGGGUGGCAAUAAGCUUUCAAGAUCAAUCCCUGCAUGCUUCAAUAAUCUGAUUGCUCUGAGGAUACUGUCGUUGGGUUCCAAUGAGUUAACUUCUAUUCCCUUAACUUUUUGGAACCUUAAGGAUAUCUUGUACCUCAACUUUUCAUCAAAUUUUUUGACUGGCCCACUCCCAUUAAAGAUUGGAAAUUUGAAGGUUUUGGUUGGAAUUGAUUUUUCGAUGAAUAAUUUUUCAGGCGUUAUCCCAACAGAAAUUGGAGGCCUAAAAGAUCUAGAAUAUCUCUUCUUAGGAUAUAAUAGAUUGCAAGGAUCGAUUCCUGAUUCAUUUGGUAAUUUGAUAAGUUUGAAAUUCUUGAAUUUGUCCAAUAAUAAUCUCUCUGGGGCAAUUCCUGCACCUUUAGAGAAACUCUCAUAUCUUGAAGAUCUAAAUCUUUCUUUCAACAAGUUAGAAGGAGAAAUUCCUAGGGGAGGAUCUUUUGGAAACUUCUCAGUUGAAUCAUUUAAAGGAAAUGAAUUAUUAUGUGGUUCACCUAAUUUACAAGUCCCGCCAUGCAAAACUAGCAUCCACCACACAUCAUGGAAAAUUUCUCUUCUCCUAGGGAUUCUCUUGCCAUUGAGUACUACAUUAAUGAUAGUAGUCAUUUGGUUGAUCCUAAGAUAUCGACAGAGAGGAAAACAACCAUCGAAUGAUGCUAAUAUGCCACUAGUAGCAAUGUGGAGAACAUUUUCAUACCUAGAACUUUGUCGAGCAACAGACGGAUUCAGUGAAAACAAUCUAAUCGGCAGAGGAGGGCUUGGCUCUGUUUAUAAGGCAAGACUUGGGGACGGGAUGGAAGUUGCAGUGAAGGUCUUCAAUUUGCAAUGUAGAAGAGCAUUUAAGAGUUUCGAUGUUGAAUGUGAAAUAAUGAAAAGUAUUCGCCAUCGAAACCUUAUCAAAGUUAUUAGCAGUUGUUCGAAUGAAGAGUUUAAAGGGUUGGUAUUAGAAUACAAGCCUCAGGGAAGUUUGGAGAAGCAUCUGUAUUCAAGUAAUUGCAUUUUGGAUAUUUUUCAAAGAUUGAACAUAAUGAUAGAUGUUGCAUCAGCUUUGGAAUAUCUGCACUUUGGUUGUUCAACUCCAGUAAUUCAUUGUGACUUAAAGCCCGACAAUGUAUUGUUAGAUGAUAAUCUGGUUGCUUAUUUGAGUGAUUUUGGCAUCGCGAAGCUCUUAAUUGGAGAAGAUCAGUAUAUGACUCAAACGCAAACACUUGCCACAAUAGGUUAUAUGGCACCAGGUUUGUUCAAUAUAAAUAUUUUCUAUUUCUUGUAAAUUUCCUAAUAAGUUAUUUAUGUUUCAUGAUCUUCAUUAGAUGAGGAAAUUAUUAUUAAUGAUAUAUCUUACUAUUUAACUGUUGCAAUUCAUAGAGUAUGGAAGAGAAGGACGAAUAUCCACAAAUGGAGAUGUUUAUAGCUUUGGAAUUAUGUUAAUGGAAACUUUUACCGGGAAGAAACCCACAGAUGAAAUUUUUAAUGGAGAAAUGACAUUAAAGCAUUGGGUUAAUGAUUGGCUACCCAUUUCCACUAUGGAAGUUGUUGAUGCUAAUUUGCUAAGUCAGGAGGACGUACAUUUUGUUGCAAAAGAGCAAUGUGUGUCAUUUGUCUUCAAUUUGGCUAUGGCGUGCACUGUGGAAUCUCCUGAGCAGAGAAUCAAUGCAAAAGAAAUUGUAACAAAGCUCUUAAAAAUUAGAGGCUCAUUACUUAGAAAUGUUGGAGGCAGAUGUAUAAGACAAUCAAAUUUAAAUUGAUUCUGCCACUCCAUUGCUUGCUAUCUUUUUCAGAGACUUGAACGGUUAUCCUUCAUACCAGUUUUGUUGAUAUGUUUUGUUAUUGCUCUUGCUCAUGUUUGUUUCUCUAUUUCUUUAAUUUGCAUGCAUGUAUUUUUCGUUCUCUUUUAUGUUUUUGUUGGUUUGUAUGUAGUUUGUUUUUAGGGGUAAGGUUGAUUAUGUCCUUCCCUAAUUACACGUAUCCUUUUUAUGUUUAUUCAAUAAAGCUUCUCUAAUACUAUCGAGGUUCAUCAAAAGAAAAUUUUUAAUUAAUUUUCUUUUCUUUGACAGGUAAUGAAAUUCUAAUCUUCAUAGUGAAUAACUUCAAUAAUAGAGUAUAAGAGUAUUAGUAGUUAUGGUUGUUUUUUGAACCUAAAGUCAAGAGCAAUUUAACAGCAACAAACAAGCCUCUUGUAUUAUAGGCAAAAUUCUUUUCAUUAAUCUUAUUUAUCUACAUGUUCUCCUUUUUUCUCCAUUAAUCUUCGCUCAAGCUUUCAUGCUUCCUCUUUGAUAAAGGAAAAUAUUACUUGCGAAUAUUUCAAUUUGACAUAAGAGACUGUUUUGCCAACCAUUUGAUAAAAUGGAUAUGAGUGGAGCUUUCAAUCAUUACCUCCACCAAAAUCCUUACAACGCCACUUUUAAAUUUUAUUUUUUAAAAUACAUUCAGUUUAAUUUAUAAAAAAUAAAUCCAUUUGUUAAAAUUAAUCUUUUUCUCAUAAAUUUCAACCUAAAAAAUAUAUUUCUUUUAAAUUUUUAAUUAUAAAAUACAUACAAGUUCUAAACUAUUAUUUUAUUUUCUUCUUAUUAUAUAGUUUAUAUCUCCAUAACUCUAAACUCCUAUAAUUUUUUUUAAAAUGUUUUUAAUUUAAAAUAUAAAUAUUAAGUAUAUAAUGGAGUGGGUAUAAAAAAAUUUGUUAAAAGAAUAAUUCAUUUAAGUAUUUAACUAAAUUUAAAUUAAAAUAAGAAAUAAGUUAAUUUAUUUUUUAUUAGUUAAGUAAUUUUCAAUUGAAAAAGAGCUGUAUGAGUAAUAUUAUUGAAAUAUGAUUAAAAUUCUUAUGAAUUAAAUAUUUUCGUAUAAAUACUAGUGAUAAUUACAGAGAAAGGACAAGGAACCAAAGAAAAUGUGAAUAUAAAUACUCCAAUGUAAUUUUACACAUGCAAAUUAUGAACCAGUGAUCUUUAGAGCAUCAUAAAAUUAUUUUGACAGAAUUACUUAUUUUGAAAAAUUGCCAACAAUGUUUAAAGUGGGAUUGAAAAGAUUAUACUACUUAUAUAAGACAUGAUAUCAUUUAAGAUGGCUUACGAAUUAUAAAAAAUAUAUUGAUCUUACAAAUAUUUAAUAUGUCAAUUAGACGGGCCCAGCUACCUUCCACCUGCUAGAAGGUACAUCUUAUUUUGUCCUCUAGUGUUGUGGGCGUUGGAUAUUUUAGAAGUUGAUCUAACGGUUCUUGUUCGACAGCGUGAAAUUGAAUUUCAAUUGGCAACCGUUUCAUGAACUUUGCAAGAGACAAUUAUCUACAAAAAUAUUAAAAAAAUAAAACCAAUUUUUCCCUUUCAUCAGCCGCCGCCGCCACCCACGAACCCUUAAUAUCAUCAUCACCAUCCCAAUCCUUAGUCGCCAUCCACAAGCUCUAACAACCACCAUGACCGCCAUCACAACCACCACUCCUCACAACCCCUAGCCACCACUACAAACAUUCACAAACUCCAACCAUAAUUGUCAGUUCACCAACAUUAUCCUCCAUUGACGCGGCCUACCAAUCAUCCACAACACCUAACCGUCGUCACCAACAAACUUUCGCCACCGCUUCCUACAAGGAAGCCUCACCACCCACCACCGCACACACACAAAGCCACACCAACCGCCAUACUAUUGCGACAGAGGCCACAAUGUAGACAAAUUCCCUAAGAGGAAGGAUGUUUUCCUUCUCCAGCUGACUAUUCUUUUUUAUCCUUUUUUUUGUUUUUUAAUUAUUAUAUUACUUUUAGUUAUUUUUAGUUUUUCUUUUAUUUUGUCUAUAUUUUGGUUGUUAGAAUGUUUUUGUUGUUGUUGUUGGCGGCAGUGCAGUUGUAGCUCAUGAUGAUGAUGGUGAUGUUGGUGUCAUUUUAAUCGAGAUUUUGUUUUUUUUUUACCGGCUACGCCAGUCAUCUUCAUUCAUUACAUGUCCAUUUCUAACAUGUUAGAUUUUACUACUUUUUAAUCCAAGGGUUAGACCACAACGAGACGAAAGAUGGGGUACCUUCCAAUGGGUGGAAGGUAGUUCGGCCCAAUUUAGACAGAGUCUAUGCAAUAAAAAUUUCAAAUUAAAAAAUAAACCUUUUAUUUUCUUUUAAUCAUAAGUGUGAUCUUAAUUAUUAACGUCUUUCAAUGUCCAUUACUUAUUUAUUUUUUUAAUUACCUAAAUGACAUUGAAAACUCUACUCAAUAAUAAUUCGUUCAAAUGUUUUAUUUUAAAGUAAUCGGAAACUGCAAAUGAAACAAAUGCUUGAAAUCACAAACGGCCUAAAAUUAGAUUUUCAUUUUUCAAUGUUGCAGUGACUUUGAUCUUGAUAUUGAAAAUUUAUUUGUAACUUAUAUAAAGGCCUCAAUUUUAUCAUAAUUGGUUAGUAAGGCUACGUAGGGAGCAUGGAUAAAUUUUGGGAUUGGAUUAUAUUUUCGAAGCUAAAAAAUUAAUUUCAUCUAAUGUUAUGUUUGGUUGUCAAGACUAGCAACUUAGUCUAAAAUUAUUGAAAUUACUAAUCUUUUAUAUUAUAAUCUUUUCGUUCCCACUUUAAACAUUAUUGGUAACUUAAAUCAUUUUUUAAAUUAAACAUAAAAAUCAUUUAAAUUAAAUAUUAACAUUAAUUUCAUAAGUUUUUUACCUAGAAUUUUAUAUUAUAUUAAAUACUACAAUUCUAUUCAAUAAUGUAUUAUCAUUUAUUUAAUAAAUGUUUAGGUUUUCAGUAUGUUAUAUUAUUAUUUAAAUUAAUUUUUUAUUUACAUAUAAACAUAAAUUUAUAUUUACUAAUUUAUAUUUAUUAUAAUUUAUUAAAUAAUAAAAUCUAAAUGAUUAUAUUUAAAAUAUAAUUUGUAUGUUAAUGUAUUAUAGCCUAAAUCUUACCCCUAUGAGUUUAUUUUUUCCACCUUUUAUUCUAUUAACCACAUUUAUAAGGCAGUGCGAUGCAACUAAAAAUUAUAACCAAAUAUAAGUUAGCAUGAAAAUAAUAUUUUAGUACAAUACAAUACAAUGUAAUAUAAGCUGACAAAUAGAUAUUUAAUGGAAGCAAAAAUUGCAUAUGGUUUGUCGGCCUCUCAAAAGACAGCAAAGAAACCAAUAUGAUACACUGAUUCUGUCCUCUUUAGCAGUGCCUUUACUAAAUAGGAAUAAAAAUGAAUUAGAAUCGGAAUAGAUUAUAAUCGAAAUGAGGAAUUAGAAAAAGAAUAAGUUAUUUAAUUAAGUUGUAUGAAUUAGAAUUGAAAUAAACUUCAUUCUAAUUGAUGUGUUUAUUUUCUCUUGAAAUUAGAAUGGACUAUUACAAGUUACUAAAAAAUCAUUUGGUAAUUGAUGUCUCUAGUAUUAUUUGUAUUUGUUAUAAUGUUAACAAUAAUAAGAAUAAAACUAAUACUAAAAAUGAAAAUAAUAAUAAUAAUAAUAGAGACAAUAAUAAUAAAAUUAAUAAAUUAUUAUUAUUAUUAUUAUUAUUAUUAUUAUUAUUAUUAUUAUUAUUAUUAUUAUUAUUAUUACUACUACUACUACUACUACUACUACUACUACUACUACUACUACUACUACUACUACUACUACUACCACCACCACCACUACUAUUAGUACUGAAGACCGCCCGGUAAAGAUUGGAUAGUGAAAAUGAAGACGACGAAGAUCCCGGCAACCACCUGCUACUCCAAAGAUGAUGUGCCCAAAUGGAGACAACCAGUGAUGACUAGCCAACUAGAUCCAAAUCUCGAUAUUGUGAUCUUGCAUGACCAUUGAUAAAGCGAUGUGUGAUGUCGGUGUUGUGAUUUCUUUUUUAUUUAUAUUUUUUAAUUAAUCAGGGGUAUUUUCAAAAUUUAGUAAUUUUAAUAUGGGCAAAUUGGAUAGUCUAGUGAACAGGAGACUAAUUCCCAAUCAUCCUAGAAAUUAGUCUCUCAUUCUUUAUUUUUAAUUUAAUGUGGGUUCCACUAUUUCGAUUCCAAUUCUUACAUUUAUUUAUAAAGUAAAUAAUGUUAAUGAUUUCAAUUUCCAAUUCGAAAAAUAAACACAUCAUAAUAUUUUUUUAGGUGCUUCCAUGACAUAAUCUCAUUGGUCCAUUUUUCUUCAUGCCUUAUAUUCAACUUCAAGAUUCAAGAUUCAAUUUGAAGCAAACACAACUACAAAACAAAUAUAAUAAGCGUUAAUAAGCCUGUGGCCAAGCAAAUGUAACUUGUAGUGACCAAUCAUAUCUUAUUAUCUUCCGCCAGAAGUUAAACAAUGUUCCCAUUCCACGUGUCACUCUCUGACCAAUCCCCGAACUUUCUUCAUAUUUCCAAAGAAACCCUCACCAAGUCAACAUAAUUACCUUCACUCUACUCAUAUAAAUACUGUCCUCGAUUCGACUGAUGUCUGAUGACGACAUAUCCUUGGUCUUUAAUUAAAGAAAAAAGGACACAGAGACUCCCAACGUUUGAAUAAGGGACAUAAAAUUUUUUAAUGUUUUAAAAAAGACACUCAGACCCCCAUUUGUUAAUAAUAAAUUAUAAUUUUACCAUUAUACCCUUAUAGCAUAUUAAAAAUUAAUUGUUCAUUAUCCAAUUUAUUUCCAUAUUAUUAAUAAAAAUUACGAAUAUAACUUCAUUACCCUAUUUUUCCAUUUAUUUUUUAUCAAAUUUUAUCUUCAAACUAAAUAAAUUUAAUCCAUUGCUCAAAAAUAAAAAUAAAUUAAAUUGAUUAUUAAUAUAAUACAAAUAACAAUUCUCCAUAUGUUAUUUCUUAUAAUUUCUUAUAUAUAAAUUAAAUUGAUAAUUUCUUAAAAAUAACAAUUCUCCAUAUAUAAAUUAAAUUUAUUUUAAUUUAAUAUAUGUUAUUUUUAUAUUAAAUAUAUGUUAUUUUUAUUAUAUUAGUAAUCAAUUUAUUUUUAUUCUUGAGCAAUGGAUUAAAUUUAUUUAGUUUGAAGAUAAGAUUUGACAAAAAUUAAAUGAAAAAAUUGAAUAAUGAAGUUAUAUUCGUAAUUUUAUUAAUAAUAUAGGAAUAAAUUAGAUAAUGAAUAAUUAUUUUUUAAUAUGUUAUAAGAGUAUAAUGAUAAAAUUAUAAUUUACUAUUAAUAAAUAGGGGUCUGAGUGUCUUUUUUAAAACAUUAAAAAAUUUUAUGUCCCUUAUUCAAACAUUAGGGACCUCUAUGUCAUUUUCCCUUAUUUAAAAGUGGAAAUUAUAAAAAAUUCUCCUCGUUCCCUAAAGAUCUAGGGUUUCUCGAGAAUCGCUAAACCUAGAUCCCAAUCCUUCAAAAUCUCAAUUUAACCUCUCUAGGGUUUCGAUUAUCGAGGAUUCGCUUCAAAAUUUAGUAUUUUUUAGGGGAUUUUGCUUGUCUCGUAUCCUUCAAUUGUUGUUCGGUUCUGAAAAUAAUUUGGAAUUUUAGGGAUUUUCAGAUUAUUUGGUUUUGCUUGAGUGCAAUUUCCUCUAGUUACGGUUUCAGUUUGAAGGGUUAAGUGCGAUUUCGAAUAUUUUUAUAAAAUUAAAAUUAAAAUUCAUAAAACGACUGGGCUUUUAAUAAUUAAUUGCUGGCUAGCGAUACUACAACGGCGGCCGCAGCUGCAGAAGAAGCAGAGGCGGUGGAGGAGUAUGAUAGCGAUCCAGAUGAAGUGAAACGCUCUCUUGCGAUGCGCAGAAGGGAAGCCAGCGAUGAGGAGGUUGAGGAGGAUAAAGAUUCAGAGCUUCCAAUAGUUCAAAGUGUCCACAUUCCUGCGGGAGAAGCGGAGGCUGUGGAUGAGUAUGAGAGCGAUCCAGAUGAAGUGAAACACUCUCUCAUUAUGCGCAGAAGGGAAACAAGCGAUGAUGAUGAGGAGGAGACAUAAUUUGAGCGUCGAAUGAAUUGAAGGGUCCAGAUUCACUCUUACAUUGAAUCUGAUGGCCAAGGUGGUGCUCCAGCUGAGUAUGAUGAUGAUGAUGAUGAAGAAGAGGAACAUGACAGAGAAUUAGAAGAAGAAGAUGAAGAAGGGGAUGUUUAUGAGGCUGUAGAGGAAGAAGAAGUUUAUGAAGAAGAGGGGAGGAAUGAUGGGGCGGUUAAAGUCAAAGGAAUAGAGGGUAAUGAUGCAUAAGGAGUACGGAGGGUGCAGUGGAAGUGAGUAAAGGGAAUAAUGAUAAUGGCAAUGGUGCUAAAAGAAUGAUGCAGCAGAGGAGAGAAUGGAGAAAGAGAAGAAGGAGAGUAAUGAGCCUUUUGUACAGCAACUGGGGCUUUUUGCACAGCAACUGGGGCUUCUUAUAUGGGACAAUGUUGCAGGUCGACACAGGUAUUAUUUGAUUUGAGUGACAAUUUAUAAAUAGCUAAUAGCUGUACUUUCAUUAGUGCUUGUCAAUUAAUCCAGUCUCGUUUUUUGGUGCUGUAUAAUGAUUGUUUGCUGGAAUCUGUGUAGAAGGCUUUUGGCCUAGUAGGUUGAAAGGAGAGAAAGUUCUCAAAUAAACAUCUGUGCUUUGUGGAAUAUAAUUAAUAGGUACAAAGCAUACUAAAUUACUUGACAGAGAGAUGCCGAGCUAAUCAUGAGCUAUGAUAGCAUCAUCCGUGCUUUGUGUAUUUUUAAUAGGGCUUGUCUAUUUCAAAGUGUGUAGUAAUUUUUGGGUUUAGUUUGAGUGAUGAAGUGUUAGAUGGGUUUCUGUUUGGCAUAGUUAAGUGGUUAAUACGAGCUAUUGAAGCAAAUAUGGAGUAGGAUAUCUAGUUUUGGGUUUGGUCUUAGUUUGAAGAUGGCUACUGAUUAUGCAGCUAGGUACUAAUUAGUGUUUGUGGAUUGCUAAAUGCUUUCUGUCAAAUGUGACUAGAUUAUUACUUGAAGUGCAUGGAUCUUACACUUAAUUAAUUAUAUAUCCAUUUGUAAUGUACAAAAUGAUCAUGUACUAUUGCUUAAAAUUAUGUUUUCAAGACAUCAUUUUGAAUCCAUGGUUGUAAUGUGUCUCUAAAUUCAGUAAGACAAGUUCUGUCAAUUGCUGUCGGAUGGCAGUGACUUGAAUAGUUUAAUGUUCAUUUGCAGAAAAAAAUUGAGAAAGAAAACUAAAAAUUUCUGUGCGUUCUGCUGGAAAUUUAAUUAGCUUCAUUUGAGCAUUAAUUGCUGGCAUUAUCUCUUAGAUUUCUCUUGCAUUGAAUGAAUGGAUGAGUGCUAAUCCAUGCAAAGACUUCCAUGCAUACACAAUGAAUGCUUCAUCAAAGGUAUGGUAAAAUGUCAACACGCUUGGCCCAAAUUAUCAAGCUGGUGUGGUGGCUGCUAGAUUUGUUCAUCCGGAUUUUGGACCAUUUUCAUUGACAAUGAGAAAAGCUGCAAGAUCUGUAAAUCGGAAACUCAUUGAAGUGCCAAAAGAGAGAUGGAAGUGAAUAACUAGGGAGUUAGUGAAAAGAGGGUGCAGUGAUUGUGUGGGAAGCUUUGGGUAUAUUUGGGGUUUGGAUGUAAGAUAAAAUAAUUUGAGAGAGAGGUUGUAACAAUUUUUCGGUAAUAGAGUUUUUCAGGUAACUCUUGUGUUGUGUGAUUGGAGUAUUCUCUAUUGUAUUUUUUUAUUUGUUAUUUAUUUGACAUAUUGCUAGCGGAGAUCUUGGGUGGGAGCCAAAAAUUCCCAACAAUUGUCAAUUGUUUUAAACUCUAUUUCGAACAGAGCAUGAAGGGAUUCACUUAUCUGAUUAUGUCUUUUAUGCUUUAACUUCACUUGAUUUCAUCUUGUCUGUCACCUUUAUUAAAGUUGUAUAUGUUGGAGUAUUAGGUUCAUCACAGGGAUCAUAUUAUGGCUAAGGAAGGGGCACAAGAGUAUUUGGAUUCAAGACUGUUAGAAGGUUGUUACAAUGCAAGGCUGUUGCUGUGUAACUGUAUGCCAUUCACGCAAGUGCACUCUUAACAGAUUGCUGAGCUGGCACCGGAUGUUUUUAGCUAAUAUUAGUUAUUGGUCUAGAGUGUUCUGAUUUAUUCUAUAAAUAGCUCAUUUGAGCUUAGAACCUUUAUAGUGUAUCAUACGUUUCCGUUACUUCUAAUAAUGAGUUUCUCUAUUCCUUUUUCUUUCACUUUCUCUUCCAUUUUCAUGAUCCCCAAACACCAUCAAUCCAUGAUUUUCUAGAGUAUUAGUUGUCUAUUUCUACAAGGGGAAAUAUCCACCGUCCACCUGAUUUUGUUUACUUUUUUAAAAAUAUACAAAUCCUAAAUUUUUUAGCUGCGCUCCACCUGAACUUAUAAUUUUUUUCACAUUUCCACCUCCGUCUGCAAACCGUCAAGGCGUUGCUGAUGUCAUAAGGCUAAAAUGAUAAUUUCACUUGGGCUUAAAAAACGACGUCGUUUAAGAUCUGUAAUAAGCAAAAAAAAAAGUUAUUUCAGUUUCAAGAAUCCAAACAAAAGCUUUGAUAAACUCGAAGCUCAAAGCUUAAUUAUUCUCUGGUCUCUACUCACCACAUUCGCAUUCAUGGCUGCACAAGACACACAAAUUGAGAGCGAAAAUAAAGACUCAAAAGAACCCAAAAACCUGUUCGCACACUUUAUAAACUUAUUAUUUUCUGCUCCAAUAUUUAAUAAUAAGCAAGAGAGAAAUAAAAGUGAAGGUGAAGAAAGAGAAGCUGCAGAGGCAAGCAAGAAACGAGAGGUGGUGAAAUUUUCGCUUUUAAAAAAAUAAAAAAAAGAAAGAAAAAGCAAAGGCAAAGCCAAAAUCUUCUACUCUGAAAGUCAUCGACCAUAGUCAUGGCGGAAAACACAGAAAUUGCUUCCAGUCCCAGAAAACAAGAAAACAAAAGCAUACUCUCGCGGUUGCCGAAAUUCCAACUCAAUCUCCAUUUCUUCUUUAAUCAACAACCUAAGAAAGUAGAAGAAACUGUUGUUUCUAAAGGGACUGCCAAAACGUCAACGGUUAGUGAAGCCGAUGACGGUAAUGCUAGUAGUGUGAAGCCGAGCUUGGCUAGGUUUCCAGACGCCACACGUCCGAUUCUUCCGCUGCCGAUUGAGCUCGAGGCCCAAGAGCCCGCCGGGCGGACUUCCAAUCCUGUCGUUCUCUGGCAGGUUCGCUUUCUUCCGUCUGUUCCUGUUUGGUUCCCGAGAAAAUGUGGGGUCCUUUUGUGUUGCGAGAUUGCGAGAUUUUAUAAUAUUUGUUUAAAAAAUAAAAUUUUUGAAAGGAUUUCAAGAUUUUCAGUCUUUAUCUAGGGCUACAAUACUCACAAAGUUAAUAUUUUGGCGUUUAUUGAGGGUAAAUAUAUAAUUUUUUAUUUUCGGGGUUAAAAAGUAAUUUGGACAAAAUUCCGUUAGUUUUAUUGACGGUUUACAGACGGAGGUGGAAAUGUGAAAAAAAUUAUAAGGUCAUGUGGAGCGCAGCUAAAAAAAUUAGAAUUUGUGUAUUUUAAAAAAAGUGGACAAAAUCAGGUGGACGGUGGAUAUUUUCCCUUUCUACAAACAUAAAAUUGUUGUUUUAAGAAACAAAGUACUCUGUCCUGUCACCCGCGGUCUCCUCGUUUAUCGACUUGUGAACAGGGCUAAAUAAACGGCAAAUAAGAUAUUAGGUCAAUGGGUCUAACGUGACAAGAUAUUGAAUUAUUGCCCUUUUCUUUUCUCCACAAAUCUUUGGUUAAUUUUUAGGUUCUCUCAACUUUUUUCCCCUUUAGCACUAAAAUUCAUUUUUGAUACUUUAUGCAAAAAUUAUGAUGAAAAUGAGUCACUUUAGAACAUUAAUAAAUUUUUAUUUUUACAUCCAAAAUAACGACAGUUACACUUAGAUCACUCUCAUUUAGUUGAACUAUAUAGGUAAUAAAGUUGGCUUAACAAAAUAUGAUUCUUAACUGUUGUAAUUAAGCACUAGUAUUCUUUGGUUUUAGUUGUAGGGCUUAUAAUGCCGUGGCUCAGUUCUUGGUGGGUUCAAAUUAUUAGACGAUCAUUCUCAAUCCUUUACGAUUCGUAAUUAAAAAUUCUUAUAUCACAAUUAGAACUUACAAACAAGUCAAAGUGGGUAAAAUCAUAUGUAUAAAUUCGAGGUUUAUUACAAACUUUUAAAAAAGAUUUUCUCUGUUUUUUUUUUCUUUCACAUUCUCUUCCAUUUUCUCAAUCCCCAAACACCACCAAUCCCUGAUUUUUUGAGUAUUAGCUGUCUGUUUCUACAAACAAGUUCUUGAAUUGAAUGGCUCCUCUUUUAUCCAUAGAUCUUUGCUUAAUAUUUUUGUUCCCUCAACCUUUUUCGGCCCUUUGCUCUAAAAUUCUUUUCUGAUACAUUAGCAUUACGCAAAAAUUAUGAUGAAAAUAAGUAUGCCAUGCCGGCAAGUGUAUUGUACAGAUUUCUAGAGUAUUACCUGUCUAUUUUUUUCACCGAUGACGAAGCUAAUUAUUAGUAAUCAAUCUAAAGUCUACCUAUAAAUACAAUAGGUUGCUUAGGUGGCACCAAUAUCCUAACUUUAUGCCAUGUUUCUGGUGUGUCUUCACAAAUUCACCGAUACAAAUUAAUUUCUACCAAUAUUACCAAAUGAUUGUAUUUUACGUUUCUAUUUACUUGUAAUAAAGAUCUUCAAUUUUAUUGGUUACAAAAUUCUCUAGGAUUGCAUGUACAUUAUACUUUUAUAUACAUAUUUUCUUCUUUCUCAUUCGUUUUCUGGGUGAACAUAUUAUUUUCGUCAUCAUCUCUAUAACAAUGAAGUGAAAAUAGUCCUCAUUUAAAGUAUUGACAGCAAUGUUAUACUCAAUAUAACGUAUAAAGCACGCAUAAUUUAAUUAAUGGGGCAGCUGCUAGUACCUUCUAUAGAAGAGAAUUAUUGCAGCAAGUUAAUUGGAAGCUCAAAGAGUUUCCGUAUUAGCCGAAUCUAAGCGAUAAGUGUUUCCAUGUGAGACAUAAUUUGGGAAAAAGACCAAUUCGAGUUAAAGAUCAGAAAACAAACACUGUCAACAAGCAUUAAUGUCAUUUGAUGCAUGAAAGACAAUUAGUCCCAUUUUUUUGUCCUGUUUACUUGACUUGGGCAAUUUGCCGUCAACUUUUCUCAUCCACGUCAGGUAAUGUGGCUUUUAUUUGGUAUGAAAAAGCCAAUGCUUUACGAUAAAACUAUCACACACAUAUUAUCCAUCUGUAAUGUUCAAAUGACACUCAAGUAUUACCUAAAUUAGCCUUUUAAAAAUUCAUUUUCAAAAACCCAUGGUUGUGAUGUGUCUCUAUAAAUUAAGAUCUAUCUGUUACCAACUGUUUUAACUCUGUUCUGAACAGAGCUUGAAAGGGUACAUUCACUUAUCUAGUUAUGUUUUUUAGGCUCUCACUUUAUUUGAUUCACCUUAUCCCUCUUUUGAAACAAUUGUUCACUGGCUGCACUCAGUUAACAGAAUAUUUUGGGAUUCAAAAUAACAUCUUAUUUUCUAAAAUAACUAAAUAGAAUCUUACAGAAUUAGAGUGCCUGACUUCUUCAUACAGUGCUUGACUUCUUUUUACAGAAUUAUAAAGUGAAAAAAUAAAUUAAGAAAUUAAAUACUUUUCAUGCGAGUGGAGAAGAUUGGGUGGCGAUUACAUUAAAUAAAAGAAAAAUAAUUUAAAAGUACAACCCUUUAAUAAUCUCAUUCCCAAUAAAUCGUUGAAACGUCUUGCUUCAUAUUGUUCUUUUUUUUUUUUUUGAUUAAUUGGCCUAAAUAUUGUAUUUUUGUCAGGAGUCUUGCAAUGCUGCGUAACACCGUAGUAAGAAGAAACGUGUCUAAGGUUGCCACGUGUUGUCUCAACAUCUGUGUGAAAACCGAAUUAACCAGUUUGCGUUCGACAACAAAGGAAAAUCUUUAUAACACCCUUUUUAAUUUUAUUUUCUGAAAUACACUCAGUUUUAUUUGUAGCAUAUAAAUCUAUUUAUUAAAAUUAAUCAUCUUUCCAGAAAAUAUCAAUCUAAAAAAUAUUUUUUUAAAUUUUUUUAUAAAAUACAGAUAAAUUCUAAUUAUAAAAUUUAUAUCUCUAUAACUCUAAACUCAUUUAAUUUUUUAAAAUUAUUUUUUAAAUUUAAAAUAUAAAUGUAAAAUAUAAAAUAAAUCCAUGUAUGUCAAUACUAGAUGGUUCCAUAUUAAACCUGUGAAGUGUAGAAAAUAAGCGGGAUUCGUAAAAAAUAUUUUAGAUAAUAACAUUGAAAAGUGAUAAAAAUAUUUUUUUUAAAAAAAAGAAAUACAUACUCGAGACACCAAGACCGGCACGCACAAACUCACACAUUUAUAUAUUAAUUGAGGGGGAAAAUGAUAUUCUAAGUAAUAUUGUUGACAUGUGAUAAAAAUUCUUUUUAGUGAAACAUUUUUGUAUAAAUACUAGUGAUAUUUGUAGAGAAAGUAGAAUGAAGUGAGAAAAACUUGAAUAUAAAUGCUCCAAUAUAAUUUCUCCCAUGCAAAUUAUGAACUAGUGAACUUUAAAGCAUCAUAAAAUUGUUUCAACAUAAGUAAUUAGUUUGAAAAAUUGCCAAUAAUGUUUAAAGUGGGAACGAAAAGAUUAUACUAUAUGAGACACGAUAUUAUUUAAGACAACUUACAAAUUACGGGAAAUGUAUUGAUCUUACAAAUAAUAUUUAAUAAGUACAAAUUUCAAAUUAAAUAAUAAACCCUUAAUUUCCUUUUAAUCAUAAUUAUGAUCUUAAUAAUUAAAGUCAUUCAAUCUUAAUCACUUUUUCAUUUUUUUAAACUAUCUAAAUGACAUUGAAAACUCUACUCAAUAUUAAUUUAUUCGAAUGUUCUGUUUCAAAAUAAUUGAAAACUGUAAAUGAAACAAAUGCUUGCAAUCACAAAUGGCCUAAAAUGGGAUUUUUAUUUUUUAAUAUUGCAAUGACUUUGAUCUUGAUAUUGGAAAUUUAUUUGUAACUUAUACUAAGUCUUCAAUUUUAUCAAAAUUAGUUUCUAGAGAUGCAUUUGCCAUACUGUGUAGUUGUAUUGUAUGAUGAUAUAUUACAUUAGAGUGCAUUGUAAUGAGAUGUAAUGCAAUACUAUUUUAUAUUAAUGUUAAAACUAAAUCAACCUUAUUUAAAUUUAUUAAUAUUUUAGGGUUUUAAUAGUAAUAUCUGAAAUUAAGUAUUAAAUAAUUAUUUUUAUAAUAUACAAAUUAUUUAAUAAUAUUCUACUAUUAAAUAAUAAAAUAUUACAAUAUUAUGUUAUAUUAUUAACAAUUAUUCUGUUAUAAUAUAAUUUAUUUUUAUAUAUUAGUUAUUAUAAUUUAUUAUAAUCAUAUUAUAAUAAUAUUAUAUUGUAAAAAUACAAUACUAUAUAAUUGUAUAAUAUAAUAUGAAUUAAUUUAUAACUUAACAUUAAAUUAUAAAUUUAUUUUAUUUAUUAAUGUCAAAUAUAUUUGUCUAAUUUAAAUUUGGUAUUUUUUUAAAAAUAAACUAUUAAAUAAUUAAAAUGAUUUUAUAGAAUAAAGUAAAAUAAUGUAUUAUUAUUUAUUAAUUAAAUAUUUAGGUUUAUUAAUAUACUAUAUUAUUAAUUAAAUUAAUGAAUAUUAAUUAAUAUAAAUAGUAUUAAAUAGUAUAUUAAUACUAUAUUAUUAAUAUACUAUAUUAUUAAUUAAAUUAAUGAAUAUUAAUUAAUAAUUUAAAUUUAUUAAAUAAUAAAUUUAAAUGAUUAUAUUUAAAAUAUAAAUAGUAUUUUAAUGUAAUAAAACCUAAAUCCCACAUGUAUACCACAUUUGUUAUACAGUGUAAUGCAACUAUAAAUUAUAAUUAUAUAAAAAUAAUAUUUUAAUACAAGUAUAAUGCCACUUGAGAAAUUGAUAUUUUAAUGGAACCAAAAUUUGCAUUUGGUUUGUGGGUCUCUCAAAAAAUAAUAAUAAAAACCAAUAUAAAACACUGAUUCUGUCCUCUUUAAUAUUUUUCUAAAUGCUUCCAUGGCAUAAUCUCAUUGGUCCAUUUUGUUUCACAGCUUAGAUUCAACUUCAAGAUUUUCAAUUUGAAGCAAGCUGUGGUCGACUGGCCGUGGCCAAACAAACGUGCCUCAUGGAGUCAUGGUGACUGAAUCAUCUCUUAUCUCAGAAUUUGAACUUAAACAAUUUGAACUUAGACUGUUUUUUUAUUGUCGAAGAUUCGCUUCAAAAAUUAGUAUUUUUUAGUGGAGUUUGCUUGUCUCGUAUCCUUCAAUUGUUGUUUGGUUCUGAAAAUAAUUUGUGAUUUAGGGAAUUUCGAUUAUCUGGUUUAGUUUGAGUGCAAUUUCCUCUAGUUACGGUUUCAGUGUGACGGAUUAAUUGCAAUUUCGAAUUUUUGAUAAAAUUUAAAUAUUUAUUUAUUUAUUUUGAGAAGGCUAGUGAUAAAAUUGGGCGGUUAUUAAUUAAUUGAUGGCUAGUGAUACUACAACGGCGGCCGAAGCUCCGGAAGAAGCGGAGGCGGUGGAGGAGUAUGAUAGCGAUCCAGAUGAAGUGAAACACUCUCUCGUGAUGCGCAGAAUGGAAGCAAGCGAUGAUGAGGAGGAGGUGGAGAAAGAAUUUGAGCGUCGAAUAGUUGGCGAUGAAUCUGAUGAAUCUGAUGCGCAGAAUGGAAGCAAACGAUAGGGCAGUUAAAGUCAUUGGCUGCACUCAAUUAUUAGAAGGUUGUUACAGAGGUAAGGCUGUUGCUGAGUAACAGUAUGCCAUGCUGGCAAGUUUGCUAUAGCAGAUUGCCAAGCUGGCACUAAUUAUUUUAAACUAAUAUUAGUAAUUAGUCUAGAGUGCUCUAAUUUAUUUUAUUCUAUAAAUAGCUCAUUUGAGCUUUGAACCUGUAACGUGUACUGUACUUUUCUAUUACCUCUAAUAAAGUUUUUCUCUGUUCUUUUUUCUUUCACUUUCUCUUCUAUUUUCCCGACCCUCAAACACCCUCAAUCGUUGAUUUUCUAGAGUAUUAGCUGUCUGGUUCUACAAACAUAGAACUGGUGUUUGUUUGUUUGUCUAAUUACCUUUAAGAAACAAUAUACUCCACCCUGCGGCCUCUUCGUUUAUUGACUUAUUACUUGUGAUCAAGGCUCAAUGAAGGGCAAAUAAGAUGUUGAGCCAAUCGGCCCAACAUCACAGAUCUUGAAUUGAUUGCCUCUUCUUUUCUCCACAAAUCUUUACUUAAUUGUUAUGUUUCCUCAACUUUUUUCCCCUUUUUGUGCUAAUUUUUUUUUUUGAUACUUUAUGCAAAAAUUAUGAUGAAAAUUAAUUAGUUUAGAACAUCAAUAAAUUUUUGUUACAUUCAAGAUAAGGACAAUUACACUUAGAUCACUCUUAUUUAGUUGAAUUAUAGGUAAUAAAAUUAGUUUUAACAAAAUAUGAUUCUUAACCCUCGUAAUUAAAGGCUCGUGUUAUUUGGUUUAGUUAUAACACCAUGCAACAGGUCGUCUUGGUGGGUUCAAAUUAAUAUACGAUCAUUCUCAAUUUUUAAUAGUUUGUAAUUAAAAAGCCCUACAUCACAAUUAGAAUUUGCAAACAUGCCAAAGUGAGUUAAGUCAAAACCUAUAAAUUUGAGGUCUACUACAAACUUCUGACAAAUUAAAUUUAAAACGAUUAAUUAAAUGCUAGACAAAAUUUAGCUUAUUAAUGUUCCUGACCACAUGAUGAAUGUACUUAAAACAUCCUAAUUGGUCACUAAUUGAUUAGUUAUUAUUUUUUCAAUUUCUUUUUAUAUAUCUUUGAAACUUCUAGUUUCCUAACAUAUUAUUUGCAAUUCGUGUAAAUUAUUAUUUUUUAAAUAUUAGAGCAACAACCAGUAUAAAAAUGAAAUGCACUCAUUUAAUGGAAAUUUUUCUAGAUGCUUCAAUGGCAGAAUCUCGUUGGUCUAUAACUCUCACGCCUUUGAUUCAAGAUUCAAUUUCAAACCAACGCCGAACAAACAGUAUAAACCUUAAUAAGUCUGUGGCUGUAGCCCAACAAACCUACUUCCGGCUCACCGAAUAAUCAUCUCUUACGUCGGAAUUUAAACUUAAACAAAGCUACAUCCCACGUGUCCCCAACUUUCUUCAUAUUUCCAUAAAACCCCUACCAGAUCCAGAUAAUUACCUUCACUCUUCUCGUAUAAAUAGAGAAGAUGAUGAUUCCUACAAAGCCACGUAAGUCAAGCGAACGUUACGGCCAUGGCACAUUGGAAUUGGAUCAAACCACCGGAAUGCAAAGCAAAAUUAACCAAAUAAACUAAAUUAGAUCCAACCAAUUGAAUCGGUUAAUGAAUCAGUUUAGUGUCACUCAAAAAACAAAUAAAUAUAUAAAACCACACAAUUAUCAUAUUAAUGGGGCACUUUUAUCAAACACUAUAGGAUCAACUAGUACAAAAUGAAUUCAUUUGGGAUACGUUUAACGUACUGUGCUAUGGUGUAUUGCAUUAACAUACAUUAUAUUAAGUUAUAAUGUUAUACUUUGAUAUAGUAUAAAUUGUAUUAUAUAAGGUAAUGUUUUAUAUUAAUGUUAAAACUAAAUUAAUAUUAUUUAAAUUUAUUAAUAUUUUAGGUUUUUAUUAUUAAUUUUUUAAAAUUAAGUAUUAAAAAUUAUUUUAUAGUAUAUAAAUGAGUUCAUAAUAUAUUAUUAUUAAAUGAUAAAAUAUUAAAGUACUAUGUUAUAUUAUUAAAAAUUGUUAUAUUAUAAUAUAAUUUAUUUCUAGAUAUUAAUUAUUAUAAUAUAGUAUAAUCAUAUAAUAAUAUAAUAUAAGUUAAUAUUAUAUUGUAAAAAUAUAAUACUGCACAAUUAUUUAAUAUAAUGUAAAUUAAUUUAUAAUAUAAUAUUAAAUUAUAAAUUUAUUAAAUAAAAUUAAAAUACUUUUUACGUAUUUAAAGUAAAAUAAUUAAAAUAAUUUAUGUAAUAGAAGUAUGAUAAUGUAUUAUCAUUUUCUCAUUAAAUAUUUUAGGUUUAUUAAUUUGUUAAAUUAUUAUUUAAAUUAAAAUUAAUUGUUUAAGUGUAAAUAUAAAUAUAAAUGAAUGUUUAAUAAAAUCUACUCCUAUGGAUCUAUUUUAUACACUUUUUAUUCUAUAAAUCACGCAUAUAAUGUAGUUGUAUAAUAGAAACUGGAUAUGUAAUGGAAGCCAAAUUGCGCACGGUUUGUGGGUCUGUCAAAAAAUGAUAAAAAGACCAAUAUGAUAGACUGACUCUGUCCUCUUUAAUAUUUUUCUAGAUGCUUCCGUGGCAUAGUCUCAUUGGUCCAUUUUUCUUCACGGCUUAGAUUCAACUUCAAAAAUCAAUUUGAAGCAAACACAACAAUUCAACAAAUAUAAUAAGCGUCGAUAAGCUUGUAGCUGACUGGCUGUGGCCAAGCAAAAUGUACCUCAUGGUUACCGAAUCAUAUCUUACGUCAGAAUUUUGAACUUAAACAAUGUUCUCAUUCCACGUGUCACUCUCUAACCAAUACCCAAACUUUUAUCAUAUUUCCAAAGAAACCCCUACCAAAUCAAGGUAAUUACCGUCACUCGGCUCAAAUAAAUGGUCUCCUCAAUUCAACUGAUGACGACAUAUCCUCAUAGUCUUUAUUUAGAAGGGGAAAUUAUAAAAAAAAGGGUUAUUUUUAGGAACUUUCCCUGAAGUUUAGUGUAUUAACAGUCUGAUAAAAAGUAUUUAUGUAAUUAUAAGUAUUUCCCUUAACAUUAGUAUAAAAAUACGUAAACGUCAGUAUAAAAAGGUAAACAAGUAAAAGUAAACUUGAAAUUUAAACAAAAUCAAAAUUCAAGCAAAAUAUGUUUCGAUGUCUGUGAAAUAGAGACUUAAACACACCAUUACCCAGUCCAAAGUCAUUAUCCAGUAGAUGAAAGAAAAUGAUUUUUUCACAAAGGGUACUUCUCCUCGUAAACACAGCUUACACUUGAACAAAACCCACCAUCAUUUUCAUCCAUGGAGAAGAAGCGUCUGCAACUCACAAAUAAUUUCUGAAAUCAUUGAUUUAUUUUCAUCUACUGCACAAGAUGACGUCGUGCGGUGGUCCAGAGCUUCCAAGAAGCGAGUAUUGCCAGCAUCUAGCAUCUACCGUGACUGGAAUUAGAUCGCAAGAAGAGGUCAGUCUUCGAAAACACAGCUUGCAUGCUUGAAUCAGUGGCUUACAAGAUAUUGUUGUUAUUUUAUUGAUUAAAAAUAACAAUGGGUCUGUUUUAAUGAAUGAAAAUGGUGUUGGAUGUUGUUUCUCUCUAGGGUUGUUAGUGUUGAGUUGAAAAAAACUAUUGGGUAAUGACUGAUAAGAGCAAUUUCCUAAUGAUUUAAGAGCUGUGUAAGUACUAGAUGUAGUUCAUCAAAGAUGGGUUUCGAUUUGCUUAUAAUCUGAUAAUCUUUUAGAGAACCCACAGUGGUUUAUGUGAUUGUUCAGUUUGGGGUCAUGACACUAAUUGAGUUGUGUGCUAGUUUCGGUUUGUGCAUGCCUUUGGUGUUCUUUUGCCUUAUUGUUGUAAUUCCUUCAAUAAUUUGGCGGUGUUGUUUUUUUUUUUUUUUUUGAGAAGGUAAUUUUGUAUUUGCUAAAUAAUGUGAUUGUAAUCAGAGGUAACUUAAGUAUAUUGUUCUACACACAAUUUUUGCUCCCACGUGAGAUGUUCUCUGUGUUUUUGUCUAAGGCUUUUGUUUGUUAUUCAAACUAGAAAAUAGUGGAUGCAAGACUAUGAAUUUGGCAUGUGAUAAACUUUGAAAUUGCCCUUUUUCUAGAUUAAAAAAUAUUGACUUGCCAUUUUCCUUGUUUGAUUCUAAUUUUCAAACAAGUGUGCCGAAAUCUUAAGUUCGAUUACAUGUUGUUUAUUGUAUUUCUUAUUUCAAAGUCUGUAAUCUAUCUGCGUGCAUCAUUUCAGAAGAAGAAUAAGCAGCUGCAGCAAGUCCAUUAGUUUAGGUGUUCCGAGUAUGACAGAGAUGAUGCUCUAGAUCCAGGUUUGAGGCACCAACAAAACUCGAAGAUAUCAAUUAUAGAGUGGGAUUUUCAGGACCUGAAAUCCAAUUUAAUAUUUACUUGAUCUGGGUUUAAAUAUGGAUGGAGCAAAGAUUGGUAUCAGAAGGGUUUUAUUGUCGGUGCCAACGCCUGUACUAUCAAGUUUACAAUAUGAAAAUCAUUUCUUUUAAUAGCUCUGCUCUUGUGGCAUGUAUUAGUUAUGAAGUAGUUUGUAAUAAAAAAAAAAUCACAAUAAUAAUAUGCAUGCAGGAUGCAGCUAUGCCGCCACACAUUAUUUCAAUUUUUUUAUUAUUUUGCAAUGUCAAUUUUUUUAUUAUUUUGCAAUGUCAAUUUUUUUAUUAAGCAAUUUCAUUUUUUUAUCCAAUGGAUAUUUUCAUCUUCUUAAGUAAUUUGUGAUUUUGGCACGAAUUACCCAUCAGUUCAUCAGCGAAUAAAGAAAUAUUUUGACAGGAAGGGUAUUUUUGGAUUUUCAAUAGUCAACUAACAGUCCACUUAACAGAAUACAAAUGUCAGGGGAGGUCUUUGUAAUUACGUGAAUACUUUCUAUCAGAAUGUUAAUACACCAAACUUCAGAGGAGGUCCUUAAAAAUAACCCUAUAAAAAAAUCCCCUCGUUCUCUAAAAAUAUGAGGUUUUCUCAAGAAUAGCUAAACCUCCAUCACAAUCCUGAAAAAUCUCAAUUUAACCUCUCUAGGGUUUCGAUUGUCGGGGAUUCGCUUCAAAAUUUUGUAUUAUUUUAGUGGAUUUUGCUUAUCUCGUAUCCUUCAAUUGUUAGUUCAGUUCUGAUAAUAAUUUGGAAUUCAGUUUGAAGGGUUAAGCGCAAUUUCGAAAUUUUUUAUACAAUUUAAAUUAAAAUUGAUAGAACAAUUGGGCGGUUAAUAAUUAAUUGAUGGCUAGUGACACUACAACGGCGCCCGCGCCCGCAGCUCCGGAAAAAGCGGAGGCGGUGGAGGAGUAUGAUAGCAAUCCAGAUGAAGUGAAACGCUGUCUUGUGACGCACAGAAGGGAAGCCAGCGAUGACGAGGACGUGGUGGAGGAGUACGAGAGCGAUCCAGAUGAAGUGAAACACUCUCUCGUGAUGCGCAGAAUGGAAGCAAGCGAUGAUAAGGAGAAGGAGGAUAAAGAAUUCGAGCGUUGAAUGAACCGUAGGGUCCACAUUCAUUCUUACGAUGAAUCUGAUGGCCAAGGUGGUGUCCAGCUGAGUAUGAUGAUGAUCACCUCUCUCGACCAGUUCAGGUUCAAGGGAAGGGUGCUCGAGGGGUACUUGUCUUGUUUAUCAUUUUUGUUUAAUUUUCAUAAAUUCGACGACCCACAAUUCAAUUAUGAGUGAAGAGUUUGUUAAAAAACUGUGGUCUUCCAUUUACUAUAACUAAGUCCGUGUGAUGUAAUUAUUUUUCUGUCACUUAAAUGUCUUGAAAAUUAUGAAUACAUUGUAGGAUUUAGAAGGAUUCUAAAGUUUUAAUGCAUAUGGGUUUUUUAUGUCCAUCCACUUAUGCGUAUGCUGCAUUUUAUGAUUAUCGUAGUUGGUAGAUUGACAAAUGGACCUUAAUUACAAGUCAAAUAACCUAAAUACUUAUCGGCCAAAGGAAGCCAUUUAUAGUAAUUUCUAGUGAAGCAAAGUAAAAUGAUUCAUACUGGCAAAGAAAAUUGGAAAAGAAAAGGAGGAUUACUGAUCCACACAGUGUCGUUUACUAAAGGUACGUUGAUCUUACACUUAAUUUAUUAUAUAUCCAUUUAUAAUGUUCAAAAUGAUAAUGUACUAUUUCUUAAAUUAGGCUUUCAAAACAUCAUUUUGAUAAUGCAUAGUUGUGAUGUGUCUCUAAAUUCAGUAAUACAAGUUCUUUCCUGUUACUAAUGGAUGAAGUGACUUGAAAUAGUUUAAUAUUUAUUUGCAGUAAAAAAGUUGAAAAAGGAACUAACAAUUUACAUGCGUUUUGCUGAAAAUUUAGUUAGUUUCAUUUGAAACUUGCAUGGGCAUUAAAUGCUGGCAUAAUCUCUUUGACUUCUCUUGCAUUUGAAUGAAUGGAUCAGUGUUAAUGCAGGCAAAGAUUUUCUGGACUUUCAUGGAUGCACAAUAAAUGCUACGUCAAAGGCCUGGUAAGAUGUCAGCAAGCUGGUCGAAGAUAUCAACCUGAUUUGGUGGCUGCAAGAUUUGUUCAUCCAGGAUCGUUUUCUUUGACAAUGAGAAAGCCCCAAUGUCUAUAAAUUGAGAACUCACUGAAUUGUAGAGAGAGAGAGGAAAGUGAAUAACGGGAGAGCCAGUGAAAAGAGAGUGUGGGAAGAUUUGGGUGUAAUUGGGGUUUGGGUGUGAGAUAAAAUAAUCAGAGAGUGGUUGUAAUAAUUUUUUAUAUAGUGAAAUUUUUUUGUCUCGUUAUUUUUUGCAGUGGUGGUUUUUUACUCUAAUAAAAGAGUCUUCCAAGUAAAUUUUGUGUGUUAUGAUUGGGAUAUUCACCAUUUUAGUUUUCUAUUUAUUAUUUGUUUUACAUAUUGCUAGUAAAAAUCUGGGGCGGGAACCGAAAAUUCCCAACAAUUAUUAAUUAUUUUAAACUCUGUUCUGAACAGUGCAUGAAGGAUCAUAUUCACUUCACUUCACUUCACUUGAUUUCAUCUUGUCCCUCUCCUUUAUAAAAGUUGCAUAUAUUGGAGUAUCAAGUUCAUCACAAGGAUCAUAUUCUGGCUAACGAAGGAGCACAGUUCAUUGGCUGCACUCAUGUGUAGCAAAGUAUUUGGAUUCAAGACUGUUAGAAGGUCGUUACAGACGCAAGACUGCUGCUGUGUAACGGUAUGCCAUGCUGGCAAGUGGGGCAGUGCGCUAUAACAGAUUGCGGAGGUAGCACCAAAUAUUGUGAACUAGUAUUCGUAAUUAGUGUAGAGUGUUCUGAUUUAUUCAUUUGUGCUUAAAACCUACAUGUAUUGUACGUUUCUAUCGGUAAUUUGUUCUGAUUUUUUUUUGGGGCCAAUUGCAGUUUUGAUAACAACUAAAAUCUGUGUGGUCCGGUUACCACAAAGCCUAUAAUGAUUGCAAUUACUGUAUGAUCAUUUCCCCAACUAUUAUUUGAAUAAUUGGUCCAGUUACCACAAAGCCUUGCCCCAGAUCCCUGCCAUUUUCUCCUCCACCUCCAUUUGGGGAAAUUACUACUUACUUUUUGCAAGUUUUUUGUGAAAUAUUUAUUUUGAGAAGAAAACCAACAAUACAUUUUAUGAUUUGGGCUGUUUCAAAGAUCUUCGCUUGAUGUCUCUGCUACUGGUUUUCAGCAGAGUGCCCAAAAAUAGUUUUCAGCAGUACAAAAAGUAUAUAUUUUGUACCUUCCAUACAUUUUGCUUUGUUAAUGUUAUUAUUUGAUAACAUGUUUGUCGAGUUGCACAGUGUAUAAAUGCUAUACAAAUACACUCCUUUCAUUUUAUACAACUUUGAUUGAUCAAGUUGUAUCUCUUUGAUAAUAUGUUCUAUCUCCUUUCAUUUUAAACUUCAAUUGAGUUGCUAUCUAUUUAACUUUGGCAAGUCAGAGAGAGGGAUGGGACUGUCCAAUUAAAAUUAAGUUCCAAGUGCCAAUCCCACCAUUGUCGUCUCUUGUUUGCCAAAUUCAAAUUUGAAAAUCUCACCAAGUCAGUAUGGUGAUGUUGUGGGAUUGUCUGGCCUAGGUUUUUAGCCUCAUGAACUCCUUUAUUAGAAAAAGUCUUAAGUGUUCUUACUCAAUGGUAGAAUCAUAAUUUUACUUCAAUGGAAGCCAUAAUGAUUAAAAUAUACUCUUUUGAUUAAUUACUUAUUUGAUGUUGCUCUCUCUACCUUCAUCUCCUUCUUUAUGAAAAAUUUAUUGUAAUACAUGGAAGUAUAUAUUGCAUUGAAUAAAAUGAAAUUGUUCAAAAAUUAACAAAUUCAGCUUUAUUAUAAUCUAAAACAAAGUAAAUAAAAUAAUACCCAUCAUGUAAAAAUAAAAAAAUAAAAAUUUUUGUACCACUUUGAAUCUAUUUUAAAUUUUUUUGGUCAAAUCUCAGAAGCACAAACUUUGAACAAUAAUAAUAGGUAAAAACUAAUAAUCUUAUAAUAAAAAGUAAGAAAAAAAUAAAGUUGAUUUAGCAUGUAAGAAUAAAAAAAGAAAAAUAGAAAGAGAGAGAAAUUAGCUUAGGCUUUAACUAUUGUUAUAGUAGAGAAGUAAUUUUAUGACCUUUUAGAAAUGAGUGAAUUAAAAUAGUAAGUUAUAAUUUGAUAACUAUCUUAAUUAAAAAAGUGGGUGUUGAAAUAAAAUUAAUGGAUUCAAAUAGCCCACCCAAAAUCCAAAAUUGCAUACCAAUUAUUUUCUAAUUUACAUAAAGUUCUUCUAUUUUUUUUUUAUAACAUUUGAUUCUCAAUUGGUCUAAUGGAGAAACAACCAGCAAAAAAAUAAAAAAUAAAAAAUAAAAAAUAAAAUGAAUGCAAUUAAACCGAAAUUCGUAAAAGAGCCGUAUGACAUUUAUGUGCAAGCAAAAUUGCAUUCUGUUUAUGGGAUCCUGGAAAAAAUAAAAGAAAGAAAACAGAGUAAGACGCUUUCGCUGUGGGCUUUAAUAUUUUUCUAGAUGCUUCCAUGGCAGAUUCUCGUUGGUUGAUUUUUCUUUACGCCUUAGAUUCUAUGAUUCAAUUUCAAUCAAAUACGACAAACAAAAGAAGCUUUUAAGCCUGCAGCUGAAAUAGAUGGUACUUUAAUUUUCAGCUGAACAUAUAUAUGGUAAGAUUAUUAUUAUUGAGCUUGAUGAGGCUAUAGAAAAUUCAAUAUCGAGAUCGGAUAAGGGUCCAAUAAAUUAUAAAAAUAAAGCAGCUCAAAGCCCAUAUGAUCAUGGGCCAGGCCACUACUUGCUCAUGCUUUGAAUCAAAAUUAGUGACGUUGGAAGCUGAAAGGGGCAAAUGAUGAAAUGGGGUUCAUCAUAUAGUAUGCCCAACGGGGUAAGAUCAUCAUUUAAUUGCCUCCUCCUCUUGUCGAUAGAUAUUUGCCUAAAUUUUUCUAUUUAAAAAAUAUUAUAUUGGUUAGUAUAAUUAGAAGUUUUACAAAAUAUAAGUAUAAUUUUUAAAAAAAAUUAUAUUUGUUAAUCUAAAUUUACAUCCAAGAUCACGACAAUUACACUUAGAUCACUCUUAUUUAGUUGAAUUAUAUAUGUAAUAAUGUUGGCUUAACAAAAUAUGAUUCUUGAUCGUUGUAAUUACGAGCUGGUAUUCUUUGGUUUUAGUAGUAGGGCUUAUAACGUUGUGCAACAGUUCUUGGUGGGUUCGAAUUAUUAUACGAUCAUUCUUAGUUCUUUACGAUACGUAAUUAAAAAUUCUUAUAUCACAAUUAGAACUUACAAACAAGUCAAAGUGAGUUAAAUCAAACGUAUAAAUUCGAGGUCUAUUACAAACUUCUAAAAAAGAUUUUCUUUGUUCUUUUUUCUUUCACUUUCUCUUCCAUUUUGCCAAUCCCCAAACACCGCCAAUCCUUGAUUUUUUAAGUAUUAGCUGUCAAUUUCUACAAACAUAGAACUGCUGUUUGUUUGUCUAAUUACUUUCAAGAAACAAAACUGUUUGUCAUGUGGUCUCUUCGUUUAUUGGCUUGUGAGCAAAUAAGAUAUUGGGCCGAUGGGCUUAACGUGACAAGUUCUUGAAUUGAAUGGCUUCUCUUUUUUUCAUAAAUCUUUGCUUAAUUUUUUUUGUUCUCUCAACCUUUUUUGGCCUUUCGCGCUAAAAUUCUUUUUUUGAUACAUUAUGCAAAAAUUAUGAUGAAAAUGAGUUACUUUAGAACAUCAAUAAAUUUUUAUUACAUCUAUAAUAAGACAACUAUAGUGAGAUUAUUCUUAUUUAGUUGAAUUAUAUGUAAUAAAAUUAGUUUAACAAAAUCUAACUCGUUAGUAUUCCAUAUCACAUGAUUAACGUAUUUAAAAAAUCUUAGUUGUUCCGUCGCUUGUUUUACAAUUCUUUUAUAUAUCUUUGAAACUUUCUGCUUUCUGACACAUCAUAUUGUUCUCAAUUCGUCAAAAUUAUUUGUUUCUUCAAACACUGCAGCAACAAUCGGUAUAAAAAAGAAUGAACUCAUUUAAUGGGAAUUUUUCUCAUUGGUCUAUUUCUCUUCGCACCUUAGGUUCCUCUAACAAACUUAAAAGAUGUUCCCCAUCCCACGUGUCUCCAAAUCUUCGUAUUUCCAAACAAACCUCUGCCAAAUAGAGAAGAGGAUGGCUUUUAUUGCAAACUGUAUGAGCGUUAUGGCCAUGCAUGGGACAUUGGAUCCAAAUGAAACCAAUGGAUUGUAAAGCAAAAUUACCGAUUAAAAAUUCAAACAAUUGAAUCGGUUUGGUGUCACUUAAAAAAAUAAAUAAUAUAUAAAACAACACAAUUAUCAUAUUAAUGAGCCACUGUUAAAUUCAUUCAGUCAGUAUUUUUCUUUUCCCAUUUUCAAUGAAUGCUUAAUAUGGAAAACAAUAUGUCCCAUUGAGCACUGUUUAAAUCAUUCCCUAGUUUGUUUAACACGCAAAGAAUAUUCUUAUUCAGCUCGGCAGCCAAUCCGUUAAAAUUUAUUAAAAUUCAUUUAAGUGAUGACUGUGAUAUGACUCGAUCAAUCGUUUAAUUUGUAUAAUUUAUAAAAAUUUGAGCUUCAAGUAAUGUAGAUAGAAUGGUUAAUUAUUUUAAUAUUAAGAUAAAUUGAUAUAUGUCAUUAUAUUAUGAGUGGAUGAAAUAUCCAAUAGAAAAAAAAAUGUUUAUAUUCGUCAUUUUUAGUGGGAAUCUAUUUAGUGUAACUUAUCCAUAAAAAUGGUUGACGACUUAUCUUGGUUCUCAUUUUGUUUAAUUUUCAUAAAUUUGACUAAUGAUUAAUUGUGAGUGAGUGGGGCUAAUUAUCCGUGGGGCGGCAUCAGUUGCUGCUUGAGUGGAGCUGCGCUUUAUCCAUAAAUCUGGUCUUCCAUUUAUUUUGUAGGAUUUAAAAGAUUAAAAAACUUUAAUACAUAUAAUUUUAUGUUCGAAACUAAAUACUGGUAGCAUUGCUGCUUCUAUAAAUAACUCAUUUGUGCUUCCAACAAUAAUUCACGUUUUUGUUUCUCUUCAUAAAGAUUUUCUUUUUUUUUCUUUUUUCCAUUCACUUUUUCUUCCAUUUUCCCGACUCCCAAACACCACUAAUCCUUGAUUUUCUAGAGUAUUAACUGUCCGUUUCUACGAACAUAGACCUACAGUUUGUCUAAAUACUAUCAAGAAACAACGUACUCUGUCGCGGGAUCUCUUCGUUUAUUGACUUUUGACUUGUGAACGGGGCUAAUUAAAGGGCGUUCCUUUCUUCAAGAAAGAAUGCAAAGAAAGUACUAUCCAUGAGACACGUUAAAAAUUAUUUUACAUAAAAAAUGAUAAUAAUCAUAAUAAUCGGUUAAGGAUCGACAAAAAUGUUAUAACCUAUAAAGCAUGGAUAAUUAAUUAAUGGGAAUGCACCUCUCAUCUUUACCAUUCUCUUUGUCAUUUUCAUAAUUCAGCUGUUUAUUAAUAAAGUGAAUAAAUUUAUCUUUUAAUAAUAUGUUUCUUGGCUGUUUUUUUGUGUAUUUUUGUGUACAAUUUUGUGUGCAAAUAGCAUUAUUCAUUAGUAAUUAGUUUGGAGUAGCUCAUUUUGAGCUUAGGACCUGUAACUAGUAUUUUAUGUUUCUGUUAAUCUUUAAUAAAGAUUUUCUCUAUUUUUUUUCCCUUUCACUUUCUCUUCCAUUUUCCCCGACUCCCAAACACCACCAAUCCUUGAUUUUCCAGAGUAUUAGCUCUCUAUUUCGACAAACGCAUAACUGUUGUUUGUCUAACUACUUUCAAGAAAUAACGUAGUCUGUGGUUUAUUGACUUGCGAACGGGGCUAAUUAGUCACGGUCCGAUUGUCUGACUUCUCCAUUGACUCGGUCAAUUCACGACCUUGACCUGUACAGUUGAUACAAACGGACUUCUCCAUUUGAGGUGUACAAAACUUUCUUGAGUCAUUUUGUUUGGUGAUGAUGAAUUGGAUGUCAGUUCAUGAGUUUCAUGAUGAAGAGGACCAAAAACAUUAUUUUAUUAUUUAAAGAAGACUAACAAUUAUUUCGAUGGUCAUUUUAUUUUUUAUUUUUAAAUAUCCAAGGUGCUUGACUUCUUUACACAGAAUUACAAAGCAAAAUAAUUAAGAAACUAAAUACUCGUCAUCCAAGUGAGAAGAGAUUGGGUUGUUGAUACAUUAAAUAAAAGAAAAAUCAAUUAAAAGCACAACAAUUCAAUAAUUUCAUUCUCAAUCAUAUAAAAAAUAAAAUUUACUGUACAUUGUUGUUCGGUUCUGUAAAAAAAAAAAAUUAUUAGGGAUUUGCAGUUUUUUUUAGUGUAAUUUUCGUUAAUUACAGUUUGGUCUGAAGGGUUAAGCACAUGGAUCAUAAUCAUAUUAUGGCCUAAGGAAGGAGCACAGUUCAUUGGCUGAACUCAGUUUACAGAAUAUUUUGGGAUUCAAGACUUCAGGUUGUUAAAAAUGCAACUUGCAAGGCUGUUGCUGCGUAACUGUAUGCAAUGCUGGCAAGUGUGCUAUAACAGAUUGUUGAGAUAGCACCAAAGAUUGUAAACUAAUUAGUACUGGAAAAUCCUAUUUGCACAAACAAUUGCACAAAAUAAAUAGAAUGAGAAUACUUAUGCAAAAAAAAUAAGAUUAAUAAAGUGAAUAAAUUUAUCUUUUAAUAAAAUAUUUCUAGUCUUUUAGUGUUUUCGUGUAUUUUUGUGUACGUGCAAAUAACAUUACUCAUGAGUAAUUAUGUUUUACGUUUCUAUUAUUUUCUAAUAAAGAUUUUAUCUGUUUUUGUUUUUUUCCCCCCUUUGAACGGGGCUAAUGUUGGUCUAACUGCUUUCAUGAAACAACGUACUCUGCGGUUAAAAUUAAUUGAUCAUUUUAUUUGGUGAUAAUGAAUUGGUUGUCAAGUCAUGAGUUUGAUGAUGCACAGGACGAAAAACGUUAUUUUAUUAUUUAAAAUAUGACUACCAAUUAUGUUGAUGGUCAUUUUAUUAUUUAAAAUAUGCAAAUGGAAUCUUACCGAACUAUAGUGCUUGACUUCUUCAUACAGUGCUUGACUUCUUUGUACAGAAUUAUAAAGUGAAAGAAAUUACGAAAUUAAAUACUUUUCAUGCGAGUGGGGGAGAAAUUCUGUAUAUUUAUGAAAUAACUAUUGAUUUCACUUCGGUAAUUACUUUUUAAAAGUAACGUAAACAUUUUUAUUUUAUUUGCAUUCGAGCUUUCUUUCUUUUUCGCUGGCCUUUACUCUUGACCGUAUUUUCAUGGGGCAUAUUCAAUCUGAAUCCUCUGCAAGUUUGUGGCAGUUUGGUUAGUUACGAACUUUUGUAGAAUUGCAUGAAGAUGACGCUUUUAUAGACAUUUUUUCUUUUUUCUUUUUUUCUUCAGUGAACAUAUUAAAAAUUUAGUUUUUUGUCAUCAUGACUAGAACAGUAAAAUGAAAAUAGUCCUCAUUUCGACGAUUGACAAAAAUGUUGUACUCAUACCGAUUAAUGGGACACUGAUUUCGUCUUCUUAAAAAAUUAUUAUUGCAGUGAGGUAAUUGGAUCGAAGAUGGACGAUUUCCAUAUUUGCCUAACCUAAGUGAUAAGAAUUUUCAUAUGGGACAUAAUCUGAUUUGUUUUGCUUGACUGUAUUCCAAGAGACAGUCAUAUCUACUAAAUGAAACAAAUCUUGCUUUUCUAGAGAAAUAAUGCAAUAUGCAAUUAUGCAUGAAGGUGCGCAUCCAUGUGAGAAAGUUGACGAAAGCUUCUUUUUCAGUAUUGUUGGAAUAAUGGUAUCGAUUGGAAUUGUAAGGAAAGAGGUCUUCGAGUCGUGGACAGCUGAACCGAAGAGAGCAGAUGAAUGCCCUUUGCAGAAGCAGGAAAUAAGCUGCCUAAAAGUAAGCAUUAGAUGAAUGCCCGAUCGAACACCACUAAUUCCAACAAUAUAUCAAAAAAAAUCUUUGAGUUUAAGGAAUUAAUUUUUUAAAUAUUUGAUAUAUGUCAUGUUCUGACUUAGUACAAGAAGAAAAUUAUAGAAUUUUUUUUUAAAUUAAUGGAAUUAUUUUACGAUAAAACAAUCACAAUCACAAUUAAAAAUAUUCUUUAAAAUUUCACUAUUUCUACUGUUAUUCUUUAAACUCUUUCUGAACAGAGCAUGAAGAGUCACUUAUCUAAAUAUGUUUUUUUUGUGCUUUCACUUCACUUGAUUCAUCUUAUCCCUCUUUUAUAGAACCUGCAACUCGUAUUUUACGUUUCUGUUACUUUCUCUUCCAUUUUCCCAACUCCCAAACACCAUCAAUCCUUGAUGUUACAGAGUAUAUUAAUUAAUUAAUGGGCCACUAAUUCUUCUUCUUAAAAGAAAAUUUUUGUAGGGAAAUUGGAAAAAAGGCUAAUUCAAUUUAAUUUUGAUAGGUGCGACAGAAGGAUAGGACCGUCCAAUUAAAUUGCAAGUGGGCAUUCCCACCAUUCGUGUCUCAUGCUUGUCAUAUUUAAAUUUAAAAAUCACACCAUGUCAGUAUGGUGAUGAUGUGGAAUUGUUUCACCGAAAUUUUUAUUUCGAUGGUGGCCAUAAUAAUUAGACUACUGAUUAAGUUGGUUGUGACAUAAAAUCAACGUUGUAUAAUUUUUUGGAUAUUAUCUCAAUUUUACUUCUGUAGGUUUGUUUUUUUGUAUAUUAUCUCAAUUUUUAAAAAAAUGUAAUUGCAAUUAUCAAACACGACUAAUCCCAACAAUUUAUCCAAAAAAAUUUUAUGAUAGAAUUGGCUAAUUUUUUUAAUCGACUUUCUGGAUAAAUGAUAAUUUUUUUGAUAGAAAUGUUACUUAAGUAUUACAGGAAGAAAAUUAUAGAAUAAUUUUUUGAAUUAAUAGUAUUACUUUACGAUAACACUAUCACAAUCUAAUUUUAAAAAAAUAAAGUUAUUCUUUAAAUUUCGCAUUACUAUUCCUACUUUUCUUGUUAUACUACUUAAUGGCACUGGUGAAGCCUCGAAUUAUCAAACAAAAAAGCAAAAAUAGUUCAAUAUCUGCUGUCCCACUGAGCAUUGUUAAAUUCAUACCAUAACAUGAGUACUUAUAUUAAAAAAAACAAUCGGUCUCAUUGCGUGCUCUUUCAUUGACAUAGGCAAUUUGCUGUCAACUUGUGGCACUUUUAUGAAUUUUCAAGACGGGUGAAUUUUUCAAAUUUAAAAGAAAAAAAUACAGAAAUGUAAUUUCAAUUUAUCCAAAAAUUUGAGUUUCAAGGAAUACAACAUUUAUUAUAUGUCAUGUUAAUAUAGAGAAGAAAAUUUUAAAAACUUCUUUUUGGAUGAAUAAAAGUAUUUUCUGAUAAAUAUUUCACAAUCAAAUUUAAAAAAUUUCACUCCUCUUGGUACAUAAUUUAAGAAUUUAAGAUUAUAAAUUAAUCUUUUUAAUCAAAGUAAUAAUCUCUCCUCGGUCUGCAAAUGCUAAAAUUUAAUAUUAUAUCCAUUGACAAUAUUUGCUCCAAAUUCACGAAAAUAAAAUUUCUAACAAAAUUAUGGAAUUCGUUACUAGAAAUUUGUAUAAAAGUUGUGAGAAUAGAAGGUUUGAUCAUAGGAAAUUAAUAUAUCCCUAUCCGAUGCAAAAAUGAUUGUAAAGAAAAACAAAAGUCAUGGGCUUAUUUAGAAAAAAAGAAAAAAUUACAUUCCAUUUUCCAGUUAUUAAAGUAAUUCUAAAAUCGCUAGGAUCACAAAGGAUAAGUUUUGGUUGACUGAGGUCAGCCUUAACGCAUGCCGGUCUUUUUCUCCUCUACAUUCUUAGAAAUUUUGGUUUCACUAUAAAUACUCGGUAUAUAGCAAACUUAUAAGUGUUCUUGCAUUACCAAUCCAACUAAGCACACGCUUACAAUAUAAAUACUCUCAUCUCAUGGAAAGAGCUCAUUCUCUCAUGAUGAUGAGCAGAUUUCUCUUACUCCAUUGUUUGAUUCUUAUUUCCUUAUUUAUCGCGGCAGCAACAGCCAACACAAGUUCUACUAUCACGGACCAAGAUGCUCUGUUGGCCCUGAAAGCUCACAUAACUCAUGAUCCGACCAAUUUCUUGGCCAAGAAUUGGAACACAAGUACUCCUGUCUGUAAUUGGACAGGCGUCGCUUGUGAAGUCCAUAGCCAGAGAGUCACAGUCUUGAAUAUUUCAAGCUUAAAUCUCACAGGCACCAUCCCUUCUCAACUUGGGAAUCUUUCUUCUCUGCAAUCACUCAAUCUCAGUUUUAACCGACUUUUUGGUUCCAUUCCCUCCGCCAUCUUCACCACAUAUACACUGAAAUAUGUUUGUCUCCGUGGAAAUCAGCUCUCCGGCACUUUCCCUUCUUUCAUCUCCAACAAGUCUUCUUUACAACAUCUUGAUCUUAGUAGCAAUGCACUGUCUGGUGAAAUUCGUGCAAAUAUUUGCAGUAAUCUUCCUUUUCUGGAGUACCUUGCUUUCUUCAAAAACAUGUUGCAUGGCGGCAUACCGUCCACGCUAUCAAAUUGCACAUAUCUGCGAACGUUAGAUUUUUCAUACAAUGAUUUCUCGGAGGCCAUACCUAAAGACAUCGGCAAUUUGACCAACCUUAAGGAAUUAUAUCUUGGCCGUAACAGACUCCAAGGUGCGAGUAAUCACGGAGUUUAAUUAUGAAAAUUGUUCCAUAAGUUGUAUUAUGAAUAAUGUUCCAUAAGAUAAUUUGCACGCGUUGAUUAAUUUGCAGGAGAAAUUCCUCGAGAAUUUGGCAAUCUUCCCGAAUUGGAGCUGAUGUCGUUAGCAGCAAACAAUCUCCAAGGUAUGAUUAGAAACUUUUUGCAAUUUUUUUCUAGCCUCUGCUUGCUUCUGUAUUCAUUCGUUUGUUCAUUAAUUAUGCUAUGAUUUAUUGUUUUUCUUUCAGAUGGAGAUAAAGCUCCAUGUCUCUCCUCACUCAUUUCAUUUCUUAAUUUAUGCAGAUAAAAAAAAAAUUGUUUUGUAAUUUUCUUUUGUCAUAUUGCCACUUCCGUUUUGAAGCUCCCAAUUAAGUCGAUGAAAAUGAAUGAUGUUUCAUUCUUAUUCUUGUCAGCCUAAUUCUUAUAUAAUUGAAGAGUAAAUUGUUAUUAUGAUAUUCGUCAGCCAAUAAAUUCUUUUUUUUUUCCCCCCAAAUAUGAGUGAUCAAAUUGUUUGCGCAUAUAUAUAUGUACUUAAUUUGCAGGAGGUAUUCCACACGAAUUGGGGAAUCUUGCAAAAUUGGAGAUCUUAGAGCUGUUCGAGAAUAACUUGACCGGUAACUUUCUUUACGAUAUAUAUAUGAGACAUCUUCCGCUUCUUAAUUAAAAGAUUUCAAGUCUCUCAUUAUAAAAUAUAAAUUCUCAUAUGAGGAUGUGUAGUUAUCACUAUCUAACAUUAUUCCGUUUUUUAUUAGAAAUUAGUUUGUGUUAACUCAAAAUUCCAUAGCAUUUAAAAAAAAAUUAAAAACACGUAGAAUAAAUCGUCAAUCUUUCUUCUUUACUGAAUUUGGAUUUCUCAAAAAUUAUCUGCACAAGUAUGGUUCACUAAUGAUAUACAUGUGUGACAACUUCAUAAAAUAUUUCACUAAUUAUCUUUAAAUAAUUGGAGAUACCAUCAGUGAUACAUAAUUUCCUAACAAGCACCAUACCAAAAGAAAUCAACAAUUUUUUUAAUAUUAAAGAGUUACAUCUUCACUGCAAUUAUGGCAUAAUUUUUCAUCUAAAAAAAUUUUUAGUCAUCAAUCGCAUAAUAUUUUAUCUUAACGGUUGAUGUUCAAUCUUGGAAUUUAUAAUAUCUUGAAGGUUAGUAGCUAUUAAAAUUAGAAAUUGUUUAUUUGCUAAAAAGUUAACUUAGUGUUUAAGCUUUUCAAUUGAAAAUUUUGAAACAAAUGUUGAGAACUGGUCCUCCUUAGAAUUUCAGCGGAUAAAUAUGAAAAUAGACUUGAAAAAAAAUUAUUUUACUGAAAUAAUAGUUAAAAAGAGAGGAGAAGUACAGUACUCAUGACUUGGGCUUGCUGUGUCCUUAUUUUAUCUGACUAUUGGUACUAAUAAUAUUUAUAAUUACUUAGUAAAAAUAUAAAUUUAAUACUUUGUUAACAUUUUAUCUACGUAUAAUAAUUAAACUGAAACUUGUAUUUAAAACAUUUGAGUUACGUAUACUCAUUUCAUGACAUAAAAGUGUAUAUUUAUACUAAUUUACCAUUAUCAAUAAAAUGCUUUGAGACAAAUAAUCUAAUUUAUAUUAUUAUAUUUAAAAUACUUGCUUUUAUUAUAUUUUGAAAAAAAAUUAUUUGCAAUUAUUUUAAACCUUUGGAUUCAAUUUUUCUUAGUUAUAAAUGUAAAAUAGUCAAAAACAUAUUUGUAUGAUCAUUUUUCAAUGUAUAAAUUUUCUUGGUUAGUAGGAAAAUUAGAAAUUGUUGAUUUACUCAUAAAUAAAUUUAGUCUUUAGCAUUUCAAUUUUGGAAAACUUGAACUAAUUGUUGAUAACUUCGAAUCGGUCGAGCUUCGCUUCGCUUCCUUGUCCCACGGGCCUAUUGAAAGUUCUAUUUGAAUUGAGCUUCUUUUCAGCGUCACCACAAUUUAUUCACAAAUGAGUUGAUUAGAGUCGAAGUUGCCUGAGAGUCUAAGACCAUGUUAGUAGGAUAAAUUUGAAAAGAAAUUAUUUUACUGAAUUAAUUUAUUUUAUCUUGCUGUAAUUGAAAUACUACUCUUUUUUUUUGGGCUAUCACUGGGGCUUGAUUUACUUUAAGAGUCGCAGCCACCGACUUAGGCUUUUUUACUUCUCACCACACAAUUUGAUCUUUUAAUUCGUUUUAACCACAUAAUCUAUCUAUCUCUUACUUAAAUCGAAUACAUGUUUUACCUACUAAUUUUUACAAAUAUUAAUCAAAUAUAUUUUAUUACAUUUCUCUCGUAACUGCUCUAAAUGUGCACUAUUAAUACUUAACCCUCCCUUUUAAUUUACCGUGCAAUCUAUCUACACUUAAAUCACAUAUAUAUUUUACCUAUAGUUUACCCAAAAAAAAAAUAUAAAAAUAAAAAUAAAAGAAUAUGUGCAGCAAUUUGUAUAUAACUAACAAAGCAUUGAUGGUGUGUAGCCUUUCAAUACUUCAUGAGUGGCUUUUCUUGUGUGUUAGUACUUGUAAUAAUUGUGUAGUGUAUAAAUGACCUUUUAUUACGAAAUUGCGUCUGUUUUUUGAAUUAUUUAUUAUUUGAAAAAUAAUCUAAAUAUAAUUCUAUUAAAAUACAGGGAAGAUACCACUUAAAAUCGGCAAUCUCCGAAAUCUGGAGAAGUUGGACAUUGGUGAUAAUAAAUUAGUUGGUAUUGCCCCAAUCGCAAUCUUCAAUGUGUCAACACUCAAAAUUCUUGGCCUUCAGGACAAUUCUCUCUCGGGAUGUCUUUCGUCCAUUGGAUACGCCCGACUUCCAAAUCUUGAAAUCCUUUCUUUAUGGGGUAAUAAUUUCAGUGGCACAAUUCCUCGUUUCAUCUUUAAUGCUUCUAAGCUCUCUAUACUAGAUUUGGAAGGUAACUCAUUCUCCGGUUUUAUUCCCAACACAUUUGGCAACUUAAGAAACCUUAGUUGGCUGGUUUUAUCUGAUAAUUAUUUGACAUCUUCAACUCAAGAAUUGAGCUUUCUAUCCUCGUUGUCAAAUUGCAAGUUUUUAAAAUAUUUUGACUUAUCAUAUAAUCCAUUAUAUAGAAUUCUUCCAAGGACGACUGUCGGUAAUCUUUCUCAUUCUUUGGAAGAAUUUAAAAUGUCCAAUUGUAACAUUAGUGGUGGCAUCCCUGAAGAGAUAAGCAACUUGACCAACUUGAGAACCAUUUAUUUAGGGGGCAAUAAAUUGAAUGGAUCAAUUCUGAUUACUCUCAGCAAAUUACAAAAGCUUCAAGAUUUGGGUCUUAAAGAUAACAAAUUAGAAGGAUCAAUCCCAUAUGAUAUUUGUAAUUUGGCUGAACUGUAUAGAUUGGAUUUAGAUGGGAAUAAGCUUUCUGGAUCAAUCCCUGCAUGCUUCAGUAAUCUGACUUCUCUGAGGAUAGUGUCGUUGGGUUCCAAUGAGUUAACUUCUAUUCCCUUAACUUUUUGGAACCUUAAGGAUAUCUUGAACCUCAACUUUUCAUCAAAUUUUUUGACUGGCUCACUCCCAUUAGAGAUUGGAAGUUUGAAGGUUUUGGUUGGAAUUGAUUUAUCGAGGAAUAAUUUUUCAGGCGUUAUCCCAACAGAAAUUGGAGGCCUAAAAAAUCUAGAAUAUCUCUUUUUAGGAUAUAAUAGAUUGCAAGGCUCGAUUCCUAAUUCUUUUGGUGAUUUGAUAAGUUUGAAAUUCUUGAAUUUGUCCAAUAAUAAUCUCUCUGGGGUUAUUCCUGCAUCUUUAGAGAAACUCUCAUAUCUUGAAGAUCUAAAUCUUUCUUUCAACCAGCUAGAAGGAAAAAUUCCUAGAGGAGGAUCUUUUGGAAAUUUCUCAGCUCAAUCAUUUGAGGGAAAUGAAUUAUUAUGUGGUUCACCCAAUUUACAAAUCCCGCCAUGCAAAACUAGCAUCCACCACAAAUCAUGGAAAAAAUCUAUUCUCUUAGGGAUUGUCUUGCCAUUGAGUACUACAUUUAUGAUAGUAGUCAUUUUGUUAAUCCUAAGAUAUCGACAAAGGGGAAAACGACCAUCGAAUGAUGCUAAUGGGCCACUAGUAGCAUCAAGGAGAAUGUUUUCAUACCUAGAACUAUGUCGAGCAACAGAUGGAUUCAGUGAAAACAAUCUAAUCGGCAGAGGAGGGUUUGGCUCUGUUUAUAAGGCAAGCCUUGGGGACGGGAUGGAGGUUGCAGUGAAGGUCUUCACUUCGCAAUGUGGAAGAGCAUUUAAGAGUUUCGAUGUUGAAUGUGAAAUCAUGAAAAGUAUUCGCCAUCGAAACCUUAUCAAAGUUAUUAGCAGUUGUUCAAAUGAAGAGUUUAAAGCAUUGGUAUUAGAAUACAUGCCUCAUGGAAGUUUGGAGAAGUACUUGUAUUCAAGUAACUGCAUUUUGGAUAUUUUUCAAAGAUUGAACAUAAUGAUAGAUGUUGCAUCAGCUUUAGAAUAUCUGCACUUUGGUUACUCAGCUCCAGUAAUUCAUUGUGACUUAAAGCCCAGCAAUGUGUUGUUAGACGAUAAUAUGGUUGCUCAUUUGAGUGAUUUUAGCAUCGCAAAAAUGUUAACUGGAGAAGAUCAAUCUAUGAUUCAAACACAAACACUUGCCACAAUAGGCUAUAUGGCACCAGGUUUGUUCAAUAUGAAUAUUUUAUAUUUCUUGUUAACUUCCUAACAAGUUAUUUAUGUUUCAUGAUCUUUAUUAGAUGAGGAAAUUCUUAUUAAUGAUAUAUCUUACUAUGUAAAUGUUGCAAUUCAUAGAGUAUGGAAGAGAAGGACGAGUAUCCGCAAAUGGAGAUGUUUAUAGCUUUGGGAUUAUGUUAAUGGAAACUUUUACUGGGAAGAAACCCACAGAUGAAAUUUUUAAUGGAGAAAUGACAUUAAAGCAUUGGGUUAAUGAUUGGCUACCCAUUUCCACUAUGGAAGUUGUUGAUGCUAAUUUGCUAAGUCAGGAGGACAUACAUUUUGUUGCAAAAGAGCAAUGUGUGUCAUUUGUCUUCAAUUUGGCUAUGGAGUGCACUAUGGAAUUUCCUAAGCAGAGAAUCAAUGCAAAAGAAAUUGUAACAAAACUCUUAAAAAUUAGAGACUCAUUACUUAGAAAUGUUGGAGGCAGAUGUGUAAGACAAUCAAAUUUAAAUUGAUUCUGGCCCUCCUUCAUUGCUUGCUAUCCUUUUCAGAGACUUGAACGGUUAUCCUUCAUACAACUUUUGUUGAUAUGUUUUGUUACUGCUCUUGCUUUCUUUAAUUUGCAUGCAUGUAUUUUUCGUUCUCCUUUAUGUUUUUGUUGGUUUGAAUGUAGUUUGUUUUUAGGGGUAAGGUUGAUUAUGCCCUCUCCUAAUUACACGUAUCCUUUUUAUGUUUAUUCAAUAAAGCUUCUCUAAUACUAUUGAGGUUCAUCAAAAGAAAAUUUUAAAUUAAUUUUCUUUUCUUUGACAGGUAAUGAAAUUCUAAUCUUCAUAGAGAAUAACUUCAAUAAUAGAGUGUAAGAGUAUUAGUAGUUAUGGUUGUUUUCUGAACCUGGAGUCAAGAGCAAUUUGACAGCAACAAACAAGUCUCUUGUAUUAUAGGCAAAAUUCUUUUCAUUAAUCUUAUUUGUCCACAUGUUCUCCUAUUUUCUCCAUUAAUCUUCGCUCAAGGUUUCAUGCUUCCUCUUUGAUAAAGGAAAAUAUUACUCGCGGAUAUUUCAAAUUUUCAAUUUGACACGAGAGACUGUUUUGCCAGCCAUUUGAUAAAAUGGAUAUGAGUAGAGUUUUCAAUCAUUACCUCCACCAAAAUACUUACAACGCCACUUUUAAUUUUUUUUUAAAAUACAUUCAGUUUAAUUUAUAAAAAAAUAAAUCCAUUUGUUAAAUUUAAUCUUUUUCUCAUAAAUUUCAACCUAAAAAUAUAUUCCUUAUCUAUUUUUAUUAUAAAAUUCAUGCAAGUCCUAAACUAUUAAAUUAUUUUCUUCUUAUUAUAUAGUUUAUAUCUCCAUAACUCUAAACUCCCAUAAUUUUUUAAAAAUAUAUUUUUUAAUUUAAAAUAUAAAUAUAAAAUAGAGAAUGGAGUGGGUUAAAAAAUUGUUAAAAGAAUAAUUCAUUUAAGUAUUUAACUGAGUUUUAAAUUAAAAAUAAGAAAUAAAUUAAUUUAUUUUUUAUUAGUUAAGUAAUUUUCAAUUGAAAAAGAGCAUGAGUAAUAUUAUUGAAAUAUGAUUAAGUUCGUAUGAAUUAAACAUUUUUGUAUAAAUACUAGAGAUAAUUAUAGAGAAAGUACAAUGAAGUGAAAAAACUUAAACAUAAAUACUCUAGUAUAAUUUUACACACGCAAAUUAUGAACCAAUAAUCUUUGGAGCAUCAUAAAAUUGUUUUAACACAAUUAAUUAGUUUGAAAAAUUGCCAAUAAUGUCUAAAGUGGGAUUUAAAGGAUUAUACUACAUAUAUAAGACAUGAUAUCAUUUAAGACGACUUACAGAUUAUGAGAAAUAUAUUUAUCUUACAAACAUUUAAUAUGUUAAUUAGAUUGAGUCUAUGCAAUAAAAUUUUCAAAUUAAAAAAUAAACCCUUUAUUUUCUUUUAAUCAUAAGCGUGAUCUUAAUUAUUAAAGUCAUUCAAUGUCCAUUACUUAUUAUUUUUUUAAUUACCUAAAUGACAUUGAAAACUCUACUCAAUAGUAAUUCAUUCAAAUGUUUUGUUUUAAAGUAAUCGGAAACUGCAAAUGAAACAAAUGCUUGAAAUCACAAACGGCCUAAAAUUAGAUUUUUAUUUUUUCAAUGUUGCAGUGACUUUGAUCUUGAUAUUGAAAAUUUAUUUGUAAUUUAUAUAAAGGCCUCAAUUUCAUUAUAAUUGGUUAGUAAGGCUACGUAGUGAGCAUGGAUAAAUUUUGGGAUUGGAUUAUAUUUUUGGAACUAAAAAAUUAAUUUAAUCAAAUGUUAUAUUUGGCUGUCAGGACUAGCAACUUAGUCUAAAAUUAUUGAAAUUGUUAAUCUUUUAUAUUAUAAUCUUUUCGUUCCCACUUUAAACAUCAUUGGUAACUUAAAUAAUUUUUUUAAAAUUAAAUAUAAAAAUUAAUUUAAUUAAAUAUAAAAAUCAUUUAAAUUAAAUAUUAACAUUAAUUUCAUAAUUUUUUACCUAGAAUUUUAUAUUAUAUUAAAUACUAAAAUUCUAUUCGAUAAUGUAUAAACAUUUAUUUAAUAAAUGUUUAGGUUUUUAGUAUGUUAUAUUAUUAUUUAAAUUAUUUUUUAUUUACAUAUGAACAUAAAUUAAUAUUUACUAAUUUAAAUUUAUUAUAAUUUGUUAAAUAAUAAAAGCUAAAUGAUUAUAUUGAAAAUCUAAAUAGUAUUAUAAUGUAUUAUAGUAUAAAUCUUACCCCCAAUGAGUUUAUUUUAUACACCUUUUAUUAUAUUAACACAUUUAUAAUGCAGUGCAAUGCAUCAAAAAAUUAUAACCAAAUAUGAGUUAGAAUGAAAAUAAUAUUUUAGUACAAUAUAAUACAAUGUAAUGUAAGUUGACAAAUAAAUAUUUAAUGGAAGCAAAAAUUGCAUAUGGUUUGUGGGUCUCUCAAAAGACAACAAAGAAACCAAUACGAUACAUUGAUUAUGUCCUCUUUAAUGGUGUCUUUACUAAAUGAGAAUUAGAAUGAGUUAGAAUUGGAAUGGACUUGAUUUGAAAUAAGGAAUUAUAAUCAAAAUAAGUUGUUUAUUUAAGUUGUAUGAAUCGGAAUCGGAAUAAAUUUUACUCAAAUUGAUGUGUUUAGUUUCUCUUAAAAUUAUAAUAGACUAUUACAUGUUACUAAAAAAUCAUUUGGUAAUUGUUGUCUCUAGUAUUAUUUGUAUAUGUUAUAUUGUUAAUAAUAAUAAGAAUAAAAAUAAUACUAAAAAUGAAAAUAAUAAUAAUAAUAAUAGAGACAAUAAUAAUAAAUUUAAUAAAUCAUUAUUAUUAUUAUUACUAGUAGUGAAGACCGCCCAAUGAAGAUUGGAUAGUGAAGCUGAAGACGAUGAAGAUCCCGGCAACCAAUUUCUGCUUCAAAGAUGAUGUGCCCAAAUGGAGACAACCAGUUAUGAUCAGCCAACUAGAUCCCAAUCUCGAUGUUGUGAUCUCACAUGACCACUGAUAAAGCAAUGUGUGAUGCUGGUGUUAUGAUUUCUUUUUUAUUUAUAUUUUUUAAUUUAUUGGGGUGUAUUUUCAAAAUUUAGUAAUUUUAAUAUGAGCAAAUUGUAUAGUUCAGUGAACAAGAGACUGAUUUCCAACCAUCCUAAAAAUUAAUCUCCCAUUCUCUCUCUCUAAUUUGAUGUGGAUUCCAGUAUUUCGAUUCCAAUUCUUACAUUUAUUUGUCAAGUAAAUGAUGUUAAUGAUUUCAAUUUUUAGUUCGAGAAGUAAACACAUCACAAUAUUUUUUUAGAUGCUUCCAUGGCAUAAUCUCAUUGAUCCAUUUUUCUUCACGCCUUAGAUUCAACUUCAAGAUUCAAGAUUCAAUUUGAAGCAAACACAACUACAAAACAAAUAUAAUUAGCGUUAAUAAGCCUGUGGCUAACUGGCUGUGGCCAUGCAAUUGUAACUCAUAGUGACCGAAUCAUAUCUUAUUAUCUUACGCCAGAAGUUAAACAAUGUUCUCAUUCCACGUGUCACUCUCUGACCAAUCCCCAAACUUUCUUUGUAUUUCCAAAGAAACCCUUACAAAGUCAAGAUAAUUACCUUCACUCUACUCGUAUAAAUACUAUCCUCGAUUCGACUGAUGACGACGUAUCCUUACAGUCUUUAUUUAAAGGGAAAAUUAUAAAAAUUUCUCCUCGUUACCUAAAAAUCUAGGUUUCUCAAGAAUCGCUAAACCUAGAUCCCAAUCCUUGAAAAUCUCAAUUUAACCUCCCUAGCGUUUCGAUUGUCGAGGAUUCGCUUCAAAAUUUAGUAUUUUUUAGUGGAUUUUGCUUGUCUCGUAUCCUUAAAUUGUUGUUCGGUUCUGAAAAUAAUUUGGAUUUUUAGGGAUUUUCAGAUUAUUGGGUUUUGUUGAGUACAAUUUCGUCUAGUUACGGUUUCAGUUUGAAGGGUUAAAUGCAAUUUCGAUUUUUUUUUAUAAAAUUAAAAUUAAAAUUCAUAAAACGAUUGGGCGUUUAAUAAUUAAUUGAUGGCUAGCGAUACUACAACGGCGGCCGUAGCUCCGGAAGAAGCAGAGGCGGUGGAGUAUGGUAGGGUUCCAGAUGACGGGAAACGCUCUCUUGUGAUGCUCAGAAGGGAAGCCACUGAUGAGGAGGAGGCGGGGGAUGAGAGAUAUUCAGAGCUUCCAAUCGCUCAAAGUGUGCAUAUUCCUGCGGGAGAAGCGGAGGCUGUGGAUGAGUAUGAGAGCGAUCCAGAUGAAGUGGCACACUCUCUCGUUCUGCGCAGAAGGGAAACAAGCGAUGAGGAGGAGGAGACAGAAUUUGAGCGUCGAAUUAAUUGAAGGGUCCAAAUUCAUUCUUACGAUGAAUCUGAUGGCCAAGGUGGUGCUUCAGCUGAGUAUGAUGAUGAUGAAGAAGGCGAAGAGGAACAUGACAGAAUUAGAAGAAGAUGAUGAAGAAGGGGAUGUUUAUGAGGAUGAAGAGGGGGCGGUUAAAGUCAAAGGAAUAGAGGGUAAUGAUGCAAGAGGAGUACGGAGGGGGCAGUGGAAGUGAGUAAAGGGAAUAAUGAUAAUGGCAAUGUUGCUAAAAAAAUGAUGCAGUGGAGGGAAUGGAGGAAGAGAAGAAGGAGAGUAGUGAGCCUUUUGCACAGCAGCUGGGCUUUUUAUAUGGGACAAUGUUGCAGGUCGACACAGGUAUUAUUUGGUUUGAGCGACAAUUAAUAAAUAACUGAUAGUGUACUUUCAUUAGGGCUUGUCAGUUAGUCUAGUCUCGUUUUUUGGUGCUGUAUAAUGAUUGUUUGCUGGAAUCUGUCUAGAAUGCUUUUGGCCUAGUAGGUUGAAAGGAGAGAAAGUUCUCAAAUAAACGUCCGUGCUUUGUGGAAUGUAAUUAAUAGGUACAAAGCAUACUAAAUUACUUGACAGAUAGAUGCCGAGCUAAUCAUGAGCUAUUAUAGCAUUAUCCGUGCUUUGUGUAUUUUUAUUAGGGCUUGUCUAUUUCAAAGUGUGCAGUGUAGAAUUUUUGGGUUAAGUUUGAGUGAUGAAGUGUUAGGUAGGUUUCUGUUUGGCGUAGUUAAGUGGUUAAUAUGAGCUAUCGAAGCAAAUACAGAGUAGGAUAUCUAGUUUUGGGUUUGGUCUUAGUUUGAAGAUGGUACUGAUUAUGCAGCUAGGUACGUAUUAGUGUUUGUGGAUUUCUAAAUGCUUUCUGUCAAAUGUGACUAGAUUAUUACUAGAAGUAUAUGGAUCUUACACUUAAUUGAUUACAUAUCCAUUUAUAAUGUUCAAAAUGAUAAUAUACUAUUACUUAAAAUUAUGCUUUCAAGACAUCAUUUUGAAAAUCCAUGGUUGUAAUGUGUCUCUAAAUUCAGUAAUACAAGUUCUGUCAAUUACUGUUGGAUGCAGUGACCUGAAUAGUUUAAUAUUCAUUUGCAGAAAAAAGUUGAGAAAGAAAACUAAAAAUUUCCGUGCGUUCUGCUGGAAAUUUAAUUAGCUUCAUUUGAGCAUUAAUUGCCGGCAUGAUCUCUUAGACUUCUCUUGCAUUGAAUGAAUGGAUGAGUGCUAAUCCAUGCAAAGACUUCCAUGCAUGCACAACGAAUGCUAAAUCUAAGGUAUGGUAAAAUGUCUAGCAAGCUUGGCCCAAAUUAUCAAGCUGGUUUGGUGGCUGCUAGAUUUGUUCACCCGGAUUUUGGACCAUUUUCCUUGACAAUGAGAAAAGCUCCAAGAUCUGUAAAUUGAAGACUCACUGAAAGAUCCAAGUUUCAGGUAACUCUUGUGUUGUGUGCUCGGAGUAUUCUCUAUUGUAUUUUUUUUGUUUGUUAUUUAUUUGACAUAUUACUAGCAGAGAUCUUGGGUGGGAACCAAAAAUUCCCAACAAUUGUCAAUUGUUUUAAACUCUAUUCUGAACAGAGCAUGAAGGGAUUCACUUAUCUAAUUAUUGCUUUUAUGCUUUAACUUCGCUUGAUUUCAUCUUUUCCGUCACCUUUAUUAAAGUUGUAUAUGUUGGAGUGUUAGGUUCAUCAUAAGGAUCAUAUUAUGGCUAAGGAAGGAGCACAGUUUAUCAGCUGCACUGAAGUGUAGCAGAGAAUUUGGAUUCAAGACUGAUGCAAGGCUGUUGCUGUGUAAUUGUAUGCCAUGCUUGCUAGUGCACUCUAAUAGAUUGCUGAGCUGGCACCGGAUGUUUUUAGCUAAUAUUAGUAAUUAGUCUAGAGUGUUCGAUUUAUUCUAUAAAUUGCUCAUUUGAGCUUAGAACCUUUAAAGUGUAUCACACGAUUCUGUUACUUCUAAUACAGAUUUUCUCUAUUCCUUUUUCUAUCACUUUCUCUUCCAUUUUCAUGAUCCCCAAACACCAUCAAUCCAUGAUUUCUAGAGUAUUAGCCGUCAAUCCAUGAUUUUCUUGUUAUUUUUUCUUUCACUUUCUCUUCCAUUUUCCCACUCCCCAAACACCACCAAUCCCUGAUUUUUUGAGUAUUAGCUGUCUAUUUCUACAAACAUAGAAGUGCUGUUUGUUUGUCCAAUUACUUUCGAGAAACAAAACUCUCUGUCCUGUGGUCUUUUCGUUUAUUGACUUGUGAGUAAAUAAGAUAUUGGGCCAAUGGACUCAACGUGACAAGUUCUUGAAUUGAAUGGCUCCUCUUUUCUCCAUAAAUCUUUGCUUAAUUUUUUUGCUCCCUCAACUUUUUGGGCCUUUUGCGUUAAAAUUCUUUUUUUGAUACAUUAUGCAAAAAUUAUGAUGAAAAUGAGUUACCUUAGAAGAUCAACAAAUUUUUAUUACAUGACAAGACAAUUAUACUUAGAUUACUCUUAUUUAGUUGAAUUAUAUGUAAUAAAAUUAGUUUAACAAAAUCUAAUCCGUAAAUAUUCCUUAUCACAUGAUUAACGUACUUAAAAAUCUUAACGGAUUGGUCGCUUGUUUUACAAUUCUUUUAUAUAUCUUUGAAACUUUCAGCUUCCUAACACAUCAUUUGUUAGAGUGCAAUUUAUGCACUAGUUUUGCAUUGUUUACUUCCCUUAAUAUCGAUGUUUUGCACUUAAUAAUAUUGAUUUACUUGUGUUUUACUUUUGUAUAAUGAUGGCAAUGGGGUGGGGUGGGGGUGGGGAGGCCUACCCCAUUCCCCACCCCGUUAGAAAUUUUUACCUCUAUUCCCCACCCCAUUCCCCAAUAAAUUUAGUGGGGUGGGGAUGGGGAAUCCCCAUGUGGGGAAUGCUUUCCCCAUUCCCACCCCAUUCCCCAUUUAUCUAUUUUAUAUUAUGUAUAAAUAUAUGAUUUCAGUAAGUUAAAAAUUAGAGACUUAAAAUAAAAUCAUCACCAUAUUAUAAAGUAUUUAAAUUCUUUUUAAAAAAAUAUCUAAAAGUUUGAACCAAUAUCUUAAAAUAAUAUUAAAAGUAAAAAAAUAUUUAAAGAGCGUAGCACUUUAAAAGAGAAAAGAAAAUAUAACAAUGUUUCAUAGUUGAAAAAUAUUAUAGGGUUUUUUUUCAUUCAUAUCCUGUUUAUAUUGCAUAAAAAUUAAAAAAAUAUUAAUUGACAUUAUAAUUCAUAAAAUAAAAAUUAUUAAAUAAGAAUUAAAAAUAUAUUUAUAUAUAAUGGGGAUUGGGGUGGGGGUGGGGGUGGGGUGGGGAGUGCAAAACCAAACCCCACCCCAUUAAGAAUUUGGGGAUUAUUUUUCCCCCACUCACCACCCCAUUCCCCAUAAAUUAUUCAAAAUUUUAUCCAUUUGGGGUGGGGCUCCAUGGGGCCCCAAACCCGUGGAGGAUUUUGCCAUCCCUACUUUUGUAGGUGCAAUUCUAUUGAUUGGUGAUAAAAUUGAGCUAUAAGAUUAUGUUUAAGGAUGAUUGUUCUCUUAGAGAAAUUAUGAGCGUCAGAAGAACUCUGUUGAUAAGGCGUGGGCGCGUACUGUCAACUGCGGACCUGCAGUUUUUAGUUUAACGUGUUUUGUAUUUUUGGUUAUUUUUGUAAUUACGAAUUUAAUAUUUCAGAUAUUAGGAUUUUAUUUUAAAUAGAAUUAUAAAAGAGAAGAGAGAGAGAGUAUUUAAGGGAGGAAUCUAUUGUGAAAAAGGGGGAUUUUUGGAUUGGAGAAAAAGAAAGAAACCCUAGAUCUAAUUUUUCUCUUCUCUCUAUGAGGAACUAAACCCAUUUUUCUGGUUGAAGGUUAAUGAAGCUUUGAUUCAUCACUACUGUGAGACCUUUCUUGUGCUUUAAUUGUUUUAUUGCUUUUUAGAUAUUUGUUUAUUCUCUGAAUUAUUUUCAUGAUUAUGUUUGUUAAUUAGGUAAUUGGCCACUAUUUAAUUAUCAACUUAAUCUAUUGUCAAUUAAAGGAUUCAUCGUAUGAAGAAUUUAAUGUUUGUGACAAAUAACAUAGCAGAGAGUUGUGUUGUGAGAAUAAAAAAUCUAAUUUAAAUGAAUCAUCAUAUGUGUUGAUUAGGAUUUGGGUCUCUCUGAUUUUUCAGGCUGUCAAUUGAUUAAAUCCUAUGAUCGUAUCUAGGGUUGUCUAUUGAUUAGGGAAAUAACCAACGGUCGUACCUUGGUUAUCGACUAGUUAAGGAGAGAUUGGCUAUUAGAGGGUCUCAGUAGCUAUAAUCGGUCUAUUCAUGAGUAAUAAUAAUCUAUAUUUGAAUCAAUGAUCAGUAGUCGAAUCAAGCUGAGUUAAUUCCUUCAACCAGAGCUUUCUCCAAUUUGAAUUACAACUUUAAUUUGCAUUCUUGUUAUUUUUAAUUUGAUUUUUAUUAUUGUCAACAAUUCCCCCAUUUUACGUUUUACGUUUCAAAAGGAUUUAAAUAAUUACCGAUCUCUGUGGACACGACCCUGCUCAAUCACUAUACACAAUUUAUUUAGAGUAGGAAUUUAUUUUUGUUGGCUUCGACACCCAUCAAAUUUUGGCGCCGUUGCCGGGGAUUGGUGUCAUUUAUUUAAUCAUUUUUACGUUUUACUUGGUGUAUGGUUCGUUCUUCUCGUACAGGUACACUUUCAUUUGAUCCUGAAAUUGAGAAGACAGCUCGCCAGCUGAGACAAUAGACUAAGCGAGCUAAGCAAGGAUCCUCGUCGCCUUUGCUUUUUGAAACAGAUACGGUGCCUAAUUUAGUUGAAUCAUCUAGCGAUUCGGAAGAACAAGUGAUGGAUAGACCUGCACCUGUAGAAAGAACUCUUAGAGAGUUAGUUGAACCAGACUUGAAUCAGCAACCACUCUGCAUUCAAUAUGUAGAUUUGGAGGUAAAUUUUGAAUUAAAGUCUGGUCUUAUUCAUUUAUUACCCAAGUUUCAUGGUUUUGCAGGUGAAGAUCCUCAUAAACAUCUUAAGGAGUUUCAUGUUGUGUGUUCAAGUAUGAGACCACAAGGCAUGACUGAAGAGCAGAUUAAGCUGCGUGCUUUUCCGUUCUCUGUAGAUGGGCUAGCUAAAGACUGGUUGUAUUACUUGCCUCCUGGAUCGAUUACAACAUGGAAUGAUUUGAAGAAGCAGUUCCUCGAGAAGUACUUUCCUGCUUCAAGAGCUGCUAACAUCAGAAAAGACAUUUGUGGGAUCAGACAACUUCCUGGGGAGACUUUGUAUGAGUAUUGGGAGCGAUUCAAAUAAUUGUGUGCCAACUGUCCUCAACAUCAGAUUUCUGAUCAACUUCUUAUUCAAUAUUUUUACGAAGGACUGUCAUUGAUGGAUAGGAGUAUGAUAGAUGCUGCUAGUGGAGGCGUGUUGGUGAACAAGACCCCUACUCAAGCAAGGGAGUUGAUAUCAAAUAUGGCUGCCAAUACACAACAAUUUGGCAACAAGCAAGAUUUCACUUCAAGAACGGUGAAUGAGGUAAAUAUUUCUUCUGUUGAACAACGUUUAGAUAAACUUACUUCUCUUGUGGAAAAGUUUGUUGUAGGUAAUGUGCAACAGGUGAAGACUUGUGGCAUUUGUUACAAUAUGGGUCAUUCAACCGAUAUGUGUCCUACACUUCAAGAAGAACCCGUUGAACAAGCCAAUGCAGUUGGAGGAUUUCCAGGUAUGCCUCAGAGGAGGUAUGAUCCUUAUGCACAAACAUACAAUCCGGGAUGGAAGGAUCAUCCUAACUUCAGCUAUGGAGUUAGGCCGUCAAGAUUCCCACAACAGUAUCCACCAAGACAACCAACACCUCCACAGUCAAACUCCAAGUCAGGUGUAUCUCUUGAAGAAAUUGUUAAAUCACUUGCGACUAACACUCAACAAUUUCAGCAGGCAACUACAGCAAGCAUUCAGAACUUGGAGAACCAAAUGAGUCAAUUGGCGACUACAGUGAGCCGUCUGGAGUCUCAAGUAUUAGAAAGAUUGCCUUCACAAUCUGAGGUGAAUCCAAAGCAAAACGUUAGUGCUGUCAUCCUUAGAAGUGGGAAGGAGUUGCAAGAGCCUAGUAAGAAAGUGACAAAGCAUGUAGAAGAUGAGCUUGAGAAGAAUGAAUUGAUGCCUAAAUCUCAAGAUGCGCAACCCACCAAAGCGAAACCCGUACCUAUUGUGAUACCUCCUCCUUUUCCAAGCCGGUUUACAAAAUCCAAGAAGGAGGAACAAGAGAAAGACAUCCUUGAGACAUUUCGCAAGGUUGAGGUAAAUAUUCCUUUAUUAGAUGCUAUAAAACAAAUACCUCGAUAUGCUAAAGUCCUUAAGGAACUGUGCACCUCCAAAAGAAAAUUAAGAGGAGAUGAAAAAGUUCAUAUGGGGGAGAAUGUUUCAGCAGUUCUCCAAAAGAAACUACCUCCUAAGUGCAAGGAUCCAGGUAUGUUUACUAUCCCUUGUAAAAUUGGUAGUGUUAGAGUUGAAAAGGCUAUGUUAGAUCCAGGAGCUUCUAUUAAUGUCAUGCCUCGUUCCAUUUAUUCAUCUUUGAAUUUUGGUCCAUUAAAAGAAACUGGCGUGAUAAUUCAACUAGCUGAUAGGUCUAAUGCAUAUCCUGAUGGGGUAUUAGAAGAUGUCUUAGUACAAGUUAAUGAGUUGGUUUUUCCUGCUGAUUUUUAUGUACUUGAUAUGGAAGAUGAUAACUCCUCUAAUUCUGUCCCAAUUUUGCUAGGAAGACCUUUUCUUAAGACUGUUAGGACUAAAAUGGAUGUACAUAAAGAGACUCUCACUAUGGAGUUUGAUGGAGAGGUUAUAGAAUUCAAUAUGAAUGAUACCAUGAAAUAUCCUAGUGAGGAACAUUCGGUAUUUUCUAUGGAUGUUAUUAACCCUAUAGCGCAGGAAAUUUUCUACAAGGAAAAGACGAAGACAUUUCAUGAUAGAAUGAUUUUGAGAAAGGAGUUCUCUGUUGGUCAAAAAGUUCUUCUUUUUCAUUCUAAGCUUAAACUUUUUCCGGGUAAAUUACGUUCUUGCUGGGUUGGACCUUUUAUUGUUACUAAUGUUUUUCCUCAUGGUGCAGUUGAGAUUCGGAGUCCGACCUCUGACAAAGUUUUUAAGGUUAAUGGUCAUCGCUUAAAACCUUUUUAUGAAGGUUUUUCGGUGAAUAUUGUGGAGGAUGUGGCUCUCGAGAGUCCCAAUUAUGGAGAUUGAUGCAUAAAUGUGUCUAGCCAAAGACAUAAAACAAAGGCGCUUUUUGGGAGGCAACCCAAUUGAUUUAUUUAUUUUGGUUUUUGUCAUAUCUUCUUUUAAUUUUGAUUCAGAUUUUUUUUUUUAAAUAAUGUGUUUGCUUAUUUUGGUCAGAAGAAAAUUUUUGAUAAGGCGUGCCCACAUCUUAACUAAUAAGUACUUCUAUGAUUUUUAAAAUAAAAUGGUUUUAAGGCAUGCCCACGUGCUUAUUAGAAAAGUACUUCUGAAAUUUUUAGUGCCUCAAGUGAUUCAUCACUAAAAAAAAGAAAAAAUUAAAUUAAAAAAAUUAUUUUAUUUUAUUUUUUUUUCUAUUUAUUUAUUUUAAAAAAACAAAAAAAGAGAUUUUCUUUUGUUCUUUCUUUUAUAUAUUUAUUUAUUAAAAAAAAUUUCAAAAAUCACUGUUCAAAAAAAAAAAAAAUUUUUUUUCACUGUUCACAAAAUCCCUAAUUUUCCAGAACUUGUUUUCUUCUCCAACCGCUUGCAGCACACCAGCAGCACCUGCGCGCGCAGCACCAGCAUCCCGUGUCUCGCAGCCCAGCAGCGCGCAACGCAGCGCAGCACCCGCAAAGCAAGCCUCAACAGCGUGCAGCGCGAACCAGCCCCAGCCCGAGCACGCAACGCAACAAGCGUCACCAGCGCGCGCACCAGCAAUCCCCCAGCGCGCAGCAACAGCCGCAGCACGCUGAUCCAGCGUCACCAGUUCGCAGCAUCAGUCCCAUCCACGCGCAACUGAACCAGCAGCUGUGUACUCGCAAGCUCCAGUCGAGCAGCAAUAGUCCGCAACCAGCCUACGACCUGCAUUCCAGCCACAUGAAUCGAAAUCCGUGACAAGAUGAAGCAGAAUUUGGCCGCAUACUUCAAGAGUGUGGGAUUUAUCCCACCAUUCCCGCCAAGCCCAUAGACGUUAUGUGGAUCAAAGCUCACAAUUCAGGGAAGUUUUUGCCUUUAAUCUUUUAUCCUUACGCUUUAAUUUUUAUGUGAGCUUUGAUUAUCUUACAUUGGGGACAAUGUAAGUUAUUGGUGUGGGGGAGGGAUUUUUGCAUUAUUGAUGUCUGGAAUUAUUAUUUUCACUCUACUUAUUUUUUUUUCACUCUACUCAUCCUUAAAUGAUUUUGGAGUUAGUAUGCUUCAUAUAUUAUUAAUUUUCUUUUCAUUUCUCUCUCACUACUCUUUUCCCAUCUAUCUCAAAUUAUUUACAUCUAUUUUUUUUUUCUUUCUAUCAUACUCUUUCAUCACUCACAUUUUUUUUUACCUUUCCUUUUAUAUCUCACUCAUACCUUCUUCUCAUUGUACACCACUAUUUAUGGUUAAUUCAUUUAAAGAGUGUACAUGAUUUGAUGGCAAAUUUACCAACUUUGUGAGGAUUUGAGCCUAUGAGCAACCACUUUGCUCUAAUUAUUUUUUGUUAUGUGAAUAUCAAUCCUAGUUUGUUUAUUCUAGAACUUGCUUUGAUAUGCAUGUUGAAGCCACAUUACGGGAUUUUAUGCAUUAAAAUGAUAAGGGCAAACCAUUUACCAUUUUUCUAUUCUCGCAUUUUCCUUUUUCUCUACUCGAAGACCUUUAUUUGCUACCUUUGUUUGAGCCUUAACAAUUACCCAUCCAUUUUUCUUCUUUUUUGAGCCUCAAUUUAAGGAUAUUUUUGGACUCAUUGUGUGGAUAUAUUUUGUUGCUUUUUCUACCUUGUAGUAAAGCUUCUCAAUUAGAUCAACAAGCAUUAUGCUUGAAUUAAAUUGUGCAAGGUUCGUUUCUUUUGUUUGAUUCAAAAACAAAAACAAAAACAAAAACAAAAACAAAAAAGAAAAAAAAAAGAAAAAUCACAAAAAAAAAGAGAAAAAAAAAGGAAAAAAAAUGUUUACAUUCUUGGUGACUUGAGUAGAAAUAAGCAUUUUGAUAUCAUAAGUUCAUUCAAUGAGUUCAUUCUUCUCGUUUUGAUCUCUUUUUCUUUCAUAAACCUUUCUUUUUCAUUUAACCCAUUUAACCCCAUUACAACCCUUUUAAGACCCUUAGAUUUUUGCAUUUUAUUCAUGUUUUGUGGAUUGAGAUGUGAUAUAUGAGCAAGCUUAUGGUAAUAGCAUUCUUUGAUUUGAUUUGAGUGGAUAAAUGACAUCCUAAACACUUUCAGUGCAUGGAGUGAAGUUAUUGAGAGGGCUAUUACAUCUUGUUGCACUUGAAUUUUGAAUGGAUCUUCUUGGUGGUUGAAUGUUCUUAUUCUAUCUUAUGAAAUUCUAUGCUUUAAAAUCCUUGUCUCUCGAACGUUGAACGACUUAAUUUCUUGAGGUAUGCUUGCUUAAAAUUGUUUUUGGAUGAGUUGAGAUGAGAAUUGAGUGGAGAUUUGGGAUUAAUCUUGAGUUAUAUGCUUGAGGACAAGCAUCAUCUUAACGUGACAAGUUCUUGAAUUGAAUGGCUCCUCUUUUCUCCAUAAAUCUUUGCUUAAUUUUUUUGCUCCCUCAACUUUUUGGGCCUUUUGCGUUAAAAUUCUUUUUUUGAUACAUUAUGCAAAAAUUAUGAUGAAAAUGAGUUACCUUAGAAGAUCAACAAAUUUUUAUUACAUGACAAGACAAUUAUACUUAGAUUACUCUUAUUUAGUUGAAUUAUAUGUAAUAAAAUUAGUUUAACAAAAUCUAAUCCGUAAAUAUUCCUUAUCACAUGAUUAACGUACUUAAAAAUCUUAACGGAUUGGUCGCUUGUUUUACAAUUCUUUUAUAUAUCUUUGAAACUUUCAGCUUCCUAACACAUCAUUUGUUAGAGUGCAAUUUAUGCACUAGUUUUGCAUUGUUUACUUCCCUUAAUAUCGAUGUUUUGCACUUAAUAAUAUUGAUUUACUUGUGUUUUACUUUUGUAUAAUGAUGGCAAUGGGGUGGGGUGGGGGUGGGGAGGCCUACCCCAUUCCCCACCCCGUUAGAAAUUUUUACCUCUAUUCCCCACCCCAUUCCCCAAUAAAUUUAGUGGGGUGGGGAUGGGGAAUCCCCAUGUGGGGAAUGCUUUCCCCAUUCCCACCCCAUUCCCCAUUUAUCUAUUUUAUAUUAUGUAUAAAUAUAUGAUUUCAGUAAGUUAAAAAUUAGAGACUUAAAAUAAAAUCAUCACCAUAUUAUAAAGUAUUUAAAUUCUUUUUAAAAAAAUAUCUAAAAGUUUGAACCAAUAUCUUAAAAUAAUAUUAAAAGUAAAAAAAUAUUUAAAGAGCGUAGCACUUUAAAAGAGAAAAGAAAAUAUAACAAUGUUUCAUAGUUGAAAAAUAUUAUAGGGUUUUUUUUCAUUCAUAUCCUGUUUAUAUUGCAUAAAAAUUAAAAAAAUAUUAAUUGACAUUAUAAUUCAUAAAAUAAAAAUUAUUAAAUAAGAAUUAAAAAUAUAUUUAUAUAUAAUGGGGAUUGGGGUGGGGGUGGGGGUGGGGUGGGGAGUGCAAAACCAAACCCCACCCCAUUAAGAAUUUGGGGAUUAUUUUUCCCCCACUCACCACCCCAUUCCCCAUAAAUUAUUCAAAAUUUUAUCCAUUUGGGGUGGGGCUCCAUGGGGCCCCAAACCCGUGGAGGAUUUUGCCAUCCCUACUUUUGUAGGUGCAAUUCUAUUGAUUGGUGAUAAAAUUGAGCUAUAAGAUUAUGUUUAAGGAUGAUUGUUCUCUUAGAGAAAUUAUGAGCGUCAGAAGAACUCUGUUGAUAAGGCGUGGGCGCGUACUGUCAACUGCGGACCUGCAGUUUUUAGUUUAACGUGUUUUGUAUUUUUGGUUAUUUUUGUAAUUACGAAUUUAAUAUUUCAGAUAUUAGGAUUUUAUUUUAAAUAGAAUUAUAAAAGAGAAGAGAGAGAGAGUAUUUAAGGGAGGAAUCUAUUGUGAAAAAGGGGGAUUUUUGGAUUGGAGAAAAAGAAAGAAACCCUAGAUCUAAUUUUUCUCUUCUCUCUAUGAGGAACUAAACCCAUUUUUCUGGUUGAAGGUUAAUGAAGCUUUGAUUCAUCACUACUGUGAGACCUUUCUUGUGCUUUAAUUGUUUUAUUGCUUUUUAGAUAUUUGUUUAUUCUCUGAAUUAUUUUCAUGAUUAUGUUUGUUAAUUAGGUAAUUGGCCACUAUUUAAUUAUCAACUUAAUCUAUUGUCAAUUAAAGGAUUCAUCGUAUGAAGAAUUUAAUGUUUGUGACAAAUAACAUAGCAGAGAGUUGUGUUGUGAGAAUAAAAAAUCUAAUUUAAAUGAAUCAUAGCAGAGAGUUGUGUUCAAGUAGUUCUUCUGCGAAAGCCAAAUUUUCCUGUUAUUUAUGUCUCGGUGAAUUUGCAUCCCUAAAAUCUUGUUUGCUGGUCCCAAGUCCUUCAUUUCAAACUCCCUAGCCAACUGUGCCUUUAAUUCUUGGAUUCGAUCUUUAUUGGGACCUGCUACCAACAUGUCAUCUGUUGAGUGUUAGAAAAUGCAUAUUUAUAAAGGAGAAAACCGUCAUUUUACAUUUCAAGUCUUAUUAACAACCCUUACUUUUAUGUAUUUAACCUUCUUGUGAUUUAAUUACAUGUGUUUUAUUUUAAUUAAGUAUUUUAUGUAUUUUAGGGGCAUUAUAGUCAUUUCACAAUAAAGGAGAGAUCAGACGGAAAAACGGACAUCACUUUUGAACUCAGGACGGUCGAAAAUCUUAGGAGGAGCAUAAAAGGAAAAAUGGCCCUAUUCAUAUGUACGGUACUAUUCACGUGUACGGUACUAACUACGUUACUGUUCACAACACUGUUCACAUAGACGAAUCGAUGACGUGGCAUUGACCGAUGAUGUGGCAUUGACUGAUGAGAUGUCACGAUCUUGUUGGGCUAAAAUUCUUAUGUACUGUUGAUGGUGACGUGGCAGCAUAUCAGUGGAUGAAAAAUCUCGCGUACGGUACAUGCAUCACACAGGAUUAUUUUCAACCAAACCGCGUUACUGUUCAUCCGAGUCAAACCGCGUUACUGUUCAUCCGAGUCAAACCGUGUUACUGUUCAUCCACGUGGUCAAACCGUGGACUGUUGACUGAUGACGUGGCGCAAUCCUGAGCGUCCAAACUGUUUUUAAUCCGAUGGCCAUGAUUUACUCCAUGUAUCUAUAAAAAGGGGGCCUCCCCCCCCUAAUUUGAUAGCUCUGAAUCUAUUUUUUGGAUCCAUUUUCUGUAAUUCCCUCUCCAUCUUGUAUUUUCUUUGUAUUUUAAUAAAUUUUCAUUUUGCCCCUAGUUCAAUUAUGAGGAGCUAAUUUCCUUUCAAGCUUGGGUUGAAGGUGAAGUCUCAACAUGUGUCAUGGGCUUUAUUUGGUAAAUUUAUUUCCUUUUCCCCUCUAGUUUUUGUGGAUGAUUUGACUUAUCGUCGACAAAUAAUACUGAUCUUGUCUAGAUACCGCCUUGGUUACACCGGCUCUCUAGUAUAAGGUUAUUAUUAUUUGGCACGAUAAGCCCUUAGCACCAUAUUGAUUAGAGCGUGGUUCAUGAGGUGUGGAUUCCCCCCUCAUGAUUUAAUUGGCAUUAAUAAGGAAUAUUUAGCCCAUGAUGCAUGUUGAUACGGAUCCAGAUACCCAAGUACGUCAUUUCAAUAGAAUUCUCUUCAAUUUAUUCUCGCUAUUUCAAUUCCAAUUUUAGAAUUUAUUCUCGCCAUUUUAAUUUAAGUUUUAGUAUAUUCCAAAUCAUUUCCACCACAAAUCCAAUCACCCAUUUACAGAAUUAAUUCUACACAUAAUUAAAAUCCACCUCCUCGUGGGAUCGACACUCGUCACCAUUGAUCUACACUACAAUAGAUUCGUGCGCUUGCGAGUACAUUAAAAUUUGCACAACAUCAUCCACAUACAACAGUAAAAUAAUGAAAUCAUUAUCUUCAAACCUCUUGUAAUAUGCACAAUGGUCUGAACUGAGUCUGUUGUAUCCAAGGCUCAUGAUGAAGGAAUCAAAUCUCUUAUACCAACACCUCGGCGCCUGUUUAAGACCAUAUAGAGAUUUGUUCAACCUGCAAACCAAGUUCUCCUUUCCUGUUUCUGCAAAACCUUCUGGUUGGAGCAUAUAUAUUUCUUCUUCAAGUUCUCCAUGAAGAAAUGCAGUUUUCACAUCUAACUGCUCUAGAUGUAAGUCAAAUGUAGCACACAUCGCCAAGACUACUCUGACUGUUGUGAGUCGAACCACCGGAGAAAAUAUCUCGUUGAAGUCAAUACCUUCUUUCUGAGUAUAUCCUUUCACCACCAAUCUCGCACGAUACCGCUUCACUUGGUCAUUGCCAUCACGCUUGAUCUUGUAGACCCAUUUGUUUCCAAUGGCUUUUCUUCCACGUGGUAGUGGUACAAGUUCCCAUGUCUUAUUCUUAUGUAGAGCUUCAAUUUCUUCCUGCAUUGUUGUUAUCCACAAAGCAAUAUUUGAGCUUUCUAAAGCUUUAUGGAAAGUUGAUGGCUCUCCAUCCUCCGUUAGAAGACAAUAUGCAACAUUAAUUUCUGUGACAUACUCCGAGUGCCACACCGGCGGUCGUCUCUCACGAGUUGACCGUCGAACUUCUGGAGCCUCAGACCCGACUGGUUCUUGUUCCUCGUGCUCUGGUGCUGCUUGAGAAGAAUCUGAAUCUUCUAGAUUAUUUUCCACAUAUACUGGCACGGUCUCUGACUUUUCUUUUGUAGUGCCAUCAUCCUCAUCUCUCAUUUGCAGUUGAUCUUCUACAAAGAUAACAUCUCUGCUGAUGACGAUCUUGUGGGCAGUGGGGUCCCACAGACGAUACCCCUUUACUCGAUCAGCAUACCCCAAGAAAAUACAUAUUCUAGAUUUUGGAUCCAGCUUUGUUCUUUCUUGGGCAUUGUACAUCACGUACACAGGACAUCCAAAUGCAUGUAGGUAGGAAUAAUCAGCUGGCUUUCCAGUCCAUAUCUCCAUCGCUGUCUUCAGCCCAAUAGCUGUAGAUGGCGAUCGAUUUACUAUAUAACAGGCAGUUUUGGCUGCUUCUGCCCAGAAUGAAUUGGGUAGACUAGCAGUCUUCAACAUAGCUCUUAUUCUUUCUAUAAGAGUUUUGUUCAUCCGCUCUGCUACUCCAUUUUGUUGAGGAGUGUAUGCUACCGUGAACUGCCUUUGAAUACCUUCUUGCUUACAGAAAGCAAGAAACUCACAGUCUGUAUACUCUCCACCAUUAUCCGUCCUCAAGCACUUGAUCUUUUUACCAGAUUCAAGUUCCACCUGCGCUUUGUAUUCUUUAAAUACUGGAAAUACAUCUGACUUUUUCUUAAUUGGAUACACCCAACAUCUUCUGGAAUAAUCAUCAAUGAAAGUCACCAUGUACUUUGCACCUCCCAUAGAUAUAUCCAGUGAUUCCCAAACAUCAGAAUGAAUCAAGUCUAAAAUGCAUUUACUUCUAGCAAUAGAUCUACUGAAUUUUAAUCUAUGCUGCUUACUUGUAACACAAUGCUCGCAAAAUGGUAAACUUACCGAUUUGAGCCCCGGAAGCAAUUUUCGCUCAGAGAGAAUCUUCAAACCUUGUUCUGACAUGUGGCCAAGUUUGAGAUGCCACAUCAUCGUUGAUUCUUCUCCAUUUGAUGCGACACAUGCAUCAGCCUCCUGUAGUGUUUCUCCUUUAAGCAUGAAUAAAUUAGCACCGAUCUUUUCUGCCUUCAUCAAUACAAGCGCACCUUUAACGAUCUUUAUAAUUCCAUUCUCCACAUGAGUUUUGUACCCAUGACUAUCCAUUUGUCCCAAAGACAAUAGAUUUUUCUUCAGGCCGUUGACAUGUCGUACUUCUCCAAUUGUGCGAAUUGUACCAUCAAACAUUUUUAUUUUGAUAGUACCAAUACCAGCGAUCUCUAAGGCAUGAUCAUUACCCAUAUAUACAGAUCCUCCUGAGAUAGGUUCAUAUGUGUGGAACCAUUCUCUCCGAGAGGUCAUGUGCCAGGUAGCUCCUGAGUCUAUAAGCCAGACAUCAGACAGUCAUUUUCUGCCUUCUGAAACAGUUGUUGCCUCGCUAUAGAGAAUUUCGCCAUCAUCUAAGGUACUUGCCACACACCCUUGAGCAUUUGAUGACUCAGGUUCUUUACCCUCUCUUCUCUUCUGGUUACUCCAACACUCUUUCUUGACGUGCCCUUUCUUGCCACAUUUGUAGUAUUUAACAUUCUUCUUACUUCUGGAUUUUGAUCUACCCUGAUUUUGACUCCCACUGGGGCCACGUUCCGUUAAUCUCCCUCUCGUCACCGAUAGCGCUUCUGCUUGCUGCGAACUUGCUUGUCUGUUUUCCUUAUUUUUUCGCCUGCUCUCCUCAUUUAAUACGGAGGCUGCAACAUCGUCGAAAACUAGACUCUCCACUGGAUUGUUGUUCGUCAGGUUGAUGAUGAGUUGAUCAUACGAAUCUGGUAGACUUUGAAGUAGAAGCUUUGCACGUUCAUUUUCCUCUAUAUUAUGACCCAACGUUGUGAGUUGUGAAAAUAGAGUCUUCAAUGUGUUGAUGUGGUCGGUCACCAUUGUAGAUUCCGCCAUUCGAAGAGUAUAGAGUUUUCUCUUCAAGAAGAUUUUGUUGUGUAGUGACUUGGCCUCAUACAAUUUUGUGAGAGUAUCCCAUAUUUCCUUUGCCGUAUUUUUCUCUGCCAUACUGGAUAAUACUCCAUCCGCAAGUGCCAAGUGUAGAUCAGAAAUGGCGUUGCCGUCUACCUCGUUCCACUUGUCAUCAGUUAUUUCCAUAGGCCUUUCUCCAAUUGCUGCCAAGCAAUUAUUUUUCCUCAAUACAGCUUUCAUCUUCAUUUUCCACAACGAAAAAUUAUUUCCGUUAAAUUUCUCAAUUUCAUACUUUGCCGCCAUUUUGUUGAUAAAUAUCGCACACAAGCUAGUGUACCACCUUGAAUAGUUGUGAGUAUGUGUGAGAAUGCACACCAGGAAAGUUCCCAGGAAAGACUGGAGGGGUCACAAUGGUCCUACUUAAAACCCAGACUCCUUAAGCUCUUAUCGCUUUUGUGACAGAACUUUCCUAGACAUGUACAAAACCACAAUUGUUUUACUCACACCACUAUUCCCUGCUUUGCAUCGCAAAAUUCUUGGAUCGCUCCCACCGCUUCUUGUGAAUAGUACCGUAUACGUGAACAGUACCGUAUACGUGAAUAGUACCCCUUACGUGAACAGUACCCGACUCCAAAAAAUACAACUAAUAGCUCUGAUACCACUGCUAGGAAAUUGGUGGGUGAAGCAGACACGUAGCUAAAAUAAAAUUGGAAGAAAAUAAAGAACAAGCACUCUAGAGGACACCAGAAAAUUACGUGGUUCGGCUUUUAGCCUACAUCCACGGGCGAAGACAGAAGAAAAUAUUUUACUAGUGAAAAGGAGUUACAAGUAUUGUAGUAUUUUAGCUCACUUCCCAAAACCCCAAUACACCUAAACUCUCUCAAUCACUGUAACAAGAGCUUAUAAAUGCAAGCUCUCUAAAUUCUCUCUAAAUACAAGAGAAAUCUUCUCAAAAUUGGAUGAUCAAAUGAGGGAAUGAGUCCCUCUAUUUAUAGCCAAAAUCUUGGCUACUAUUCACGUAUUUUUUUUAAUUAUUUAUUAUUGUUCAAAAUUCAAAAUUCAAAGUUUGAUAUUCAAACUUUGAAUAUCUAGAAUUUUGAAUUUGAUAUUCAAAGUUUGAAUAUCUAGAAGUUUGAUUUUGAUAUUCAAACUUUGAAUAUCAAGACACCCAAUCUUGACAUCGGAGGCUUCGUUUUAGAAGAGUGCAGAGCAGCUGCCUUGUCCAUUUGGCACGCCAACGACUUUCUAUUGACCAAUAAUUUUGAAAGCGAUAUUAGUAAUUUACCAUCUAAUAUUUUUUUUAUAUUAUCAUUUUACCAUAAAGUUUUUUAACAAUUAUUUUUUUCCUUAAUGUUUUAGUUUUUAUUAUAUUACUACCAAAAAUUGGCAAACGCACUCCUAGUGUAGGUUAUCCACAAAAUGGCUACCGAAUUGUCUUGUUUCUCAUUUUGUUUAAUUUUCAUAAAUUCGACUCACGAUUCAAAUGUGAGUGAAGAGUUUUUUUUUUGGGAAAAAAUCUGGUCUUCCAUUUACUAGAAUUAGGUAUGUGUGAUUUUAUUAUUUUUCUUUUGCUUUAUAUGUAUCUGGAAAAUUAUGAAUACUUUGCAGGAUUUAGAAGGAUUUGAAUGUUUGAACGCAUAUAGCUUUCUGUCCAUCAGCUAAUGCAUAUUCUGCAUUUUAUGAAUAUCAGAGCUGGUAGAUUGAAAAAUGGACCUUAUUACAUGUCAUAAGAUACUUUGCUCAAAGCUGCAAUUGGGCAACGUCGUGCUGUUCUUAUCCGCCAAUGCAAGCCAUUUACUAUUCUUUCUAAUGGAGCAAAAUAAGAUGAUUCUUACCUGCAUAGAGAAUUAGAAAAGAAAAGGAGGAUUACUGAUCCACAGAGCUGUCAUUUACUAGAAGCACAUAAAAUCUUACACUUAAUUCAUUAACCAUAUGUAUAUUCUAAUGAUACUUAAGUAUUACCUAAACUAGCCUUUCAAAAUUUCACUUCGAAAAAAUCCAAGGUUGUAAUGUGUCUAUUUGGUUGCUAAUACAAGUUCUCUCUAUUCCCAAUUUUUUAUGCUCUCACUUCGCUUGAUUCACCUUCUCCAUCUUUUAAAACAGUUGUAUAUGUCGGGGUAUCAAGUUCAUCACAAGGAUCAUAUUAUGGCCUAAGGAAGGAGCACAGUUUAUUGUCUGCACUCAAGCUUAGCAGAGUGUUUUGGGAUUCAAGAGUGUUAGUAGGCCGUUACAGAUGCCAUGCUGGCAAGCGUGCUAUGACUGAUUGCUAUUUGCACGCAAAAUUUGCCCAAAACAAAUAGAAUGAGAAUACUUGUACAAAAGGACAAGAUUAAUAAAGUGAAUAAAUUUUAUCUUUUAGUGAAUGCUUCUUGUCUUUUAGAAUUUUAGUGCAUUUUCGUGUGUAAUUUUAUGUGCAAAUAGCAUUACUCAUUAGUAAUUAGUCUCGAGUGUUCUAAUUUCUUCUAAUAAGUGGCUGAUUUGAGCUUAAGACUUGUAUUUUAAGUUUUUAUUACUUUCUAAUAAAGAUUUUCUCUGUUCUUUUUUACUUUCACUUUCUCUUCCAUUUUCCCGACUCCCAAACACCACCAAUCCUUGAUUUUCUAGAGUAUAGCUAUGCAGUUCUACAAACACGAAACUGCUGUUUGUCCAUUUACUUUCAAGAAACAACGUACUCUGUGGUUUAUUGACUUGUGACUUGUGACUUGUGACCGGGGCAAAUUAGUCACGGUCCGAUUGUCUCCUCUUCCACUGACUCUGUCAAUUCAUGACUUUGGCACACAGUAGACGCCAGCUGCCUGCUUCAUUUGACGUGCAAAAAACUUUCUUGAAUCGGGUUAAAAUCGAUUGAUUAUUUUGUUUGGUGAUGAUGAGUUAGUUGUCAAUUCAUGAGUUUGAUGCAGUGAAACGCUUAACGCUCUCUUGUGAUGCGCAGGAGAAAAGCCAGUGAUGAUGAAGAGGACGAAAAACAUUAUUUUGUUAUUUACAAUAAGGCUAUCAAUUAUAUAUUCCAAAAUAAUUGGGUUUGGAUGGUCAUUUUGUUUUCUAAAAUAUCCAAAUGGAAACAGAAUUUAUAAAGUGGGAAAAUCAAGAAAUUAAAUACUCUUCGUAUAGUGGAAGGAGAUUUGGUUGCCGUUAUGCUAAAUAAAAGAAAAAUAAAGUAAAAUUACAAUACUUUAAUAAUCUCAUUCCCAAUCAUACCGGAAAUAAAAAUUUUCUGUAUAGUUAUGAAAUAAUUAUUGAUUUUACUUUAGUGAUUUUUUUUUUAAAGUAAGGUAAGCAUCUUUAUUUUCUUUGCAAACGAGCCUUCUUUCUUUUGCUUUGGCCUUUACUCUAGACUGUAUUUCAUGGUCAUACUCAAUCUCAAUAUUUUGUAGGUUUGUGGCUGUUUUAUGAGUUACGAUUUUUUAUAGGGUUGCAUGUAGAUGAUACAUUUAUUUUUUUCUUUUUUCUUUUCUUCUUCGGUGAAGAUACUAAAAUUUAGUUUUUGUUAUCAUGUGAAAUGAAAAUAGUCCUCGUUUCAAGGAUUAAUGGGCCACUAAUUUCGUCUUCUUAGAAGAAAAUUUUUUGCAGCGAGGUAAUUCGAAGCUCGAAGAUUUCUAUAUUACAUAGCCAAACCUAAGUGAUAAGAAUUUCCAUAUGAGAUAUAAUUUGGAAAAAAAAAAAAAACCAAUUCAAGUUAAAGAUAAAAAAAUCUGUGUUCCUUAAAAAACAUAAUUCAAGCCACACAAUUUUUCUUGUUUCAUUUGAGAAAAAGAAAAUUGUGUUCCUCACAAAAACACUUUAACAUUUGUUGUCUCAUAGAGGGAAAUGUCCUUCAAAACAAUUGAAACGUUGUCCACAAACAUUGUCAUGUAGUUAAGAAAAACUUAAUUUUGAGAAGUGCAAGAGAUUGGUGGGACUCAUUUGAUUCAAGAAAAAUAAUCAGUCUCAUUUGAUACGCAAAGAGCUUUUCUACUCAUGCAGCCAAUAUUUUGAUGAAUGUGACAUUACUGGUUUGUAUAAUUUUUUGGAUAUUAUCUCAAUUUUACUUCUGUAGGUUUGUGGUUUGUAUAUUAUCUCAAUUUUUAAAAAAAUGUAAUGCAAUUAUCAAACACGACUAAUCCCAACAAUUUAUCCAAAAAUUUUUAUUUCAAGAAAUGUAGCAUUUAUGAUAGAAUGGCUAAUGUUUUCAAUCGACUUUCUGGAUAAAUGAUAAUUUUUUGAUAGAAAUGUUACUUAAGUAUUACAGGAAGAAAAUUAUAGAAUAAUUUUUUGAAUUAAUUGUAUUACUUUACGAUAACACUAUCACAAUCUAAUUUAAAAAAAAAAAGUUAUUCUUUAAAUUUCGCAUUACUAUUCCUACUUUUCUUGUUAUAGUACUUAAUGGCACUGGUGAAGCCUCAGAAUUAUCAAACAAAAGGCAAAAAUAGUUCAAUAUCUGCUGUCCCACUAAGCAUUGUUAAAUUCAUAUAAUAAAAUGAGUACUUAUAUUAAAAAAAAACAAUCGGUCUCAUUGCGUGCUCUUUCAUUGACAUAGGCAAUUUGCUGUCAACUUGUGGCACUUUUAUGAAUUUUCAAGAUUGGUGAAUUUUUCAAAUUUAAAAGAAAAAAAUACAGAAAUGUAAUUUCAAUUUAUCCAAAAAUUUGAGUUUCAAGGAAUACAGCAUUUAUUAUAUGUCAUGUUAAUAUAGAGAAGAAAAAUUAAAAAACUUCUUUUUGGAUGAAUAAAAGUAUUUUCUGAUAAAUAUUUCACAAUCAAAUUUAAAAAAAUUUCACUCCUCUUGGUACAUAAUUUAAGAAUUUAACAUUAUAAAUUAAUCUUUUUAAUCAAAGUAAUAAUCUCUCCUCGGUCUGCAAAUGCUAAAAUUUAAUAUUAUAUCCUUUGACAAUAUUUGCUCCAAAUUCACGAAAAUAAAAUUUCUAACAGAAUUAUGACAUUCGUUACUAGAAAUUUGUAUAAAAGUUGUGAGAAUAGAAGGUUUGAUCAUAGGAAAUUAAUAUAUCCCUAUCCGAUGCAAAAAUGAUUGUAAAGAAAAACAAAAGUCAUGGGCUUAUUUUGAAAAAAGAAAAAAUUACAUUCCUUUUUCCCGUUAUUAAAGUAAUUCUAAAAUCACUAGGCACACAAAGGAUAGGCUUUAGUUGACUGAGGUCAGCCUUAACGCAUGCCGGUCUUUUUCUCCUCUACAUUCUUAGAAAUUUUGGUUUCACUAUAAAUACUCGGUAUAUAGCAAACUUAUAAGUGUUCUUGCAUUACCAAUCCAACUAAGCACACGCUUACAAUAUAAAUACUCUCAUCUCAUGGAAAGACUUCAUUCUCUCAGGAUGAUGAGCAGAUUUCUCUUACUCCAUUGUUUGAUUCUUAUUUCCUUACUUAUCGCAGCUGCAACAGCCAACACAAGUACUAUUACCGCAGACCAAGAUGCUCUGCUUUCCCUGAAAGCUCACAUAACUCAUGAUCCAACCAAUUUCUUGGCCAAAAAUUGGAACACGAGUAUCUCUUUCUGUAAUUGGACAGGCGUCACUUGUGAUGUCCAUAGCCAUAGAGUCACAAUCUUGAAUAUUUCUGGCUUAAAUCUCACCGGCACCAUUCCUUCUCAGCUUGGGAAUCUUUCUUCUCUGCAAUCACUCAAAUCUCAGUUUUAACCAACUUUCUGGUUCCAUUCCCUCCGCUAUCUUCACCACGUAUACACUGACAUAUGUUAGUCUCUGUCAAAAUCAGCUCUCUGGGAAAAUUCCUGCAAAUAUUUGUAGCAAUCUUCCUUUCCUUGAAUUUCUUUCUUUGUCCAAAAACAUGUUGUAUGGCGGAAUACCGUCCACUCUAUCAAAUUGCACAUAUUUAAGAAUCUUAAGUUUGGCAUACAAUGAUUUCUCAGGAGCCGUACCUAGAGAAAUCGGGAACUUGACCAAACUUAAGGAAUUAUAUCUUGGCGUUAAUAGACUUCAAGGUGCGCAUGAUCACGAAGUUUAAUUAUAAGAAUUGUUCCCUGAGUUGUAGUAUGAAUAACGUUCCAUAAUACACUUUACACACGUUGAUUAAUUUGCAGGAGAAACUCCUCGAGAGUUUAGCAAUCUUGCCGACUUGGAGCAUAUGUCGUUGGCAGGCAACAAUCUCCAAGGCAUGAUUUUAAAGUUUUUGCAAUUUUAUUUUAGCGAUGCUUGCUUCUGUAUUCAUUCGCUUGUUCUUUGAUUAUGCGAUGAUUUAUUGUUUUUCUUUCAGAUAGAGAUAAAGCUCCAUGUCUCCCCUCACUCAUUUCAUUCUUUAAUUUAUGCAGAUAAAAAUUUAAAAAAAAUGUUUUGUAAUUUUCUUUUGUCAUAUUGCCACUUCCGUUUUGAAGCUCCCAAUCAAGUCGAUGAAAAUGAAUGAUGUUUCAUUCUUAUUCUUGUCAGCCUAAUUCUUAUAUAAUUGAAGAGUAAAUUGUUAUUAUGAUCAAAUUGUUUGCGCAUAUAUAAAUGUACUUUAUUUACAGGAGGUAUUCAACGGGAAUUGGGGAAUCUUACAAAAUUGGAGGGGUUACAGCUGUUCCAGAAUAACUUGAUCGGUAACUUUCUUUACAAUAUAUAUACGAGACAUCUUCCGCUUUUUAUUAGAAAUUAUAAAUUCAAGUUAAAUCUUAAUUAAAAGAUUUCAAGUCUCUCAUUAUAAAUUCUCAUAUGAUGAUGUGUCGUUACCACUAUCUAACAUUAUUCCCUUUUUUAUUAGAAAUUAGUUUGUGUUAAUUCAAAAUUCUGUAGCAUUUAAAAAAAUUAAAAACACGUGGAAUAAAUUGUUAAUCUUUCUUCUUUACUGAAUUUGGAUUUCUCAAAAAUAAUCAUGACAAGUAUGCUUCACUAAUGAUAAACAUGUGUGACAACUUCAUAAAAUAUUUUAUAUGGAAUCACUAAUUAUCUCUAAAGAUGCCAUCAGUGAUACAUAAUUUCUUAACAAGCACCGUACCAAAAGAAAUCAACAAUUUUAUUAAUCUUAAAGAGUUACAUCUUCACUGCAAUUAUGACAUAAAUUUUUAGUCAUCAAUCACAUAAUAUUUUAUCUUAACGGAUGAUGUUCAGUCUUGGAAUUUAUAAUAUCAUGAAGGUUAGUAGCAUUGAAAAUAAGAAAUUGUUCAUGUGCUAAAAAGUCAACUUAGUAUUUAAGUUUUUCACUUGAAAUUUUUGAAAAAAGUGUUGAGAACUAGCCCUCCUUAGUAUUUCAGCGGAUAAAUAUGAAAAAUGGGCUAGAAGAAAUUAUUUUAUUGUAAUAAGAGUUAGAAAGAGAGGAGAAGUACAGUACUCAUGACUUAGGCUUGCUGUGUGUGUGCUUAUUCUACUUGGGCUUUGGGCUUGAUUACACGGUCGAACGCUUACACCUGUUAAAAUAAUGGGCUUUUGCUUUCGCCGCACAUCUGAUAAUUUCCUAACCUUCCAAUUAGGUUAUAGCAAUUUAAAUAUAAAUAAUAAAGCAUGCUAAAGCUAGCAUUGGUGUAUGGCUGAGUGGUGUAAAAAGUGGAUCUGUUUUCAUGUAUUAUUUAUUCUCUAAAACAUAUUUGAAUACAAUUCUUUCAAAAUACCGAGGAAAUAGCACAUGAAAUCAGAAAUAUUUUAUUGUGAUGAGAAUUCAUAUACUCAUUGUAGUAGAACAUAUAAAAUAGACUAUAAAUUUAUUAUUCUUCGAAACAAACUUGAUUAUAAUUCCUUCAAAAUUAAGUUUGUCAUUAAAUGAUUUCUCAGGAGCCAUACCAAAAGAAAUCGGGAAUUUGACCAAACUCAAGGAAUUAUCUCUUGGCGGUAACAGGCUCCAAGGUGCGCAUGAUCACAAAGUUUAAUUAUGAAAAUUGUUGCAUAAGUUAUAUGGAUAUCCUUGAUAACCGCAGCAAGCAAACAAAAUCAAAUAAAAGCUAACUGAGACUCGAAUAUCCUAAACCCUGAAAAGGAAUGGUAAUGGUAUAAUAUGGAUUUUGAAGGCAUAUUUCACCGGACUCAACAUUUAUGGUUAAUUUACAACUCUUUGUUGGAAAGUCUGAGAAAUUGCUUUAUAUUAGGGGUGGGGAAAAUAAUGCUGGGCCACGAAUUUCAGGCAGAAUCCAGAUUGGGCCCAAUUAGACUUAUAGCUCAGCUCUGUGUAGAUAUCUGGGCCUUUACAAAUAAUUAAUGGGCCAAUUAAUAAUAAUAAAUAAAUUGAGAAGGGUGUGAGUGAAAUUAGAUAUGAAUGAAUCUGCCAAUGUAUGUACACAUUUUUAGCAAAAGAAAUCGGGAAUUUGACCAAACUCAAGGAAUUAUCUCUUGACCGUAACAGGCUCCAAGGUGCGCAUGAUCACGGAGUUUAAUUAUGAAAAUUGUUGCAUAAGUUGUAGUAUGAAUAAUGUUCCAUAAUACAGUUUAGACACGUUGAUUAAUUUGCAGGCGAAAUUCCUCGAGAGUUUGGCAAUCUUGCCGACUUGGAGCAGAUGUCGUUAUGGGAAAACAAUCUCCGAGGUAUGAUUCUAAACUUUUUGCGUUUUUUAUUAGAAAUUAAUUUGUAUUAACUAAAAAUUUUGUAGCAUCUGAAAAAAUUAAAAACACAUGGAAUAAAUCGUCAAUCUUCUAAUUUGGAUUUCUUAAAAAUUAUCUUGACAAGUAUGCUUCACUAAUGAUAUGCAUGUGUGACAACUUCAUAAAAUAUUUUACAUGGAAUCACCAAUUACCUUUAAAUAAUUGGAGAUGCCAUCAGUGAUACAUAAUUUCUUAACAAGCACCUUAUCAAAAGAAAUCAACAAUUUUAUUAAUCUUAAAAAGUUACAUCUUUACUGCAAUUAUGAAAUAAAUUUUUAGUCAUCAAUCGCAUAAUAUUUUAUCUUAACGGAUGAUGUUCAGUCUUGGAAUUUAUAAUACCUUGAAGGUUAGUAGCUUUGAAAAUAAGAAAUUGUUCAUUUGCUAAAAAGUUAACUUAGUAUUUAAGUUUUUCAAUUGAAAAUUUUGAAAAAAGUCUUGAGAACUAGCCCUCCUUAGUAUUUCAGCGGAUAAAUAAGAAAAACAGGCUUGAAGAAAUUAUUGUUGUGUGUGCUUAUUCUACUUGGGCUUUGGGCUUGAUUACACGGUUGAGCACUUACACCUGUUAUAAUAAUAGGCUUUUACUUUCACCACACGUUUGAUAAUUUCUUAACCUUCCCAAUUAGGUUAUAGCAAUUUAUAUAUAAAAAACGAAAGCAUACUAAAGCUAGCAAUUUUUUGACUGGUAUCAUUCCUUCAUCUAUUUCACGUCUUUCAUUAUAAAUUCUCAUAGGAUGAUAUCUCAUUUUUUAUUAGAAAUUAAUCUGUGUUUAUGCAAAAAAAUUUAGCAUCUAAAAAAAGUAUAAAAACACGUGGAAUAAAUCGAAAAUCUUUCUUCAUUACUGAAUUUGGAUUUCUCAAAAAUUAUCAUGACAGCUAUGUUAGUGUCUUACUAAUGAUAUGCAUGUGUGACAACUUCAUAAAAUAUUUUAUAUGGAAAAUAUUAAAAAUAGACUUGAAAAAAAUUAUUUUACUGAAAUAAUAGUUAAAAAGAGAGGAGAAGUAUUACCUAUUACACAUGGUCGAACACUUACACCUGUUAUAAUAAUAAUAGCAUCCGCCGGUCGACUAUGAGUGAUCAAAUUGUUUGCACAUGUGUAAUUUGCAGGAGCAAUUCCACGGGAGUUGGGAAAUCUUACAGGAUUGGGGUUCUUAGAGCUGGGUGAAAAUUUUUUAACCGGUAUCACUCCUUCAUCUCUCUCCAAAUUGCUUUUCUCUAUUAAAUUUGGAACUCUCAUUUAAUAACUUAACAGGUAACUUCCCUUACAACAUGUUUGUGUGACAUGUUUUGCUUCUCAAUUAAAAUAUUUCACUUCUCUCAUUAUAAAUUCUCAUAGGAGGAUGUGUUGUUAUUACUAUUUAACAUUAUCUCGUUUUUUAUUAGAAAUUAAUCUUUGUUUAUGCAAAAAAAUUUAGCAUCUAAAAAAAGUAUACAAACACGUGGAAUAAAUCGAAAAUCUUUCUUCGUUACUGAAUUUGAAUUUCUCAAAAAUUAUCAUGACAGCUAUGUUAGUGUCUUACUAAUGAUAUGCAUGUGUGACAGCUUCAUAAAUUAUUUUACAUGGAAAAUAUGAAAAAUAGACUUGAAAAAAAAUUAUUUUACUGAAAUAAUAGUUAAAAAGGGAGGAGAAGUACACUACUCAUGACUUAGGCUUGCUGUGUACUUAUUUUACUUGGGAUUCGAGCUUGAUUACACAUGGUCGAACACUUACAUCCCACGACAUAGGCUUUUAGGGACGAGUGGCGUCAAAUGUGUAUAUGCUUUUAUGUAUUAUUAUUCUUUGAAACAAAUCUGAUUAUAAUUCUUUUAAAAUACAGAUUAAAUGGCACGUGAAAUCGGAAAAUAUUUUACUGCAAUAAGAAUUCAUAUAUUCAUUGUACUAGCACAUAUAAAAUAAACUAUAAAUUUAGUUCCAAAAUACAUUCUUAUCUUCAUAUAAAUUUUACAUUAUUAAUUUAAAUUAAUAUUAAAAUAUGUUGUUUCUUUCACUAUGUUAUUUUAUUUACACAAUGAUGUGACUAUUGGAAUUAAUAAUACUUUUAAUUAUUUUGUAAAAAUAUAAAUUUAAUACUUUGUUAACAUUUUAACUACAUAUAAUAAUUAAACUGAAACUUGUAUUUAAAAAAUUCGAGUUACGCAUAUUCAUUUCAUGACAUAAAAGUGUAUAUUUAUGCUAAUUUACCAUUAUCAACAAAAAGAUUUGAGACAAAUAAUCUAAUUUAUAUUUUUAUAUUUAAAAUCUUGCAUUUAUUAUAUUUUGAAAAAAAUUUAUUUGCAAUUAUUUUAAACGGUUGGAUUCAAAUUUUCAUAGUUACUAAAGUCAAAGGGUAUAAAUGUAUAAUAGUCAAAAACAUAUUUGUAUGAUCAUUUUUCAAUGUAUAAAUUUUCUUAGUUAGUAGGAAAAUUAGAAAUUGUUGAUUUACUCAUAAAUAAAUUUAAUGUUUAGCAUUUCAAUUUUGGAAAACUUGAACUAAAUGUUGAUAACUUCGAAUCGGUCGAGCCGAGUUUCUCUUCCUUGACCCACGGACCCAUUGAAAGUUCUAUUCGAAUUGAGUUUCCUGGUGCUUAUAAAAAGCAUUUCUUUUCCUUGUUGCAGUAAUUUAUUCACAAAUGAGUUGAUUAGCAUCGAAGUUACCUGAGAGUCUGAGACCAUGCUAGUAGGAGAAAUUUGAUAAGAAAUUAUUUUACUGAAUUAAUUUAUUUUAUCUUGUUGCAACUGGAAUACUACUUUUUUUUUUGGGCCAUCACUUGGGCUUGAUUUACUUUAAUAGUAGCAUCCACCGACUUAGGCGUUUUUUACUUCUCACCACACAAUUUGAUCUUUUAAUUAGUUUUAACCACAUAAUCUAUCUAUUUCUCACCUAUUGCUUACUUAAAUCGCAUACAUAUUUUACCUACUAAUUUUUAUAAAUAUUAGUCAAAUAUAUUUUAUUACGUUUUUCUCGUAACUGCUCCAAAUGUGUACUAUUAAUACUUAACCCUCCCUUUUAAUUUACUGUGCAAUCUAUCUAUCACUUAAGUCAUAUAUAUUUGACCUAUAUUUUACCCCAAAAAAUAUAAAAAUAAAAGAAAAAGAAUGUGUAGCAAUUUGCAUAUAACUAACAAAGCAUUGAUGGUGUGUAGCCUUUCAAUACUUCACGACUGGCUUUUCUUGUGUGUUAGUACUUGUAAUAAUUGUGUAGUGUAUAAAUGGCAUUUUAUUAUUAAAGUGCGUCCAUUUUUAGAUAUUACUUAUUAUUUGAAAAAUAAUCUGAAUAUAAUUCUUUUAAAAAACAGGGGAGAUACCACUUGAAAUUGGUAAUCUCCAAAAUCUGGAGGAGUUGGACCUUCGUCAAAACAAAUUAGUUGGUAUUGUCCCCGCUGCAAUCUUUAAUGUGUCCACGCUCAAAUUACUUCAGCUUCAGAAUAAUUCUCUCUUGGGAUGUCUUUCGUCCAUCGCAGACGUCCGACUACCAAAUCUUGAAGAGCUUUCUUUAUGGGGUAAUAAUUUCAAUGGCACAAUUCCUCGUUUCAUCUUUAAUGCUUCUAAGCUCUCUAUACUAGAAUUGGUAGGCAACUCAUUCUCCGGUUUUAUUCCCAACACAUUUGGCAACUUAAGAAACCUUGAGCGGCUUAAUUUACAAGAUAAUUAUUUGACAUCUUCAACUCCAGAAUUGAGCUUUCUAUCCUCGUUGUCAAAUUGCAAGUCUUUAACACUUAUUGCCUUAUCAAAUAAUCCACUAGAUGGCAAUCUUCGUAAGACGUCUGUCGGUAAUCUUUCUCAUUCUUUGGAAAUCUUUCUCAUGUACAAUUGUAACAUUAGUGGCGGAAUCUCUGAAGAGAUUAGCAACUUGACCAACUUGACAACCAUUAAUUUAGGAGGCAAUAAAUUGAAUGGAUCAAUUCCGAUUGCCCUUGGCAAAUUACAAAAGCUACAAUAUUUGGGUCUUGAAGAUAACAAAUUAGAAGGAUCAAUCCCAGAUGAUAUUUGUCGUUUGGAUGAACUGUAUGAAUUGGAGUUGGGUGGCAAUAAGCUUUCAGGAUCAAUCCCUGCAUGCUUCGGUAAUCUGAUUGCUCUGAGGAUACUGUCGUUGGGUUCCAAUGAGUUAACUUCUAUUCCCUUAACUUUUUGGAACCUUAAGGAUAUCUUGCAACUCAACAUUUCAUCAAAUUAUUUUACUGGUCCACUCCCAUUAGAGAUUGGAAAUUUGAAGGUUUUAAUUGGAAUUGAUUUUUCGAUGAAUAAUUUUUCAGGCGUUAUCCCAACAGAAAUUGGAGGCCUAAAAAAUCUAGAAUAUCUCUUCUUAGGAUAUAAUAGAUUGCGAGGAUCGAUUCCUGAUUCAUUUGGGGAUUUGAUAAGUUUGAAAUUCUUGAAUUUGUCCAAUAAUAAUCUCUUUGGGGCUAUUCCUGCAUCUUUAGAGAAACUCUCAUAUCUUGAAGAUCUAAAUCUUUCUUUCAACAAGCUAGAAGGAGAAAUUCCUAGGGGAGGAUCUUUUGGAAACUUCUCAGCUGAAUCAUUUGAGGGAAAUGAAUUAUUAUGUGGUUCACCCAAUUUACAAGUCCCGCCAUGCAAAACUAGGAUCCACCACACAUCAUGGAAAAAAUCUCUUCUCCUGGGGAUUGUCUUGCCAUUGAGUACUACAUUAAUGAUAGUAGUCAUUUCGUUGAUCCUAAGAUAUCGACAGAGAGGAAAACAACCAUCGAAUGAUGCUAAUAUGCCACUAGUAGCAACGUGGAGAACAUUUUCAUACCUAGAACUUUGUCAAGCAACAGACGAAUUCAGUGAAAACAAUCUAAUCGGCAGAGGAGGUUUUGGCUCUGUUUAUAAGGCAAGACUUGGGGACGGGAUGGAGGUUGCAGUGAAAGUUUUCAAUUUGCAAUGUGGAAGAGCGUUCAAGAGUUUCGAUGUUGAAUGUGAAAUUAUGAAAAGUAUUCGCCAUCGAAACCUUAUCAAAGUUAUUAGCAGUUGUUCAAAUGAAGAGUUUAAAGCGUUGGUAUUAGAAUACAUGCCUCAUGGAAGUUUGGAGAAGUAUCUGUAUUCAAGUAAUUGCAUUUUGGAUAUUUUUCAAAGAUUGAACAUAAUGAUAGAUGUUGCAUCAGCUUUGGAAUAUCUGCACUUUGGUUGUUCAGCUCCAGUAAUUCAUUGUGACUUAAAGCCCGACAAUGUAUUGUUAGAUGAUAAUUUGGUUGCUUAUUUGAGUGAUUUUGGCAUCGCGAAGCUCUUAAUUGGAGAAGAUCAGUCUAUGACUCAAACGCAAACACUUGCCACAAUAGGUUAUAUGGCACCAGGUUUGUUCAAUAUAAACAUUUUCUAUUUCUUGUAAACUUCCUAAUAAGUUAUUUAUGUUUCAUGAUCUUCAUUAGAUCAGGAAAUUAUUGUUAAUGAUAUAUCUUACUAUGUAACUGUUGCAAUUCAUAGAGUAUGGAAGAGAAGGACGAGUAUCCACAAAUGGAGAUGUUUAUAGCUUUGGAAUUAUGUUAAUGGAAACUUUUACCGGGAAGAAACCCACAUAUGAAUUUUUUAAUGGAGAAAUGACAUUAAAGCAUUGGGUUAAUGAUUGGCUACCCAUUUCCACUAUGGAAGUUGUUGAUGCUAAUUUGCUAAGUCAGGAGGACAUACAUUUUGUUGCAAAGGAGCAAUGUGUGUCAUUUGUCUUCAAUUUGGCUAUGGCGUGCACUGUGGAAUCUCCUGAGCAGAGAAUCAAUGCAAAAGAAAUUGUAACAAAACUCUUAAAAAUUAGAGACUCAUUACUUAGAAAUGUUGGAGGCAGACGUAUAAGACAAUCAAAUUUAAAUUGAUUCUACCCCUCCACUACUUGCUAUCCUUUUCAGAGACUUGAACAAUUAUCCUUAAUACAAUUUUUGUUGAUGUGCUUUGUUAUUGCUCUUACUCAUGUUUAUUUCUCUAUUUCUUUAAUUUGCAUGCAUGUAUUUUUCGUUCUCUUUUAUGUUUUUGUUGGUUUGUAUGUAGUUUGUUUUUAGGUUGAUUAUGUCCUCCCCUAAUUAGACGCAUCCUUUUUAUGUUUAUUCAAUAAAGCUUCUCUAAUACUAUCGAGGUUCAUCAAAAGAAAAUUUUAAAUUAAUUUUCUUUUCUUUGACAGGUAAUGAAAUUCUAAUCUUCAUAGUGAAUAACUUCAAUAAUAGAGUGUAAGUGUAUUAGUAGUUAUGGUUGUUUUUUGAACCUGGAGUCAAAAGCAAUUUAAUAGCAACAAACAAGUCUCUUGUAUUAUAGGCAAAAUUAUUUUCAUUAAUCUUAUUUUUCUACAUGUUCUCCUAUUUUCUCCAUUUAUCUUCGCUCAAGGUUUCAUGCUUCCUCUUGGAUAAAGGAAAACUUACUUGCGAAUAUUUCAAUUUGACAUAAGAGACUGUUUUGCCAACCAUUUGAUAAAAUGGAUAUGAGCGGAGCUUUCAAUCAUCACCUCCACCAAAAUCCUUACUACGCCACUUUUAAAUUGUAUUUUUUAAAAUGCAUUCAGUUUAAUUUAUAAAAAAUAAAUUCAUUUGUUAAAAUUAAUCUUUUUCUCAUAAAUUUCAGCCUAAAAAAUAUAUUUCUUUUAAACUUUUAAUUAUAAAAUACAUACAAGUUCUAAACUGUUAUAUUAUUUUCUUCUUAUUAUAUAGUUCAUAUCUCCAUAACUCUAAACUCCUAUAAUUUUUUUUAAAAUAUUUUUAAUUUAAAAUAUAAAUAUAAAAUAUAAAAUGGAGUGGGUAUAAAAAAACUUGUUAAAAGAAUAAUUCAUUUAAGUAUUUAACUGAAUUUAAAUUAAAAUAAGAAAUAAAUAAAUUUAUUUUUAUUAGUUAAGUAAUUUUCAAUUGUAAAAGAGCUUUAUGAGUAAUAUUAUUGAAAUAUGAUUAAAAUUCUUAUGAAUUAAACAUUUUCGUAUAAAUACUAGUGAUAAUUAUAGAGAAAAUGUGAUGAACCAAAGAAAACUUGAGUAUAAAUACUCCAAUGUAAUUUUACACAUGCAAAUUAUGAACCAAUGAUCUUUAGAGCAUCAUAAAAUUAUUUUGACACAACUAUUUAUUUUGAAAAACUGGUAACAAUGUUUAAAGUGGGAUUGAAAAGAUUAUGCUACUUAUAUAAGACAUGAUAUCAUUUAAGACGGCUUACAGAUUAUGAGAAAUAUAUUCAUCUUACAAAUAUUUAAUAUGUUAAUUAGACGGGUCUAGCUGCCUUUCACCCGCUGGAAGGUACAGCUUAUUUUGUCCUCUAGUGUUGUGGCCGUUGGAUAUUUGAGAAGUUGAUCUAUCGGUUCUUGUUCGGCAGCGUGAAAUUGAAUUUCAAUCAGCAACCAUUUCAUGAACUUUCAGGAGACAAUUAUCUACAAAAAAAAUUUUUUAAAAAAUAAUUUUUCGCUUUCAUCAACCGCCGCUGCCACCCACAACCCCUUAAUAUCAUCACCACCAUCCCAAUCCUUAGCCGCCAUCCACAAACUCUAACAACCACCAUGACUGCCAUCACAACCGCCACUCCUCACAACCCUAGCCACCCCUACAAAUGACUGUAUUUUACGUUUGAGCAUUAAUUGCCGGCAUGAUCUCUUAGACUUCUCUUGCAUUGAAUGAAUGGAUGAGUGCUAAUCCAUGCAAAGACUUCCAUGCAUGCACAAUGAAUGCUAAAUCUAAGGUAUAGCAAAAUGUCAGCAACCUUGGCCCAAAUUAUCAAGAUGGUUUGGUGGCUGCUAGAUUUGUUCAUCCGGAUUUUGGACCAUUUUCCUUGACAAUGAGAAAAGCUCCAAGAUGUGUAAUGUUAGUGAAUCAGAUGAAGCUGGAGCAGAGCAUGAUGUUGCUGUGUAGCUGGAGCAGAGCAUGAUGUUGCUAUGUAGCUGGUUGUAUCAGAUCAAAUCAUUAAGCUGACUUGUCAAAGUUAGUUAACUGGUUGAGCUGAUGUGUCAAGUUAGUUAUACAGCAAAUGGUUAUGUGUUGCAACAAUCUCGUGUGUGUGUUAAGAGAUUGUAGCUCAAUAUAAAUAUCAAUUGGUAAUCAUUAAACUGUAAGCUUGGAAUAAUAAGAAGAUCUAACAGUUUUCUUUGCAAAGCUUUUCUUUUAUUUUCUUUCAUUUUCUAGCCUACCAAACAAUAUAGAACUAAGUUUCUUUCAUGGUAUCAGAGCCAUAAAUGGCAAAUAUAGUUCAAAACAACAACUCUUUUAGUUUUGUUACACCAGUAAAGCUAGAUCAAAACAACUUCAUUCUGUGGCGCACACAAAUUUUAACUUCAAUCAAAGGAAACGGUUUGGAAGGGUUUAUCAAUGGCGAUCGAGAAUGUCCUGAGCAAUUUCUUUCUUCUGGAAACAACAAUGGAGCUGAAGUUUUAACUGAGUCUGGAUCCAGAUCUGUUAAUCCAGAAUUCGAAGCUUGGAUGAAGACUGACCAACUCUUACUGAGUUGGAUGAUGUCAUCGAUACAGCAAAAUCUGCUUGCUACUGUGAUUGAUUCUACAACUUCAAAACAGCUUUGGGAGACUCUUGCUAGUAUGUUCAUCUCUCAAUCACAAGCUAGAAUUCAAACACUUAGAAUGCAGAUUCAAACUAUUAAGAAAGGUGCCAUGCAUAUUUCUGAUUAUUUUGUUAAAGUAAAACGCAUAGCUGAUACUUUAGCUCUAGCUGGAAAACCUAUUGAGUUAAAUGAUCUUGUGAUGCAUAUAUUAACUGGUCUUGAUUCAUCAGACUAUGAAUCUUUAGUCACAGCUAUGUUAGCUCGAGGUGAAAAGAUCACAUUAGAUGAACUAUAUUCUUUGUUGUUGAAUCAUGAAAAUAGAGUUGAGCAAAAGAAAGGGAAAAUUGCUAGUGAUGUGAUGCAUAACAUGACAGCAAAUAUUGCUCAGAAAAAUUCAUAUGCUGGAAAGAAUAAUGGAAAUUUUCAGAAAAAUUAUGGAAAUAACUAUCGAAGAGGUAAUAAUUCUGGAUAUGGAGGUUCUAAUGGAUAUGGAUAUGGUCAGUUUAAUACUAGCAGUAAUUCCUCUGAAGUUGUUUGUCAAAUUUGCUUUAUACCUGGUCAUGCAGCAAAUAGAUGUAGGAAUAGGUACAACUCAUCCUUUGUUCCACAGAGGAAUCAUGGUAGAGGAAAUAUGAAUGGUGGCAGAGGUUUUAAUCAAGGGCAAUAUGGCAGAGGAAGAGUCUAUAAUGGUAAUAGUGGAAGAGGAUUUGGAGGUUUUGGUUCAAAUGCUGGUUUUGGACAAAAUGCUAGUUUUGGUCAUGCACCCAGGGGUUUUGGCUAUUAAGGAAAUAUAGUGUAUCCAGAUAGCAAUCCUUCUGCCUAUUACUCUUUCACUCCUGGAUCAUCUAAUUUUGUUGCUGGUCAAGGAAACAACAAUCCUGGACAGUCAAGUGCUUCAUCUUCCUCAGCUAUGUCUUUUUCACUCCCAGAAUACAUUUAAGAUCCUUCCUGGUACAUUGACAGUGGAGCAACAAAUCACAUUACUAAUGAUCUAGGUAAACUUCUAGAUUCACAAGCUUAUACUGGUACUGAAAAGUUAUUUGUUGGGGAUGGAAAUGCAUUAGCUAUUACACAUAUAGGAUCAGUUGUGCUAAACACUUCCAAUUCUCAAUCUUUAUUUCUUAACCAUGUUCUUCAUGUCCCUUUUAUUACUAAGAAUUUGCUUAGUAUCUCAAAAUUAUUGGCUGACAAUCCAGUUACUGUUGAAUUUCUUGGUGAUUUCUGUUUUAUAAAGGCCAAGAACACAAGGAAAAUUUUACUUGAAGGUGUUGCUAAAGGUGGCUUGUAUAGAGUCUCUUCACAUGCUGCUGCUCACUCAGUCUUUCUCAGUUCAGUUGGUCAAAACAAAAUUUAGUCUCUCUUUGCUUGGUCUCCUGUUUUUACUUCUGAAAAACCUUCUGUUGUUAGUUCUUAUAAACUCAAUAAAAAGUCAUGUAUGUCAGUUGUUGCAAAGGGUUUAACUGAUGUAAAUCUUCUGCAUAGAAGAUUAGGACACCCAGCCCCUUAUACUCUCAAAAUUAUUCUCAAAGCUUGUAACAACUUUACUGCUCUUAAUAAAGUUGAAAGUUUGAAAUUUUGUUCAGCAUGUCAAUAUGGAAAAAUCAUAUGCUGCAUUUUAAUUCAGUUGAAACAAAAACUUCAGCACCUUUAGAAUUGAUAUAUGCAGAUUUGUGGGGUCCUUCUCAUGUUUGUUCUACCCAAGGAUAUAACUACUACCUAUCAAUCCUAGAUGAUUACAGUAGGUUUACCUGGAUAUUCCCUUUAUCAGCAAAAUCUGAUGCUCUUGAAGUGUUUAAAAAUUUCAAAACAUUCAUUGAAAAGCAUCUUCAACUUUCAAUCAAAACUGUCCAAACAGACUGGGGAGGGGAGUUCAAAUCUUUUUCCUCAUUACUCACUACUUCUGGUAUCCAUUUUAGACACCCUUGUCCACAUAUUCAUCACCAAAAUGGAAGAAUUGAGAGGAAGCAUAGACACAUAGUUGAUGUAGGUCUGACUUUAUUAGCUCAAGCACAUUUACCACUCAAAUUUUGGUGGAAUGCAUUCCACACAGCUGUCUAUUUGAUAAACAGACUUCUCACUCCAGUUCUAAAUAGCAUUUCUCCCUUUCAAAAGUUGUUUCAUUAUCAACCAGAUUAUUCAACACUUAAAACUUUCGACUGUGCUUGUUAUCUAACACUCAGACCAUACAAUAGAUAUAAGUUUGAUUUCAGAACUGCUAGAUGUAUAUUCAUUGGCUAUAGUUCACAACACAAGGGAUAUAUGUGUCUUCAUUCUUCUAGAAGGGUCUAUAUUUCUAAUCAUUUCACUUUUGAUGAAAAUUCCUUUCCUUAUGAGUCUGGGGUAGAUUUUUCUUUAACUUCUUUAAGUUGUCAGUCCACUUCACACUCUGAGUCCUCUUUUCAGUCUUCCCCUUCUUCUGUUACUCAGUUACAAGCACCUUUAGCAGCAUCAUCAGCACUUCAACCAACUCACCCUGCUGAUCAUCAAUCUAAUGCUUCUACUCCUGUUUAUUUUUCUGAUAACUCCAACUCAGCUUCUCAUUUCUCAUCUUCUCAUUCUUCACCUCCACAUACAUUACCCCAACCUGUACCAUCUGGUCAUCCAAUGGUAACCAGAUCAAAAGUAGGUAUUUUCAAGCCAAAAGUUUAUUUGUCAGCCUUGUUAGCCCAGCAAUCAGAACCAACUUCUGUUUCCAAAGCACUCUCUGAUCCUAUGUGGUAUAAGGCUAUACAAGAAGAGUAUCUAGCACUUAAAGCUAAUCACACCUGGGAUUUGGUUUUACAUACUACUCCAGUGAAGAUAGUUGGUAACAAGUGGGUGUUUCGAAUUAAGUAUAACUCAGAUGGCUCGGUUUCAAGGCACAAAGCCAGACUUGUUGCUAAGGGGUUUCACCAGACACAUGGGGUUGAUUACACAGAAACCUUCAGUCCAGUGGUUAAGUCUUCAACUAUCAGAGUUAUUCUUAGCUUAGCAAUAUUGAAUCACUGGGUUAUUCGGCAAGUGGAUGUUAAUAAUGCCUUCCUCAAUGGCAUUUUAAUUGAAGAUGUGUACAUGGCUCAGCCUCAAGGUUUUGUUGAUUCAACUAAACCUAAUCAUGUUUGCAAGCUGAAUAAGGCUUUAUAUGGUUUAAAACAGGCUCCUAGAGCCUGGUUUGAUAGAUUUAAGGAUGCAAUGCUCUCCUAGUGGCAUUUUCAGCAUUCAAGGUCUGAUAACUCUCUCUUUUAUACCUGGAACAAUGGUCAUGUAACUAUUGUUUUAGUCUAUGUUGAUGAUAUUAUCAUCACUGGCUCAAGUCCAUCACUAAUUCAGCAAGCUAUUCAGAAUAUGCAUCAAACUUUUGCUUUAAAAGAUCUGGGGGAACUUAACUAUUUUUUGGGGAUUGAAGUCAGCAAGUCCUCCACAGGGGUUUCUUUGACACAAGCAAAGUAUAUUGCUGAUGUUCUGGAAAAACAUGGCAUGAUUGAUUGCAGUCCCGUGCCAACUCCCAUGUCUACAGGUUAUUACUCACCAAAGACUCAGGGGAGCCAAUUGACAAUGUCUCUCAAUACAGGAGUGUUAUAAGAGCUCUUCAGUAUGUUACUCUUACCAGACCUGACAUUGUUUUUUCUGUCAAUAAGUUAAGUCAGUUCCUUUCCGAUCCUAGAACUCAACAUUGGGAAGCAUGCAAAAGGUUAUUGAGGUACUUAAAAGGUACUAUCCAUCUUGGGCUACAAUUCUACAACCAAGGAGCUCUGCAAAUCCAUUGUUUUUCAGACUCUGAUUGGGCUUGUGAUCAUGAUGAUAGGAAGUUAGUAGCUGGCUUUGCUGUUUAUCUAGGUCCUAAUCUUGUUUCUUGGUAGUCCAAGAAGCAAGCUAUUGUUUCUAGAUCCAGCACAGAGGCUGAGUACAGAUCUCUUGCUCAUGCUGCUUUAGAGGUUACCUGGAUUAAGUCUUUACUUGGUGAACUUAGCGUCAACUUGAGCUCUACUCCUAUGAUGUGGUGUGAUAAUCAAGGAGCUAUUGCUUUAGCUUAUAAUCCAGUCUAUCAUGCUAAAACUAAGCAUGUUGAAUUGGAUAUCCAUUUCAUCCGAGAUAAAGUUACUGCUAAAGAAGUUGCAGUCUGCUAUGUGCCUAGUCAAGAUCAAACAGCAGAUGUGUUGACUAAAGCUCUCUCUUUCAAACAGUUUAGUUACUUCCAAAGUAAGCUGAAUGUUCAUCCUAAACAUUUCAGCUUGAGGGGGGGUGUUAGUGAAUCAGAUGAAGCUGGAGCAGAGCAUGAUGUUGCUGUGUAGCUGGAGCAGAGCAUGAUGUUGCUAUGUAGCUGGUUGUAUCAGAUCAAAUCAUUAAGCUGACUUGUCAAAGUUAGUUAGCUGGUUGAGCUGAUGUGUCAAGUUAGUUAUACAGCAAAUGGUUAUGUGUUGCAACAAUCUCGUGUGUGUGUUAAGAGAUUGUAGCUCAAUAUAAAUAUUAAUUGGUAGUCAUUAAACUGUAAGCUUGGAAUAAUAAAAAGAUCUAACGGUUUUCUUUGCAAAGCUUUUCUUUUAUUUUCUUUCAUUUUCUAGCCUACCAAACAAUAUAGAACUAAGUUUCUUUCAUGUAAAUUGAAGACUCACUGAACGCUCCAAGUUUCAGGUAACUCUUGUGUUGUGUGCUCGGAGUAUUCUCUAUUGUAUUUUUUUUGUUUGUUAUUUAUUUGACGUAUUGCUAGCAGAGAUCUUGGGUGGGAACCAGAAAUUCCCAACAAUUGUCAAUUGUUUUAAACUCUAUUCUGAACAGAGCAUAAAGGGACUCACUUAUCUAAUUUUGUCUUUUAUGCUUUAACUUCACUUGAUUUCAUCUUUUCCGUCACCUUUGUUAAAGUUGUAUAUGUUGGAGUAUUAGGUUCAUCAUAAGGAUCAUUUUAUGGCUAAGGAAGGAGCACACUUUAUCAGCUACACUCAAGUGUAGCAGAGAAUUUGGAUUCAAGACUGUUAGAAGGUUGUUACAGAUGCAAGGCUAUUGCUGUGUAAUUGUAAUGCUGCGUAGCACCGUAAGUAAGAAGAAAAGUGUCUAAGGUUGCCACGUGUUGUCUCAACGUCUGUGUGAAAACCGAUUUGUUUAAUCAAAAUCAUAAACACCAUUUUGAAAAUCCAUGGCCAUGGUCGUGAUGUGUCUUUAUCAAUCACGGAUACCAAAUUUAAUCAAAAUUAUCGAUUGUUUUAAAUUCUGUUUUUAACAGAGCAUGAAGAUGUCGCUUAUCUAGAUUUACUUUUUAUGCUUUGACUUCACUUAAUACAGCUUCUUCCUCCUUUAUCUGUAUGCCAUGCCGGCAAGUGUAUUGUACAGAUUUCUAGAGUAUUACCUGUCUAUUUUUUUCACCGAUGACGAAGCUAAUUAUUAGUAAUCAAUCUAAAGUCUACCUAUAAAUACAAUAGGUUGCUUAGGUGGCACCAAUAUCCUAACUUUAUGCCAUGUUUCUGGUGUGUCUUCACAAAUUCACCGAUACAAAUUAAUUUCUACCAAUAUUACCAAAUGAUUGUAUUUUACGUUUCUAUUUACUUGUAAUAAAGAUCUUCAAUUUUAUUGGUUACAAAAUUCUCUAGGAUUGCAUGUACAUUAUACUUUUAUAUACAUAUUUUCUUCUUUCUCAUUCGUUUUCUGGGUGAACAUAUUAUUUUCGUCAUCAUCUCUAUAACAAUGAAGUGAAAAUAGUCCUCAUUUAAAGUAUUGACAGCAAUGUUAUACUCAAUAUAACGCAUAAAGCACGCAUAAUUUAAUUAAUGGGGUAGCUGCUAGUACCUUCUUUAGAAGAGAAUUAUUGCAGCAAGGUAAUUGGAAGCUCAAAGAGUUUCCGUAUUAGCCGAAUCUAAGCGAUAAGUGUUUCCAUGUGAGCCAUAAUUUGGGAAAAAGACCAAUUCGAGUUAAAGAUCAGAAAACAGACACUGUCAACAAGCAUUAAUAUCAUUUGAUGCAUGAAAGACAGUUAGUCCCAUUUUUUUGUCCUGUUUACUUGAGUUGGGCAAUUUGCCGUCAACUUUUCUCAUCCACGUCAGGUAAUGUGGCUUUUAUUUGGUAUGAAAAAGCCAAUGCUUUACGAUAAAACUGUCACACACAUAUUAUCCAUCUGUAAUGUUCAAAUGACACUGAAGUAUUACCUAAAUUAGGCUUUCAAAAAUUCAUUUUCAAAAACCCAUGGUUGUGAUGUGUCUCUAUAAAUUAAGAUCUAUCUGUUACCAACUGUUUUAACUCUGUUCUGAACAGAGCUUGAAAGGGUACAUUCACUUAUCUAGUUAUGUUUUUUAGGCUCUCACUUUACUUGAUUCACCUUAUCCCUCUUUUGAAACAAUUGUUCACUGGCUGCACUCAGUUGACAAAAUAUUUUGGGAUUCAAGACUGUAGGUUGUUACGGAUGCAACUUGCAAGGCUGUUGCCAUGCUGGCAAGUGUGCUGCUAUAACAGAUUGUUGAGAUGGCACCAAAGAUUGUAAACUAAUUAGUACUGGAAAAUCAUGAGUUUGGUGAUGAAGAGGACCAAAAACAUUAUUUUAUUAUUUAAAAUAAGACUAUCAAUUAUUUCCAUGGUCAUCUUUUUUUUUAUUUAUUAAUUGGCCUAAAUAUUGUAUUUUUUGUCAGGAGUCUUGCAAUGUUGCUUAACACCGUAAGUAAGAAGAAACGUGUCUAAGGUUGCCACGUGUUGUCUCAACAUAUGUGUGAAAACUGAAUUAACCAGUUUGCGUUCGACAACAAAGGAAAAUACUUCUUGUUGCUGACCGGUUGAUAAGUAUUUCAAUACCUCCACCAAAAUCUUUAUAACACCCUUUUUAAUUUUAUUUUCUGAAAUACACUUAGUUUUUUAAAAAAGAGCUUUAUGAGAAAUUUUCAGUGUGUCAAAAGGCCUACUUAAUGGACUGGAUCCCGACUCAUUAAUUUUAUAACCCGACUUACAAUCCGACUCAUUAUUCACAGAGAUUAAUUUUCUAUUGCUUAAGGCACAAUAUUUACUAAGCAAUUUAUCGGCAAUAAAACAUGUAUAUUAUUGUGGUUUGUAAUAAAAUUGGAAGAAGACAUCACGUACGAAUUGGAUUUAUCCAAUGAAAUUUGAUUAACGAAACUGUAUGAAAAUAUAUCAAGAAAAUAGUAAAAAAAAAUGUUGUGUAAAUGCUGUAUAGGUGAUAUAUUACUUUUAUAAUCCAUCAAGGUACAUUUGAUUUUAAUGAUGAAACAAAUACAAAUAAAUCUAUGUGCGUCAAUGCUAGAUGGCUCCAUAUUAAACUUGUGAAGUAUAGAAAAUAAGCAGGAUUCGUAACAAAUAUUUUAGAUAAUACCACUGAAAAGUUAUAAAAAUAUUUUUUAAAAAAAGAAAUACAUGCUCGAGACACCACGACCGACGCGCACAAACUCACAUAUUUAUAUAUUAAUUGAGGUAAAAAAUGAUAUUCUGAGUAAUAUUGUUGACAUAUGAUUAAAAUUCUUUUUGAUGAAACAUUUUCGUAUAAAUACUAGUGAUAUUUGUAGAGAAAGUAGAAUGAAGUGAAAAAAACUUGAAUAUAAAUGCUCCAAUAUAAUUUUUCCCAUACAAAUUAUGAACUAGUGAACUUUAAAGCAUCAUAAAAUUGUUUCAACAUAAGUAAUUAGUUUGAAAAAUUGCCAAUAAUGUUUAAAGUGGGAACGAAAAGAUUAUACUAUAUGAGACACGAUAUUAUUUAAGACAGCUUACAAAUUGUGGGAAAUAUAUCGAUCUUACAAAUAAUAUUUAAUAAGUACAAAUUUCAAAUUAAAUAAUAAACCCUUAAUUUCCUUUUAAUCAUAAUUAUGAUCUUAAUAAUUAAAGUCAUUCAAUCUUAAUCACUUUUUUAUUUUUUUAAACUAUCUAAAUGACAUCGAAAACUCUACUCAAUAUUAAUUUAUUCGAAUGUUUUGUUUCAAAAAAAUUGAAAACUGUAAAUGAAACAAAUGCUUGCAAUCACAAAUGGCCUAAAAUAGGAUUUUUAUUUUUUAAUAUUGCAAUGUCUUUGAUCUUGAUAUUGGAAAUUUAUUUGUAACUUAUACCAAGUCUUCAAUUUUAUCAUAAUUAGUUUCUAAAGAUGCAUUUGCCAUACUGUGUAGUUGUAUUGUAUGAUGAUAUAUUACAUUAGGGUGCAUUGUAUUGAGCUGUAAUGCAAUACUAUUUUAUAUUAAUGUUAAAACUAAAUCAACAUUAUUUAAAUUUAUUAAUAUUUUAGGAUUUUAUUAGUAAUUUCUUAAAUUAAGUAUUAAAUAAUUAUUUUUAUAAUAUACAAACUAUUUAAUAAUAUUUUACUAUUAAAUAAUAAAAUAUUACAAUAUUAUGUUAUAUUAUUAAUAAUUAUUCUGUUAUAAUAUAAUUUAUUUUUAUAUAUUAGUUAUUAUAAUUUAGUAGAAUCAUAUUAUAAUAAUAUUAUAUUUUAAAAAUAUAAUACUAUAUAACUGUAUAAUAUAAUAUGAAUUAAUUUAUAAUUUAACAUUAAAUUAUAAAUUUAUUUUAUUUAUUAAUGUCAAAUAUAAUUGUCUAAUUUAAAUUUAGUUUUAAAUUUAGUAUUUUUUUAAAAAUAAACUAUUUAGUAAAAUUUAAAAAUAUAUUUUUAUUUAUUAAAUAAAACUAAAAUAUACUUUUAUGCAUUUAAAGUAAAAUUACUAAAAUGAUUUUAUAUAAUAAAGUAAAAUAAUGUAUUAUUAUUUAUUAAUUAAAUAUUUAGGUUUAUUAAUAUAAUAUAUUAUUAAUUAAAUUAAUGAAUAUUAAUUAAUAAUUUAAAUUUAUUAAAUAAUAAAAGUUAAAUGAUUAUAUUUAAAAUAUAAAUAGUAUUUUAAUGCAAUAAAACCUAAAUCCCACAUGUAUGCCACAUUUGUUAUACAGUGUAAUGCAACUAUAAAUUAUAAUUAUAUAAAAAUAAUAUUUUAAUACAAUAUAAUACAAGUAUAAUGCCACUUGAGAAAUUGAUAUUUUAAUCAUAAAAACCAAUAUAAUACAAUGAUUCUGUCCUCUUUAUUAUUUUUCUAAAUGCUUCCAUGGCAUAAUCUCAUUGGUCCAUUUUGUUUCACAGCUUAGAUUCAACUGCAAGAUUUUCAAUUUGAAGCAAGCUGUGGUCCACUGGCCGUGGCCAAACAAACAUGCCUCAUGAAGUCAUGGUGACUGAAUCAUCUCUUAUGUCAGAAUUUGAACUUAAACAAUUUGAACAUAGACUGUUUUUUGAUUGUCGAAGAUUCGCUUCAAAAAUUAGUAUUUUUUAGUGGAGUUUGGUUGUCUCGUAUCCUUCAAUUGUUGUUUGGUUAUGAAAAUAAUUUUUGAUUUUAGGGAAUUUCGAUUAUCUGGUUUAGUUUGAGUGCAAUUUCCUCUAUUUACGGUUUCAGUGUGACGGAUAAAUUGCAAUUUCGAAUUUUUGAUAAAAUUAAAAUUAAAAUUGGGCGGUUAUUAAUUAAUUGAUGGCUAGUGAUACUGCAACGGCGGCCGAAGCUCCGGAAGAAGCGGAGGCGGUGGAGGAGUAUGAUAGCGAUCCAGAUGAAGUGAAACACUCUCUCGUGAUGCGCAGAAUGGAAGCAAGCGAUGAUGAGUGUUAAGGAAGCUCAUGUUGCAGUCAAAGGAGCAGCUCAGUUAGCACGUGUGAAUCAAAGCACUCAUUUAAUGGAAAUUUUUCUAGAUGCUUCAAUGGCAGAAUCUCGUUGGUCUAUAACUCUCACGCCUUUGACUCAAGAUUCAAUUUCAAACCAACGCCGAACAAACAGUAUAAACCUUAAUAAGUCUGUGGCUCACCGAAUAAUAUCUCUUACGUCAGAAUUUAAACUUAAACAAAGCUACAUCCCACGUGUCCCCAACUUUCUUCAUAUUCCCAGAAAACCCCUACCAGAUCCAGAUAAUUACCUUCACUCUUCUCGUAUAAAUAGAGAAGAUGAUGAUUCCUACAAAGCCACGUAAGUCAAGUGAACGUUACGGCCAUGGGACGUUGGAAUUGGAUCAAACCACCGGAAUGUAAAGCAAAAUUAACCGAAUAGACUAAAUUAGAUCCAACCAUUUGAAUCGGUUGAGUGUCACUCAAAAAACAAAUAAAUAUAUAAAACAACACAAUUAUCAUAUUAAUGGGGUUCAGUGGAUGCUUCUUUUUUUUCAUUUUCAAUGAAUGCUUAAUAUGCAUUCAAUAUGAAAAACAAUCUGUCCCAUUGAGCACUGUUGAAGUCAUUGAAUGAAAAUGAAUACUUCUAUAAGAAACAAUCAUUCCCCUAUUUAUUUGACACGCAAAGAACUUUCUUACUCAGCUCGGCGGCCAAACCUUUAACAUUUGUUGAAAUUCAGUUAAUUGGUGAAUGUGACAUAACUCGAUAAAUCGUUUAAUUUGUAUAAUUGAUAAAAAUUUGAACUUCAAAUAAUAUAUGUUUUCAAUUUUAGAUAAUGGAUAUAUGUCAUGAUACUAUGAGCAAAUGAAGCGUCUGAUAGAAAACAUAAUGUUUGUAUUAGAAAUUUUAAGUGUGAAUCUAUUUACUGUUGGUUUUAUAUAUAAAAAAUUAGUUACCAACUUGUCUUGUUUCUCAUUUUGUUCAAUUUUCAUAAAUUUGACUAACGAUUAAUUGUGAGCGAAGAGUUUGUUGUAAAAAUAUGGUCUUCCAUUUACUAUAAAAAGAUUAGUGUGAUUUAAUUAUUUUUUCCUUUUGCUUCAUUUCUAGAAAAUUAUGAAUACUUUGGCAAAUAAGAUAAUUAAUUAUAAACAUCGUUUUCAAAAUCCAUGACCAUGGUUGUGAUGCGUCUUUGUAAAUAGCUAAUACAAAAUUAAUUUCUAUCAAAAUUACGGUAAUUACCAUUUGUUUUAAACUCUGUUCUGAACAGAGCAUGAAAAUACCACUUAUCUAGAUUUGCUUUUCAUGCUUUCACUUCACUUAAUCCAGCUUGUCCCUCCUUUGACUGUAUGCCGUGCUGGCAAGUGUGCUAUGCAGAUUACUGAGCUGACUAAUCAAUUUGAAGUGUACCAAUAAUAGAUUGGUGCCAGCUACUAACCUUAUGCCAUGUUAGUGCACAAUAACAGAUUGCUUAAGUUGGCUGGCACCAAUCUACUAACCCUAUGCCAUGUUUCUAAUGUGUCUAUAAAUUCACUAACACGUAUUAAUUUCUGCCAACAUUACCGAAUGAUUGUAUCGAUUUUUAAGCACGUAAACAUACCAGCUUUCUUUCUUUUACUCUCUAUUUCAUGUUUAUUCAAUUUCAAUCUUCUGCAAGUUUCUUUUACAUGCAUUUUUUCUUCUCUCUUUUGUUUUUUUGGUAAACAUAUUAUUUUAUCAUCUAUUACUAUAAGAAUGAAAUGAAAAUAGUCCUCAUUUAAAGUUUUGACAGCAAUGUUAUACUCAAUAUAACGUAUAAAGCACGCAUAAUUUAAUUAAUGGGGCUGCUAAUAUCUUCUUUAAAAGAGAAUUAUCGCAGCCACGUAGUUGGAAGCUCAAAGAGUUUCCAUAUUAGCCGAACCUAAGUGAUAAGCGUUUCCUUAUGAGCCAUGAUUUGGGGAAAAAAACCAAUUCAAGUUAAAGAUCAGAAAAGUGUGUCCCUCACGAAUACAAUAAUUCAAGCCACACAUUUAUCAAACGCAUGGCAGGGACGCUUCAACAUGUUGUCUCAUGGAAAGAAAUCCUUGUCUUUGACUUAAUACAAUGUUACAGAAAAAAUAUUGGGUGCUCCCACUGGCUGCUUUUAUUGAGUGGCAGAAUCAGAAUUUUAUUUCGGGUAAAAUCUCGUUUAGUCCCUAUAUUUUGAGGUUAGUGUCCGUUCAGUCCCUAUAUUUUUAAAAAUAUCUCAAAACAUCCCUGACAUUAAAUUAUUAGCACAUUUCCUCUUAUUUUUUGUUGCUUUUGGCUUAAUUUUUACAAUAUUACCCUCUUAUAAUAUUUUUUUUGGACAUUAGUAAAAAGAAAAAAAUUAAUUAUCAAUUUAAUCUCAAAAAAUAAAAUAGUAACAAAAUUAAUAUAUCAUACUUUUUUGUAACACACUACUGAGGAAUUAAUAUAAUAAUUUUUUUAUUACUAAUGUCCAAAAAAAAGGUAAUUUAAUUAUUUUAUUUUUGGGGUUAAAUUGAUAAUUUAAAUUUUUUUCUUUUUAUUAAUUUUAUAACAAGAAACAUUAUUGUAAGAGGGUAAUAUUAUAAAAGGAAGUCAAAAGAAACAAAAAGUAACAGCAUGGAUGUCAAUAAUUUAAGGGUAAGGAUGUUUUGAGGUAUUUAUAAAAAUAUAGGGACUAAAUGGGCACUAAUCUUAAAUUAUAUGGAUGAAACGAGCCUUUACCCUUUUAUUUCCAUGGUGGCAAUAAUGAUUAAACUGUAAACUUAAUUUGGUUGUGACAUGAAAAUAACGUUGUAAAUACUGGCUCUGCAUUUUAUAAAAUGCAGAUAUCUGUACUAGAAAAGAACUAUGACACACACACACACACACACACACACACACACACAUAUAAUCAUUCUCAGGUGCAGACGUCCGGAUUUUUUUUAAUGCAAACAAAUUUUUAAACCGUGCAAUUUUAAAGAAUUAGUUGUUGAAUAAACUAUAAAAUCAUGCUGUUUAGAAGAGUUAAAAGCUAACUCUCUUAUACCAUGCAGUUUUAAAGUGUGUCCGCAUAAAAAAAAAUGAGGACGCUCACACUAGAGAAGACUAUAUAUAUAUAUAUAUAUAUAUAUAUAUAUAUAGGUAUUCUCAUUUUAUUUUCAUGCGGAUACACUGUAAAACCGUAGGGUUUAAAAGAGUUGGUUAAUUUUUAACUCUUUUAAACUGCAUGGAUUAAAAGUGUGUCCACAUUAAGAAAAAUAUGGACAUCCGCACCCGAUAAUGAUUAUAUAUAUAUAAUAGUUUUUUGGUCCGGAAUUUUAAAGUGCGGGAAAGGUUAGGGAAAUCUUUAAAACCACAGAAUUUUAAAGGCUUAAAACUUGAAGCACUUAAACUGCACAUUUUAUGCAUUUUCCCGGACGUCCCCGUAAUUUAAAAUUCUAGAUUAUAUAUAUAUAUAUAUAUAAAGUUUUUUUUUCAAUUAACUAUUAUACCAUAUGAUUAAUAGCUGAUCCACACGAAAUUUACAUUUAGGCAAUUACUAUCAAAUAUCGAUACGUGUUUGAAUAAACUCUUAAAAAUCGAUUUCCACCUUCAUUAUUACAGCCCUUGUAUAAACUAACGCGGCAACAUAUAAUCAGUUGGUAAAAGAAUAAAUAUAUGUCAAGUGGGUUCUACCAUGUUUUUAAUUCAACGAAUGACAAUAUGCCACCUCGAUUUAUACAAUAAUAUUUAUGACUAUAUCAUUACUCAUUAAUUAAUAGGAACACUAAUUUAUUUUCUUAAAAGAGAAUUCAUCAAUUUGUACAAUAGUAUUUUUACAAAAGUAUUUGUGACUGUAUCAAUACUUGUUAGCUAUUAAUAGACCACUAAUUUAUUCUUCUUAAAAGAGAAUUACUGCAGCAAGUUUGGAGGCACAAAGAUUUCCCAUAUUAGCCAAACAUAAGAGAUAAAGAGUUCAUAUGAGAGGUAAUUUGGAAAAUCAAUUCCAUGCAAUAGGUCUUAGUGGGUUCGACUCAGUAUACGAUUAUUUUCAAAUUUUUAACGUAUUAAAGAUUCCUAUAUCACAUUAUAAUUUUCAAACAAUCAAAAUGAGUCAAAUCAAAUUUAGAACUUUGAGGUCUACUAUAGACUUGGACGUAUUAAAUUUAAGACAAUUAAGCAAAUCCUAGACAAAAUCUAACUUGUAAAUAUACCUUACCACACGAUGAACGUACUGAUAAAUCUUAACUGAUUGCUCACCAAUUAAUUGUUAUUUUGCAAUUUUUAUGUAUCCUUUUUUUCCCUAAAACUUCUAGUUUCCUAACAUACGGUUCUCAAUUGGUCUAAUUAUACUGUAAAUUGUAUUUUAAAUAUAAAUAAAAUGAAUUUAUUUAAUGGAAAUUUGAAAAAGGGACACUUAUCUACGAAAGCAAAGUUGCAUUCUCUUUGUGGGGACCCUAAAAAAAAAAAACGAGCCAGAAUGAUACUCCGAUGACGAUAAUCCUUAAGCUUAAGCAUUAAUUUUCUUUGCUUACAAUUUGGUUUGAAGGGUUAAGUUCAAGUUCGAAUUGAUAGAAAGAAUGGGCUGGUCAGUAUGAUGAUGAUGAUGAAGAAGAAGAAGAGGGGGAUGUCUUUGAGGAUGAAGAGAAAGAAAGUUCUAAAAAAAAAAAUACAGAUUUGUGGAAAUUAAAUUAAAAGCAACUAAUUAAGCAUUAUAAAUUACUUAACAGAGUAAUGCUGAGCUAAUCAAGUUUGUUUUUGAAGAAGGUAUCUUUAAAUCUCUUGGAGUUAAAGAUAAUUAUCAUAUCGCCAUAUCAAACGGACCGAUUAAAAAAUAAACUUAAAUAUUAUUUAAAAUCAUUUAAAUUUAACUUAAUAUAAUCCAAUAUAGACAAUACUAUAUAUAAUCUAGUCUAAUCCAAUUCAAUUGUAAUAAAUAAUACAAUCCAAUCUUGCGAGACAAAAUUGGCCUAAGGGUACCAAUUGCGCAAUAAUCUUUAUAGCCCGUUUCCCAGCCACGCACCCUUUUGUAUUAGUAUUCUCACAGCCGUUGGAAAUAUGGUUCGUAAUCCAAUAAAUGACAUUUUAUGGCUGUUGCUUGCUAGUUUUUGUAAGGUGGCCAAGGCCUUUUAUCAAACACUAUAGGAUCAACUAGUACAAAAUGAAUUCAUUUGGGAUGCGUUUAACGUACUGUGUUAGCUAUAUGCCUAUUAUGAUGUAUUGCAUUAACAUGCAUUAUAUUAAGUUAUAAUGUUAUACUUUGAUAUAGUAUAAACUGUAUUAUAUAAGGUAAUGUUUUAUAUUAAUGUUAAAACUAAAUUAAUAUUAUUUAAAUUUAUUAAUAUUUUAGGAUUUUAUUAUUAAUUUUUUUAAUUAAGUAUUAAAAAUUAUUUUAUAGUAUAUAAAUGAGUUAAUAAUAUAUUAUUAUUAAAUGAUAAAAUACUAAAGUACUAUGUUAUAUUAUUAAAAAUUAUUAUAUUAUAAUAUAAUUUAUUUCUAGAUAUUAAUUAUUAUAAUAUAGUAUAAUCAUAUAAUAAUAUAAUAUAAGUUAAUAUUAUAUUGUAAAAAUAUAAUACUGUACAAUUAUUUAAUAUAAUGUAAAUUAAUUUAUAAUAUAAUAUUAAAUUAUAAAUUGAUUAAAUUAAAUUAAAAUACUUUUUACGUAUUUAAAGUAAAAUAAUUAAAAUAAUUUAUGUAAUAGAAGUAUGAUAAUGUAUUAUCAUUUUCUCAUUAAAUAUUUUAGGUUUGUUAAUUUGUUAAAUUAUUAUUGAAAUUAAAAUUAAUUGUUUAAAUGUAAAUAUAAAUAUAAAUGAAUGCUUAAUAAAAUCUACUCCUAUGGAUCUAUUUUAUACACUUUUUAUUCUAUGAACCACGCUUAUAAUGUAGUUGUAUAAUAGAAACUGGAUAUUUAAUGGAAGCAAAAUUGCGCACGGUUUGUGGGUCUGUCAAAAAAUGAUAAAAAGACCAAUAUGAUACACUGACUCUGUCCUCUUUAAUAUUUUUCUAGAUGCUUCCGUGGCAUAAUCUCAUUGGUCCAUUUUUCUUCACGGCUUAGAUUCAACUUCAAAAAUCAAUUUGAAGCAAACACAACAAUUCAACAAAUAUAAUUAGUGUAGAGUGUUCUGAUUUAUUCUAUAAGUAGCUCAUUUGUGCUUAAAACCUACAUGUAUUGCACGUUUCUAUCGGUAAUUUGAUUACCUUUCCGUACUUUAUCAAUUAUUGAAUGAUUUUACCGGUUUAAUCGCUUGAUUGUUUGAGUAUAAUCGGUAAUUUGAUCGUCUGUCAGCAAGUGAUUUACAAUUCACUCUCCAAUUUUCAUUAAUUUAGUGUAGCCAAGCUUUAACUAGAUAGGUAGAUAACGUGGUCAUGAAAACUUGAUUAAGAGUUUAAUGCAAUCAAAUCUACUUUAAUGAUUAUUUAAUGCACGGAGAUUUAACAUCAAUUAUCAUCACGUUAUUCUAACAACGAAAUUGUAGAGCUUGGAUCUUUACUCGAACAGUUUCACUGGCACUAUUUCUGACACAUUGGGCAAGCUGAAGGAAUUGCAAUUCCUGUAUGAUCAUUUCCCCAACUAUUAUUUGAAUAAUUAUUUAAUGCCGUUCAUUCCAGCUCUGUUUGGCUGUUAACUUUAUUUUGUUAUUUAUGAGGAGAUUCAUUUCUCACCUGAAGCUAGAAAAUUUAUUGUAAUACAUGGAAGUAUAUAUUGCAUUGAAUAAAAUGAAAUUGUUCAAAAAUUAACAAAUUCAGCUUUAUUAUAAUCUAAAACAAAGUAAAUAGAAUAAUACCCAUCAUGUGUAAAAAUAAAAAAUAAAAUUUUUUAUACCACUUGGAAUUUAUUUUAAAUGUUUUGGUCAAAUCUAAGAAGCACAAACUUUGAACAAUGAUAAUAGGUAAAAACUAAUAAUCUUAUAAUAAAAAGUAAGAAAAAAAAUCAAGUUGAUUUAGCAGCUAAGAAUAAAAAAAGAAAAAUAGAAAGAGAGAGAAAUUAGUUUAGUCUUUAACCAUUGUUAUACUAGAGAAAAAAAAUUAAUUAAGAGUAAUUUUAUGAAUUUUUAGAAAUGAGUGAAUUUAAAAUAAUAAAUUAUAAUUUAAUAAUUAUCUUAAUUAAAAAAAUGGGUGUUGAAAUAAAAUUAGUGAAUGACUCUUUAUUUUACGGAUCAAUGACUCUUUAUUUUUUCUUUUAUAUGAUAGCUUGCAAUCCCUGGUGUGUGUUGAUAGUGCCAUACAUAAAUACAAAAAUGAACAAUUUUUUUUUUUUUUUGGGGGGCCAAUUGCAGUUUUGAUAACUAAAAUCUGUGUGGUCCGGUUACCACAAAGGCUUGCCGCAGAUCCCUGCCAUUUUCUCCUCCACCUCCAUUUGGGGAAAUUACUACUUACUUUUUGCAAGUUUUUCUUGAAAUAUUUAUUCUGAUAAGAAAACCAAUAAUACAUUUUAAGAUUUGGGCUGUUUCAAAGAUCUUCCCUUGAUGUCUCUGCUACUGAUGAUAUAUUGGGAUCGACUUUUUUUAUGAAAUAGGAGUUAGACCGAACAACGUUAUAUUUUUUACGGACUCUCAUACCAUGGAAAAACUCAGCCUUAAAGAAUGGUAUGAUGCUUUGAUAUAUGAAGUAAUUGGUAUAUAUUUUGUACCUUCCAUACACGGUGUCUAGAAUUUUGAGAUUAAGAAGAGUAUAAAUGCUAUACAAAUACACUCCUUUCAUUUUAUACAACUUUGAUUGAUCAAGUUGUAUCUCUUUGAUAAUAUGUUCUAUCUUCUUUCAUUUUAAACUUCAAUUGAGUUGCUAUCUAUUUAACUUUGGCAAGUCAGAGAGAGGGAUGGGACUGUCCAAUUAAAAUUAAGUUCCAAUUGCCAAUCCCACCAUUGUUGUCUCAUGUUUGCCAAAUUCAAAUUUGAAAAUCUCACCAAGUCAGUAUGGUGAUGUUGUGGGAUUGUCUCGCCUAGGUUUUUAGCCUCAUGACCUCCUUUAUUAGAAAAAGUCUUAAGUGUUCUUACUCAAUGGUAGAAUCAUGAUUUUACUUCAAUGGAAGCCAUAAUGAUUAAAAUAUACUCUUUUGAUUAAUUACUUAUUUGAUGUUGCUCUCUCUACCAUCAUCUCCAUCUUUAUGAAAAAAUUUAUUGUAAUACAUGGAAGUAUAUAUUGCAUUGAAUAAAAUGAAAUUGUUCAAAAAUUAACAAAUUCAGCUUUAUUAUAAUCUAAAACAAAGUAAAUAGAAUAAUACCCAUCAUGUAAAAAUAAAAAAAAAUAAAAAUUUAUACCACUUUGAAUUUAUUUUAAAUGUUUGGUCAAAUCUCAGAAGCACAAACUUUCAACAAUGAUAAUAGGUAAAAACUGAUAAUCUUAUAAUAAAAAGCGAGAAAAAAAAUAAAGUUGAUUUAGCAGGUAAGAAUAAAAAAAGAAAAAUAGAAAGAGAGAGAAAUUAGUUUAGGCUCUAACCAUUGUUAUAGUAGAGAAAAAAAAAUUAAUCAAGAGUACUUUUAUGACUUUUUAGAAAAGAGUGAAUUAAAAUAAUAAGUUAUAAUUUGAUAAUUAUCUUAAUUAAAAAAAUAGGGGUUGAAAUAAAAUUAGUGAAUUUAAAUAGCCUGCCCAAAAUCCAAACUUGCAUAUCAAUUAUUUUCUAAUUUACAUAAAGUUUUUCUAUAUGUUUGAUAACAUUUGAUUCUCAAUUGGUCUAAUGGAGAAACAACCAGCAAAAAAAUAAAAUGAAUGAAAUUAAAUGGAAUUUUGAAAAGAGCAGUAGAUGACAUUUAUGUGCAAGCAAAAUGCAAAAUUGCAUUCUGUUUGUGGGAUCCUGGAAAAAAUAAAAGAAAGAAAACAGAGUAAGACGCUGGUACUGUGGGCUUUAAUAUUUUUCUAGAUGCUUCAAUGGCAGAUUCUCGUUGGUUCAUUUUUCUUUACGCCUUAGAUUCUAUGAUUCAAUUUCAAUCAAAUAAGACAAACAAAAGAAGCUUUUAAGCCUGCAGCUCAAAAAGAUGGCACUUUAAUUUUCGGCUGAACAUACAUAUGGCAAGAUUAUUAUUAUUGAGCUUGAUAAGUGGGGAUAGCAAAAUCCGAAUUCGGAUGUAGGUGCAUUCGGAUUUGGAUUCGGGAAAAAUUAUGUGGAUGUGGAUUUGGAUGCGGGUAAUAUCUGCACGAAUUGCGGGUGAAUAUUCUAAAUAUUUAGAUCCGCAUAAUAAUAAAUUUAAUUUUAAUUUUAAUAAUUUACAUAAUAAUAUUAAAUAUAAUAUAAUUAUACUUUAACAAUCAUUAAUUUAACAUCAAUUCAACAUAAAUACCAUACAACAACACCAUAAAUUCACAAACAAUAAUUUCACAAUAUAAAUCAAACAUAAAAAAUAAAAAUAAAAAUCUAUGGUAAACCGAUUUAUUACAAUAUUCUCUAAUUAUUAUUAUUAUUAUUAUUAUUUGUUUUUUAAUAUAUUCAUAGUUAAUGAAGAUUAUAGAGUUAAUUAUGCUUAUACAUUUAUAUAAAUAAUUUAAUUUAUAUAUUUUCAAUUGAAAUUUAAUUAAAUAAAUAAUUUAAUUAUAAAAUAAUGCAGAUCCGGAUAUCUAAUUUUUCGGAUGUAAAUGCAUCCGGAUCCGUACGGAUCUUAAUUUUUAAGAUUCGGAUUCUUUUUUUUUAACAUACAGAUUUAAAUUUUUUUGAAUUCGGAUCUUCUGAAUCUUUGCAGAUCCAGAGUUUAUUGCCAACCCUAAAUUGAUAAGGCUAUAGAAAAUUCAAUAUCCAGAUCGGAUAAGGAUCCAAUAAAUUAUAAAAUAUUGCGGCUCAAAGCCCAUAUGAUCAUGGGCCACCGCUUGCUCAUGCUUUGAAUCAAAAUUUUCUAAUGAAGUGAGGUUGGAAGCUAAAAGGGGCAAAUGAUGAAAUGGGGUUCAUCAUAUAUUGAGCCCAACGGGACAAGAUCAUCAUUUAAUUCCCUCCUCUUGUCGAUAGAUAUUUGCCGAAUUUUUUCAUUUAAAAAAUAUUAUAUUGGUUAAUAGAAUUUGAAGUUUUACAAAAUAUAAGUUUAAUUUAAAAAAAAAUUAUGUUUGUUAAUUUAAAAUUUUCAUUUGGUGGUUGUGUUUGAGAAAAAAUUUAGGUAUACUCGGAUAUACUCUCUUAUUAUUCAUUGAAUUUGGGUAUUUAAACAUACUAGUAUGUAGUAUUUUUAGGUAAUUAGCAGAGAAGUAUACGUGACAAAAAUAUAACACGUGAAACAAUACACAAUGAAAUUAUCUACAAUUUUCCAUUGACUUAGUCAACUCUUCAUUAAUUUCAUUGACUUGAUCAACUCAUGAUCUAACUUGACAACUUAAAAAUUAAAUUAUGCUAGUAAUUCCGUAAAAUUAAAAUUUAUCUCCCAAAAUUGAUAAAUACCAUGUCACUUUGUCAAAUUACUUAGGGUAAAAACUCUGUGGCUAAAAACUUUUAACAUUAGUUGUAUGCUAAUUGAGAAGGACAAGACACAAAAGAAUUAAAUUAAUGCCACAUCAUGCAACACUAACACUACUUACUCUUAACAAAUUCUUACAAACGUGAUUCAUGAAAUUAACUUGACUUUUUGUCUAAAAAAGGCCUAAAGAAUCAUGCCAAGCAACAAAUAAAGUAGUCCAAACGUGAUUCAUGAAACUUGAUAGGCACUAUCUAAAUAGUAUUAAUAUGGCCACCAAAAACAUGCGCGCAAAAUAGACUUUCUUGGACGAUCCAUGCCAAUCAGCAAAUAAAGUAGUCCGAACGUGAUUCGUGAAACUUGACUUCUUGUCUAAAAAUGCCUAAAGAAACAAGACCACAAUUUCCAUGCAAUAUCAAUAUGGUGGCCACAAUGCACUUUUUAAGCCAUUUUUCAAAACUAAGUUUCUUCGUUUCACAUGCACUAUUCAAGCAAUUUUUCAACAUUUUCUCCUUCCCCUAAAAGCUACAUGCAUGAAUCAUGUCCCAAUCAAUUUCUUGGCAAAAAUUGGAACGCAAGAACCGAUUGGAGCAUAAGGACAAUGUCACGAUUCAAGAUUCUCAGCAAGACCACGUCACAAUGCAUCACUUUUGGAAAGUAAUCUAGCAAUUUCCAAUGCCUUAGCUGAUUAAUGGCUUGACCAUGUCACGAUUGGUCCACAUUAUGCACAUGGCAAGAUCAAACAAAAUAUCACAGCUAGCUCGACGACUACUAGCCAAAAUAACAAGACAAUGACGGCCAGUUACAAACUCUUUACGAAGGAAAUACCGAAAUAUGAAUUUCCCUCCUAAUCACUUUCUUAUAUUAUCAUUAUUUUGUACAUAUAACAGAACACGUUCUCUCUUGUAAAGAAGUCAACAAAACGGUUUUAGUUUUCAUAUCAAUAAUAGAAUCCAAAAUCUUUCACAGCUUGCUUCUCCUUUGGACGCUUGAAAGACUUUCUUACCUGGCUAAAACUGUGAAAAUUGUUCAAACUAAUUUGAUUGAUAACUUUCUGACACUAUAAUGUAUUAUUUAUAUGAAGGCUACAUUUAAAUGUGAAAUAAAAAUGAGUGUUUAUAUUAAAAAACAAUCAGUCUCAUUGCGUCCUCUUUCAUUGACAUAGGCAGUUUGCGGUCAACCCUUUAUUAGGUCAUGACUGUCCGAUUGUCUUCGCUUUCAUUGACUUCGCAACUGUGAAUUCUAAGCCGGGUUAACGAUUGACAAAAUGUUAUAACCCAUAAAGCACGGAUAAUUAAUUAAUGGGCCACUGAUUUCUUCUUUAAAGGCUAAUUCUUGGUAAAGAUCAGAAAGUUCUCAAAUAAAAAUUCGGCUUUGUGGAAAUUAAAUUAAAAGCAAUUAAGCAUUAUAAAUUACUUAACAGCUUAAUCGAGUUUGGUUUUGAAAAAUAUAUCCUUAAAUCUCUUGUAAUUAAAGAUAAUUAUCAUAUUACCGUCUCAAAUGGACCGAUUUCAAUCAAAUGAAAUCUAGAAAAUUGAGCAGCUCAUUGAUGUAUUUGGUCGAAUUGUGACUUGUGUCAGAGUCUUCGUUUUAGAAGAGUGCACAGCAGCUGCCAGGUCCACUCGGCAGUUGGCAGCAAAUUAUCUAACACCACUUUACUAUCAAAAUUUUUUGACAAUAAUUUUUUGUCACUUAAUAUUUCAAUUUUUAUCAUUUUAUCAUCAAAAAAUAGUAAAUGCAUGUUUAGUGUAAGUUAUCCACAAACAUGGUUGUUGAAUUGUCUUGUUUCUCAUUUGGUUUAAUUUUCAUAAAUUCGACUCACACAAUUCAAUUAUGAGUGGAGUUUUUUUGGAAAAAAUCUGGUCUUCCAUUUACUAGAACCAGGUCUGAAUGAUUUUAUUAUUUUUCUUUUGUUUGAAAUAUACGUGGAAAAUGUUGAACACUUUGUAGGAUUUAGAAGAAUUUGAAAGUUUGAAUGCAUAUAGUUUACUAUCCAUCAGCUAGUGCAUAUUCUGUAUUUUAUGAAAUCAAAGCUGGUUGAUUGAGAAAUGGACCUUAUUACAUGUCAUAAGAUUUUACAGUGCUUUCUAAUGGGGCAAAAUAAAAUGAUUCUUAUCUGCACAGAAAAUUAGAAACGAAAAGGAGGGUUACUGAUCCACAGAGUUGUUAUUUACGAGAAGCACAUGGAUAUUACACUUAAUUUAUUAUCCAUCUGUAUUGUUUAGAUGACACUGAAGUAUUACCUAAAUUUAUUAUCCACAAAACUUCUUUUUCAAAAAUCUAUGGUUGUGAUGCGUCUCUAUAAACUCACUCGUACAAAUUCUAUCUAAUGCCAAUUGUUUUAAACCCUGCUCUGAAGAGAGCAUGAAAGGAUAUGUUCACUUAUCUAGUUAUGUUUUUUAUGCUUUCACUUCACUUGAUUAUAUCCAUCACAAGGAUCAUAUUAUAUCCUACGGAAGGAGCACAGUUCAUUGGCUGCACUCAGUUUACAGAGUAUUUCGGGAUUCAAGACUGUAGGUUGUUGCGGUUGCAACUUGCAAGGCUGUAGCUGUGUGACUGUAUGCCACGCUGGCAAGUGUGCUCUGACGGAUUGUGGAGAUGGCGCCAAAGAUUGUAAACUAAUUAGUACUGAAAAAUCCUAUUUGCACAUAAAAUUGCACAAAAUAAAUAGAAUGAGAAUAAUUGUACAAAGAAAUAAGAUUAAUAAAGUAAAUAAAUUUAUCUUUUAACAAAAUAUUUCUAGUCUUUUAGUGUUUUUGUGUACGUACAAGUAGCAUUACUCAUUCUAAUAAGUAGCUCACUUGAGCCUAGGACUUGUAACUAUGUUUUACCUUUCUGUAACUUUCUUAUAAAGAUUUUUUUUUUUUUUACAUUUUCAAUUUCUCUUCCAUUUUCCCGACUCCCAACACCACCAAUCCUCGGUUUUCUAGAGUAUCAGCUAUCUCUUUCUACAAACACAAAACUGCUAUUUACUUUCAAGAAACAACGUAUUCUGUGGUUUAUUGGCUUGAGCCUUGUGAACCGGGCUAAUGUUGGUCUAACUACUUUCACGAAACAACGUACUCCGUGGUUUAUUGACGCGCACGGUAGCUGCUAAGUGCUAACUGCCUUCUCCAUUUGACGUGCAAAACACUUUCUUGAGUCGGGUUAAAAUUAAUUGAUCAUUUUAUUUGGUGAUAAUGACUUAGUUGUCAAGUCAUGAGUUUGAUGAUGAAGAGGAUGAAAAAUAUUAUUUUAUUAUUUAAAAUAAGACUAUCAAUUAUUUCCAUGGUCAUCUUAUUUUCUAAAAUAACUAAAUGGAAUCUCACAGAAUUAAAGUGCUUGACUUCUUCAUACAGUGGUUGACUUCUUUUUACAGAAUUAUAAAGUGAAAAAGGAAAUUAAGAAAUUAAAUACUUUUCAUGCGAGUGGAGAAGAUUGGGUAGCGAUUACAUGAAAUAAAAGAAAAAUAAUUUAAAAGUACAACACUUUAAUAAUCUCAUUCCCAAUCAUAUCGGUAUAAAAAUUCUGUAGAUUUAUUGAAUAACUAUUGAUUUUACUUUGGUAAUUUCUUUCUAAAAGUGAGGUAAACAUUUUUAUUUUCUUUGCAUUCGAGCUUUCUUUCUUUUGCGCUGGCCUUCACACUCUUGACCGUAUUUCAUGGGGCACAUUCAAUCUCAAUCUACUGCAAGUUUGUGGCAGUUUUGUUAAUAACGAACAUUUGUAGGAUUUUAUGUAGAUGAUACUUUUACAUACAUUUUUCUUUUCUUUUUUUCUUCGGUGAACAAAUUAAAAAUUUAGUUUUUGUCAUCAUGACUAGUGAAAUGAAAAUUGUCCUCAUUUCAAGGAUUGACAAAAACGUUGUGCUCAUACCGAUUAAUGGGGAACUGAUUUCGUCUUCUUAAAAGAGAAUUAUUUGCAGCGCCGUAAUUCGGAGAUUUCUGUAUUAUAUAGCCAAACCUAAGUGAUAAGAAUUUCCAUAUGAGAUAUAAUUUGGAGGGAAACAAAAAACUAAUUCAAGUUAAAGACCAGGAAUUUGUGUUCCUCACAAAAACACUUCAACGUCUAUUCUCUCAUAGAGGGGAAUAUCCUUCACUCUUUGACGUAUCCCUGGGGCAAUGUAAGUUGACUUUACAUUAAAACAAAAAAUAAUUACAAUCACAUAAUUACAAUUAUCAUCACUGAUUUGUAUAAUUUUCAGGACUAGUAAAUUAUCUCAAUUUUUAAAAAACAUAAUUACAAUUAUCGAUCGAACACCACUAAUUCCAACAAUUCAUCCAAGUUUUUCAACUUUUUAGAUAUUUGAUAUAUGUCAUGUUUUAACUUAGUACGAGAAAAAAAAUAUAGAAUAAUUUUUUUUCAAAUUAGUGGAAUUAUUUUACGAUAAAACUAUCACAAUCACAUUGAAAAAUAUUCUUUAAAUUUUCACUAUUUCUACUGUUAUUCUUUAACCUUUUUUCUGAACAGAGCAUGGAGGGUUGCUUAUCUAAAUAUGUUUUCUGUGCUUUCACUUCACUUGAUUCAUCUUGUCCCUCUUUCAUAGCUUCUAUCUCGUGUGAGCUUAGAACCUGCAACUCGUAUUUUACGUUUCUGUUACUUUCUCUUUCAUUUUCCCGACUCCCAAACACCAUCAGUCCUUGAUGUUAUAGAGUAUUAGCUGUCUAUUUGUACAGACAUAGAGCUACUGUUCCCACUGUAGAUCUUCAGAUGGUUAGCUCACUAUUGUUUGAAUAUUAAAAUUAAUUUGUUAAAUAAAUAAAGAAAACAAGAGACAAUUGCCAUAUAUAUUCCAUAUUAAUUAGUCACCGUCCGAUUGUCUCCACUUCCAUUGACUCUGUUGAUUCAUGCUUUCAUGAAGUGAAACGUUUAACACUCUGUUCUGAUCCGCAGGAGAGGAGGAAAAACAUAAUUUUAUUAUUUCAUUCCUGACACGCGCAAAGAGCUUUCUUAAUUGAUGAAUGUGACAUGAAGCUCUAUAAAUAGUUUAAUUUGUAAAAUUGUUAAAAUUUGUUAAAUUUCAUUUAAUUGAUGAAUGUGACAUGAAGCUCUAUAAAUAGUUUAAUUUGAAAAAUUGUUAAAAAUUUAAAUUUCAAGUAAGGUAGAUAAAAUGAUUAAAUUUUUUCAAUAUUUAGAAAAUUAACAUGUGUCAUGUAACUAUGAGUGAAUGAAUGAAAUUUUUGAAGUGCGAAUCCAUUUACAAGUUACGACUUGUCUUGUUUCUCAUUUUACUUAAUUUUCAUAAAUUUGACUCACGAUCAAUUAUGAGUGAAGAGUUUGUUGGAAAAAUAUGGUCUUCCAUUUAUUGUAAUCAGAUGAGUGUGAUUUAAUUAUUUUUUCCUUUUGCUUGAUGUCCCGAAAAUUAUGAAUGCUUUUGUAGGAUGCAGAAGAUUAAAAAUUUUAAUGCAUAUCUAUAGUCAAAACUGAGGAAACAGAACAUUACUGCUUCUAUAAAUAGGUCAUUUCAACCUAAAACUUGUUACUUGUAUUUUACAUUUUUUUUUUUUAACUUUUUCUUCCAUUUUCCCAAACACCACCAAUCCUUGAUUCUUUUCCUAGAGUAUUAGCUGUCGAUUGUUACAAACAUAGACAUAUUGUUUGUCUAAUUACUAUCAAGAAACAACAUACUCUAUCCUGGGGUCUCUUCGUUUAUUUAAUAUUUAGGUUUAUUAAUAUACUAUAUUAUUAAUUAAUAAUUUAAAUUAAUUAAAUAAUAAAAGUUAAAUGAUUAUAUUGAAAAUCCAAGUAGUAUUUUAAUGUAAUGAAACCUAAAUCCCACCUCUAUACCACAUUUGUUAUACAAUGUAAUGCAACUAUAAAUUAUAAUUAUAUAAAAAUAAUAUUUUAAUACAAUAUAAUACAAAUUACAAGUGUAAGGCUGUAAUAUUAAUUAGCCUGUGUAAUAGUAUGCCAUGCUGGCAAGUGUGCUAUAACAGAUUGUCGAGCUGGCACCAAUUAUUUUAAACUAAUAUUAGUAAUUAGUCUAGAGUGUUCUGAUUUAUUCUAUUAAUAGCCCAUUUAAGCUUUGAACAUGUGAACUUGUAACGUGUACUGUACUUUUCUAUUACUUCUAAUAAAGAUUUUCUCUAUUCCUUUUUCUUCACUUUCUCUUCCGUUUUCCCGACCCUCAAACACCGUCAAUCCUUGAUUUGAACUGCUGUUUGUUUGUCUAAUUACUUUCAAGAACAAUACCCUCCAUCCCACGGUCUCUUCGUUUAUUGACUUGUUACUUGUGAACAGGGCUAAAUAAAGGGAAAAUACAACAAUUCAAGCCAGCCAUUUAUCAAACGCAUGACAGAGACGCUUCAACAGGUUGUCUCAUGGAAAGAAAUCCUUCAGUCUCUGACGUAAUACUUGGGGCAACGUAAAUUGACUUUACAUUGAACGAAACACUGGCCACAAACAUUAUCAAAAUUAAAUUGAUCGGUUUAACGUAAGUUUUUCUUCAAGAACGAAUGCCAAGAGCUCAAGAAAGUCCUAUCCUUUAGACACGUUAAGAAUUACUUUUCUUUUCAUAAUAAAUUAGAUUGAGUUAAUAAUAUUUGCCUGUGUGAAAUGAAUAAUCAGUUUAGUGUCACCCCAUUAUUAAUUUGUGACUGUCCGAUUGUCUCCUUUUUCAUUGACUUUGCAACUGUGACUUCUGAACCGGGUUAAGAGUUGACAAAAAUGUUAAUGUUAAUAUGUUAUAACUCAUAAAACACGCAUAAUUAAUUAAUGGCCCGCCAAUUUCUUCUUCUCAAAAGAGAAUUUUUGUAGGAGAUUGAAAAAAGGCUAAUUCAUGUUAAAUAUCUUAGAUGAGUGUCUAUCAGGGAUACAAGUCAAGCCACACGAUUUUUCUUGUUAUACUAUUUAUUGGCACUUGUGAAUCCUUGAAUUAUCAAAUGAAUAGCAACAACACUUCAAUAUCUAUUGUUACACGGAGAGAAAUCCGUUCUCUCUUUGAUGUACUACUUGGCAAUAUACAUUGAUCUUUCAUUAAAACAAGCAUUCUCAUAUUGUUGAGAAAAGCUCACGUUAAACUAUUCAAUUUAAUCAUUUAUUAAACAGAUAUUUGGUUUGAUUCAUUUAAUUCAUUUAGUAGAAUUAAUAAACGAAUCGGAUCGAAUCCAGAUUCAUUUAUUCUAUUACGAAUCCACAACGAAUUGAAUAGAAUCGAAUCAGAAUUCAUUUACAAUUCGUUUAGAAAAAUAUAAUUGAUUAACAAAAUUAAGCAAAAUAAAAUAUAAAAAAGCCGCAAAUUUAAUAUCCUACAACAAAAUACAAAUAACACAAACCAUAUUCUAGGAUUAAAUAUACAGUCAUCCAAAUUACAACAUUAACCUUCAAAUUUUAAAAUAAAUAAAUAAAUUUAAGGACAAAAAAAUAAUUUUAUUAAAUGAAUAAUAAACGAAUUUUAAACGAAUCGACAUGUAUUCGAUUUGUUUAUCACUUGUUUAUUAAACGAAUCCUAGACAAAUAUAACGAAUCAAUAUCUUCAAAGCUGGAUUUGAUUUGUUUAAUUAGCGAAUCGAAUCAAAUUAGCCCAUUUAUUAAACGAAUCAAUUUUUUCGAACCCAAACCCAUUUAAUUGGCAUCGAAUCAAAUAAACAAAUCCUGACCUAUAUUGUCACCCCUAGGCUUUUGGUGUUUCUUUGCGUAUUUUUGUGUACAAGUUUGUGUGCAAAUAGCAUUACUUAUCAAUAAUUAGUCUGGAGUGCUCUAAUUUCUUCUAAUAAGUAGCUCAUUUGGGCUUAGGACCUAUAACUAGUAUUUUACGUUUUUGUUAAUCUCUGAUAAAGAUUUUCUCUAUUCUUUUUUUUUUUCCUUUCACCUUCUCUUUCAUUUUCCGAGUCUCAAACACCACCAUUCCUUGAUUUUCUAGAGUAAUAGCUCUCUAUUUCGACAAUCGCAGAACUGUUGUUGAUCUAACUACUUUCAAGAAAUAACGUAUUCUGUGGCAUAUUGACUUGUGAACGGGCCUAAUUAGUCACGGUCCGAUUGUCUCCUCUUCCAUUGACUCGGUCAAUUCAUGACUUUGACCUGCACAGUUGAUACGAACUGACUUCUCCAUUUGACGUGCACAAAACUUUCUUUAGUCGGGUUCAAAUUAAUUGAUCACUUUGUUUGGUGAUGAUGAAUUGGAUGUCCAAUUCAUGAGUUUCAUGAUGAAGAGGACGAAAAACAUUAUUUUUUGAUUUAAAAAAGACAAACAAUUAUUUCGAUGGUCAUUUUAUUAUUAUUUUUUUAAAUAUCCAAAUGGUAGAAUCUUACAGAAUUAAGGUGCUUGACUUCUUUAUACAGAAUUACAAAGCGAAAAAAUAAAGAAAUAAAAUACUCAUCGUGCAAGUGAGAAGAGAUUGGGUUGUUGAUACAUUAAAUAAAAGAACAAUGAAUUAAAAGCAUAACAUUUCAAUAAUUUCAUUCUCAAUCAUAUCAAAAAUAAAAUUUACUGUACAUUGUUGUUCGGUUCUGCAAAAAAAAAAAAAAAAGGAUUUGCGGUUUUGCUUGAGUGUAAUUUUCGUUAAUUACAGUUUGAUUUGAAGGGUUAAGCGCACGUUCGGGUUUCUUUUAUGUAAUUUAAAUCAACAUUGAUAUAACAAAUGAGCUGAGUACGAUGAUGAAGAAGAGGAAGAGGGGUAUCAUCAAUUUAUUAUCAAAUCUUUUCUCAUACAUCACUUUAUCAUUAUAAGCUUUUGACAAUUAUUUUUAUCAAUCGGGGUUCUUGACUUUUUGUUUGAAGUCUAAAGCUUAAUAAUUUUAAAGCAUUUACCAUUUUUAUUUUGUUUUUUUAAUCACUUAUGUCUGAUUAUAAGAUGUUUAGGUAUGAAUAGAAAAAGUUAAAUAUUUUAACUUUUAUCUGAAUGACAAAAUAUAUAAAUGGAUUUUAAUAUUCUCUCUUGUUAAUACCCCUAUUCGAUAAAUUUAUUUCUUGUUAUAUAAAUUAUUGUUUUAUUUUUUUAUUUUUUUAUUUUUUUAUUUACCCCUCUCUUUUGUUAUAUACAUGCAUUCAACUAUCAUUUUUUUUUCUAUGAAUGAGAAUUUUAGACAUAAUAGAAAUUUAGGUGAGUAUGUUUUAUAAUAGAUCUAUCUCUUUGUAUUUACAUUUACUAUUUUAUAAUAAAAUUUUGAAUUUUAUUUACUACAUUAAUUUUAAUUCAAAUGAUAAAGCAAUUCUUGAUUGACUUAUAUAAUUAACAAGAAAAAAAUAUCAAUAUAAAAUACAAAAAAUAGCAUUAUAUUCAAUACUUUAAUAAUCUCAUUCCCAAUCAUACCGGAAAUAAAUUUUUCUGUAUAUUUAUGAAAUAACUAUUGAUUUUUUUUUUUAAAGGUAAACAUCUUUAUUUUCCUUGCACACGAGCCUUCUUUCUUUUGCUUUGGCCUUUACUGUUGAUUUCAAGGUCAUAUUCAAUCUCAAUCUUCUGUAGGUUUGUGGCUGUUUUAUGAGUUACGAUUUUUAUAGGAUUGCAUGUAAAUGACAUAUUUAUAUACAUUUUUUCUUUUCGGUGAAGAUAUUAAAAAUUUAGUAUUUGUUACCAUGUGAAAUGAAAAUAGUCCUCAUUUCAAGGAUUAAUGGGCCACUAAUUUCGUCUUCUUAAAAGAUAAUUAUUUGCAGCGAGAUAAUUGGAAGCUCGAAGAUUUCUAUAUUACAUAGCCAAACCUAAGUGAUAAGAAUUCCCAUAUGAGAUAUAAUUUUGGGAAAAAAAAAACCAAUUCUAGUUAAAGAUAAAAAAUUUGUGCUCCUCACAAAAACAAUAAUUCAAGCCACACAAUUUUUCUUGUUUUAUUUCAAAAACAAAAUUGUGUUCCUCACAAAAACACUUCAACAUCUGGAGAAAUUUUAGAAUAUAUCUGUUGUAACAUGUCAACCAUACAACAAACAAAUAAUUUCAUGACAUGUAUGUAUUUAUUUUAUAAGCUAUCAUUCAAGUGGUGGUUGUAUUAAACUCAAUUACACAUGUCAUGCAUGUAUUAAUUGGUUGUAAUACAACAGAUGUAUUAUAGAAUUAUUCCAACAUCUGUGGUCUAGUAAAGGGAAAAAUCCUUCACUCUUUGACGUGUCCCCAGGGCAAUGUAAGUUGACUUUACAUUAAAAAAAAAAAAAGAAACAUUGUCAUAUAGUUAAGAAAAACGUAAUUUUGACAAGUGCAAGAGAUGGGUAGGACUCAUUUGAUGCAAGAAAAACAAUGAGUAUACGCAAAGAGCUUUAUUACUCUGCAGCCAAUACUUUGAUGAAUGUGACAUUAUUGGUUUGUAUAAUUUUUUGGACUAAUAUUUUAUCUCAAUUUUUUUAAAAAAAUAUAAUUGCAAUUUUCAAACACGAUUAAUCCCAACAAUUUAUCCAAAAAUUUGAGUUUCAAUAAAUGUAGCAUUUAUGAUAGCAUGGCUAAUUUUUUUCAACCAACACUUUAGAUAAAUGAUAAAUCAAUAUUUGACAUGUUACUAACUUACUACAAGAAGGAAAUUAUAGAAUAAUUUUUUGAAUUAGCAGAAUUAUUUUACGAUAAACCUAACACAAUCUAAUUUAAAAAUAAAGUUAUUCUUUAAAUUUCCCGUUCCUAUUCCUACUUUUCUUGUUAUACUACUUUGGCACCGGUGAAGCCUUGAAUUAUCAAACAAAAAGCAAAAAACACUUCAACAACUGUUGUCCCACUAGGCAUUGUUAAAUUCAUACGAUAAAAUGAGUACUUGUAUUAAAAAACAAUGAGUCUCAUUGUGUCCUCUUUCAUUGAUAUAGGCAAUUUCCAGUCAAUUUGUGGCACCCUUACUGACACGUAAAAAACUUACUUACCCCUCACCCAAUACUUUUAUGAAUUUUCAGGACUAGCAAAAUUUUCAAAUUUAAAAGAAAAAAAAUGCAGAAAUAUAAUUUCAAUUUAUCCAGAUAUUUGGGUUUCAAGGAACAUAGCAUUUAUUAUAUGUCAUGUUAAUAUAGAGACUAAUUUUUUUUAAAAAAAAAUUGAAUGAAUAAAAGUAUUUUUUUGAUAAAAAUUUCACAAUCAUAUUUUUUUAAAAAAGUUUUUUUAAAAAAGAAAAUUCACUCCUCUUCUUACAUAAUUUAAUAAUUUAACAUUAUAAAUUAAUCUUUUUAAUCAAAGUAAUAAUCUCUCCUUCGGUGUGCGAAUGCUAAAAUUUAAUAUUAUAGUCGUUGAUGAUAUUUGCGUCAAAUUCACGUGAAUAAAAUUUCUAACAGAAUUAUGAAAUUCGUUACUAGAAAUUUGUAUAAAAGUAGUGAGAAUAGAAGGUUUGAUCAAAGGAAAUUAAUAUAUCCCUAUCCGAUGCAAAAAUUACAUUCUAUUUUCCAAUUACUAAGGUCAGCCUUAACGCAUGCCGGUCUUUUUCUCCUCUACUUUCUAGAAAUUUUGGUUUCACUAUAAAAACUCGGUAUAUAACAAACUUAUGAGUGUUCUUGCAUUACCAAUCCAAUUAAGCACACGCUUACAAUCUAAAAUACUCUCAUCUCAUGGAAAGAGUUCAUUCUCUCAGGAUGAUGAGCAUAUUUCUCCUACUCCAUUGUUUGAUUAUUAUUUCCUUAUUUAUCGCAGCAACAACAGCCACCACAAGUUCUACUAUCACAGACCGAGAUGCUCUGUUAGCCCUGAAAGCUCACAUAACUCAUGAUCCGACCAAUUUCUUGGCCAAGAAUUGGAACACAAGUACUCCUGUCUGUAAUUGGACAGGUGUCGCUUGUGACGUCCAUAGCCAUAGAGUCACAGUCUUGAAUAUUUCAAGCUUAAAUCUCAGAGGCACCAUCCCAUCUCAACUUGGGAAUCUUUCUUCUCUGCAAUCACUCAAUCUCAGUUGUAACCGACUUUCUGGUUCCAUUCCCUCCACCAUCUUCACCAUAUACACACUAAAAAAUGUUAGUCUCGGUAAAAAUAAGCUCUCUGGGCAAAUUCCUACAAAUAUUUGUAGUAAUCUUCCUUUUCUUGAAUUUCUUUCUUUGUCCCUAAACAUGUUCCAUGGCGGAAUACCGUCCACUCUAUCAAAUUGCACAUAUUUAAGAACCUUAAGUUUGGCAUACAAUGAUUUCUCGGGAGCCGUACCUAGAGAAAUCGGUAACUUGACCAAACUUAAGGUAUUAUAUAUUGGCGCGAAUAGACUCCAAGGUGCGUAUGAUGAUGGAGUUUAAUUAUAAAAAUUGUUCCAUGAGUUGUAAUAUGAAUAAUGUUCCAUAAUACACUUCUGAGCCCGAAGUCCUUUCUUUUCCUCCUUGACUCUUCUAUCGUCGAGCUAAGUGACUCUGUCAUGCCGCUUCAAGUAAUACACACGUUGAUUAAUUUGCAGGAGAAAUUCCUCGAGAGUUUGGCAAUCUUACCGAAUUGGAGCAGUUUUCGUUACCAACAAACAAUCUCCAAGUUAUGAUUUUAAACUUUUUGCAAUUUUAUUCUAGCUCUGCUUGAUUCUGUAUUCAUUCGUUUGUUCAUUAUUUAUGCUAUGAUUUAUUGUUUUUCUUUCAGAUAGAGAUAAAGCUCCAUGUCUCCCCUCACUCAUUUCGUUCUUUGAUUUAUGCACAUAAAAAUAAAAUAAAAAUGUUUUGUAAUUUUCUUUUGUCAUAUUGCCACUUCCCUUUUGAAGCUCCCAAUUAAGUCGAUGAAAAUGAAUGAUGUUUCAUUCGUAUUCUUGUCAGCCUAAUUCUUAUAUAAUUGAAGAGUAAAUUGUUAUUAUGAUAUUCGUCAGCCAAUAAAUUCUUUUUUUUUUUCAAAAUAUGAGUGAUCAAAUUGUUUGCGCAUAUAUAAUUUUACUUAAUUUGCAGGAGGUAUUCCACAGGAAUUGGGGAAUCUUGCAAAAUUGGAGAUUUUACAGCUGUUCCAGAAUAACUUGACCGGUAACCAUCUUUACUAUAUAUAUAUGAGACAUCUUCUGCUUCUUAAUUAAAAGAUUUCAAGUCUCUCAUUAUAAAUUCUCAUAUGAGGAUAUGUCAUUACUACAAUCUAACAUUAUUCCCUUUUUUUAUUAGAAAUUAGUUUGUGUUAAUUCAAAAUUUUGUAACAUGUAAAAAAAAUUAAAAACACGUGGAAUAAAUCAUCAAUCUUUCUUCUUUAUUGAAUUUGGAUUUCUAAAAAAUUAUCUUGACAAGUAUGCUUCACUAAUGAUAUGCAUGUGUGACAACUUCAUAAAAUAUUUUACAUGGAGUCAUCAAUUAUCUUUAAAUAAUUGGAGAUGCCAUCAGUGAUACAUAAUUUCUUAACAAGCACCAUAUCAAAAGAAAUCAACAAUUUUAUUAAUCUUAAAGAGUUACAUCUUCACCGCAAUUAUGAUAUAAAAUUUUAGUCAUCAAUCGCAUAAUAUUUUACCUUAACGGAUGAUGUUCAGUCUUGGAAUUUAUAAUACCUUGAAGGUUAGUAGCUUUGAAAAUAAGAACUGUUCAUUUGCUAAAAAGUUAACUUAGUAUUUAAGUUUUUCAAUUGAAAAUUUUGAAAAAAGUCUUGAGAACUGCCCUCCUUAGUAUUUCAGCUGAUAAAUAUGAAAAAUAGGCUAGAAGAAAUAUUGUUGUGUGUGCUUAUUUUACUUGGGCUUUGGGCUUGAUUACAAGGUCGAGCACUAACACCUGUCAUAAUAAUAGGCUUUUACUUUCACCACACGUUCAAUAAUUUCUUAACCUUCCGAAUUAAGUUAUAGCAAUUUAUAUAUAAAUAACUAAAGCAUACUAAAGCGAGCACAAAGUACUCAUGACUUAGGCUUACUGUGUUACCUAUUACACACGGUCGAACACUUACAUCUGUUAGAAUAACAAUAGCAUCCACGGAUCGACUAUCAGUGAUCAAAUUGAUUGCACAUAUGUAAUUUGCAGGAGCAAUUCCACGGGAGUAGGGAAAUAUUACAGGAUUGGGGAUCUUAGAGCUGCCUGAUAAUUUUUUAACCGGUAUCAUUCCUUCAUCUAUCUACGAAUUGCUUUUCUCUAUUAAAUUCGGAACUGUCAUUUAAUAACUUAACAGGUAACUUCCCUUACAACAUGUCUGUGUGACAUGUUUUGCUUUGAAAUUAAAAUAUUUCACGUCUCUCAUUAUAAAUUCUCAUAGGCGGAUGUAUUGUUACUACUAUUUAACAUUAUCUCAUUUUUUUAUUAGAAAUUAAUCUGUGUUUAUGCAAAAAAAUUUAGCAUCUAAAAAAAGUACAAAAACACAUGGAAUAAAUCGAAAAUCUUUCUUCAUUACUGAAUUCGGAUUUCUAAAAAAUUAUCAUGAGAACUUCAUAAAAUAUCUUACAUGGAAUCAAUAAUUAUCUUUAAAUAGUUGGGGAUGCCAUCACUAAUAAAUAGUUUCUUAAAAAGCAUCAUACUAAAAGAAUUCAAUAAUUUUAAUAAUCUUCAAGGGGUACAUCUUCGCUGCAAUUAUGACAUAAUUUUUUAUCUAAAUAUAUUUUUAGUCAUCAAUCGCAUAAUUUUUUAUCUUGACGGAUGAUGUUCAAUCUUGGAAUUUAAAAUAUCUUGAAGGUUAGUAGCUAUGAAAAUUAGAAAUUUUUUAUUUGCUAAAAAAUUAACUUAGUAUUUAAGCUUUUCAAUUGGAAAAUUUGAAAUAAAUGUUGAGAACUGGCCCUCCUUAGUAUUUCAGCGGAUAAAUAUGGAAAAUAGGCUAGAAAAAAUUAUUUUAUUGAAAUAAUAGUUAAAAAUAGAGACGUACAGUACUCAUGACUUAGGCUUGCUGUGUACUUUUUUUACUUGGGGUUCGGGCUUGAUUACACACGGUAGAAUACUUACACAACUCCCCCCAUAUAGGGUUUUACUUUCAUCCCACAUUUGAUAAUUUCUUAACCUUCCCAAUUAGAUUAUAGCAAUUUAUAAAUAAAUAAAUAACUAAAGCACACUAAAGCUAGCAUUGAUGGACAGAUGAGUGGUGUCAAAAGUGUAUCUGUUUUUAUUAGGGUUGGCAAUUUAAGGGCCUGGGCCGGGCUUUGCCAAGCCCAGGACCAGGCCCAUAUAAUGUUAAAUAAGUUCAGGGCCUCUCAAAGCCCAUCCAAGUUGGGCGGGCCGGGCCUUGACCGGCCUCGGGCCGGGCCCGGGCUUUUAUGAAUUUUCAAAUUUUUUUAAAAAAUAAAACUAUAAAUUUUCAAAACAUAAUUAUCCAAUACAUAAUACUACAAUAGGCUAAAAACUUAAAUAUAUUUCUCUAAUACAUGAUUAGCCAACACAAAAUAUAAAAAUACUAACAAUACAAGUACCGUACAUAACAUACAAAUCAACCACUAAUAUAAAAAAAAAAACUAAUAGAGAUUUACCAAUUUAGGAAUUUUGACAUUUUGUGACAAAACCUUUGCCCUUUCCCUUUGCCCCAUUUUUUUAUUGUUUUGUUUAAUUUUUUUUUUCAAUUUUAUAAUAUAUUAUACAUUUUUUUUAAAAUAUAUAUAUAUAUAUAUAAAGCCCUUAUCCAUAAUAUAUAAUAUAUAUAUUAUUUAUUAUAAAGCCCGGGCUUUUCAUUUAGGCCCUUGACUGAGCCCAUAUGUUAUGGGCUUUAUUAAUUAUGAGCCCUUACCCAUACUUUCAAGCCACGGGCCAGGCUUAAAGCCCGCGGGCCUGGGCCGGCCCGGGCUUUUCUGCCAACCCUAGUUUUUAUGUAUUAUUGUUCCCUGAUACAAAUUUGAAUAAUGGAAAAUAUAAAUUUAAUAUUUUAUUUAAUACUUUGUUAACAUUUUAUCUAUAUAUAAUAAAUAAACUGAAACUUGUACUUAAAAAAUUUUUUGGUUACGCAUAUUCAUUUCAUGAUAAAAAAAAUGUCUAUUUACACUAAUUUACCAUUAUCAAUAAAAUGCUUUGAGACAAAUAAUCUAAUUUAUAUUAGUAUAUUUAAAAUACUUGCAUUUAUUAUAUUUUGAAAAAACAUUAUUUGCAAUUAUUUUAAACCUUUGAAUUCAAAUUUUCUUAGUUAUUAAAGUCAAAGGGUAUAAAUGUAUAAUAGUCAAAAACAGAUUUGUAUGAUCAUUUUUCAAUGUAUAAAUUUUCUUAGUUAGUAGGCAAUUAAAAUUUGUUGAUUUACUCAUAAAUAAAUUUAGUGUUUAGCAUUUCAAUUUUGGAAAACUUGAACUAAAUGUUGAUAACUUCGAAUCCAUCGAGCCAAGUUUCGCUUCCUUGACACACAGACCCAUUCGAAGUUCUAUUCGAAUUGAGUUUCCAAGUGCUUAGAAAAAGCAGUUCUUUUCCAUGUCGCUAUAAUUUAUUCACAAAAGAGUUGAUUAGCGUCGAUGUUGCUUCAGAGUCUGAGACCAUGUUAAUUUAUUUUACUGAAUUAAUUUAUUUUAUCUUGCUGUAACUGAAAUACUACCUUUUUUUUUUUUUUGCUAUAACUGGGGCUUGAUUAACUUUAAUAAUAGCAGCCAUAGACUUAGGCUUUUUUACUUUUCACCACACAAUUUGAUCUUUUAAUUCGUUUUAACCACAUAAUCUAUCUAUCUCACACCUAUUGCUUACUUAAAUCGCAUACAUAUUUUACCUACUAAUUUUUACAAACAUUAGUGAAAUAUAUUUUAUUACAUUUUGCUCGUAACUGCUCUAGUUGUGCACUAUUAAUACUUAACUCUCCCUUUUAAUUUAUCGUGCAAUCUAUCAACCACUAAAAUUACAUAUAUAUUUUACCUAUAUUUUGCCCCAAAAAAUAUAAAAGUAAUAGAAAAAGAAUAUGUGUAGCAAUUUGUAUGUAACUAACAAAGCAUUGACGGUGUGUAGCCUUUCAAUACUUCAUGAGUGGCUGUUCUUGUGUGUUAGUACUGGUAAUAAUUGUGUAGUGUAUAAAUGACCUUUUAUUAUUAAAGCGCGUCUGUUGUUAGAUAUUAUUUAUUAUUUGAAAAAUAAUAUGAAUAUAAUUCUUUCAAAAUACAGGGGAGAUACCAACUGAAAUCAUAAUCUCCGUAAUCUGGAGGAGUUGGACCUUGCUCGAAACAAAUUAGUUGGUAUUGUCCCAGCUGCAAUCUUCAAUGUGUCAACACUCAAGCAUCUUGGUCUUCAAGAUAAUUCUCUCUUGGGAUGUCUUUCGUCCAUCGGAGACGUCCGACUUCCAAAUCUUGAAGGGCUUUAUUUGUCGGGUAAUAAUUUCAGUGGCACAAUUCCUAGUUUCAUCUUUAAUGCUUCUAAGCUCUUUAAGCUAUCGUUGCAAAGGAACUCAUUCUUUGGUUUUACUCCCAACACAUUUGGCAACUUAAGAAACCUUAAGUGGCUAUCUUUAUAUGAUUCUUAAGUGGCUAUCUUUAUAUGAUAAUUAUUUGACAUCUUCAACUCCAGAAUUGAGCUUUCUGUCCUCGUUGUCAAAUUGCAAGUGUUUAACAUUUAUUGACUUAUCAAAUAAUCCACUAGAUAGCGUUCUUCCAAAGACAUUUGUCGGUAAUGUUUCUCAUUCUUUGGAAUUCUUUGUCAUGUCCUAUUGUAACAUUAGUGGCGGCAUCCUUGAAGAGAUCACCAACUUGACCAAAUUGACAACCAUUAUUUUAGGAGGCAAUAAAUUGAAUGGAUCAAUUUCGAUUACUCUCGGCAGGUUACAAAAGCUUCAAUAUUUGGGUCUUGACGAUAACAAAUUAGAAGGAUCAAUCCCAGACAGUAUUUGUCGUUUAGCUUAACUGUAUGAUUUGGAGUUGGGUGGUAAUAAGCUUUCUGGAUCAAUCCCUGCAUGCUUCAGUAAUCUGGCUUCUCUGAGGAAACUGUCGUUGGAUUCCAAUGAGUUAACUUCUAUUCCCUUAACUUUUUGGAACCUUAAGGAUAUCUUGUACCUCAACUUUUCGUAAAAUUUUUUGAUUGGUCCACUCCCAUUAAAGGUUGGAAAUUUGAAGGUUUUAGUUGGAAUUGAUUUUUCGAUGAAUAAUUUUUCAAGCGUUAUCCCAAUAGAAAUUGGAGGCCUACCAAAUCUAGAAUAUCUCUUCUUAGGAUAUAACAGAUUGCAAGGAUCGAUUCCUGAUUCAUUCGGUGAUUUGAUAAGCUUGAAAUCCUUGAAUUUGUCUAAAAAUAAUCUCUCAGGGGCUAUUCCUGCAUCUUUAGAGAAACUCUUAUAUCUUAAAGAUCUAAAUCUUUCUUUCAACAAACUAGAAGGAGAAAUUCCUAGGGGAGGGUCUUUUGGAAACUUCUCAGCUGAAUCAUUUGAGGGAAAUGAAUUAUUAUGUGGUUCACCCAAUUUACAAGUCCAGCCAUGCAAAACUGGCAUCCACCACACAUCAUCAAAAAAUUCUCUUCUCUUGGGGAUUGUCUUGCCAUUGAGUACUACAUUUAUGAUAGUAGUCAUUUUGUUGAUCCUAAGAUAUCGACAGAGAGGGAAACGACUAUCGAAUGAUGCUAAUAUGCCAAUAGUAGCAACAUGGAGAAUGUUUUCAUACCUAGAACUCUGUCGAGCAACAUACAAAUUCAGUGAAAACAAUCUAAUCAGCAAAGGUGGUUUUGGCUCUGUUUACAAAGCAAGACUUGGGGACGGGAUGGAGGUUGCUGUGAAGGUUUUCAAUUUGCAAUGUAGAAGAGCAUUUAAGAGUUUCGAUAUUGAAUGUGAAAUGAUGAAAAGUAUUCGCCAUCAAAACCUUAUCAAAGUUAUUAGCAGUUGUUCAAAUGAAGAGUUUAAAGCGUUGGUAUUAGAAUACAUGCCUCAUGGAAGUUUGGAGAAGUAUCUGUAUUCAAGUAACUGCAUUUUGGAUAUUUUUCAAAGAUUGAACAUAAUGAUAGAUGUUGCAUCAGCUUUGGAAUAUUUGGACCUUGGUUAUUCAGCUCCAAUAAUUCAUUGUGACUUAAAGCCCAACAAUGUAUUGUUAGACGAUAAUAUGGUUGCUCAUUUGAGUGAUUUUAGCAUUGUAAAAUUGCUAACAGGAGAAGAUCAAUCUAUGACUCAUACACAAACACUUGCAACAAUAGGCUAUAUGGCACCAGGUUUGUUCAAUAUAAAUAUUUUCUAUUUCUCAUAAACUUCUGAUGGGUGUCGAAGCCAACAAAAAUAAAUUCCUACUCUAAAUAAAUUGUGUAUAGUGAUUGAGCAGGGUCGUGUCGACAGAGAUCGGUAAUUAUUUAAAUCCUUUUGAAACGUAAAACGUAAAAUGGGGGAAUUGUUGACAAUAAUAAAAAUCAAAUUAAAAUAACAAGAAUGCAAAUUAAAGUUGUAAUUCAAAUUAGAGAAAGCUCUGGUUGAAGGAAUUAACUCAGCUUGAUUCGACUACUGAUCAUUGAUUCAAAUAUAGAUUAUUAUUACUUAUGAAUAGACCGGUUAUAGCUACUGAGACCCUCUAAUAGCCAAUCUCUCCUUAACUAGUCGAUAACCAAGGUACGACCGUUGGUUAUUUCCCUAAUCAAUAGACAACCCUAGAUACGAUCAUAGGAUUUAAUCAAUUGACAGCCUAAAAGACCAGAGAGACCCAAAUCCUAAUCAACACAUACGAUGAUUCAUUUAAAUUAGAUUGUUUAUUCUCAUAACACAACUCACUGCUAUGUUAUUUGUCACAAACAUUAAAAUCUUCAUACGAUGAAUCCUUUAAUUAACAAUAGAUUAAGUUGAUAAUUAAAUAGUGGCCAAUUACCUAAUUAACAAACAUAAUCAUAAAAAUAAUUCAGAGAAUAAACAAAUACCCAAAAAGCAAUAAAACAAUUAAAGCAUAAGAAAGAUCUCACAGUAGUGAUGAAUCAAAGCUUCAUUAUCCUUCAACAAGAAAAAUAGAUUUAGUUCUUCACAGAGAGAAGAGAAAAGUUUAGAUCUAGGGUUUCUUUCCUUUUCUCCAAUCCCUUUUUUCACAAUAGAUUCCUCCUUAAAUACUUUCUCUCUCUUCUCAUUUAGAGUUCUAUUUAAAAUAAAAUACUAAUAUCUGAAAUAUUAAAUUCGUAAUUUCAAAAAUAACCAAAAAUACAAAACACGUUAAACUAAAAACUGCAGGUCCGCAGUUGACAGCACGCGCCCACACCUUAUCAAUAAAGUUCUUCUGACUCUCUAAAUUUCUCGAAGAGAACAAUCAUCUUUAAACAUCAUCUUAUAGCUCAAUUUUAUCACAAAUCAAUAGAAUUGCACCUACAAAAGUAAAACACAAGUAAAUCAUUAUUAUUAAGUGCAAAACAUCGAUAUUAAGGGAAGUAAACAAUGCAAAACUAGUGCAUAAAUUGCACUCUAACAAAUUCCCCUACACCAAGAUGAUGCUUGUCCUCAAGCAUAUAACUUAAGACUAAUCACAAAUCUCCACUCAAUUUUCAUCUCAACUCAUCCAAAAACAAUUUUAAGCAAGCAUACCUCAAGAAUUUAAGUCGAUCAACAUUCGAGAGCCAAGGAUUUUAAAGCAUAGAAUCUCAUAAGCUAGAAUAAAAACAUUCAACCAUCAAGAAGAUCCAUUCAAAAUUCAAGUGCAACAAGAUUUAAUAGCCCUCUCAUUGACUUCACUCGAUGCACUCAAAGUGUUUAGGGUGUCAUUUAUGCACUCAAAUCAAAUCAAAGAAUGCUAUUACCAUAAGCUUGCUUAUAUAUCAUAUCUCAAUCCACAAAACAUGAAUUAAAUGCAAAAAUCUAAGGGUCUUAAAAAGGUUGUAACGGGGUUAAAUGGGUUAAAUGAAAAAGAAAGGUCUAUGAAAGAAAAAAAGAUUAAAAUGAGAAGAAUGAACUCAUUGAAUGAACUUCUGAUAUCAAAAUGCUUAUUUCUACUCAAGUCACCAAGAAUGUAAACUUUUUUUUUCGAUUUUUCUUUUUCUUUUUUUUUUUUUAAUCAAACAAAAGAAACGAACCUUGCACAAUUUAAUUCAAGCAUAAUGCUUGUUGAUCUAAUUGAGAAACUUUAAUACAAGGUAGAAAAAGCAACAAAAUAUAUCCAUACAAUGAGUCCAAAAAUCUCCUUAAAUUGAGGCUCAAAAAGGAGAAAAAUGGUUAAGUAGACGGAGAGAAUUAGAUGGGUAAUGGUUAAGGCUCAAACAAAGAUAGCAAAUAAAGGUCUUCGAGUAGAGAAAAAAAAAUACGAGAAUAGAAAAUUGGAAAAUGGUUUGCCCUUAUCAUUUUAAUGCAUAAAAUCCCGUAAUGCGGCUUCAACAUGCAUAACAAAGCAAGUUCUAGAAUAAACAAACUAAGAUUGAUAUUCACAUAACAAAAAUAAUUAGAGCAAAGUGGCUGCUCAUAGGCUCAAAUCCUCACAAAGUUGGUAAAUUUUCCAUCAAAUCAUGUACACUCUUCAAAUGAAUCAACCAUCAAUAGUGGUGUAGAAUGAGAAGAAGGUAUGAGUGAGAUAUAAAAGGAAAGGUAAAAAGGAUAAUAAGCGAGAAAGAUGUAUGUAGUAAAAAAAAUGAAAGAUAAAAUGUGAGUGAUGAAAGAGUAUGAUAGAGAAAAAAAAUAGAUGUAAAUAAUUUGAGAUAGAUGGGAAAAGAGUAGUGAGAGAGAAGGGAAAAGAAAAUUAAUAAUAUAUGAAGCAUACUAACUCCAAAAUCAUUUAAGGAUGAGUAGAGUGAAAAUAGUACUUCUAGACAUCAAUAAUGUAAAAAUCCCUCCCCAACACCAAGAACUUACAUUGUCUCCAAUGUAAGAUAAUCAAAGCUCACAUAAAAAUUAAAGCGUAAGGAUAAAAGAUUAAAGGCAAAAAAAAUUCCCUGAAUUGUGAGCUUUGAUCCACAUAAUGUCUAUGGGCUUGGCAGAAAGGGUGGGGUAAAUCCCAUACUCUCGAAGUAUGCGGCCAAAUUCUGCUCCAUCUUGUUCAGCUUGUGCUCCAUCUUCUCUAACUGAAUGCUGGUAGUGCGGAUGUAGAAGGAAUAGUUGGCGGGCCAGCAGUGUCGUCUUCAAACUCGUCAUUAGAGGUAACACCACUCCUAGCAUAAAGCUUCUUUGGAGGUUGAGUGGGUCUUGGUUUAGUAAACUAAAAUCUCCCCUCCUUGAAUUCGACGACACCUGUUCUUUGAAACACAGACAUAUCCAAAAAUUCCUUUUUGCAAGCAGGAUGCAAAUCAUUAUUGUCAGGAUCAAGCACACAUAGGUUUAUAGCUAACAGAGUAAUGUAUGGACCAAGAAAGAAAGUCCGAUACCGUUUAAGCACACUUUGAAAUUUAUCCGCUAACCAAAAACCUAAAUUAGGCCUCACAUCAUUUAACAUGCACCAGAUAAAAUAAAAUUCAGUUUUAGAGAAAACUCCUGAGUGAUCUUUCUUUCCUAAAAAAUUAUAUGCUAAGAAUCGAUGCACACAUUUCAAAACAGGAUCACGUAAGAAAUAACUCUUUGAUUUACUCAGGUCAUAGGCAUUGUGAUCAACACAUAAAUUACGCCAAAGACCAUAAGGCUCAAAAUUGUCACUAAAGUCACAAGUUGUUCCUAAAUAUGCAUCACUAGAAGAAUAAUCAUCAUCAAGGAAUCCUAAAGCUAGGUUAAAAUCCGUGAUAGAGGUGAAAAAUUUUGUCCCAUUAACCUAAACUUUAUGACAUCUGGGGUAUGCAAAGUAAAAUCAUUCGGUAUAUUAAAUUGAAAAGUCGCAUAAGACUCCUUAAUCAACUCAACAUAACCCAAACAAUCAACAUCAACAAACUUACGCAACCCAAUCUUAUCUAUCAAAUAAUCAAAAUUAUCCUUAACAUUCAAUUUUUCAAGAGUCGGGUAAUUAAUAUACUUAGCUGGAAGUAUUUUGCACGUGGAAAUAUCUUUGUAUCUCUCUUUCUCUUGUUGAGUCGCGAAUGCAAGGCAUCCUCCGAGAUUGGAUUCCGCAAGUGGCAAAACACUCAUGCCUUUUUCAUGUUUCGAUCUUUGUCUCAUGGCUUGGCGUGAAUCUGAACUUGUGUUCCAUGGAACCGGAAUGCGAGCGACAAUCUUAGAUUUCUUUGUGACGGGUAUCUUUUUAGAUGACUUGGAAGUAGAUGCUUUCCUCUUCGGCAUUGUUACAAUAAUUGCACUCACGGAUUUCGAUUUACCCGGCUGGAAUACAGGGCGUAGGCUGGUUGCGUUGCACUUGCUGCUCGACUGGAGCUUGCUGCGCGGGUUGGGGUUGGUUGCGCGCGCAGCUGGUUUUGCAUGCUGGUGAUGCUAGUUGCGUUGCGUGCGCGAGCUGGAGACUCUGGAUCUGCGUUACGAGGCGUGCUCGUCUGCUGUUCGUUGGGACUGUGUUGCGCGCGCGGGAUUGAUGCGCUGCGUGAUGGUGAUGGCCAAAGCUUGCUGCGCGCGGGCUGGUUGUGUUGCAGGUGGGACUGAUACGACUGCUGCUGGUGAAAACAAUAAUCAACAGUGAAUUUUUUUUUUAAUUAGGGAAUUGUAAAUAGUGAUUUGUGGUUUUUGCUUUUUUUGUUUUUUUUCUUUUUUUUUUAAAUAAAUAAAUAAAAUAUAUAUAUAUAUAUAUAAAAGAAAGAAAAAAAGGAAAAAAAAAAUAAAUAAUUUUUUUUUAAGUGAUGAAUCACUUUGAGUCACUAAAAAUUUCAGACGUACUUUUCUAAUAAGCACGUGGGCACACCUUAAAACUAUUUUACUUUAAAAAUUAUAGAAGUACUUAUUAGUUAAGACGUGGGCACGCCUUAUCAAAAAUUUUCUUCUGACCAAAAUAAGCAAACACAUUAAUUUUUUUUUUAAAAAUCUGAAUCAAAACUAAAAGAAGACAUAACAAAAACCAAAAUAAAUAAAUCAUUUGGGUUGCCUCCCAAAAAGCGUCUUUGUUUUAUGUCUUUGGCUAAACACAUUUAUGCAACAAUCUCCAUAAUUGGGACUCUCGAGAGCCACAUCCUCCACAAUAUUCACCGAAAAACCUUCAUAAAAAGGUUUUAAGCGAUGACCAUUAACAUUCAAAACUUUGUCAGAGGUCGGACUCCGAAUCUCAACUACACCAUGAGGAAAAAUAUUAGUAACAAUAAAAGGUCCAACCCAGCAAGAACGUAAUUUACCCGGAAAAAGUUUAAGCUUAGAAUGAAAAAGAAGAACUUUUUGACCAAUAGAGAACUCCUUUCUCAAACUCAUUCUAUCAUGAAAUGUCUUCGUCUUUUCCUUGUAAAAAACUUCAUGCACUAUAGGGUUAAUAAUAUCCACAGAAAAUACUGAAUGUUCCUCACUAGGAUAUUUCAUGGCAUCAUUCAUAUUGAAUUUUAUAACCUCUCCAUCAAACUCCAUAGUGAGAGUCCCUUUAUGUACAUCUAUUUUAGUCCUAGCAGUCUUAAGAAAAGGUCAUCCUAACAAAAUUGGGACAUAAUUAGAGGAGUUAUCAUCUUCCAUAUCAAGUACAUAAAAAUCAGCAGGAAAAACCAACUCAUUAACUUGUACUAAGACAUCUUCUAAUACCCCAUCAGGAUAUGCAUUAGACCUAUCAGCUAGUUGAAUUAUCACGCUAGUUUCUUUUAAUGGACCAACAUUCAAAGAUGAAUAAGUGGAACGAGGCAUGACAUUAAUAUAAGCUCCUAGAUCUAACAUAGCCUUUUCAACUCUAACACUACCAAUUUUACAAGGAAUGGUAAACAUACCUGAAUCCUUGCACUUAGGAGGUAGUUUCUUUUGGAGAACUGCUGAAACAUUCUACCCCAUGUGAACUUUUUCAUCUCCUCUUAAUUUUCUCUUGGAGGUGCAUAGUUCCUUAAGGACUUUAGCAUAUCAAGGUAUUUGUUUUAUAGCAUCUAAUAAAUGAAUAUUUACCUCAACCUUGCAAAAUGUCUUAAAGAUGUCUUUCUCUUGUUCCUCCUUCUUGGAUUUUACAAACUAGCUUGGAAAAGGAGGAGGUAUCACAAUAGGUAGGGGUUUCGUUCUGGUGGGUUGCGCAUCUUGAGAUUUAGGCAUCAAUUCAUUCUUCCCAAGCUCAUCUUCUACAUGCUUUGUCACUUUCUUACUAGGCUCUUGUAACUCCUUCCCGCUUCUAAGGAUGACAGCACUAACGUUUUGCUUUGGAUUCACCUCAGAUUGUGAAGGCAAUCUCCUUAAUACUUGAGACUCCAGACGGCUCACUGUAGUCGCCAAUUGACUCAUUUGGUUCUCUAAAUUCUGAAUGCUUUCUGUAGUUGCCUGCUGAAAUUGUUGAGUGUUAGUCGCAAGUGAUUUAACAAUUUCUUCAAGAGAUAUACUUGACUUGGAGUUUGACUGUGGAGGUGCUGGUUGUCUUGGUGGAUACUGUUGUGGGAAUCCUGACGGUCUAACUCCAUAGCUGAAGUUGGGAUGAUCCUUCCAUCUCAGAUUGUAUGUUGUGCAUAAGGAUCAUACCUCCUCUGAGGCAUGCCUGGAAAUCCUCCAACUGCAUUGGCUUGUUCAACGGGUUCUUCUUGAAGUGUAGGACACAUAUCAGUUGAAUGACCCAUAUUGGAACAAAUGCCACAAGUCUUUACCUGUUGCAUAUUAUCUACAAUAAACUUUUCUACAAGAGAAGUAAGUUUAUCUAAACGUUGUUCAACAGAAGAAAUAUUUACCUCAUUCACCGUUCUUGAAGUGGCAUCUUGCCUGCUGCCAAAUUGUUGUGCAUUGGCAGCCAUAUUUGAGUUCAACUCCCUUGCUUGAGUAAGGGUCUUAUUCACCAACACACCUCCACUGGCAACAUCUAUCAUACUCCUAUCCAAUAAUGAUAGUCCUUCGUAAAAAUAUUGAAUAAGAAGUUGAUCAGAAAUCUGAUGCUGAGGACAGCUGGCACACAAUUGUUUGAAUCGCUCCCAAUACUCAUACAAAGUCUCCCCAGGAAGUUGUCUAAUCCUACAAAUAUCUUUUCUGAUGUUGGCAGCUCUUGAAGCAGGAAAGUACUUCUCGAGGAACUGCUUCUUUAAACCAUUCCACGUUGUAAUCGAUCCAGGAGGCAAGUAGUACAACCAAUCUUUAGCUAGCCCAUCUACAGAGAACGGAAAAGCACGCAACUUAAUCUGCUCUUCAGUCACGCCUUGUGGCCUCAUACUUGAACACACAACAUGAAACUCCUUAAGAUGUUUAUGAGGAUCUUCACCUGCAAAACCAUGAAACUUGGGUAAUAAAUGAAUAAGACCAGACUUUAAUUCAAAAUUUACCUCCAAGUCUACAUAUUGAAUGCAGAGUGGUUGUUGAUUCAAGUCUGGUUCAGCUAACUCUCUAAGAGUUCUUUCUACAGGUGCAGGUCUAUCCAUCACUUGUUCUUCUGAAUCGCUAGAUGAUUCAACUAAAUCAAGUAUUGUAUCAAUUUCAGAAAGCAAAGGCAACGAGGAUCGUUGCUUAGCUCGCUUUGUCUGCUGUCUCAACUGGCGAGCUGUCUUCUCAAUUUCAGGAUCAAACGAAAGUGUACCUGUACGAGAAGAACGAACCAUACACCAAGUAAAACGUAAAAAUGAUUAAAUAAACGACACCAAUCCCUGGCAACGGCGCCAAAAUUUGAUGGGUGUCGAAGCCAACAAAAAUAAAUUCCUACUCUAAAUAAAUUGUGUAUAGUGAUUGAGCAGGGUCGUGUCCACAGAGAUCGGUAAUUAUUUAAAUCCUUUUGAAACGUAAAACGUAAAAUGAGGGAAUUGUUGACAAUAAUAAAAAUCAAAUUAAAAUAACAAGAAUGCAAAUUAAAGUUGUAAUUCAAAUUAGAGAAAGCUCUGGUUGAAGGAAUUAACUCAGCUUGAUUCGACUACUGAUCAUUGAUUCAAAUGUAGAUUAUUAUUACUUAUGAAUAGACCGGUUAUAGCUACUGAGACCCUCUAAUAGUCAAUCUCUCCUUAACUAGUCGAUAACCAAGGUACGACCGUUGGUUAUUUCCCUAAUCAAUAGACAACCCUAGAUACGAUCAUAGGAUUUAAUCAAUUGACAUCCUGAAAGACCAGAGAGACCUAAAUCCUAAUCAACACAUACGAUGAUUCAUUUAAAUUAUAUUGUUUAUUCUCAUAACACAACUCACUGCUAUGUUAUUUGUCACAAACAUUAAAAUAUUCAUAUGAUGAAUCCUUUAAUUAACAAUAGAUUAAGUUGAUAAUUAAAUAGUGGCCAAUUACCUAAUUAACAAACAUAAUCAUAAAAAUAAUUUAGAGAAUAAACAAAUACCCAAAAAGCAAUAAAACAAUUAAAGCAUAAGAAAGAUCUCACAGUAGUGAUGAAUCAAAGUUUCAUUAUCCUUCAACCAGAAAAAUAGGUUUAGUUCUUUAUAGAGAGAAGAAAAAAGUUUAGAUCUAGGGUUUCUUUCCUUUUCUCUAAUCCCCUUUUUCACAAUAGAUUCCUCCCUUAAAUACUUUCUCUCUCUUCUCAUUUAGAGUUCUAUUUAAAAUAAAAUACUAAUAUCUGAAAUAUUAAAUUCGUAAUUUCAAAAAUAACCAAAAAUACAAAACACGUUAAACUAAAAACUGCAAGUCUGCAGUUGACAGCACGCGCCCACGCCUUAUCAACAAAGUUCUUCUGACUCUCUAAAUUUCUCGAAGAGAACAAUCAUCUUUAAACAUCAUCUUAUAGCUCAAUUUUAUCACAAAUCAAUAGAAUUGCACCUACAAAAGUAAAACACAAGUAAAUCAUUAUUAUUAAGUGCAAAACAUCGAUAUUAAGGGAAGUAAACAAUGCAAAACUAGUACAUAAAUUGCACUCUAACAACUUCCUAAUAAGUUAUUUAUAUUUCAUGAUCUUGAUUAGAUGAGGAAAUUAUUAUUAAUGAUAUAUCUUACUAUGUAAUUGUUGCAAUUCAUAAAGUAUGGAAGAGAAGGACGAGUAUCCGCAAAUGGAGAUGUUUAUAGUUUUGGGAUUAUGUUAAUGGAAACAUUUACUGGGAAGAAACCCACAGAUGAAAUGUUUAAUGGAGAAAUGACAUUAAAGCAUUGGGUUAAUGAUUGGCUACCCAUUUUCACUAUGGAAGUUGUUGAUGCUAAUUUGCUAAGUCAGGAGGACAUACAUUUUGUUGCAAAAGAGCAAUGUGUGUCAUUUGUCUUCAAUUUAGCUAUGGAGUGCAUUGUGGAAUCCCCUGAGCCAAGAAUCAAUCCAAAAGAAAUUGCAGCAAAACUCUUAAAAAUUAGAGACUCAUUACUUAGAAAUGUUGGAGGCAGAUGUAUAAGACAAUCAAAUUUAAAUUGAUUCUACCCCUCAUUCAUUGCUUGCUAUCCUUUUCAGAGACUUGAACAAUUAUCCUCCAUAGAAGUUUUGCUGAUAUGUUUUGUUAUUGCUCUUGCUCAUGUUUAUUUCUCUCUUUCUUUAAUUUGCAUGCGUGCAUUUUAGUUCUCUUCCAUGUUCGUGUUGGUUUAUAUGUAGUUUGUUUUUUGGGAUAUGGUUUAUUAUGGCCUCACCCUAAUUAGAUGUAUCCUUUUGAUUUUUAUCAAUAAAGCUUCGCUAGUACUAUCGAGGUUAAUCGAAAGAAAAUUUUCAAUUGAUUUUCUUUUCUUUGACUAGUACUGGAAAUUCUAAUCUUUAUAGUGAAUAACUUCAAUAAUAGAGUGUAAGAGUAUUAGUAGUUGUGGUUGUUUCUGAACCUAGAGUUAGAGUAGUUUAACAGCAACAAAUAGGUCUCUUGUAUUAUAGCCAAAAUUCUUUUCAUUAAUCUUAUUUGUCUACAUUUUCUCCUAUUUUCUUCUUUAAUCUUCGCUCAAGGUUUCAUGCUUCCAUUUUGAAAUGUGAGAUUGUUUGUCAUCCAUUUGAUAAAAUGGAUAUGAGAGGAGCUUUCAAUCAUUACCUCCACCAAAAUCCUUACAAUGCAACUUUUAAAUUUAUUUUUUAAAAUACGUUCAGUUUAAUUUAUAAAAAAUAAAUCCAUUUGUUAAAAUUAAUUUUUUUCUCAUAAAUUUCAACCUAAAAAAUAUAUUUCUUUUAAGUUUUUAUUAUAAAAUACAUACAAGUUCUAAACUAUUAAAUUAUUUUCUUCUUAUUAUAUAGUUUAUAUUUCCAUAACUCUAAACUCCUAUAAUUUUUAAAAAAUAUAUUUUUUAAUUUAAAAUAUGAAUAUAAAAUAUAGAAUGGAGUGGGUAUAAAAAGUUUUGUUAAAAGAAUAAUUCAUUCAAGUAUUUAGCUGAAUUUUAAUUUAAAAUAAGAAAUAAAUUAAUUUAUUUUUUAUUAGUUAAGUAAUUUCAAUUGAAAAAGAGCUUAUAUUAUGGACAUAUGAUUAAAAUUGUCAUGAAUUAAACAUUUUCAUAUAAAUACUAGUGAUAAUUACGGAGAAAGUACGAUGAACCAAAGAAAACUUGAAUAGAAAUACUCCAAUGUAAUUUUACACAUGCAAAUUAUGAACCAGUGAUCUUUAGAGCAUCAUAAAAUUAUUUUAACACAAUUAGUUAGUUUGGAAAAUUGCCAAUAAUGUUUAAAGUGGGAUUGAAAAGAUUAUACUACAAAUAUAAGACAUGAUAUCAUUUAAGAGCUUACAGAUUAUGAGAAAUAUAUUGAUCUUACAAAUAAUAUAAAAUAUGUCAAUUAGAUUGAGUCUAUGCAAUAAAAGUUUCAAAUUAAAAAAUAAACCUUUAUUUUCUUUUAAUCAUAAGUGUGAUCUUAAUUAUUAAAGUCAUUCAAUGUCCAUUACUUAUUCAUUUUUUUAAUUAUCUAAAUGACAUUGAAAACUCUACUCAAUAUUAAUUCAUUCUAGUGUUUUGUUUUAAAGUAAUCGAAAAUUGCAAAUGAAACAAAUGCUUGAAAUCACAAACUGCCUAAAAUUAGAUUUUUAUUUCUUAAUGUUUUAGUGACUUUGAUCUUGAUAUUGAAAAUUUAUUUGUAACUUAUAUAAAGGCCUCGAUUUUAUCAUAAUUGAUUAGUAAGGCUAUGUACGGGAGCAUGGAUAAAUUUUGAGAUUGGAUUAUAUUUUUGGAACUAAAAAAUUAAUUUCAUCCAAUGUUAUGUAUAGCUGUCGGGACUAGCAAAUUAGUCUAAAAUUAUUGAAAUUAUUAGUCUUUUACAUUAUAAUUUUUUCGUUCCCACUUUAAACGUUAUUGGUAACUUAAAUCAUUUUUUAAAUUAAAUAUAAAGUUAAUUUAAUUAAAUAUAAUUUAAUUAAAUAUAAAAAUUAAUUUUAUAAUUUUUUCACCUAGAAUUUUAUAGUAUAUUAAAUACUAAAAUUAUAUUCGAUAAUGUAUUAUCAUUUAUUUAAUAAAUAUUUAGGUUUAUUAGUGUAUCAUAUUAUUAUUUAAAUUAAUUUUUUAUUUUCAUAUAGACAUAAAUUAAUAUUUACUAAUUUAAAUUUAUUAUAAUUUAUUAAAUAAUAAAAGCUAAAUGAUUGUAUUUAAAAUAUAAAUUGUAUUUUAAUGUAUUAUAGCCUAAAUCUUACCCCUAUGAAUUUAUUUUAUCCAUCUUUUAUUGUAUUAACCACAUUUAUAAGGCAGUGCGAUGCAACCGAAAAUUAUAACCAAACAUGAGUUAGUAUGAAAAUAAUAUUUUAGUACAAUACAAUACAAUGUAAUAUAAGCAAACAAAUAGAUAUUUAAUUGAAGCAAAAAUUGCAUAUGGUUUGUCGUCUCUCAAAAGACAGCAAAGAAACCAAUAUGACACAUUGAUUUUGAAUUUGUUGUUUUUCGUGUUAUGAAAAGGAAAAUGCAGAAAACUUAUUUGGUGAGCUUAUUUUGGUGGAAAACUGUACAGUGAUUAAAAACAAAAAAAUUAUCAUUUUCCAAUGUUUACAAAGAAAACAAGAGACAUUUUAUUUCACUUUUACUCUCUGCCAAGGGUCUCACUAUCUUAACUUUUAUAAGAUAGUGUAAUAAAUUACGUGGGCCCAUUUAAUAAAGAAAUAAUCUAAUAAAUAAACUAAUAUAACAAAUAUUUAAAAAUAAUAGCAAUAGUUUAUUCCAUACCUUGCAGCUUAACUACUUAAUAGAUUACCCAAAUUGUUUUAAAUAAAAAGUAAUAUCAUAUAAUUAUUAUACUAAAUUAUUACAUUGUUCGACCCAAUAUGCAGUUAUUUAAAAAUUAUUACAAAUUUUCAUACACUAAUGAAAAUAUUUCAAUAAUAAAGUUACUUCUUGACAGCUAAUAUAAAUAAAUAUAUGAUAAUUAUGAAAUAAUUUAAAAUUUUCUCAAUUACUAUUAUCUUAUAAGUACAAUUUAUUUACAUAAUUAAAAGUUUUUAAGAAAUCAUUAAAAUAUCAUCGUACCUAUAUGCAUUUAUAAUAAUAUAUAAUACAUCAUAAUAUAAUAGCUAAAUAGAUAAAUUAUUUAAUGACAUAAAAUAUAUAUUUAUAUUCAUUGUAUUAUAUUAUUCUUUCAUAAUAAUUUCAUUAAAUAAUUCCCUAUUCUCUCUCUCUCUUUUUGUCUUCAUUUUUUCAGAUAAGCAACCAAACAUCUUUUCACCUUUUUUUAUUUUCAAGUACUGUUUUUAAACUAAGGUACCAAACAUGUUUUUAUUUUUAACAAAAACUAAUCAUUCUUAUUUCAUAAAAUAAAUUUAAAAACACUAUUUAAAAAAUAAUACCAAAUGCACCCUUAAAAACUAUGAGAAAUAUACUGAUUUUACAAAUAAUAUUUAAUAUGUCGAUUAGACUGAAUCUUUGGAAUAAAAAUUUCAAAUUAAAUACUAAACCCUUAGUUCCCUUUUAAUCGUAAUUAUAAUCUUAAUUAUUAAAGACAUUUUAUUUUGUGCUUGUCUUUUUUUAUUCACUUUUUUUUUAAUCAAAAAUAUUGCUCUGCAUGCAAGUCUUUGGUCGCGGGCCUAGGUGUCCCAAACAUCCAGCUGACAGCGACGUUUCCACUUUGAUUAUCCGCACUUCCCAGAAGUCGCAAGGAAAGACCGAUUGAGUAGUUUGAUUGGUUUGAAGAUUCAUGAGACUGCUUUUCACUAGAAUUCCACGGCCUCAUUCAUUUUUUUUUUUAAUAAUCUAAAUGACAUCGAACACUCUACUCAAUAUAAGUUUAUUCGAAUGUCCUGUUUCAACCUAAUCGAAAAUUGCAAAUGAAACAAAUGCUUGCUAUCACAAACAGCCAAAAUGGAAUUUUUGUUUUUCAUUGUUGUAAUGACUUUGAUCUUGAUGUUGAAAAUUUAUUUGUAACUUAUAUAAAGGCUCAAUUUUAUCAUAAUUGGUUACAUCCAUAUGCAGCUUAUAUAAUGUUUAUUACAUCCAUAUAAUCUUUCUUAUAUAAUGUUUUUGUUACAUCCAAGAGAAAGACAGUUACGCUUAGAUCAGUCUUAUUUAAUAGAAUUAUAGGAUAAUAAAAUUGGUUUAAAGAAAUGUGAUUCUUAACUCUUGUAAUUAAAGUUAGUGUUCUUUGAUUUUAGUGGUGUAGGGCUUAUAAGUCUAUGCAACAAUUCUUGGUGAGUUUGAUUCAAUAUACGAUCAUUUUCAGUUCUUUAAAGUCUCAUAAUUAAAAAUUCCGAAAUCAUAAUUAGAAUUUACAAACAAGUCAAAGUGAGUCAAAGCAAACCUAGAAAUUUAAGGUCUAUCAUAAACUUUUGACAAAUUAAAGUUAAGGUGAUUAAUUAAAUGCUAGACAAAACAAAACCUAUAAAUUUACCUUACCACAUGAUGAAGCUAUUUCAAAGAUCUCAAAUUACACACUAAUUAAUAAUUAAUCUACAUUUUUUUCCGUUGUAUAUCGUUGAAACUUCUAUCUUCACAACAUAUUGUUCUUAAUUGGCCAAAUGUAUUUUUGUCUAGAAAUUUGCUAUGAACAAAUUUCAGAAUUCAUCAGAGAUAAUACAAACAACUAAUGUAUUUAUAAUAUACAUAAUUAAACUUAAUAUAACCAUCACUUACAUGAUAGUUUUUCAAAAUAAAUAAACACAUAUUAUAACAUAUUUAUUUAUUAUAUAAUUAAUAUAGUACCUUUAAUAUAUUGUAGAAUUUCUUCUUCCUAUGUUACAGAAAAUGUAAGUAACGGACACUAAUUUAACAAGAAACGUAUAUAUAAGUUUGCCACGUGUAGUCUCAACAUGUGUGUAAAAACCGAAUUAACCGGUUUGCAUUCGACAACAAAGGAAAAUAUUACUUGUUGCUGAUCGAUUGCAUAAUAUUUUAAUUCGACAUGUCUGACUGCUUUGCCAGCUCGUGUGAUAAAAUGGAUAUGAGUGGAUCUUCAAUGCCUCCCGCAAAAUCCUUGUAACACCACUUCAAAAUUUUAUUUUCUAAAAUACACCGAGUUUAAAUUAUAAAAUAUAAAUCUGUUUAUAAAAAUUAAUCAUCUUUCCAUAAAAUUUCAACCUAAAAAUUAUUUUUCUUUUAAUUUUUAUUAUAAAAGGUAUACAAACUCUAUUAUUAAAUUGUUUUCUUCUUAUGAUAUAGUUUAUAUCUCUAUAACUCUAAACUUGUGUAAUUUUUUUUUAAAAAUAUUUUUCAAUUUAAAAUAUAAAAUGGCGUGGGUAUUAAAAAAUUUGUUAAAAGAAUAAUUUAUUUAAGUAUUUAACUGAAUUUAAAAUAAGAAAUAAAUUAAUUUAUUUUUGAUUAUUUAUGUAAGUUUCAAUUAAAAAAGAGUUUUAUGAGAAAUUGAGAGGGGAAAAUGAUAUUCUUAGUAAUAUUAUUAACAUAUGAUUAAAAUUCUUAUUAAUUAAACAUUUUCAUAUAAAAACUACUGAUAUUUAUAGAGAAAGCACAAUGAAGUGAAGAAAACUUGAAUAUACAUACUCCAAUAUAAUUUUACACAUGCAAAUUAUGAACCGAUGAUCUUUAAAUUAUCAUAAAAUUAUUUCAACAUAAGUAAUUAGUUUGAAAAUUUUCCAAUAAUGUUUAAAAUGGGAAUGAAAGGAUUAUACUAUAUAAGACACAAUAUCAUUUAAGGCGGCUUAGAAAUUAUGAGAAAUUUAUCGAUCUUACAAAUAAUAUUUAAUACGUCGAUUAGACUGAAUCUUUGGAAUAAAAAUUUCAAAUUAAAUAAUAAACCCUUAGUUUCCUUUUAAUCAUAAUUAUAAUCUUAAUUAUUAAGACAUCUUGUUUUUUGCUUGCCUAUUUUAUUAACUUUUUUUUAAUGAAAAAUAUUGCGCUGCAUGCAAGUCUUUGGUCGCCGGCCUACGCGUCCCAAGCAUCCAGUUGACAGCGAGGUUUCCACUUUGAUUAUCGGCACUCCCCAGAAGUCGCAAGGAAAGACUUGUUCGAGUAGUUUGAAGAUUCAUGAGACUGCUUUUCACUAGAAUUCCACGCCCUCAUUCCUUUUUUUCUUUUUUUUUUUUAAUUAUCUAAAUGACAUCGAACACUCUACUCAAUAUAAAUUUAUUCGAAUGUUCUGUUUCAACCUAAUCAGAAAUUGCAAACGAAACAAAUGCUUGCGAUCACAAACGGCCUAAAUGGGAUUUUUGUUUUUAAAUGUUGCAAUGACUUUGAUCCUGAUGUUGAAAAUUUAUUUGUAACUUAUAUAAUGGCUUCAAUUUUAUCAUAAUUGGUUUCUAAUGCUAUGUUAGAGGGCAUGGAUAAACUGUGGGAUUAGAUUAGAUUUUAGGACUAAAAAAUUAAUUUCAUCCAAUGUCAUAUUUAGCUGUCGUGACUAAUAAAUUAGUCCAAAAUUAGGAUAAGAUUUAUAAUAUUAAAUGAAAUAUUUUUGUUCUCUUUAUCACUCUUUUCUUUUUCAUUUAAAUUGAAUAUAAACAGUAAUUUCAUAAUUUUUUAUGUAGAAUUUUAUAUUAUACUAAAUAUCAAAAUUCUAUUCAAAAUUUAUUUUAAGUUGUAUUUACUUAAGAUUAAUUAUCUAAAUUUAAUCCAAUAAUUUAGUUGAUCUAGUAUUGAAUAUUAAACAUUAAAAAUUAUUCGAUUAUUUGUUUAAAAUAAAAUUGAAUAUUAAAUAUUGAAAUAAUUAUUUAAUAGCAUAUUAUAUUAUUAAUAUAAUUAUUAAUAAGAAACAUAUCAUUUAUUUGAUUACUAUUUAAAGAUAAACUUAAAUACUAUUUAAAAUCAUUUAAAUUUAACUUAAUAUAAUCCAAUCUAAAAUUGUACCAGACAUGCAUAAUACUAUAUAUAAUUCAGUCUAAUCCAAUUCAAUCUUAAUAAAUAAUACAAUCUAAUCUUGUGAGUCAAAAUUGGCCUAAGGUUACCAAUUGUGCAAUAAUCUUUAUAGCCCGUUUCCCAGCCACACACCCUUUUGUAUUAGUAUUCUCACAGCCGUUGGAAAUAUGGCUCGUAAUCUAACAAAUGACAUUAUACGGCUGUUACUUGCUAGUUUUUGUAAGGUGGCCAAGGCCUUUUAUCAAACACUAUAGGCCUUUUAGUGCUGAGCUAACAGAUUAGUGCUGUCUAUUUCUACAAACACAGAACUGCUAUUUGUUUGUCUAUCCCGUGGUCUCUUCGUUUAUUGACUUGAACUGUGAUAACUAAGGGGGCAUUCCUUUCUUCAAGAGAGUACUACCCAAUGGAGACGUUAAGUAUUAUUUUGUUUUUUUUUCGAAAUAAUAAUGAGUCAUAGUCAAUUGGAUUGAAUUAAUAAUGUUUGUGUCUGUGUGGUGUAAAUUGUAUAAGAAUGGAAUUUUUAUACAUAAAUAUAUUUCUCAUUCAAACUAACGCGACCAUAUUUUAACAAAUAAUUGUCUUGUAUUUCAUAUUAUUUAUUUUAUUAUAUUAUUUUCAUUUUAAUAUAUCAUCACGCUACUCUUCCCCAGUUUUCAUAUACACCAUAUCUGUUUGUGUGAGAUUAAUUUGUACACACUACAAAAAAGGCGGCCUGAUGCGAGGCCGGAUUUGACGAAUAUCUGAGCCGACGUAAAUGAUGAUCGUCUGUCGGUAAUUUGAUUACCUUUCCGUACUUUAUCAAUCAUUGAAUGAUUUUACUGGUUUAAUCGCUUGAUUGUUUGAGUAUGAUCGGUAAUUUGAUCGUCUGUCAGCAAGUGAUUCACCAUUCACUCUCCAAUUUUCAUUAAUUUAGUGUAGCAAAGCUUUAACUAGACAGGUAGAUAACGUGGUCAUGAAAACAUGAUUAAGAGUUUAAUGCAAUCAAAUCUACUUUAAUGAUUAUUUAAUGCACGGAGAUUUAACAUCAAUUAUCAUCACGUUAUUCUAACAACGAAAUUGCAGAGCUUGGAUCUUUACUCGAACAGUUUCACUGGCACUAUUUCUGACACAUUGGGCAAGCUGAAGGAAUUGCAAUUCCUGUAUGAUCAUUUCCCCAACUAUUAUUUGAAUAAUUAUUUAAUGCCGUUCAUUCCAGCUCUGUUUGGCUGUUAACUUUAUUUAGUUAUUUAUUUAUGAGGAGAUUCAUUUCUCACUUGAAUCUAGAAAUUUACGGAUCAAUGACAUUUUAUUUUUUCUUUUAUAUGACAGCUUGCAAUCCCUGGUGUGUACUCAUAGUGCCUUACAUGAAUAAAAAAAUGAUUUUUUUUUUUUUGGGGGGACAAUUGCAGUUCUGAUAACAACUAAAAUCUGUGUGGUCCGGUUACCAGAAAGCCUUGCCCCAGGUCUCUGCCAUUUUCUCCUCCACCUCCAUUUGGGGAAACUAAACUAUUUACUUUUUGCAAGUUUUUCUUGAAAUAUAUAUUUUUGAGAAGAAAACCAACAAUACAUUUUAUGAUUUGGGCUGUUUCAAAGAUCUUUGCUUGAUAUCUCUGCUACUGGUUUUCAGCAGAGCGCCCAAAAUAAUCAGUGCACGCACCAUAUGCUUUAUUAUUAUCAGCAAAAAUCACUGCUGAUAUGUUGGGAUCGACUUUUUUAUUUGGGAGAGGAAGCAUGCUUGAAAGAGUAGAGCGGUGCAUCUUGUUCAAACAUGCACCGUAGAGCCAAUUCCAUUUUAUGAAAUAGGAGUUAGACUGAACAACGUUAUGUCUUCAUUAUCAUUUCAGGAGGAAAUAGAUCAAAUACAGCAAUUGCUGUAGGAGUUGAUGUUUGUGCUGCUAUAUUUUCUUCAGACUCUCAUACCAAGGAAAAAUUUAGCUUCAAAGAAUGGUAUGAUGCUUUGAUUUAUGAAGUAAUUGUUAUACAUUUUGUACCUUCCAUACAUUUUGCUCUGUUAAUAUUAUUAUUUGAUAACAUGCUUGUCGAGUUGCACAGCGUUUAGAAUUUUGAGAUUAAAUAGAGUAUAAAUGCUAUCCAAAUGCACUCCUUUCAUUUUAUACAACUUUGAUUGAUCAUUGUUUCUAAUUUACCUCAGGCAUCAAUGGAGUCUGUCCGAGUCUCCUUUGCUGGGAAAUCAGUCAAAUGACAGCACAGGUGCAUAUAUUCCAAGAGCCAGUAAUGUAAUAGCUCACAAUUUAGCAAGACUAGCUUUGGAGCAAUCUGAAGUUGUACUUUGGAUGGAUAAUAUUCCAGCCCAACAUUUGUAUUUAUUCACUAGUUUUUUUUUUUUUUUUGAAGAGAAAGUAAAGCUUUCUAACUAAACAAACUUAGACAGUAACAAUAUGAUUUGAACUGGAAAGUCCUCCAGCCAAACUACAGGGCUUUCAAAAUCUAAGGCUACUUUGGCCAAUGAGUGAGCUGCUACAUUACAGUUUCUAGGAACGAAUUGAAUUGAUGCUCUGCUCUGGUUCUUUAGACAUGCUUGAAUCUCUUCCACUGCCCAGCAAAUUUCUGCCAUGCUGCUCUUCCUUUGCAGUGAUAGCUCCACCACUUCUAAAGAAUCUGACUCUAUAAUGAUUGGAUUACAUUUUGCUUGGCAGGCAACUUGAAUUCCAAACAACACGGCUUCCGCUUCCAUACAAGCCACAUCACCUCUGAAUCCAGUGCUCUGAACUGCUGCAGCCAAAAUUUUCCCGCUUGAAUCUCUAACCACUACACCUAGCCCAGCCUUCGAAUCUGCCAUUUGAAUUGCUGCAUCCACAUUCACUUUAUACCAACCAAUUGGAGGGGGAUUCCACACCUGUUGAUUAUUAUUGUGCUGACUUGGAACAACUUGGACAUUUGGACACUUAAUUCUCAAGUACGACUCUACAGUUGCUGCAGCCCCGGCUGCUGUCAUUUGGGGAUCUUCUUGCUUACCUUCAUUUACCACUCUAUUUCUUGCAUACCAGAUAGCCCAACAAGUUGCAAUUAUCAGCCCCAAAUCAUCUUUUUUCCUCUUCCCGGCUAAAUCUUGAAGAAUACUCAGCAUAUCCUGGUGAGCCAUUAGCUUUAUAUCCUCAUAAAAUUCUGUCAACUUCCACACCUUCCUAGUAGCUCUGCAUCCCACCAAUGCAUGAAAGACAUCACUAGUUGAAUGCUUAAAAGGGAGACAUUUUUAUCAAAAAAAGAAAAAAAACUUCAAUUGAGUUGCUAUCUAUUUAACUUUGGCAAGUGAGAGAGAGGGAUGGGACUGUCCAAUUAAAAUUAAGUUUCAAAUGGUAAUCCCAUCAUUGUCGUCUCAUGUUUGUCAAAUUCAAAUUUGAAAAUAUCACCAUGUUUGUAUGGUGAUGUUGUGGGAUUGUCUCGCCUAGGCUUUUAGCCUUACGACCUCCUUUAUUAGAAAAAAUCUUUGGUGUUCUUACUCAAUGGUAGAAUCAAAAUUUUACUUCAAUGGAAGCCAUAAUGAUUAAAAUAUAUUCUUAUUAAAUUUGAUCAAUUACUUAUUUGAUGUUGCUCUCUCUAUCUACAUCUCCUUCUUUAUGAAAAAAAUUAUUGUAAUACAUGAAAGUAAAUAUUGCAUUGAAUAAAAUGAAAUUGUUCAAAAAUUAACAAAUUCAGCUUUAUUAUAAUCUAAAACAAAGUAAAUAGAAUAAUAUCCAUCAUGUAAAAAUAAAAAAAAAUUGUACCACUUUGAAUCUAUUUUAAUUUUUUUGGUCAAAUCUCAAAAGCACAAACCUUGAACGAUAAUAAUAUGUAAAAGCUAAUAAUCUUAUAAUAAAAAGUAAGAAAAAAAUAAAAUUGAUUUAGCAUGUAAGAAUAAAAAAAGAAAAAUAGAAAGAGAGAGAAAUUAGUUUAGGCUUUAAGCAUUGUUAAGUUCGGAGAAAAAUAAUAAUUAACUAAGAGUAAUUUUAUGACUUUUUAGAAAUGAGUGAAUUAAAAUAAUAAGUUAAAAUUUAAUAAUUAUCUUAAUUAAAAAAAUAGGUAUUGAAAUAAAAUUAGUGGAUUCAAAUAGCCCACCCAAAAUCUAAACUUGCAUACCAAUUAUUUUCUAAUUUACAUAAAGUUUUUCUUUAUGUUUGAUAACACUUGUUUCUCAAUUGGUCUAACGGAGAAACAACCAGCUAAAAAAUAAAAUGAAUGCAAUUAAAUGGAAAUUUGAAAAAGAGCAGUAUGUCACGGGAUGAGUGUUUUGCGCAGCUAACCCGUGCGGCACUUAGACAACUUUGCCGAAUGUUGCUAAGUAAGCCUAGAGCUUCUCGAACUAGAGAAGAGAGCAAUUGAGCCAAAGAAGAAAACUUGUAUUGCACAAAGAGAGAAUACAAUGCUUGAGUUGCUUACAAAGCUUGUUGGAUACAAAUGCCUAAUGCCAUCCCAUAUUUAUAGGGGAGGCUUGCCAAGCUCUAGAGAUUCUAGAGAAUUCUACCACUUCCUAGCUAUUUACAUGUGCUGGAAUUCUAUGGAGAAUUCUAGAGUUGCUUAGAACUUUCCGGAAUUGAGCCAAGCUAACACUCUUGGCCUUGUGUUGGCUCUCUAGCCCAAAAUUGUGAGCAAUUGGGCUAGCGAUUUGGGCGGUCCGCAACAAGUAGGUGACAUUUUUGUGCAAGCAAAAUUGCAUUCUGUUUGUGGGAUCCUGGAAAAAGUAAAAGAGAAAACACAGAAUGACACUGAUAUUGUGUUCUUUAAUAUUUUUCUAGUUGCUUCCAUGGCAGAUUCUCAUUGGUCCAUUUUUCUUUACGCCUUAGAUUCUAUGAUUCAAUUUCAAUCAAAUACCACAACCAAAAGAAGCUUUUAAGCCUGCAGCUGAAAUAGAUGGCACUUUAAUUUUCAGCUGAACAUAUAUAUGGUAAGAUUAUUAUUAGUAUCGAGCUUGAUGAGGCUAUAGAAAAUUCAAUAUCGAGAUCGGAUAAGGGUCCAAUAAAUUAUAAAAAUAUUGCAGCUCAAAGCCCAUAUGAUCAUGGGCCACUACUUGCUCAUGCUUUGAAUUAAAAUUUUCUAACGAAGUGACGUUGGAAGCCGAAAUGGGCACAUGAUGAAAUGGUGUUCAUCAUAUAUUGAGCCCAACGGGACAAGAUCAUCAUUUAAUUGCCUCCUCCACUUGUCGAUAGAUAUUUGCCGAAUUUUUCUAUUUAAAAAAAUAUUAUACUGGUCAAUAUAAUUAGAAGUUUUACAAAAUAUAAAUAUAAUUUUAAAAAAAUUUAUAUUUGUUAAUUUAAAAUUUUCAUUUGGUGGUUAUGUUUGAGAAAAAUCUUAGAGAUACUAAGAUAUACUCUCUUAUUAUUUAUUAAAUUUAGGUAUUUUGACAUAUUAGUAUUCAGUAUUUUUUGGUAAUUAGCUGAGAAGUAUAUGUGACAAAAAUUUAACACAUGAAAGAAUACACAUCGAGAUUAUCUAAAAUUUUCCAUUGACUUAGUCAACUCUCCAUUAAUUUCAUUGACUUGGUCAACUUAUGAUCUAACUUGACAACUUGAAAAUUAAAUUAUGCUAGUACUUUUGUAAAAUUAAAAUUUAUCUUCCAAAAUUGAUAAAUACCGUGUCACUUUGUCAAAUUACUUAGGGUAAAAGUUCUAUAGCUAAAACAUUUAAGAUGAGUUAUAUGCUAAUUGAGAAGGACAAGACACAAAAGAAUUCAAUGGGGCAAAACUAUGUUACAACUGUGGUAUGGUACCACAGUUGCUUUCAGUCGGUAGAUCCACAGUUGUACAGUUACAUUAGUUAGAUCUAAUGGUUGAAAGUAACUGUGAUACCAUACCAUAGUUGCAACAUAGCUGGACCCAAUUCAAUGAAUGCCACGUUAAGUAACGUUGCUUACUCUUAACAAAUUAUUACAAACGUGAUUCAUGAAACUUGACUUUGUGUAUAAAGACGACCUAAAGAAACAUGCCAGGGCAACAAAUAAAGUAGUCCAAACGUGAUUCAUGAAAACUUGAUAGGCACUAUUUAAAUAGUAUUAAUAUGGCAACCAAAAACAUGCGAGCAAAGUAGACUUUCUUGGACGAUCCAUGCCAAUCAACAAAUAAAGUAGCCCAAACGUGAUUCGUGAAACUUGACUUUCUGUCUAAAAAGGCCUAAAGAAACAAGAUCAAAAUUCCAUGCAGAAGCAAUAUGGUGGGCACAAUGCACUAUUUAAGCCAUUUUUCAAAACUAAGUUUCUUCUUUUUCACAUGCACUAUUCAAGCAAUUUUUCAACAUUUUCUCAUUCCCCUAAAAGCUAACACGCAUGCGUGAAUCAUGUGCCAAUCAAUUUCUUGGCAAAAAUUGGAACGCAAGAACCGGUUCGAGCAUAGGGACAUUUUCACGAUUCAAGAUUCUCAGCAAGACGGCGAGACCAACGUGCAUCACUUUUGGAAAGUAAUUUAGCAAGUUCCAAUGCCUUAGCUGAUUAAUGGCUUGACCAUGUCACGAUUGGUCCCCUAAAAGCUAACACGCAUGCGUGAAUCAUGUGCCAAUCAAUUUCUUGGCAAAAAUUGGAACGCAAGAACCGGUUCGAGCAUAGGGACAUUUUCACGAUUCAAGAUUCUCAGCAAGACGGCGAGACCAACGUGCAUCACUUUUGGAAAGUAAUUUAGCAAGUUCCAAUGCCUUAGCUGAUUAAUGGCUUGACCAUGUCACGAUUGGUCCACAUUAUGCACAUGGCAAGAUCAAACAAAAUAUCACAGCUGGCUCGACGACUACCAGCCAAAAUAAGAAGACAAUUACGGCCAGUUACAUCAUUAUUGCUAGUAAACUCUUUACGAAGGAAAUGUGAAUAUCCCUCCUAAUCACUUUCUUAUAUUAUCAUUAUUUUGUACAUAUGACAGAACAUGUUCUCCCAUGUAAAGAAGUCAAGAAAAUGGUUUUAGUUUUCACAUCAAUAAUGGAAUCCAAAAUCUUUCACAGCUUGCUUCUCCUUUGGACGCUUGAAAAACUUUCUUACCUGGCUAAAACUGUGAGAAUUGUUCAAACUAAUUUGAUUGAUAACUUUCAGACACAAAAAUGUAUAUGAAUGCUACAUUUAAAUGUGAAACAAAAAGGAGUACUUAUAUUAAAAAACAAUCAGUCUCAUUGCGUCCUCUUCCAUUGACAUAGGCAAUUUGCGGUCAACUUGUGGCACCCUUAUUGACACGUAAAUAACUUACUUACCCUGCAGCCAAUACUUUUAUGAAUUUUUAGGGUUGGUAAAUUUUUCAAAUUUAAAAGAAAAAGUACAGAAAUAUAAUUUCCAUUUAUCCAGAAAUUUGAGUUUCAAGGAACAUAGCAUUUAUGUUAAUAUAGAGAAGAAAUUUUUUAAAAAAAAAUUGAAUGAAUAAAAGUAUUUUUUGAUAAAUAUUUGACAAUCAUAUUUAAAAAAAAAAGUUUUUUUAAAAAAAAAAAUUCACUCUUCCUACAUAAUUUAAUAAUUUAACAUUAUAAAUUAAUCUUUUUAUUCAAAGUAAUAAUCUCUCCUUCGGUCUGCAAAUGCUAAAAUUUAAUAUUAUACCAUAUGAUGUAAUAGCAAAUCUGCAUGAAAUCUGCAUUUAGUCAAUAACUAUGAAAUAUCGAUACGUGUUUGAAAAAACUCUUAAAAAUCGGUUUCCACCUUCAUUAUUAUAGCUCUUGUAUAAACCAACUUGGCAACAUAUGAUUGAUUAAUAUAAGAAUAAAUAUUUAUUAAGUGGGUUCUACCAUGUUUUUAAUUCACCUAAUGAUAAUAUGUCACAUCAAUUUGUACAACAAUAUUUGUGACUAUAUCAUUACUCGUUAAUUAAUAUGAACACUAAUUUAUUCUUCUUGAAAGAGAAUUACUGCAGCGAGGUUUGAGGCUCAAAGAGUUCUCAUUUAGCCAAACAUAAGAGAUGAGAGUUCACAGGAGACGUAAUUUGGAAAAUCAAUUCCAUCCAAUAGGCAAUAGGUCUCAGUGGGUUUGACUCAGUAUACGAUUAUUUUCAAUUUUUUAACGUCUUGUAAUUACAAAUUCCGAUAUCACAUUAUAAUUUUCGAACAAAUCAAAGUGAGUCAAAUCAAAUUUAGAAAAUUGAGAAAUUUAAGAUGAUUAAGUAAAUGCUAGACAAAAUCUAACUUGUAAAUAUACCUUACCACAUGAUGAACGUACUUAAAGAUCUUAACUGAUUGCUAACCAAUUAAUUGUUGUUUUACAAUUUUUAUAUAUCCUUUCUUUUCCCUAAAACUUCUAGUUUCCUAACAUAUUGUUCUCAAUUGGUCUAAUUAUAAUAUAAUUUUUUUAAAUAUAAAUAAAAUGAAUUUAUUUACUGGAAAUUUGAAAAAGAGGCACUUAUCUAUGCAAGCAAAGUUGCAUUCUGUUUGUGGGGACCUUAAAAAAAAGAAAAAAGAAAAAAGCAUAAUGACACACUGAUGACGACAAUCCUGAAGUAUUUGUUUUCUUUAGUUACAGUUUGGUUUGAAUGGUUAAGUUCAAGUUCGAAUUUUCUUUACGUAAUUUAAAUUAAAAUUGAUAGAACAAAUGGGCUGAUCAGUAAGAUGAUGAAGAAGAAGAAGAAGAAGAGGGGAUGUCUUUGAGGAUGAAGAGAAAGAAAGUUCUCGAAUAAAAAUCCGGCUUUAUGGAAAUUAAAUUAAAAGCUAUUAAGCAUUGUAAAUUACUUAACAGAUUAAUGCUGAGCUAAUCAAGUUUGUUUCUGAAGAUGAUACCUUUAAAUCUCUUGUAGUUAAAGAUAAUUAUCAUAUCACCAUAUCAAAUGGACCGAAUUCAAUCAAGUGAAAUCUAGAAAAUAGAGCAGCUCAUAGAUGUACGUGGCUAAGUCGGGGUUCAUUUGGAAGUACUUGGUCGAAUUGCGACUUGCAUCGGAGGCUUCGUUUUAGAAGAGUGCAGAGCAGCCGCCUUGUCCAUUUGGCACGCCAACGACUUUCUAUUGACCAAUAAUUUUGAAAGCGAUAUUAUUAAUUUACCAUCUAAUAUAUUUAUGAUAUUAUCAUUUUACUAUAAUAUUUUUUUGAUAUUAUCAUUUUACUAUCAAAGUUUUUUGACAAUUAUUUUGUUCACUUAAUGUUUUAGUUUUUGUUAUUUUACUAUCAAAAAAUGGUAAACGCACCCCUAGUAUCGGUUAUACACAAAAAUGGUUACCGAACUGUCUUGUUUCUCAUUUUGUUUAAUUUUCAUAAUUCGACUCACGAUUCAAACGUAGGUGAAGAGGUCUUUUGGGAAAAAUCUGGUCUUCCAUUUACUAGAAUAAGCUAUGUGUGAUUGUUUGACCGCAUAUGGCUUUCUGUCCAUCAGCUAAUGCAUAUUCUGCAUUUUAUGAAUAUCAGAGCUGGUAGAUUGAAAAAUGGACCUUAUUACAUGUCAUAAGAUACUUUGCUCAAAGCUGCAAUUGGGCAACGCCGUGCUGUUCGUAUCGGCCAAGGCAAGCCAUUUACUAUUCUUUCUAAUGGAGCAAAAUACGAUGAUUCUUACCUGCGUAGAGAAUUAGAAAAGAAAAGGAGGAUUACUGAUCCACAGAGCUGUCAUUUACUAGAAGCACAUAAAAUCUUACACUUAAUUCAUUAACCAUAUGUAAUGUUCUAAUGAUACUUAAGUAUUACAUAAAUUAGCCUUUCAAAAUUUCACUUCGAAAAAAUCCAAGGUUGUGAUGUGUCUGUAUAAAUUCGCUAAUACAAGUUCUCUCUAUUCCCAAUUGUUUUAAACUCUGUUCUGAACAGAGCAUGAAAGGAUAUAUUCGUUUAUCUAGUUAUAUUUUUUAUGCUCUCACUUCACUUGAUUCACCUUCUCCAUCUUUUAAAACAGUUGUAUAUGUCGGAGUAUCAAGUUCAUCACAAGGAUCAUAUUAUGGCCUAAGGAAGGAGCACAGUUUAUUGUCUGCACUCAAGCUUAGCAGAGUAUUUUGGGAUUCAAGAGUGUUAGUAGGCCGUUACAGAUGCCAUGCUGGCAAGCGUGCUAUGACUGAUUGCUAUUUGCACGUAAAAUUUGCCCAAAACAAAUAGAAUGAGAAUACUUGUACAAAAGGAUAAGAUUAAUAAAGUGAAUAAAUUUUAUCUUUUAGUGAAUGCUUCUUGUCUUUUAGAAUUUCAGUGCAUUUUCGUGUGUAAUUUUAUGUGCAAAUAGCAUUACUCAUUAGUAAUUAGUCUAGAGUGUUCUAAUUUCUUCUAAUAAGUAGCUGAUUUGAGCUUAAGACUUGUAUUUUAAGUUUUUAUUACUUUCUAAUAAAGAUUUUCUCCGUUCUUUUUUACUUUCACUUUCUCUUCCAUUUUCCCGACUCCCAAACACCACCAAUCCUUGAUUUUCUAGAGUAUAGCUAUGCAGUUCUACAAACACGAAACUGCUGUUGGUCCAAUUACUUUCAAGAAACAACGUACUCUGUGGUUUAUUGACUUGUGACAUGGGCAAAUUAGUCACGGUCCGAUUGUCUCCUCUUCCACUUACUGUCAAUUCAUGACUUUGGCACACAGUAGACGCCAGCUGCCUGCUCCAUUUGACGUGCAAAAAACUUUCUUGAGUCAUGUAGUUAAGAGAGACUUAAUUUUGAGAAGUGCAAGAGAUUGGUGGGACUCAUUUGAUUCAAGAAAAACAAUCAGUCUCAUUUGAUACGCAAAGAGCUUUUCAACUCUGCAGCCAAUAUUUUGAUGAAUGAGACAUUACUGGUUUGUAUAAUUUUUUGGAUAUUAUCUCAAUUUUACUUCUGUAGGUUUGUGGUUUGUAUAUUACCUCAAUUUUUAAAAAAAUGUAAUUGCAAUUAUCAAACACGACUAAUCCCAACAAUUUAUCCAAAAAAUUUUGUUUCAAGAAAUGUAGCAUUUAUGAUAGAAUGGCUAAUUUUUUCAAUCGACUUUCUGGAUAAAUGAUAAUUUUUUGAUAGAAAUGUUAAUUACUUAUUACAGGAAGAAAAUUAUAGAAUAAUUUUUUGAAUUAAUAGUAUUACUUUACGAUAACACUAUCACAAUCUAAUUUUUUUAAAAAUAAAGUUAUUCUUUAAAUUUCGCAUUACUAUUCCUACUUUUCUUGUUAUACUACUUAAUGGCAAAAAUAGUUCAUACGAUAAAAUGAGUACUUAUAUUAAAAAAAACAAUCGGUCUCAUUGCGUGCUCUUUCAUUGACAUAGGUAAUUGGCGGUCAACUUGUGGCACUUUUAUGAAUUUUCAAGACUGGUGAAUUUUUCAAAUUUAAAAGAAAAAAAUACAGAAAUGUAAUUUCAAUUUAUCCAAAAAUUUGAGUUUCAAGGAAUACAGCAUUUAUUAUAUGUCAUGUUAAUAUAGAGAAGAAAAAUUUAAAAACUUCUUUUUGGAUGAAUAAAAGUAUUUUCUGAUAAAUAUUUCACAAUCAAAUUUAAAAAAUUUCACUCCUCUUGGUACAUAAUUUAAGAAUUUAACAUUAUAAAUUAAUCUUUUUAAUCAAAGUAAUAAUCUCUCCUCGGUCUGCAAAUGCUAAAAUUUAAUAUUAUAUCCAUUGACAAUAUUUGCUCCCAAUUCACGAAAAUAAAAUUUCUAACAGAAUUAUGAAAUUCGUUACUAGAAAAUUGUAUAAAAGUUGUGAGAAUAGAAGGUUUGAUCAUAGGAAAUUAAUAUAUCCCUAUCCGAUGCAAAAAUGAUUGUAAAGAAAAAAUUACAUUCCAUUUUCCAGUUAUUAAAAUAAUUCUAAAAUUGCUAGGAUCACAAAGGAUAGGCUUUGGUUGACUGAGGUCAGCCUUAACGCAUGCCGGUCUUUUUCUCCUCUACAUUCUUAGAAAUUUUGGUUUCACUAUAAAUACACGGUAUAUAGCAAACUUAUAAGUGUUCUUGCAUUACCAAUCCAAUUAAGCACACACUUACAAUCUAAAAUACUCUCAUCUCAUGGAAAGGCUUCAUUCUCUAAGCAUUAUGAGCAGAUUUCUCUUACUCCAUUGUUUGAUUCUUAUUUCCUUAUUUAUCGCUGCAGCAACAGCCAACACAAGUUCUACUAUCACAGACCGAGAUGCUCUGUUAGCCCUGAAAGCUCGCAUAACUCAUGAUCCGACCAAUUUCUUGGCCCAGAAUUGGAACACAAGUACUCCUGUCUGUAAUUGGACAGGCGUCGCUUGUGAUGUCCAUAGCCAUAGAGUCACAGUCUUGAAUAUUUCAAGCUUAAAUCUCACAGGCACCAUCCCUUCUCAACUUGGGAAUCUUUCUUCUCUGCAAUCACUCAAUCUCAGUUUUAACCGACUUUCUAGUUCCAUUCCCUCCGCCAUCUUCACCAUAUACACACUUCAAAAUGUUAGUCUCCGUAAAAAUCAGCUCACCGGCACUUUCCCUUCUUUCAUCUUCAACAAGUCUUCUUUACAACAUCUUGAUUUUAGUUUCAAUACAUUGUCUGGUGAAAUUCCUGCCAAUAUUUGCAGUAAUUUUCCUUUUCUGGAAUAUCUUGCUUUGUCCAACAACAUGUUUCAUGGAGGAAUACUGUCCGCUCUAUCAAAUUGCACAUAUUUGCAAAAAUUAGAUUUGGUAUACAAUGAUUUCUCGGGAGCCGUACCUAGAGAAAUCGGUAAUUUGACCAAACUUAAGGAAUUACAUCUUGGCCGCAACAGAUUCCAAGGUGCGUAUGAUCACGGAGUUUAUGAAAAUUGUUCCACAAGUUGUAAUAUGUAUAAUGUUCCAUAAUACAAUUUACACACGUUGAUUAAUUUGCAGGAGAAAUUCCUCGAGAGUUUGGCAAUCUUGCCGAAUUGGAGCAGAUGUCGUUGGCAGAAAACAAUCUCCAAGGCAUGAUUUUAAACUUUUUGCAAUUUUAUUCUGUAUUCAUUCGUUUGUUCAUUAAUUAUGCUAUGAUUUAUUGUUUUUCUUUCAGAUAGAGAUAAAGCUCCAUGUCUCCCCUCACUCAUUUCAUUCUUUGAUUUAUGCAGAUAAAAAUAAAAAAAUGUUUUGCAAUUUUCUUUUGUCAUAUUGCCACUUCCAUUUUGAAGCUCCCAAUUAAGUCGAUGAAAAUGAAUGAUGUUUCAUUCUUAUUCUUGUCAGCCUAAUUCUUAUAUAAUUGAAGAGUAAAUUGUUAUUAUGAUAUUCGUCAGAAAAUAAAUUCUUUUUUUUUUCCACCCAAAUAUGAGUGAUCAAAUUGUUUGCGCAUAUAUAAAUGUACUUAAUUUGCAGGAGGUAUUCCACAGGAAUUGGGGAAUCUUGCAAAAUUGAAGACGUUACAGCUGUUCCAGAAUAACUUGACCGGUAACCAUCUUUACAAUAUAUAUAUGAGACAUCUUCCGCUUCUUAAUAAAUAGAUGUCAAGUCUCUCAUUAUAAAUUCUCACUAUCUAACAUCAUUCCGUUUUUUAUUAGAAAUUAGUUUAUGUUAAUUCAAAAUUCUGCAGCAUCUAAAAAUUAAAAACACGUGGAAUAAAUAAUCAAUCUUUCUUCUUUACUGAAUUUGGAUUUCUCAAAAAUUAUCUUGACAAGUAUGCUUCACUAAUGAUAUGCAUGUGUGACAACUUCAUAAAAUAUUUUACAUGAAAUCACUAAUUAUCUUUAAAUGUGUAUAUGCUUUUAUGUAUUAUUAUUCUUUGAAACAAAUCUGAUUAUAAUUCUUUUAAAAUACAGAUGAAAUAGCAAAUCGGAAAAUAUUUUACUGCGAUAAGAAUUCAUAUAUUCAUUGUAGUAGCACAUAUAAAAUAGACUAAAUUUUGUUCCAAAAUACAUUUUUAUCUUCAUAUAAAUUUUACAUUAUUAAUUUAAAUUAAUAUUAAACUAUGUUAUUUCUUUCACUAUAUUAUUUUAUUUACACAAUGAUGUGACUAUUGGAAUUAAUAAUACUUAUAAUUACUUUGUAAAAAUAUAAAUUUAAUACUUUGUUAACAUUUUAUCUACAUAUAACAAUUAAAUUGAAAAUUGUAUUUAAAAAUUUUUAGCUACGCAUAUUCAUUUCAUGAUAUAAAAGUGUAUAUUUAUACUAAUUUACCAUUAUCCAUAAAAUGUUUUGAGACAAAUAAUCUAAUUUAUAUUUGUAUAUUUAAAAUACUUGCAUUUAUUAUAUUUUUAAAAAAAAAAUAUUUGUAAUGAUUUUAAACCAUUGGAUUCAAAUUUUUGUAGUUAUUAAAGUCGAAGGGUAUAAAUGUAUAAUAGUUAAAAACAGAUUUGUAUGAUCAUUUUUCAAUGUAUAAAUUUUCUUUGUUAGUAGGAAAAUUACAAAUUGUUGAUUUACUCAUAAAUAAAUUUAAUGUUUAGCAUUUCAAUUUUGGAAAACUUGAACUAAAUGUUGAUAACUUCGAAUCGGUCGAGCCGAGUUUCACUUCCUUGACCCACGGACCCAUUGAAAGUUCUAUUCGAAUUGAGUUUCCCAGUGCUUAUAAAAAGCAUUUCUUUUCCUUGUCGCAGUAAUUUAUUCACAAAUGAGUUGAUUAGCAUCGAAGUUACCUAAGAGUCUGAGACCAUGCUAGUAGGAGAAAUUUGAAAAGAAAUUAUUUUACUGAAUUAAUUUAUUUUAUCUUGUUGUUGUAACUGAAAUACUACUUUUUUUUUUGGGCUAUCACUGGUACUUGAUUUACUUUAAUAGUAGCAGCCACCGACUUAGGCGUUUUUUACUUCUCACCACACAAUUUGAUCUUUUAAUUCGUUUUAACCACAUAAUCUAUCUAUUUCUCACCUAUUGCUUACUUAAAUUGCAUACAUAUUUUACCUAGUAAUUUUUAUAAAUAUUAGUCAAAUAUAUUUUAUUACGUUUCUCUCGUAACUGCUCCAAAUGUGUACUAUUAAUACUUAACCCUCCCUUUUAAUUUACCGUGCAAUCUAUCUACACUUAAAUCACAUAUAUAUUUUACCUAUAUUUUACCCAAAAAAAUAUAAAAAUUAAAGAAAAAGAAUAUGUGUAGCAAUUUGUAUAUAACUAACAAAGCAUUGACGGUGUGUAGCCUUCCAAUACUUCAUGAGUGGCUUUUCUUUUGUGUUAGUAUUUGUAAUAAUUGUGUAGCGUAUAAAGACUCUUUAUUGUAUAUGCGUGUCCGUUUAUAUAUAUCAUUUAUUAUUUGAAAAAUAAUCUGAAUAUAAUUCUUUCAAAAUACAGGGGAGAUACCACCUGAAAUCGGUAAUCUCCGAAAUUUAGAGGAGUUGGACCUUGGUCAUAACAAAUUAGUCGGUACUGUCCCAGCUGCAAUCUUCAAUUUGUCAACGCUCAAAGAAUUCUCCAUUCCAAAUAAUUCUCUCUCGGGAUGUCUUUCGUCCAUCGCAGACGUCCGACUACCAAAUCUUGAAGUGCUUAAUUUUUGGGGUAAUAAUUUCAGUGGCACAAUUCCUCGUUUCAUCUUUAAUGCUUCUAAGCUCUCUGCACUAGAUUUGGACGGCAACUCAUUCUCCGGUUUUAUUCCCAACACAUUUGGCAACUUAAGAAAUCUUAAGUGGCUCAUUUUAUCUGAUAAUUAUUUGACAUCUUCAACUCCAGAAUUGAGCUUUCUAUCCUCAUUGUCAAAUUGCAAGUCUUUAACAUAUAUUGACUUAUCAUAUAAUCCACUGGAUAGCAUUCUUCCAAGGACGUCUGUCGGUAAUCUUUCUCAUUCUUUGGAAGAUUUUGAAAUGAACAAUUGUAACGUUAGUGGUGGCAUUCCUGAAGAGAUCAGCAACUUGACCAACUUGACAACCAUUGAUUUAGGAGGCAAUAAAUUGAAUGGAUUGAUUCCAAUUACUCUCAGCAAAUUACAAAAGCUUCAAGGUUUGGUUCUUUAUGAUAACAAAUUAGAAGGAUCAAUCCCAGACGAUAUUUGUCGUUUGGCUGAACUGUAUGAAUUGGAGUUGGAUGGCAAUAAGCUUUCAGGAUCAAUCCCUGCAUGCUUAAGUAAUCUGAUUUCUCUGAGGAUACUAUCGUUGGGUUCCAAUGAGUUAACUUCUAUUCCCUUAAUUUUUUGGAACCUUGAGGAUAUCUUGUACCUUAACUUUUCUUCAAAUUUUUUGACUGGCCCACUCCCAUUAGAGAUUGGAAAAUUGAAGGUUUUGGUUGGAAUUGAUUUUUCGAUGAAUAAUUUUUCAGGCGUUAUCCCAACAAAAAUUGGAGGCCUAAAAAAUCUAGAAUAUCUCUUCUUAGGAUAUAACAGAUUGCAAGGAUCAAUUCCUGAUUCAUUUGGUGAUUUGACAAGUUUGAAAUCCUUGAAUUUGUCUAAUAAUAACCUCUCUGGGACUAUUCCUGCAUCUUUAGAGAAACUCUCAUAUCUUGAAAAUCUAAAUCUUUCUUUCAACAAGUUAGAAGGAGAAAUUCCUAGGGGAGGAUCUUUUGGAAAGUUCUCAGCUGAAUCAUUUAAGGGAAAUGAAUUAUUAUGUGGUUCACCUAAUUUACAAGUCCCACCAUGCAAAACUAGCAUCCACCACACAUCAUGGAAAAAUUCUCUUCUCCUAGGGAUUGUCUUGCCAUUGAGUACUACAUUUAUGAUAGUAGUUAUUUUGUUGAUCCUAAGAUAUCGACAGAGAGGAAAACAACCAUCGAAUGAUGCUAAUAUGCCACUAGUAGCAACGUGGAGAAUGUUUCCAUACCUAGAACUUUGUCGAGCAACAGAUGGAUUCAGUGAAAACAAUCUAAUUGGCAAAGGAGGUUUUGGCUCUGUUUACAAAGCAAGACUUGGGGACGGGAUGGAGGUUGCAGUGAAGGUUUUCAAUUUGGAAUGUGGAAGAGCAUUUAAGAGUUUCGAUGUUGAAUGUGACAUGAUGAAAAGUAUUCGCCAUCGAAACCUUAUCAAAGUUAUUAGCAGUUGUUCAAAUGAAGAGUUUAAAGCGUUGGUAUUAGAAUACAUGCCUCAUGGAAGUUUGGAGAAGUAUCUAUAUUCAAGCAACUGCAUUUUGGAUAUUUUUCAAAGAUUGAAUAUAAUGAUAGAUGUUGCAUCGGCUUUGGAAUAUCUGCACUUUGGUUAUUCAGCUCCAGUAAUUCACUGUGACUUAAAGCCCAGCAAUGUAUUGUUAGACGAUAAUAUGGUUGCUCAUUUGAGUGAUUUUAGCAUCGCAAAAUUGUUAACUGGAGAAGAUCAAUCUAUGACUCAAACACAAACACUUGCCACAAUCGGCUAUAUGGCACCAGGUUUGUUCAAUAUAAAUAUUUUCUAUUAUUUCUUGUAAACUUCCUAGUAAGUUCUUUAUGUUUCAUUAUCUUCAUUAGAUGAGGAAAUUAUUAUUAAUGAUAUAUCUUACUAUGUAAUCGUUGCAAUUCAUAGAGUAUGGAAGAGAAGGACGAGUAUCCGCAAAUGGAGAUGUUUAUAGCUUUGGGAUUAUGUUAAUGGAAACUUUUACUGGGAAGAAACCCACAGAUGAAAUUUUUAACGAAGAAAUGACAUUAAAGCAUUGGGUUAAUGAUUGGCUACCCAUUUCUACUAUGGAAGUUGUUGAUGUUAAUUUGCUAAGUCAGGAGGACAUACAUUUUGUUGCAAAAGAGCAAUGUGUGUCAUUUGUCUUCAAUUUGGCUAUGGCGUGCACUGUGGAAUCUCCGGAGCAGAGAAUCAAUGCAAAAGAAAUUGUAACAAAACUCUUAAAAAUUAGAGACUCGUUACUUAGGAAUGUUGGAGGCAGAUGUAUAAGACAAUCAAACUUAAAUUGAUUCUACCCCUCCUUCAUUGCUUGCUAUCAUUUUCAGAGACUUGAAUAGUUAUCCUUCAUACAAGUUUUGUUGAUAUGUUUUGUUAUUUCUCUUGCUCAUGUUUAUUUCUCUCUUUCUUUAAUUUGCAUGCAUGCAUUUUCGUUCUCUUCCAUGUUUGCAUUGGUUUGUAUUUAGCUUGUUUUUUGGGGUAAGGUUCUUUAUGCCCUCCCCUAAUUAGAUGUAUCCUUUUAAUUUUUAUUCAAAAAGUUUCGCUAGUACUAUCGAGGUUCAUCGAGGUUAAUCGAAAGAAAAUUUUCAAUUGAUUUUCUUUUCUUUGGCUACUAAUGGAAAUUCUAGUCUUUAUAGUUAAUAACUUUAGUAGUUAUGGCUGUUUUCUGAACUUGGAGUCAGAGUAGUUGAACAGCAACAAACAAGUCUCUUGUAUUAUAGGCAAAAUUCUUUUCAUUAAUCUUAUUUGUCUACAUUUUCUCCUAUUUUCUCCAUUAAUCUUCGCUCAAGGUUUCAAGCUUCCUCUUUGGCAAAGGAAAAUGUUAUUUGCUACUGACCGAUUGCGAGUAUUUCAAUUUGACAUGUGAGACUGUUUUGUCGGCCAUUUGAUAAAAUGGAUAUGAGUGGAGCUUUUAAUCAAUACCUCCACCAAAAUCCUUAUAACGCCACUUUGAAAUUUUAGUUUUUAAAAUACAUUCAGUUUAAUUUAAAAAAAAUAAAUUCAUUUGUUAAAAUUAAUCUUUUUCUCAUAAAUUUCAACCUAAAAAAUAUUUUUCUUUUAAGUUUUUAUUAUAAAAUACAUACAAGUUCUAAACUAUUAAAUUAUUUUCUUCUUAUUAUAUAGUUUAUAUCUUCAUAACUCUAAACUCCUAUAAUUUUUUUUAAAAAAUAUUUUUCAAUUUAAAAUAUGAAUAUAAAAUAUAGAAUGGACUGGGUAUAAAAAGUAUGUUAAACGAAUAAUUCAUUUAAGUAUUCAACUGAAUUUUAAUUUAAAAUAAGAAAUAAAUUAAUUUAUUUUUAUUAGUUAAGUAAUUUUCAAUUGAAAAAGAGCUUAUAUUAUGGACAUAUGAUUAAAAUUCCUAUGAAUUAAACAUUUUCGUAUAAAUACCAGUGAUAAUUAUAGAGAAAGUACGAUGAACCGAAGAAAACUUGAAUAUAAAUACUCCAAUGUAAUUUUACACGUACAAAUUAUGAACCAGUGAUCUUUAGAGCAUCAUAAGACAUGAUAUCAUUUAAGACGGCUUACAAAUUAUGAAAAAUACAUUGAUCUUAUAAAUAAUAUUUAAUAUGUCAAUUAGACUGAGGUGGCGUUUGUUUUUUAACUUAAUAACUUAAAGUGACUUAACUUAAUUAAUUAAGUUAAUUAGAGGUGUUUGUUUUAUAACUUAAUGAGACUUUUUAGAUAAUUUUGACUUAAUAAAAUAAGCCAAUUUUUUUGACUUUUUACUUAAUGGAGAAAUCUGAAUUAAGUCAAUUACUUGCUAAUGUCAAAAAUAUCCUUAUUUUAUAAUUUAUUUUUCAUGUCUAUCCCAAACUCACCCAUAGACAUUUACCUCAUAUAAAAAUAUCUCUAUUUUUUCUUUCUUAUAUUAUAUACAAUAAAAUUUAAAAUUUAUGGUAUUUUAUAUAUUAAAAUUCUAAAAUAAUUAUGUAUUCACUUGAAUAUAAUUUUACUUAUAAAUGUUAAAAUAUUGUGUUAUUUAAUAUAUUAUUUAUUUGACAUUCAAAUUUAAUAAGGAUACAAAUGUAAAAGUACAUAUUUUUAGUUUUUUAAGUCGAAAAAACAAACAACUUAAUAUUUAUUUUCCGAGAUUCAGACGAAAAAACAAACAUAUUAUUCAGAUUCAGACAUUCAGAUAUAUUCAGAAUUCAGACUAAUUCAGGUCUAUUCAGAUUUCAGAUAAAAAAAAAACGCCACCUGAGUCUCUGCAAUAAAAUUUUCAAAUUAAACAAUAAACCCUUUAUUUUCCUUUAAUUAUAAGUGUGAUCUUAAUUAUUAAAGUCAUUCAGAUGAAAAAUGAGAAGCUUGAAGCUUCUCUCGGUUAUUUACUAUAUUCUUAUCUCUUUUCUUUUGUUGCAUUUUUCUUCUGUCGUUAUAAAUUAUUUUUUUACAGAUAUACAAAUAGAAACUAUAUAAAUUUAUAACACCUUAUCAGGGGGUUUUUAAUUAAAUACCCUUUAAUAGUUUCAAAAUUAUUGAAAUACCCCCUCCCUUUUUGGUUUUCAUGGAUACCCUAACAAAUGUGAGUAAAGUCGGAAAUACCCUUAAUGAAUGCAUCAAAUUCACUCAAUGAAUUGUCUUCAUAUUCCUUUCCUCAUUUCUUUCACCCAACUCCAUUUUUGCUGCCGAUUCUUUCAAAAUCUCUUAGAAUCUCUCAAAAUCUCUCAUAAUUUCUUACACAAAUACAAUUAUGUAGUCAUUUCUUUAACACCCACUCUUUCUUUAAAGGUGCAUUGCUUAUUAAACAACCCAAUAAGGUAUGUUAAUGUUGUUGGGUUUUAAAUUUUUUAAUUUUUAGGAAAAUUUAGAAAUUUUCCUCACAUUACAAUGUUUUAUUUUCACCAUUUUUUCUUAUAUGUAGAAAUAUAUGCAAUGUAGGUUGUUUAAUUAUUUUUUUCAGCAAUAAAACUUAUUUAUGGCGAAAAUGUUUCGCGUCGUGCAUUCUUUUGAUACCGUGUACGUCAUAUAGUUAGUCAUGUAGGUCAUGUACUUACUUGUAUAUGAAAUUUGAUAUUAUUAUUUUUAUUGUAUCAUCAGAUAUGGUUUUGGUACGUGUGCCUAUUCUCUUCAAUGGUGAAUGAAUUGAGCAAAAUGACGAGUAUAAGUUCAAAGGUUUCAAGGCUAAAGGGAUAAUGAUACCACGAUCGACAAUAUAUGCCGAAUUGAUGGAGAAGAUAGUUGAAGUUAUUGAUAUAGAUACUUCGGAAUUCGAAAUCACAAUGAAGUUCAAACUUAAGACAUCUGAUCCUAUGCCACCAGUUACAAUUCAAACCAAUGAUGAUGUGGAAUUUUUCUUAGAGGAAGUAGCUAGUGGAAUGAAGUUUAGAAACCCGCUUUGCAUUACUUUUGAACGUAGAUCAAAUCGUGUGUUCAUAAAUUACAGCAAAAAAAAAAAAAAUUGCAUAUUCGACAAUUUGAGAAAUGAUGAGAUUAAUUAUUAUAAAUAAACAAAGUUAUCAGUUUACAAUGUCAAUAUUUGGAUAUGAUACACUAAUGGAUAUCGUAAUUAAACAUAUUACAACCAUUUAAAAAGUUUUUUUUUUUUUUUUAUCUUCAAACUGCUUUCUUCCUCUGCCGAAGCAUACAUGCAUACAUGAGGAAUGCCUGCAUAUAAUAAAUCCAUGAAAUCAAUUAGAAACAACUCUUAAAUCAAAGGCUAGUUGAAAACACAGUCGCAAGUGUGGCAAUACUCGGGUUAUCAUCAAAUGUUGUCAGAAUCUGCACAGCAGCAAAUAUUAAUAACUUUACACAAUUUGUACGUAGUUAAAAAUAAUAACAUACUUAGUUAAAAAUAAUAACAAAAUGAACCUUCACAUUAUUCUUAUUGGUUCUAACGAUGACAAAUUAGUAAUUUUCAGCUUUCGGUUUGCCACAUUUCAUUUUUUCCUGAAUACUUUUCGUUGACAUUUUCUGCAUAGCAACAAAUAUAAAUUCUUAGCAAAAAUUAAGUCUUUAAACAACUAAGUUAUUAUAAUGAAUUAACAACAGUGAAAAAAGUCGUGUAAUUUUGAGGUCGUGUAAUACAUGAAGGUCGUGCAAGUGCAAUACAUGAAGGUCGUGUAAUACACAACCUUGAAUCCUAAUAACCUGACACGACCAAAUCGUGUGUUACAUAAAAAAAUUAUAAUCGGCACAAUCCAUCAAUUUUUCACAAUUUGCAUGCAGCAAAACAACUAGAAAUUUGUUUUUGAACAUGUAAUGAGAGACCCGCAACUAAUUAAUCUAUUUUUUCUAUAUAAACCCUAACUUUUUUUUUCCCUGAAUAUCAACAAGAAAACUAUUUAUAGAGAAUUACUUACCUCAACUAGUUAAAUUAUGACCAUUUUGCAGUAAAGAAUCAGCUCUCGCCGCCGAUUAUGUGGCGACGAACUAGGCUUCUCUUUCUCAGUUGUGGUAGCUUCCCCUUCUCAAGGUUAGUUUGCUCGUGUUGAAGUUCGAUUUACCAUGUAUGGAGAAUGAAUAUUUGUUUCGGUAGAUGUGAUGCCGGUGAGUAGGGAUGGCAAUGGGGCGGGGUGGGGGUGGGGAUGCCUACCCCAUUCCCCACCCCAUUAAAAAUUUUUGCCUCCACUCCCCACUCCAUUCCCCAAUAAAUUUAGUGGGUUGGGGAUGGGGAAUCCCCACGUGGGGAAUGAUUCCCCCAUCCCCACCCCAUUCCCCAUUUACUUAUUUUAUAGUAGAUAUAAAAAUAUGAUUUCAGUAAAUUAAAAAUUAGAGACUUAAAAUAAAAUCAUUAUCAUAUUAUAAAGUAUUUAAUUUUUUUUUUAAAUCUCUAAAAGUUUGAAACAAUAUCUUAAACUGAUAUUAAAAGUGAAAAAUAUUUAAAGAGAGCAGCACCUUAAAAGAGAAAAGAAAAUAUAAUAAUAUUUUAAAAUUAAAAAAUAUUGUAGGGUUUUCUUUUACUAUCAUGUUUAUAUUACAUAAAAAUUAAAAAAUUAUUAAUUGACAUUAUAGUUGAUAAAAUAAAAAUUAUUAACAUAAUUAUAUAUAAUGGGGAUUGGGGUGGGAAUGGGGUGGGGAGUGCAAUACCAAACCCCACCCCGUUAACAAUUUGGGGAUUAUUUUUCUCCCACUCCCCACCCCAUUCUCUAAAAAUUAUUAAAAAUUUUUCCCAUUUGGGGUGGGGCUCCAUGGGGCCCCAAACCCGUGGAGGAUUUUGCCAUUCCUACCGGUGAGGGAAUUGCAGAGGUGAUGCCGAUGAGGGAAUUGCAGUGUUUAUUUGUUUGAGUUUGAUAAUGGAGGGAAUUGCAGCAGAUGAGUGUUUGUUUGCUUCAGUAGAGAAGGGAGAGGUGCUGUCCGUUGAGUUGAAAUGUUUUAAAAUGAGGAUACCUUAGUAAUUUCCUAUCAGUUUUUAAAGGGUAUCGAUGAAAAUUUUGGCAAAAACAGAUUUUUGGGUAUUAAGAUAAUUUUUGAAGUAUGGAGGUGUACCGGGCGCAAUUGGCUCCCUUAUCAGUGCGGUUAAGCCGAAUAAUAUAUCAAAACGAAGCUCUCCAUAAGCUGAGCUUUCUGCCACAAAAUUAUUGUUAUCGGAGUCCCUAGGCGUCGACAAUUGCCACCGAAAAACUUUGGUUUUAAGGGAUAGAAAUGCAUCACGAUCGGGUCGGGUCAAUCCGAAUUCCUACCCGAUUGUUGAGCCUGAUUCAGGCCACAUUACUGGCCGUGGAGGGUACCAAUCAAACCGCCAAAAGUCACCUGUCAUUCUCCAAGUCAUCAUGGUUGCCGGAAAUGACUGGAAAACCGCCGAACGAAGCUCGAAUAUCCGCAACAAAUCGACCCAAAUCGGCAUGAUAUCGCCGAUUUCAGGCCACGCCACCACCUGGGCUUUACUCCUCAUGUCGUCCUCUUUAAUAUUUGACUGAAAACCGGUGCCAAAAGCCACUGGUUUGCCACAAAUCAAGCCACCAAGUUUCACGAUCGUUGGGGCCCGAUCCACUGCCGUAGCAGCGCGUCGGAGCUCACUGUCGGUAUCUUUGGAUUCAGCACGACCUGAAGUCUCUAUCUCGAGCUUCUAAGCCACCGGGGCUUGAUUUCCGGGCACCGUUGAAUGGUUAGGGUAGUUUGGUAAUUUCGAAUUUUAAGGGCAUUCUGGUAAUUUCAAAUUUUCGAGGUUAAUAUCUUUUAGAUCCCUAAAAGUUAUUUAAAUUAUGAUAAAAUCCACAUAUAUUUUUAAUGGUGUUAAAAAAAAUUAGGGAAAUUAUCAGACAUAUACCUUUAAAUGACACUAGUAUCAAACGUGUUACAACACUUUUCAAGUGUAUAACUCGUAUAUCGUAAGUUGACAAAACACUUCUGCCGUCCACCAAUCCGUUAACUACCAUUUACAAGCGCUGACAUCAUAAGGGUAAUCUAUUUUUUUUAAAAAAUGACAUGACAUCUCAUUUACCUAGUAAAAAAUGACAUGUUAUAUGAUAUAUAUUGAUAAAAAUGACAUGUCAUAUGAUAUAUAUUGAUAAAAAUGACAUGUCAUAUGAUAUAUAUUGAUAAAAAUGACAUGUCAUCCCAUUUAUCGAAUAGUUGUUCAUAAUUGCUAAAAAAAAAAAAGCUACUUUACAACCGAAUCUACUCCUCCAAACUUAACCUAAAUUUUUGAAGAUUUACUCCUCCAAGCUCCAACUAAAAUUUUUUAUGGUAUAGUAUAUAUAAUUAUAAAUAAUAUGUUGUUAAUAUUUUUUUAUGGUAUAAUAUAGAUAUUUUUUACAAAUAAUUGUUAAUAAUAUGUACCAUUAAUAAUUCAUAUAUUUUUUAAUAAAAAAAUGUAUUGUUAUUAAAAAAAUUUAAAAAAAUUGUGUAUUGAAAAUUUAUAUUAAUUUUUUAGGUAAAUUUAUCUUUUUACCUCAUUUUGAGUUUUAAGGGCGAAAUAGUCAAUUUGCCAUAAUUCUGUUAACUUUCUAACGGAAGUUAACGGAUUGGUGGAUGGCAGAAGUGUUUUGUCAACUUAGGGUAUAUGAGUGAUACACUUGAAAAAUAUUGUAACACGUUUGAUACGAAUAUCAUUUAAGGAUAUAUGACUGAUAAUUUUCCUAAAAAUUAUUAAAGUCAUUCAAUGUACAUUACUUAUUCAUUUUUUUAAUUAUCAAAUGACAUUGAAAACUCUACUCAAUAUUAUUUCAUUCAAAUGUUUUGUUUUAAAGUAAUCGGAAACUGCAAAUGAAACAAAAUAACAAAUGCUUGAAAUCACAAACGGCCUAAAAUUAGAUUUUUUUUUUAAUGUUACAGUGACUUUGAUCCUGAUAUUAAAAUAAUCUGAAAAUAAUUUGGAAUUUUGGGGAUUUUGAAAUUUUUUGGUUUUGUUUGAGUGCAAUUUCCUCUAGUUACAGUUUCAGUAAGAAGGGUUAAGUGCAAUUUCGAAUUUUUUAUAAAAUUUAAAUUAAAAUUCAUAAAAAGAUUGGGCAUCUAAUCCUAAAUUGAUGGCUAGCGAUACUACAACGGCGGCUGCAGCUCCAGAAAAAGCAGAGGCGGUGGAGGAGUAUGAUAGGGAUCCAGAUGAAAUGAAACGCUCUCUUGUGAUGCGCAGAAGGGAAGCCACUGAUGAGGAGGAGGCGGAGGAUGAGAGAGAUUCAGAGCUUCCAAUCGCUCAAAGUGUGCAUAUUCCUGCGGGAGAGGCGGAGGCUGUGGAUAAGUAUGAGAACGAUCCAGAUGAAGUGAUACACUCUCUCGUUCUGCACAGAAGGGAAACAAGCGAUGAGGAGGAGGAGGAGACAGAAUUUGAGCGUCGAAUGAAUUGAAGGCUCCAGAUUCACUCUUACGAUGAAUCUGAUGGCCAAGGUGGUGCUUCAGCUGAGUAUGAUGAUGAUGAUGAUGAAGACGAAGAGGAACAUGACAGAAUUAGAAGAAGAUGAUGAAGAAGGGGAUGUUUAUGAGGAUGAAGAGGAAGAAGAAGUUUAUGAAGAAGAGGAGAGGAAUGACGGGGCGGUUAAAGUCAAAGGAAUAGAGGGUAAUGAUGCAAGAGGAGUACGAAGGGGGCAGUGGAAGUGAGUAAAAGGAAUAAUGAUAAUGGCAAUGGUGCUAAAAGAAUGAUGUAGUGGAGGGAAUGGAGGAAGAGAAGGAGAGUAAUGAGCCUUUUGUCUCACGUUAACCCUCACCUCUGUUUAUUUCUCUUUCUUUUCUUUUAACCCAAUUUUUACUUCAAUCUUCGUUUUUCUUCUUCCCCCAAAAUUAAACAGCGAUUACAUUCCUCAACAGCUACAAAGAAAAAAAGCCACGGCACUUUCAAGAUACCGAAACAUACCCACAUUUACUAAACAAAAGAGAUUUAAUUUAAAAAAAAUUGCAGAGCGGAUUAAGCACUGACCAAGUGAAAAGCUGACCAAGCGAAGUAAGAGCAAUAGAAUGAACUCCACCAAGAGCAAUACAACGAACAUGAUCAUCCAAAUAAGGAUUCAAAGUAGGCACAAACGCAGCAUCCUCAUGCCCAAAUCCAAGCCGCCCGCCAUCUCCUUUGCCCCAAAUCCACAACUUCCCGUUCACCACCAACCCAGAAUGAAACAACCCACAUGAUGAAGAAUUUGAAAAGCGCUCUGAAGAAGACGAAUCACGAGUUCUCAGAGGUAAAAUUCCUGAUCUUUCUAUGUGGUUAACUCCUGAAUCAGUCGAUUCUUGGUUUCAAUUGGUUCACUGAGUUAGGUGAUUUUGUCUUACGUCUGAUGCAGGGAAGGAGCUUGGCUGAAGGUCACAACUCACGAGUUCGAUUUUUGCUUUUGGCUGAAGGUCACGACGAGCAGCGGCCAGCGGGAACAGAAGAAGUUAUGACGAGCAGCGGCCAGCGGGAAGUCGGGAACCGAAGAAGACAGAAGUCAGAAGUUUAGAUUUAGAUUUUAGGCUUUUAGGUUUUAACUUUAGCUUUCAAAUCGGUUUAUUUGUGAUUUCGGUUCGGUUUUGCGGUUUUUUUUAAAUCAAAAACUGAACCGAUUGGUUUUACUGGACCCUUUUUUAUAUUACUAUUUCGGUUUUUUAGAGGUAAAAAAAUCGCACAAAAACCGAACCGAACCGAUCGAUUCGAUUUUUAAUUAAUCAAUUUUUUUUGCCCAUCUCUACAGCUAGGUACGUAUUGGUGUUUGUGGAUUUCUAAAUGCUUUCUGUCAAAUGUGACUAGAUUAUUAUUAGAAGUCUAUGGAUCUUACACUUAAUUAAUUAUAUAUCCAUUUAUAAUAUUCAAAAUGAUAAUGUACUAUUGCUUAAAAUUAUGCUUUCAAGACAUCAUUAUGAAAAUCCAUGGUUGUAAUGUGUUUCUAAAUUCAGUAAUACAAGUUCUGUCAAUUACUGUUGGAUGCAGUGACCUGAAUAGUUUAAUAUUCAUUUGCAGAAAAAAGUUGAGAAAGAAAACUAAAAAUUUCCAUGCGUUCUGCUAGAAAUUUAAUUAGCUUCAUUUGAGCAUUAAUUGCCGGCAUGAUCUCUUAGACUUCUCUUGCAUUGAAUGAAUGAAUGAGUGCUAAUCCAUGCAAAGACUUCCAUGCAUGCACAAUGAAUGCUAAAUCUAAGGUAUGGUAAAAUGUCAGCAAGCUUGGCCCAAAUUAUCAAGCUGGUUUGGUGGCUGCUAGAUUUGUUCAUCCGGAUUUUGGACCAUUUUCCUUGACAAUGAGAAAAGCUCCAAGAUCUGUAAAUUGAAGACUCACUGAAAGCUCCAAGUUUCAGGUAACUCUUGAGUUGUGUGCUGGAGUAUUCUCUAUUGUAUUUUGUUUGUUUGUUAUUUAUUUGAUGUAUUGCUAGCAGGGAUCUUAGGUGGGAACCAAAAAUUCUCAAUAAUUAUCAAUUGUUUUAAACUCUAUUCUGAACCGAGCGUGAAGGGAUUCACUUAUCUAAUUAUGUCUUUUAUGCUUUAAAUUCAGUUGAUUUCAUCUUUUCCGUCACCUUUAUUAAAGUUGUAUAUGUUGGAGUAUUAGGUUAAUCAUAAGGAUCAUAUUAUGGCUAAGGAAGGAGCACAGUUUAUCAGCUGCACUCAAGUGUAGCAGAGUAUUUGGGGCUGAUGCUACAAUACCUGCAUGUAUGUGAUACAUGCAUAAAAGAUGACCGUUGGAUUGAAUAUAAUGAAUCCAACGGUUGAGAUGAGUUUAAUUAACAAAUAAUUAAAAAUUUUCACAAAACCUGAAACCUAUAGAAACGGUAACAGGCACACAUCCCAACUGGCUAUAUAUAUUUGUGGGAAAAAAAAAAGAAAAAGAAAAAGAAAAAAGCUCUCACCUCACGCAAAGCUAGUUCUUCUCUUCUCUUCUUCUUCGACAAUGGUGAACGGCACGAUGAACGGCGGCAUAGCUAAUUAGUAAUUCCUCUCCUCUUCUGCUUCCACAACAGUCAACGGCGGCAUAGCUUCCACAACAGUCAGCGACGGAUUUGAUUUUCAGGUAUUUUGGUUAACUCUAAACUGAUUUCAUAGCCUUUCAAUUCUUUUUUUUGCUAAUUUUUUUCUUUUUUUGCCCACGCUGCAGAAUCCUUGUCAGUAAACAAACCCUCACAGCCACCAGCCACCACUGACAUGCAUGAACGUCCAAUCUCUUAGCCGCAAUCGCUAUUCUUUGUCGACGUCGCGAAGAAAUUGGGUAUGAUGUUGUUAAUCAAUUACACAUGCUACCAAAAAAUUGUAAGAACCAAUUUUUUAAAUUUUGUUAAUAUGAUUAUGAAAUUGGGCUUGCUUUUGUGUGAAAUUUUAGGGUUUGUUUGCUUUUGGAUGAAAAUUAAAAAUCAGAUUUUGAAAUUGUUUGUUCCUCAUUUUGUUGAGAUAUAUCUUGUCUUCGUUUAUUGAUUUGUGCAUGUCUGGAUAGAUAUGCCAACCUAAUCGAAUGCUUAUUAAAUUCAAUGAAAUGUGAUGCAUGGCCUUAAGCUUGCGGUGAAUAGCUUUAUUCGACAUAUAUAUUUUGGAAAUUAGUUUUCUUUUGUUUGAUUUAUUUUGCUUUAAAAAAAAGAGCCUAGUCAAAAUAAGUUUAUUUAAAAGUGGAUGGCAUUUGAUUAAAAGAAGAGGUAAGAUUUAAAGCCCUCCAAGUGUUUGAUAAAAUAUCUAAAUGAAACUUCAUGUUCUUAUUUUCCUUUCGCAACUGACUUAGGUUCUUCGUAAUCAAGGUGAAGGUGCUAUAGUGUUAGUAUUGGCACCUACUAGAGACUUAGCCGAUCAAAUUCAGGAAGAGGCUUUUAAAUUUUGGUCGUGCGCAAGUGUUAUAAAUACUUGUGUUUAUGGUACUGCUCCUAAAUGAUCUCAAAUAUUCGAAGAGGUGUUUUGAAUUCUUUUUUGGAGAAUUUAAUUGUUUUUAGAUUAAAAUUACAAGUCAAGUAUUUUUAUUUGGUGUAUCUUCCUCUUUAACUACAAUAUGAAAUUGGAGAAUUUGAUAGAACUUUAAUCAUUUGUCUAUACUUUACUAUUGCUUAAUUGUAUCAUAAGAGUGUGUUAAUUUGCUCUGUAAUUCUUUCAAGAUUCUUGAGCUAUAGUCUUUAUAUUUAUAAUUUGUUUUGAUAAAUUUCUCUUGGUUCUUUAAUUUUGAUCUAUUCCCCACUUUAAAGAUAUUUUAUUUUAAACAUAAGAUGUCAUUAAUUAUAUUGAUUUAAUCUUACAGGGUGAUGAGCUAAAUUAAUUAAUUAUAUUAUAUGUAGAUUUUAGUUUGCUCAAUAAUGGUAUACUAGGAAUGCAGUUUUAUUUUAAGCAUAAUAUGCAAUUUGUUUUGCUAUUGUUUAUGCAUAAAAACAGCACCUGAAAGUUUCCAGGUGCUGCUUAGCUGCUGUUAUGUAAUAAACAUAAACACAACACAUGGAAACUUUGGGGUGUUGUUUAUGCACAAAAAUAGCAUGUAGAAGCUUGAGGCGCUGCUUAGCUGCUGUUAUGUAGCAAAAACAAAACAUGGAAGUUUCUAGGUGCUGCUUAGCUGCUGUUAUGCAGCAAAAACAACAGCCGGAAGUUUCUAGGUGUUGUUUUGUUGCUGUUUGUGCAGAAAAACUACACUUGGAGAUUUCCAGGUGCUGGUUAGCUGUUGUUAUGCUGCAAAAACAACACCAGGAAAUUUACCGGUACUGUUUUACUAAUGUUUGUGUAGAAAGACUUUAACUGUUGCUUUAUAUACCUAUAAUUUGUAUUUCAAUAUGAUCUCCAUUUUGCUUUUAUUGUUUAAUUUUUAAAAUGGGAAGAUUCCCUUGUAUUUUAUCUCAAAUGCAAUUUUGUCUAGUAAUCGUUCUUGGGAUUAUAUCUUCUUUUACUUGUUUUUAGGGUGCGGCUCUCAGUUUCAAGUACUACCAACAUUGUUUCCCUUCCAUGAAAGAAUCUGUAGUUUUACCCAGUUAUGAACUGAGUUAGCCAUUGGUUAUUAGCAGUUUCUGGACAAGGAGCAAGAAGAUACCAAUGAGGACCUGGAUUUCAGAAGCAAUUCUCUUAUUUUUCUUUUAUUUUAAAUCAUUAGCAUUUUCUUUUUCUCGUUUGGUUUCAGAUAUUGGUGGUAUUGGGUAGUGGGUUUGUUUCUCGAAUCAUCAUGAUACCAAAUGUAAUUGCAAACAGCAGGGUCUAAAAUUUAUACGACCUGAUGAUUUGUCCUAUAUUUUUUUACUGAUGUUUGCUUAAUUUUCUUUUCCUUUUUGUUUUUUUAAGUGAUCUCCAUAAUUAAUCAAGAACCAAAAUAUCAAGUUUGUUAAUCUUUUAAUUUAAUAGUAUUUUGAGAAUUAUUGGCUUCCAUCUUACAUUAAAAUAAUCCCUCAAUGAAAAAUCAUUGUUUUAGCAUUAAAUUUAAUUUUGCAAUAUGUAAAUUACCAGAAUAAAAUUUUCAAAAUUAAAAAUUUUUUGUUAGAAGAAUUAUAAUGUUAUAUUUUAUAUAUCUAAAAAUUAACCAAAAAAAGUUUGUGUAUUUUAAAGUUAUAAUAAAUGUACCAUUAAAAAAAUCUAUAUCUAUCGUAAAAUACGAUUUUAUGAAAUGAGUUAUUAUGAAAGCUUAUGGACAAAAUAGAAAAUAUUUUAGAAAUUAACAAGUAUUAUUUGAAAUUUUGGAAAAUAGGUUUGAUUGAGUUUCAUAAUGUUUUUAAUAAAAUUGUAAUUUUUGGGGCACAAACGGCGAACUGCUAACACUUAAAUUGGCUAAUUGAUUCCAAUUUGGAGAGUUUUCAGAAUUAAAAAGGCGAACCACUAACUUUAAAUGGCAAAACGACUACGGUUGGGUGAGUUUAUUGUAUGGUGUGCGUUGAUCAUCCCCGAUCCUCCGAGUAAGAAAAUGUGCUAGUUCUUCCAUGUAAUAAGAAACUUAGUGGUAUUUGGGUUGGGUUUUUAAAGCAUUUAAUGUCACCAUUAAUGAAAGGAUUUGGUUGGUUUCUGAGUUGGUGUACAAAUAAAUUAACUGCGCUCAUAUGUUACGUAGAGCUAAAUCGACUAGUCUGUAGUGAAAAGGCGGUUAGCCAUUUGGAGUUGCAUGCUCUCUGGAAUGAAAGAGGCUAGCCUCUUUGUAGGAAACAAGUAGCCCUUUUCACGCCAGAGAGCAUGUUUCUCGAAAAGGGCUAGCCGUUUCCCACGAAGAGGCUAGUCCUUUCACUUCGCAUGCUCUCUGGAAUGAAAAAGGCUAGCCUCUUCGUGGGAAACAGCUAACCCUUUUCACUCCAGAGAGUAUGUUUCCCGAAAAUGGUUAGCCAUUUCAAUAAAGAGGAUGGGCGUUUGGAGUUGUAUGCUUUCUGGAUUGAAAAAGGUUAGACGCGAUAAAGCAAACGGCUAGCCCUUUUUACUCCAAAAAGCAUUUUGAUCGAAAACGGCUAGCCGCUUAUUUUAAAGAGGCUAGCCGUUUUCGAUCCAGAAUCUGUUACAUUUGUAAUGGCUAGCCUCUUUAACAAAAUGGCUACCUGUCUCCCUCACUAUUCAACUUCAACCCACGACCACCUCUCUCACCGUCGCAUGAAAUUCACGGCUUCUUCAGCCAUUAACGAGAAAAUAUACAACUCCUCAUCAUUUUCCUUCAUUUACGCAUCUAAAUUUCAUUAGCUAAAUACUCUUUAACCCUAUUUCACCGAAAAACCCAAUUAAAAACCCUAGGUUCGGCCGAGGUUGUUUCUCUAAAAUUGAGUCCUUGUUCACUUCUUAUUGCUGAAAUUACUCACCCACAUUGAUUUUAAACCCAUUUGCGUGCUAUUUAAUUGGUUCAUCUUGACCCAAAACACAAUAUUUGUUAUUCAAAGAAAGAUUUUGGUUUCCAUGGCAGGUGGUGAAACUUCUCGGGGGAAGCAAGGGAAACUAAAGGAACAUUACAUCAUUAACUUGAAACAAGAGAUAAUUUUCAUGGCAGGACCAUUAACUUGAUACCUGGACCACUAAACUUGAAACCUAGGGCAAUAAACAUGAAACAUGAGAUCAUUAACUUGCAACCUGAAAAUCAUUUACUUAAUGGACUAAUAAAUAUGAAAUCAUGACCAUUAACUUGAUACAUCGGCUAUUAAACAUGAAACCAAAAGAACUUGAAACUUAGGGCAAUAGACAUGAAACAUGUUAUCAUUAACUUGCAACCGUGAAAAUCAUUUAAUUAACGAACUUGAAACUUAGGGCAAUAAACAUGAAACAUGAGAUCAUUAACUUGGAACCUUGAAAAUUAUUUAAUUAAUGGACCAAUAAAUAUGAAAUCAUGACCAUUAACUUGAUAUCUAGACCAUUAAAGGUGAAACCAAUGGAACUUGAAAAUAAUGGCAAUAGACAUGAAACAUGUUAUCAUUAACUUGCAACCAUGAAAAUCAUUUAAUUAAUGAACUUGAAACUUAGAGUAAUAGACAUGAAACAUGAGAUCAUUAACUUGCAACCAUGAAAAUCAUUUAAUUGAUGGACCAAUAAACAUCAAACUGUGACCAUUAACUUGAUACCUCGACCGUUAAACUUGAAAUCAAAGGAACUUGAAACUGAGGGCAAUCAACAUGAAACAUGAGAUCAUUAACUUGCAACCAUGAAAAUCAUUUAAUUAAUGGACCAAUAAACAUGAAACCUUGACCAUUAACUUGACACCUGAACCAUUAAACUUGAAACCAAAAGAACUUGAAACUUAGGACAAUAGAUAUGAAACAUAUUAUCAUUAACUUGCAACCAUGAAAAUUAUUUAAUUAAUGAACUUGAAACUUAAGGCAAUAAAUAUGAAACAUGAGAUCAUUAACUUGCAACCAUGAAAAUUAUUUAAUUAAUGGACCAAUAAAUAUGAAAACAUGCCCAAUAACUUGAUAUCGGGAACAUUAAACUUGAAACCAAUGAAACUUGAAACUAAGGGCAAUAAGCAUGAAACAUAAGAUCAUUAACUUGCAACCAUAAAAAUCAUUUAAUUAAUGGACCAAUAAACAUGAAACUAUGACUAUUAACUUGAUACCUCGGCCAUUAAACGUGAAAUUAAAGGAACUUGAAACUUAGGACGAUAAAUAUGAAACAUGUUAUCAUUGACUUACAAUCAUGAAAAUCAUUUAAUUAAUGAACUUGAAACUUAGCGCAAUAAACAUGAAAAAUGAGAUCAUUAACUUGCAACCAUGAAAAUUAUUUAAUUAAUGGGCCAAUAAACAUGAAACCAUGACCACUAACUUGAUACCUAAACCAUUAAACUUGAAACCAGUGAACUUAAAACUUAAGGUAAUAAACAUGAAACAUGAGAUCAUUAACUUGCAACCAUGAAAAUUAUUUAAUUAAUGGACCAAUAAAUAUGAAACCAUAACCAUUAACUUGAUACCUGAACCAUUAAACGUGAAACCAAAGGAACUUAAAACUUACGGCAAUAAACAUGAAACAUGUUAUCAUUAAUUUGCAACCAUGAAAAUCAUUUAAUUAAUGAACUUGAAACUGAGGGCAAUAAACAUGAAACAUGAGAUCAUUAACUCGCAACCAUGAAAAUCAUUUAAUUAAUGGACCAAUAAACAUGAAACCAUGGCCAUUAACUUGAUACCUGAACCAUUAAACUGGAAACCAAAGGAACUUGAAAUUUAUGGCAAUGAAUAUGAAACUUGAGAUCAUUAAUUUGCAACCAUGAAAAUAAUGAAAUUAAUGGACCAAUAAACAUGAAAUCAAAACCAUUAACUUGAUACCUAUACCAUUAAACUUGAAAUUCUUUUUUUAUUAUUAUAAAAAUAAUUUUUUAUUUUUAUGUGUCCUUUAAUAUUAAAAUAAUAAUUAUUUUAUUAUUAUUUUAUUUAUUAUAAUUGAAUAUUAUUAUAUUUAUUAUUAUUUAAUUCAUUUAAGGGGCAAAAACCGGUUGCUCCCAGUUUUUUUUUUUUUUUCCAUUGCUCUAUUUUCUUUCUUUUUUUAUUGCUUGCAUGUAUCACAUACAUGCAUGUACUGUAGCCGUGCCCAGUAUUUGGUUGUUACAGAUGCAAGGUUGUUGCUGUGUAAUUGUCAUUUGAGCUUAGAACCUUUGAGCUUAGAACCUUUAAAGUGUAUCAUACGUUUCUGUUACUUCUAAUACAAAUUUUCUCUAUUCCUUUUUCUUUCACUUUCUCUUCCAUUUUCAUGAUCGCCAAACACCAUCAAUCCAUGAUUUUCUAGAGUAUUAGCCGUCUAUUUCUACAUACAUAGAAUCAUUGUUUUAAGAAAUAAAGUACUCUGUCCUGUCCCCGUGGUCUCCUCGUUUAUUGACUUCUGAACUAGGCUAAAUAAAGGGCAAAUAAGAUAUUAGACCAGUGGGCCUAACGUGACAAGUUCUGGAAUUGUUUGCCUCUUUCUUUUCUCCACAAAUCUUUGGUUAAUUUUUAUGUUCCCUCAACUUUUUUCCCCUUUAGCACUAGAAUUCAUUUUUGAUACUUUAUGCAAAAAUUAUGAGGAAAAUGAGUCACUUUAGAACAUCAAUAAAUUUUUUUUACAUCCAAGAUAAAGACAAUUACACUUAGAUCACUCUUAUUUAGUUGAAUUAUAUGUAAUAAAAUUAGUUCAACAAAAUCUAACCCGUCAAUAUUCCAUAUCAUAUGAUUAACGUAUUUAAAAAAUCUUUAUUGUUCGGUCGCUUGUUUUAUAAUUCUUUUAUAUAAUAUCUUUGAAACUCAUCAUAUUGUUCUCAAUUCGUCUAAAUUAUUUUUUUCUUCAAACACUGCGGCAACAACCGGUAUAAAAUAGAAUGAACUCAAUUAAUGGAACUUUUUCUAGAUGCUUUCAUGGCAGAAUCUCAUUGGUCUAUUUCUCUUCGCACCCUAGGUUCCUCUAACAAACCUGCCUCUUAACUCUCAUGUCCGAAUUUAAACUUAAAAGAUGUUCCCCAUCCCACGUGUCCCCGAAUCUUCGUAUUUCCAAACAAACCCCUGCCAAAUUGAGAAGAGGAUGAUUCCUACAAAGCCACGUAAGUCAAGUGAUAGGAUGGCUUUUAUUACAAACUGUAUGAACGUUAUGGCCAUGGGACAUUGGAUAAAGCCAAUGGAAUGAAAAGCAAAAUUACCGACUAGACUAAAAUGAAAAUCCAACCAAUUGAAUCGGUUCAGUGUCACUGUAUAUAUAUAUAUAUAUAUAUAUAUAUAACACAACACAACUAUCAUAUUAACGAGGCACUGUUAAAUUCAUUCCGUGAAUAUUUUUCUUUCUUUUCAAUGAAUGUUUAAUAUGACAAACAAUUUGUCCCAUUGAGCACUGUUUUAGUCAUCAAUGAAAAUGAAUACUUCUAUAACAAAACAAUAAUUCCCUUGUUUAUUUGACACGCAAAGAAUUUUCUUGCUCAGCUCGGCGGCCAAUCCUUUAAAAUUUGUUGAAAUUCAGUUAAUUGAUGAACGAGACAUAACCGGUAAAUCGUUUAAUUUGUAUAAUUGAUAAAAAUUUGAACUUCAAAUGAUAUAGAUAGAAUGAUUAAUUUUUUUAAUAUUUAGAUAAUUGAUAUAUGUCAUGUUACUAUGAGUAAAAGAAUCAAGUGUCUGAUAGAAAACACAAUGUUUAUAUUUGUAUUAAAAAUUUUAAGUGCGAAUCUAUUUAGUGUAAGUUAGACAUAAAAAUAGUUACCAACUUGUCUUGUUUCUCAUUUUGUUUAAUUUUCCUAAUUUGAAUAACGAUUAAUUACGAGUCAAGGGUUUAUUAGAAAAAUAUGGUCUUCCAUUUACUAUAAAAUUAUGAAUACUUUGGCAAAUAAGAUAAUUAUAAACACCAUUUUUGAAAAUUCAUGGCCAUGGUUGUGAUGUGUCUUUAUCAAUCACACAUACAAAAGUUAAUCAAAAUUAUCGAUUGUUUUAAAUUCUGUUUUUAACAGAGCAUGAAGAUGUCAAUUAUCUAGAUUUACUUUUUAUGCUUUGACUUCACUUAAUACAGGUUCUUCCUCCUUUAUCUGUAUGCCAUGCCGGCAAGUGUAUUGUACAGAUUUCUAGAGUAUUACCUGUCUAUUUUUUUCACCGAUGACGAAGCUAAUUAUUAGUAAUCAAUCUAAAGUCUACCUAUAAAUACAAUAGGUUGCUUAGGUGGCACCAAUAUCCUAACUUUAUGCCAUGUUUCUGGUGUGUCUUCACAAAUUCACCGAUACAAAUUAAUUUCCACCAAUAUUACCAAAUGAUUGUAUUUUACGUUUCUAUUUACUUGUAAUAAAGAUCUUCAAUUUUAUUGGUUACAAAAUUCUCUAGGAUUGCAUGUACAUUAUACUUUUAUAUACAUAUUUUCUUCUUUCUCAUUCGUUUUCUGGGUGAACAUAUUAUUUUCGUCAUCAUCUCUAUAACAAUGAAGUGAAAAUAGUCCUCAUUUAAAGUAUUGACAGCAAUGUUAUACUCAAUAUAACGCAUAAAGCACGCAUAAUUUAAUUAAUGGGGUAGCUGCUAGUACCUUCUUUAGAAGAGAAUUAUUGCAGCAAGGUAAUUGGAAGCUCAAAGAGUUUCCGUAUUAGCCGAAUCUAAGCGAUAAGUGUUUCCAUGUGAGCCAUAAUUUGGGAAAAAGACCAAUUCGAGUUAAAGAUCAGAAAACAGACACUGUCAACAAGCAUUAAUAUCAUUUGAUGCAUGAAAGACAGUUAGUCCCAUUUUUUUGUCCGGUUUACUUGAGUUGGGCAAUUUGCCGUCAACUUUUCUCAUCCACGUCAGGUAAUGUGGCUUUUAUUUGGUAUGAAAAAGCCAAUGCUUUACGAUAAAACUGUCACACACAUAUUAUCCAUCUGUAAUGUUCAAAUGACACUGAAGUAUUACCUAAAUUAGGCUUUCAAAAAUUCAUUUUCAAAAACCCAUGGUUGUGAUGUGUCUCUAUAAAUUAAGAUCUAUCUGUUACCUACUGUUUUAACUCUGUUCUGAACAGAGCUUGAAAGGGUACAUUCACUCUUUUAAAACAAUUGUACUAUAUGUUCUGAACAGAGCUUGAAAGGAUUAGCAAUAACUACUGUUUUAUCCCUCUUUUUAAAACAAUUGUUCACUAGCUGCACUCAGUUGACAGAAUAUUUUGGGAUUCAAGACUGUUGGUUGUUACGGAUGCAACUUGCAAGGCUGUUGCCAUGCUGGCAAGUGUGCUGGAAAAUCAUGAGUUUGAUGAUGAAGAGGACGAAAAAUAUUAUUUUAUUAUUUAAAAUAAGACUAUCAAUUAUUUCCAUGGUCAUCUUUUUUUUUUUUAAUUAAUUGGCCUAAAUAUUGUAUUUUUUGUCAGGAGUCUUGCAAUGUUGCGUAGCACCGUAAGUAAGAAGAACUAGUGAACUUUAAAGCAUCAUAAAAUUGUUUCAACAUAAGUAAUUAGUUUGAAAAAUUGCCAAUAAUGUUUAAAGUAGGAACGAAAAGGUUAUACUAUAUGAGACACGAUAUUAUUUAAGACAGCUUACAAAUUAUGGGAAAUGUAUUGAUCUUACAAAUAAUAUUUAAUAAGUACAAAUUUCAAAUUAAAUAAUAAACCUUAAUUUCCUUUUAAUCAUAAUUAUGAUCUUAAUAAUUAAAGUCAUUCAAUCUUAAUCACUUUUUCAUUUUUUUAAACUACCUAAAUGACGUUGAAACUUCUAAUCAACAUUAAUUUUUUUGAAUGUUCUGUUUCAAAAUAAUUGAAAACUAUAAAUGAAACAAAUGCUUGCAAUCACAAAAGGCCUAAAAUGGGAUUUUUAUUUUUUAAUAUUGCAAUGACUUUGAUCUUGAUAUUGGAAUUUAUUUGUAACUUAUACUAAGUCUUCAAUUUUAUCAAAAUUAGUUUCUAAAGAUGCAUUUGCCAUACUGUGUAGUUGUAUUGUAUGAUGAUAUAUUACAUUAGGGUGCAUUGUAUUGAGCUGUAAUGCAAUACUAUUUUAUAUUAAUGUUAAAACUAAAUCAACCUUAUUUAAAUUUAUUAAUAUUUUAGGUUUUUAUUAGUAAUAUCUGAAAUUAAGUAUUAAAUAAUUAUUUUUAUAAUAUACAAAUUAUUUAAUAAUAUUCUACUAUUAAAUAAUAAAAUAUUACAAUAUUAUGUUAUAUUAUUAACAAUUAUUCUGUUAUAAUAUAAUUUAUUUUUAUAUAUUAGUUAUUAUAAUUUAUUAUAAUCAUAUUAUAAUAAUAUUAUAUUGUAAAAAUAUAAUACUAUAUAAUUGUAUAACAGAAUAUGAAUUAAUUUAUAAUUUAACAAUAAAUUAUAAAUUUAUUUUAUUUAUUAAUGUCAAAUAUAAUUGUACAGGUGUAGAAUUAUGAGGAGGAGGUGGAGAAAGAAUUUGAGCGUCGAAUAGGAUCUACAUGUACUCUUAAGAUGAAUCUGAUGGCGAUGGUGCUCCUUCAGCUGAGUAUGCUGAUGAUGAAUUAGAACAUGACAUAUAAUUAGAAGAAGAAGAUGAAGAGGAAGAAGUUUAUGAACAAGAGGAGAGAAACGAUAGGACAGUUAAAGUCGUUGGCUGCAGACUAUUAGAAGGUUGUUACAGAUGUAACGCUGUUGCUGUGUAACAGUAUGCCAUGCUGGCAAGUUUGCUAUAACAGAUUGCCAAGCUGGCACUAAUUAUUUUAAACUAAUAUUAGUAAUUAGUCUAGAGUGCUCUAAUUUAUUUUAUUCUAUAAAUAGCUCAUUUGAGCUUUGAACCUGUAACGUGUACUGUACUUUUCUAUUACUUCUAAUAAAGAUUUUCUCUAUUCUUUUUUCUUUCACUUUCUCUUCCAUUUUCCCGACCCUCAAACAGCGUCAAUCCUUGAUUUUCUACAGUAUUAGCUGCCUGUUUCUAUAAACAUAGAACUGGUCGUUUUAAAGGGCAAAUAAGAUGUUGGGCCAAUGGGCCCAACGUCACAGAUCUUGAAUUGAUUGUCUCUUCUUUUCUCCAUAAAUCUUCACUUAAUUUUUAUGCUCCCUCAACUUUUUUCCCCUUUUUGUGCUAAAUUUAUUUUUUUGAUACUUUAUGCAAAAAUUAUGAUGAAAAUUAAUUAGUUUAGAACAUCAAUAAAUUUUUGUUACAUUCAAGAUAAGGACAAUUACACUUAGAUCACUCUUAUUUAGUUGAAUUAUAGGUAAUAAAAUUGGUUUUAACAAAAUAUGAUUCUUAACCCUCGUAAUUAAAGGCUCGUGUUAUUUAGUUUAGUUAUAACACCAUGCAACAGGUCGUCUUGGUGGGUUCAAAUUAAUAUACGAUCAUUCUCAAUUUUUAAUAGUUCGUAAUUACAAAGUCCUAUAUCACAAUUAAAAUUUGCAAACAUGUCAAAGUAAGUUAAAUCAAAAUCUAUAAAUUUGAGGUCUACUACAAACUUCUGACAAAUUAAAAUUUAAAAUGAUUAAUUAAAUGCUAGACAAAAUUUAGCUUAUAAAUGUUCCCGACCACAUGAUGAAUGUACUUAAAACAUCCUAAUUCGUCACUAAUUGAUUGGUUGUUAUUUUUUCAAUUUCUUUUUAUAUAUCUUUGAAACUUCUAGUUUCGUUACAUGUUAUUCUCAAUUCGUGUAAAUUAUUAUUUUUAAAUAUUAGAGCAACAACCAGUAUAAAAAUAAAAUGCACUCAUCUAAUGGAAAUUUUUCUAGAUGCUUCAAUGGCAGAAUCUCAUUGGUCUAUAACUCUCACACCUUAGAUUCAAGAUUCAAUUUCAAACCAACGCCGAACAAACAGUUUAAACCUUAAUAAGUCUGUGGCUGUAGCCCAACAAACCUACUUCCGGCUCACCGAAUAAUCAUCUCUUACGUCGGAAUUUAAACUUAAACAAAGCUGCGUCCCACAUGUCCCCAACUUUCUUCAUAUUUCCAUAAAACCCCUACCAGAUCCAGAUAAUUACCUUCACUCUUCUCGUAUAAAUAGAGAAGACAACGAUUCCCGCAAAGCCAGGUGAGUCACGUGAACGUUACGGCCAUGGGACAUACGGUUCUCAAUUGGUCUAAUUAUACUGUAAAUUGUUUUUUAAAUAUAAAUAAAAUGAAUUUAUUUAAUGGAAAUUUGAAAAAGGGACACUUAUCUACGAAAGCAAAGUUGCAUUCUCUUUGUGGGGACCCUAAAAAAAAAAAAAAAGAGAGCCAGAAUGAUACACCGAUGACGAUAAUCCUUAAGCUUAAGCAUUAAUUUUCUUUGCUUACAAUUUGGUUUGAAGGGUUAAGUUCAAGUUCGAAUUGGUACACUGAUGAUGAUGAUGAUGAAGAGGGGGAUGUCUUUGAGGAUGAAGAGAAAGAAAGUUCUAAAAAAAAAAUACAGCUUUGUGGAAAUUAAAUUAAAAGCAACUAAUUAAGCAUUAUAAAUUACUUAACAGAGUAAUGCUGAGCUAAUUAAAUUUGUUUUUGAAGAAGGUAUCUUUAAAUCUCUUGGAGUUAAAGAUAAAUAUCAUAUCACCAUAUCAAGCGGACCAAUUAAAAAAUAAAUUUAAAUAUUAUUUAAAAUCAUUUAAAUUUAACUUAAUAUAAUUCAAUCUAAUAUUGUACCAAACAUGCACAAUACUAUAUAUAAUCCAGUCUAAUCAAAUUCAAUCUUAAUAAAUAAUACAAUCCAAUCUUGCGAGACAAAAUUGGCCUAAGGGUACCAAUUGCGCAAUAAUCUUUGUAGCCCGUUUCCCAGCCACGCACCCUUUUGUAUUAGUAUUCUCACAGCCAUUGGAAUUAUGGCUCGUAAUCCAAUAAAUGACAUUAUAUGGCUGUUGCUUGCUAGUUUUUGUAAGGUGGCCAAGGCCUUUUAUCAAACACUAUAGGAUCAACAAGUACAAAAUGAAUUCAUUUGGGAUGAAUUAUGAUGUAUUGCAUUAACAUGCAUUAUAUUAAGUUAUAAUGUUAUAUUUUGAUAUAGUAUAAAUUGUAUUAUAUAAGGUAAUGUUUUAUAUUAAUGUUAAAACUAAAUUAAUAUUAUUUAAAUUUAUUAAUAUUUUAGGAUUUUAUUAUUAAUUUUUUAAUUAAGUAUUAAAAAUUAUUUUAUAGUAUAGAAAAAUUAUUUUAUAGUAUAUAGACUAUUAUUAAAUGAUAAAAUAUUAAAGUACUAUGUUAUAGACUAUUAUUAAAUAAUAAAAUAUUAAAGUACUAUGUUAUAUUAUUAAAAAUUAUUAUAUUAUAAUAUAAUUUAUUUCUAGAUAUUAAUUAUUAUAAUAUAGUAUAAUCAUAUAAUAAUAUAAUAUAAGUUAAUAUUAUAUUGUAAAAAUAUAAUACUGUACAAUUAUUUAAUAUAACGUAAAUUAAUUUAUAAUAUAAUAUUAAAUUAUAAAUUUAUUAAAUUAAAUUAAAAUACUUUUUAUGUAUUUAAAGUAAAAUAAUUAAAAUAAUUUAUGUAAUAGAAGUAUGAUAAUGUAUUAUCAUUUUCUCAUUAAAUAUUUUAGGUUUAUUAAUUUGUUAAAUUAUUAUUGAAAUUAAAAUUAAUUUUUUAAAUGUAAAUAUAAAUAUAAAUGAAUGUUUAAUAAAAUCUACUCCUAGGGAUCUAUUUUAUACACUUUUUAUUCUCUAAAUCACGCAUAAUGUAGUUGUAUAAUAGAAACUGGAUAUUUAAUGGAAGCAAAAUUGCGCACGGUUUGUGGGUCUGUCAAAAUAUGAUAAAAAGACCAACAUGAUACACUGACUCUGUCCUCUUUAAUAUUUUUCUAGAUGCUUCCGUGGCAUAAUCUCAUUGGUCCAUUUUACUUCACGGCUUAGAUUCAACUUCAAAAAUCAAUUUGAAGCACACACAACAAUUCAACAAAUAUAAUAAGCGUCGAUAAACUUGUAGCUGACUGGCUGUGGCCAAGCAAAAAUGUACCUCAUGGUUACCGAAGGGUAAUUAUUAGAAAUCUCCCCUAAGGUUUGGCGUAUUUUCAGUUUGAUAGAUUGUAUUCGUGUAUUUUCAAAAACCUCCCCUGACAUUGAUAUACUGUUAAUUUGACCGUUUGUUGCAUGAUAAAAUGACAAAUAUAACCCUAAUUCAAAAAAGGGUAAUUAUCAUAAAAUUCUGUUGUAGCCUUAUAGGAAUAGAAUUUAAAAUUCUGUUGCAUCUCCUGUACCAAAUACUAAUUUGCUGGCUAUAUAUAUGGGAAAUGGCAGCUUCAUCAUCUCAUUUCUUUGACGUGAGUAGUGUAACAUUAUCUAAAUUCAAAAGUAUUUCUAUCACUUGUGUAAAAAACAACCUACUAAAAAAAAAACAAAAUCUUCACCAAGAUUGAAAGAAGUUUGAUGAAGAAAGCUAAGCAAUGAGGCAAAGUGCAAAAAGCUUCCUUCUAAUUCUGCGAUAUUUGACUCAAAUCUUUUCUUUGUUUCAUUCAUCAAAGUCAUUUUGGAAAGUAACAGGGAUGAUUUGGUAUUUUCAUUCCUUGGUGCCAGAACAAACAUGCUAGUACGAACCAACAAUUUUUUAUUUUCAGUAUACAAACUAUGUUUUUUGAAUUAGGGGAGGCAUCUGAAUUAUCCUCACCAACCAAAUUAUACGAAACGGUAUACUAAUGUUAGGGGAGGCAUCUGAAAAUAGGUGAAUACAAUCUAUCAAACUGAGAAUAUGCUAAACUUCAGGGGAGGUUUAUGAUAAUUACCCGGUUACCGAAUCAUAUCUUACGUCAGAAUUUUGAACUUAAACAAUGUUCUCAUUCCACGUGUCACUCUCUAACCAGUCCCCAAACUUUUAUCAUAUUUCCAAAGAAACCCCUACCAAAUCAAGGUAAUUACCGUCACUCGGCUCAAAUGAAUAGUCUCCUCGAUUCAACUGAUGACGACAUAUCCUCAUAGCCUUUAUUUAGAAGGGGAAAUUAUAAAAAAAUCCCCUCGUUCUCUAAAAAUAUGGGGUUUCUCAAGAAUAGCUAAACCUACAUCCCAAUCCUGAAAAAUCUCAAUUUAACCUCUCUAGGGUUUCGAUUGUUGAUGAUUCGCUUCAAAAUUUUGUAUUCUUUUAGUGGAUUUUGCUUGUCUCGUAUCCUUCAAUUGUUAGUUCAGUUCUGAUAAUAAUUUCGAAAUUUUUUAUACAAUAUAAAUUAAUUUAAAUUAAAAUUGAUAGAACAAUUGGGCGGUUAAUAAUUAAUUGAUGGCUAGUGAUACUACAACGGCGCCCGCGCCCGCAGCUCCGGAAAAAGCGGAGGCGGUGGAGGAGUAUGAUAGCAAUCCAGAUGAAGUGAAACGCUGUCUUGCGACGCGCAGAAGGGAAGCCAGCGAUGACGAGGACGUGGAGGACGUGGUGGAGGAGUACGAGAGCGAUCCAGAUGAAGUGAAACACUCUCUCGUGAUGCGCAGAAUGGAAGCAAGCGAUGAUAAGGAGGAGGAGGAUAAAGAAUUCGAGCGUCGAAUGAACCGUAGGGUCCACAUUCAUUAUUACGAUGAAUCUGAUGGCCAAGGUGGUGUCCUGCUGAGAAUGAUGAUGAUCAUCUCUCUCGACCAGUUCAGGUUCAAGGGAAGGGUGCUCGAGGGGUACUUGUCUUGUUUAUCAUUUUUGUUUAAUUUUCAUAAAUUCAACGACCCACAAUUCAAUUAUGAGUGAAGAAUUUGUUAAAAAAAUGUGGUCUUCCAUUUACUAUAACUAAGUCCGUGUGAUGUAAUUAUUUUUCUGUCACUUAAUGUCUUGAAAAUUAUGAAUACAUUGUAGGAUUUAGAAGGAUUUUAAGUUUUAAUGCAUAUGGGUUUUUUAUGUCCGUCCACUUAUGCGUAUACUGCAUUUUAUGAUUAUCGUAGUUGGUAGAUUGACAAAUGGACCUUAAUUACAAGUCAAAUAACCUAAAUACUUAUCGGCCAAAGGAAACCAUUUAUAGUACUUUCUAGUGAAGCAAAGUAAAAUGAUUCAUACUGGCAAAGAAAAUUAGAAAGAAAAGGAGGAUUACUGAUCCACACAGUGUCGUUUACUAAAAGUACGUUGAUCUUACACUUAAUUUAUUAUAUAUCCAUUUAUAAUGUUCAAAAUGAUAAUGUACUAUUUCUUAAAUUAGGCUUUCAAAACAUCAUUUUGAUAAUGCAUAGUUGUAAUGUGUCUCUAAAUUCAGUAAUACAAGUUAUUUCUGUUACUAAUGGAUGAAGUGACUUGAAACUUGCGUGGUCAUUAAAUGCUGGCAUAAUCUCUUUGACUUCUCUUGCAUUUGAAUGAAUGGAUGAGCGUUGCAUUUGAAUGAAUGGAUCAGUGUUAAUGCAGGCAAAGAUUUUCUGGACUUUCAUGGAUGCACAAUAAAUGCUACGUCAAAGGCCUGGUAAGAUGUCAGCAAGCUGGUCGAAGAUAUCAACCUGAUUUGGUGGCUGCAAGAUUUGUUCAUCCAGGACCGUUUUCUUUGACAAUGAGAAAGCCCCAAUGUCUAUAAAUUGAGAACUCACUGAAUUGUAGAGAGAGAGAGGAAAGUGAAUAACGGGAGAGGCAGUGAAAAGAGAGUGUGGGAAGAUUUGGGCGUAAUUGGGGUUUGGGUGUGAGAUAAAAUAAUCAGAGAGUGGUUGUAAUAAUUUUUUAUACGGUGAAAUUUUUUUGUCUCGUUGUUUUUUGCAGUGGUGGUUUUUUACUCUAAUAAAAUAGUCUUCCAAGUAAAUUUUGUGUGUUAUGAUUGGGAUAUUCACCAUUUUAGUUUUCUAUUUAUUAUUUGUUUUACAUAUUGCUAGCAAAAAUCUGGGGCGGGAACCGAAAAUUCCCAACAAUUAUUAAUUAUUUUAAACUCUGUUCUGAACAGAGCAUGAAGGGUUUCACUUACCUAGUUACGUUUUUCAUUCUUUCACUUCACUUGAUUUCAUCACAAGGAUCAUAUUCUGGCUAACGAAGGAGCAAAGUUCAUUGGCUGCACUCAUGUGUAGCAGAGUAUUUGGAUUCAAGACUGUUAGAAGGUCGUUACAGAGUAUUUGGAUUCACUCUCCAAUUUUCAUUAAUUUAGUGUAGAUAACGUGGUCAUGAAAACUUGAUUAAGAGUUUAAUGCAAUCAAAUCUACUUUAAUGAUUAUUUAAUGCACGGAGAUUUAACAUCAAUUAUCAUCACGUUAGUCUAACAACGAAAUUGCAGAGCUUGGAUCUUUACUCGAACAGUUUCACUGGCUCUAUUUCUGACACAUUGGGCAAGCUGAUGGAAUUGCAAUUCCUGUAUGAUCAUUUCCCCAACUAUUAUUUGAAUAAUUAUUUAAUGCCGUUCAUUCCAGCUCUGUUUGGCUGUUAACUUUAUUUAGUUAUAUAUGAGGAGAUUCAUUUCUCACCUGAAGCUAGAAAUUUACGGAUCAAUGACUUUUUAUUUUUUCUUUUAUAUGAUAGCUUGCAAUCCCUGGUGUGUGUUGAUAGAGCCUUACAUGAUUACAAAAAUGAAUUUUUUUUUGGGGGCCAAUUGCAGUUUUGAUAACAACUAAAAUCUGUGUGGCCCAGUUACCACAAAGCCUUGCUCCAGAUCCCUGCCAUUUUCUCCUCCACCUCCAUUUGGGGAAAUUACCACUUACUUUUUGCAAGUUUUUCGUGAAAUAUUUAUUUUGAGAAGAAAACCAACAAUACAUUUUAUGAUUUGGGCUGUUUCAAAGAUCUUCGCUUGAUGUCUCUGCUACUGGUUUUCAGCAGAGUGCCCAAAAAUAAUCAGUGCACGCACUAUAGGCUCUAUUAUUAUCAGUAAAAAGCAUUAAUGAUAUAUUGGGAUCGACUUUUUUAUUUGGGAGUGGAAGGAUGCUUGAAAGAGUAGAGUGGUGCAUCUUGUUCAAACAUGCACCGUAGAGAAAUUAGUUUAGGCUCUAACCAUUGUUAUAGUAGAGAAAAAGAAAAUUAAUCAAGAGUAAUUUUAUGACUUUUUAGAAAAUAGUGAAUUAAAAUAAUAAGUUAUAAUUUCAUAAUUAUCUUAAUUAAAAAAAUGGGGGUUUGAAAUAAAAUUAGUGAAUUUAAAUAGCCUGCCCAAAAUCCAAACUUGCAUAUCAAUUAUUUUCUAAUUUACAUAAAGUUUUUCUAUAUGUUUGAUAACAUUUGAUUCUCAAUUGGUCUAAUGGAGAAACAACCAGCAAAAAAAUAAAAUGAAUGCAAUUAAAUGGAAAUUUGAAAAGAGCAGUAGAUGACAUUUAUGUGCAAGCAAAAUGCAAAAUUGCAUUCUGUUUGUGGGAUCCUGGAAAAAAUAAAAGAAAGGAAACAGAGUAAGACGCUGGUACUGUGGGCUUUAAUAUUUUUCUAGAUGCUUCAAUGGCAGAUUCUCGUUGGUUCAUUUUUCUUUACGCCUUAGAUUCUAUGAUUCAAUUUCAAUCAAAUACGACAAACAAAAGAAGCUUUUAAGCCUGCAGCUCAAAAAGAUGGCACUUUAAUUUUCGGCUGAACAUACAAAUGGCAAGAUUAUUAUUAUUGAGCUUGAUAAGUGGGAUAGCAAAAUCCGAAUUCGGAUGUGGGUGUAUUUGGAUUUGGAUCCGGAAAAAAAUAUGUAGAUGUGGAUUCGGAUGCGGGUAAUAUCUGCACGGAUUGCGGGUGAAUAUUCCGGAUAUUCAGAUCCGCAUAAUAAUAAAUUUGAUUUUAAUUUUAAAUUUAAUAAUUUACAUAAUAAUAUUAAAUAAAAUUCAAUUAUAAUUUAACAAUCAAUAAUUUAACAUCAAUUCAACAUAAAUAACAUACAACAACACCAUAAAUUCACAAACAAUAAUUUCACAAUAUAAAUCAAACAUAAAAAAUAAAAAAUAAUCUAUGGUAAACCGAUUUAUUAUAAUAUUCUCUAAUUAUUAUUAUUAUUUGUUUUUUAAUAUAUUCAUAGUUAAUGAAGAUUAUAGAGUUAAUUAUGCUUAUAAAUUUAAAUAAAUAAUUUAAUUUAUAUAUUUUCAAUUAAAAUUUAAUUACAUAAAUAAUUUAAUUAUAAAAUAAUUGAUAAGUGCAUAUUUUCCACAUAUUUUGCUUUUAAUUUCUCCAUCUUUUUCUUAUUUUGAUCUUAAAUAUUCUAGUUAUUUUAGUUAAUUUUUAAUUUAAUAGGGAAUUAAUUAAUAUACAUAUUUUAUUUUUUUAUAUAUUUGCUAGUUAUUUUUAUUUCUUAUUUUUAAUUCAUUGUAUUAUUUUAUUGAAUAGGAAAUUAAUUGGAGAUUGUGGAUAAUAAAAAGGCAUGAAGAAAUUCAAAUUGAGAAGGAAUGAAGAUUAAAUUGGAAGACAAAAAUCAAAGCAAUUAAUCCAAUUGAGAAAUGUUGAAUAAUUAAAAGAUUUAAUUUUUUCCAAUUGGCAAAUUGGAGUACACGUUCAUGGCAUUGCAAAAGUGGAAAGCAUUUAAACGGGCCCACAAUUGACUUUCAAAAGUUGGAAUUAAUGGCUUUGGGUGGCGUUAAAUUGGAAAAGGAUUUCAAUUAGAAUUGAAAAAGGAUUUCUUUGGAUUUGUUGGAGAAGAAUUCGGUCAACUAGCAUUAUAAAAAGAGAGCAGCUGCUGGACGGAAGAAAAAAAAAAGACAGGAGAGAGAGCAGGGGCUGAUCCAAUUCGGCAAGAAGAAGAAAAAAAUCAGCAGCCGGAAUUCAAUUGAAGAAAAACGCUGCCGCUUGAAUUAAUCUCCAUGAUUGGUUUUGUCAAUUCUCUUAUUCUCAAUUCAAUUAUGUUAGGCUAAAUUUUUAUUUGGUUGAGGGUGAAUUCAAAACCCUAAACAUGCUAUGCAAUUAAAUUUAAAUUCUAUCAUUCAAUUUAUUUAAUUGAGAUUGUCUAUAAUUAAUUUUCAUGGUUUAUUCUUGUUUUAUUUAAGUGGCCAAUUAGAUAGGACUUGAAUAAAUUUUAUUGCUAGAUUAAAAUUCUUGAUCCGUAAUUGUCUUGAUAUUUUAAUCAUUAGUAGCAGGUUGGAAUCAGUGAUUUCAAUUGAAGAACAUAACCUAGGUUAAAUAAUCCGAGCUUGUGUGUUUAUUGCCUAGAUCAACCUAAUAUCUUUCUCUGUUUAAUGCUUCCAUUAUCUUAAAUUUAAAGAGCUUGUUUUAAAUUAUUUAAUGGUUAGAGAUUAUGUGAAGAGCUUAUUUUGCCUAACGACACACUAAGGAAAGAUUGAGACUAACAGAGCUUAUUGUUGUCUACGGUUGAUAGUUUUAAUAUAAAUUGAUGGUAGAAUUGAUAUAUUAUGUGCAUGUUUGGUGGUGGCGAAUGAUCCUUUAACCAAAGUUUUCAUCAUUAUUAUUUCCUUCUCAUUUAAUUAGAGUUUUUAUUAAAUUCUUGUUCGUAGUUUUAAUUUCUUUAUUUCUUACUAUUUAGUUAAAAAUUCAUAAACCCCCAUUUUAUUUAUAAUUGGCAUUUUCUUUAGUUAGAUUAAUUUAUAUUAUUAUUACUAUUAUUAUUAUUACUAUUAUUUUAUUUUAAAUCUUGCUUUGGAGUUAAUAAUAAAUAUAACUAGCAUAGUCUCUGUGCGAUCGAUCCUUACUCGCUCUGUACUAAUUAUUUAUAUUAGUGGUAAGGUUUUAAAUUUGGUGCACCUUAACGACACUACCAAAUUUUUGGCGCCGUUGCCGGGGACUAGCGUCUAGUUUGUUUAUUAUCACUCGUUUUAUUUUUAUUUUUUUUUAUUUCUUUUCUCAUUUUAUUUAUUUAUUUUAUUUUAAUUAGUUAAUUUUUGUUCUAUAUUUAGAUUUUCAUGAGCAUAGAGGACAUUCGAUUGAAACUCGAACAACUUAGAGCAACCUCAUCAUAUUCAGAACUCGAUUUUGCCAUCCACAUUCCACUCCCGAAGACAGAACCAAGCAGCCCAGAACCCGAACCAAUGGCUCAGAAUAACAACCGAACACUUAAAGAGUUGGCAGCUCCUAACUUGGACCAGCAACCCUUAUGCAUUGAGAAUCCAAACCCUCAGGUAAACUUUGAACUCAAAUCUGGGAUGAUUCAUCUUCUUCCUACUUUUCAUGGUCUUGCAGGAGAGGAUCCAAAUAAGCACUUGAAGGAGUUCCAUGUGGUCUGCUCCACAAUGAAACCAGCCGGAGUUUCUGAAGAGCAAGUUAAGCUAAUGGCCUUCCCAUUCUCUUUGGCGGAUUCAGCCAAGGAAUGGUUGUACUAUCUUCCCUCCGGUACUAUCACUACAUGGAAUGAGAUGCGUCAGCUAUUUUUGGAGAAAUAUUUCCCAACAUCAAAAGCUGGCAGCAUUCGAAAAGAAAUUUGUGGAAUCCGACAGUAUAAUGGAGAGUCGCUCUACGACUAUUGGGAACGAUUCAAAAAGCUAUGUGCUAGUUGCCCUCACCAUCAGAUAAGUGAUCAACUUCUUAUUCAAUACUUUUAUGAGGGUCUACUACCUAUGGAUAGGAGUAUGAUUGAUGCCGCUAGUGGAGGAGCACUCGUGGAUAAGACACCAGAAGCAGCCCGAAAUCUCAUUGCUAACAUGGCUGCUAAUUCCCAACAGUUCAACACUAGGAACGAUCUACUGCCGCCACCUAAGCGAGUCAAUGAGGUAAGUACUACUUCUCUAGAAAAACAAGUUUCAAAUCUUACUUCUUUGGUGCAACAAUUAGCUCUAGGGCAACAAAUGAGACCGUGUGGCGUAUGUUCUAUGGUCGGGCAUGCAACUGAUAUGUGCCCUACUCUCCAAGAGGGUUCACAUGAGCAGACCAACGCAGUUGAGGGGUUCCUAGGCCAAUCAAGACAAAGGUAUAAUCCAUAUUCUAAUUUUUACAAUGAAGGGUGGAAGGAUCACCCUAAUUUUAGGUAUGGGAACCAACAACAAGGCAUUCCUAAUGUGGCACCAUCUCGACCACCGGGCUACCCCCAACAGCGGGUGCAACAACCUUAUCAAGAUCGGUCACCUCCACCUUCUCAAAAUCAAGGUACGUCUUUGGAAGAUCUUGUAAAAGCUCUCGCUACUAACUCUAUGCAAUUCCAACAGACUACCCAGACACAGCUCCAACAUUUAGAGAAUCAAAUUGGCCAAUUGGCCACAUCUAUGAGUAGGAUAGAGGCUAGAACUUCAGGAAAGCUACCUUCUCAACCAUAAAUUAAUCCAAAGGAGAAUGCUAGUGCUAUGUCUCUUAGGAGCGGAAAGCAAUUGGAACCAUUAUUAGCUAAGCCAUCAAAAGUGUCCACAACAUCAUCGCCCUCUGUGACAAUUCCUCCCCUGAGGCUCUUCCUUUAACAAGGAAAGACGAUUCCCACUCGGCAUUGCCAGUCGAUCCAUCUAGCCAGGUAAGUACCCCCUCACCUCGAAUUAAGACUCUUUCCAUUCCUCCACCAUUUCCUAGCAGAUUUAAACAAUCCAAGAAAGAGGAGCAAGAAAAAGAGAUCCUUGAGACCUUUCGUAAAGUAGAGGUAAAUAUUCCUCUACUUGAUGCUAUUAAACAAGUGCCACGUUAUGCAAAGUUUUUGAAGGAAUUAAGCAGCAACAAGCGAAAGUUGAGCGGUAACGAAAAAGUAAGUGUAGGAGAGAACAUUUCUGCUGUACUUCAAAGAAAACUUCCUCCUAAGUGCAAGGAUCCAGGUACUUUUACUAUCCCCUGCACUAUUGGCAAUACCAGAUUCGAAAGAUGUAUGCUAGAUUUAGGGGCCUCAAUUAAUGUUAUGCCAUAUUCGAUUUAUAACUCCUUGAAUUUAGGUCCAAUGGAAGAAACUGGUAUAAUUAUUCAAUUGGCUGAUAGAUCUAACGCUUACCCGAAGGGGGUUGUGGAAGAUGUUCUUGUGCAGGUCAAUGAAUUGGUCUUUCCAGCUGAUUUUUAUAUCCUUGAAAUGGACGAUGAAUCAUCGCCCAAUCCCACUCCUAUUCUGUUGGGGCGACCAUUCCUUAAGAUAGCCCGAACCAAGAUUGAUGUUCAUGAUGGAACCCUUACAAUGGAAUUUGAUGGUGAAGUGAUCCGCUUCAAUAUCUUUGAGGCAAUGAGGUAUCCUAGUGAUGUUCAUUCUGUUUUUGCCAUGGAUGAUAUUAAUACUUUGGUGCAAGAUUUCUUUGAAUUAUCCGGUAAUGACAGUUUUGAAAUUGCCAUAAGCAAAAAUCUUACGAAAGAUGAUUCUAAGGAACAUGCAAAUUUGAUAAAGUUGGAUGAUGAGGCACCUACCUUAGAACUUAAACCACUCCCAGAACACCUGCAAUAUAUUUACUUGGGUGAGAAUGAAACACUUCCAGUCAUAAUUGCUAAAACCCUCACCCCAGUUCAACAAGAAAAGUUAAUUAGGGUGCUUCGGGAUCACAAAACGGCGAUUGGCUGGACCAUUGCCGACAUUAAGGGAAUUAGUCCUUCCAUGUGCAUGCAUCGCAUUUUGCUAGAGGAAGGGUCUAAACCAACGAGAGAUGCACUUUGGGCAUGUAGGACCGCAUACAAAACUCCUAUUGGUAUGUCACCCUACAGGUUGGUAUAUGGUAAGCCUUGUCAUCUUCCAGUGGAACUUGAACAUAAAGCAUGGUGGGCUGUGAAACAAUGUAACAUGGAACUGGACGCCGCCGGCCAACACAGAAAGCUCCAAUUGCAAGAAUUAGAGGAAAUUCGAAAUGAUGCCUAUGAGAGUUCACGAAUCUAUAAGGAAAAGACUAAGGCUUUUCAUGAUAAGCAGAUCUUGAGAAAGAAUUUUGAAGUUGGACAGAAAGUUCUGCUAUUCCAUUCUCGCCUUAAGUUGUUUCCAGGUAAGUUAGGUUCUCGAUGGGUUGGGCCUUUUGUUGUUAUUAAUGUUUUUCAUCAUGGUGCAGUUGAGAUCAGGAGCUUAAAGACAGGUAAAGAGUUCAAAGUUAAUGGUCAUAGGUUGAAGCCUUACUAUGAAAAUUUUCAAACACUCAAUGUAGAGGAGGCUCCACUUUAUGAACCUGCGUACGUUGAUGAGUGAAACUUGAGAACCAGGUCAGGCUGAGGACAAUAAACCAAGCGCUUAUUGGGAGGCAACCCAAUGGUUGGAGAAAAGAAUUUGAGAGCACGCCAUAACAGAUUUGAUCUUUCUCCCUUUCAUUCUCAUUUACUUUAUCCACUAUGUUGAAUUUUGUUUGUUUCUGUUUGUGUGUCUCAUCUCCUUUCCCCAUGUUUAAUUCUUUUGUUAGUUUAGGCUUACAUUGAGGACAAUGUAAGAAUUAAGUGUGGGGGGGUGGAUUUCGAACUUAGUUUUUGUUGCUUUGUCUUUUUCUUUUUUAAAAAAAAAAAUUUGAAUAUUAGCCAGUGAUAAGAAUUUGAUUGACAAUAAAUAUGGUUCUUAGAAAGGGUUGAAUAUUACCUUAGUUUAUACUUGAUUCUUGUGUUGAUUUCCUCUUAAUUGAGAUUCUUUAAACCAUGAGCACUAAUAUCAAUUCUUUCAUAAUUUUGACUUAGAAUUUGAGAUUGACGCAGCCUGAGUUGAGAAUUUUAGAUUGAGUAAAUGACUGUUUGUCUUGAUUCUUAUCUCCACAAUACAGUGUAGUAUACACAGGCACCAUAGUCAGAAAUAGCUACCUAUAACCCUUAAGAGUGAAGCUAUCCUUGAGUAAUUUGGGCCUAUGUACCACCAGUAUGUAGAGGAUAAUCUACCAUGAGAAGAAGGCUACCUUAAGGGGUAGAGUGAAAGCUCCUGACUAAAAAAAAAAAAAAAAACCAAAAAAAAACCAAAAAAAAAAACAAAAAAAAAGAGAACUUCAAAAGAAAAUGCACACAAAUGCCUGUGAAAGAAAGAAAAUUUUUUUUUUGGAGAUCAAGAUGAUAAGAUUAGUUUGACCUACUCUUUUCUUUGUUCGAGGCAAAGGCUGUUGAUAUUGAAGAUUUUGGGAAUGGAUUUUAAUUGAAUUGAUUCACACACACACACAAUGAGAAUCAAAAGAGAGAUGUGAUUGAGUAUUGAAUUAAAGUUAGAACUUCGAUAAUAUUUGAAAUUUUCUUUGAGCUAUAUGAUUUAUGCAAUCUUUGAGGCUAGUUUUAUUUUAAAAUAAAAAAAAAAACAAAAAAAAAAAAAUUGCAAUGAUGUUUGUGGGUAUCAUCGUUGAAGCCCUCACGAGACUAUAACUCGUCCACUAGGGCCGCCUAGGGGUUUAAAGGCUUGUUGCAUACGCUAAAUGCAAUCGUGAUUUCCUACGAAAGUGGACUAGUUUAGGUUUUCUUUUUAUUUUUGUUCUAGGUUUACUCGAGGACGAGCAAAGGGUAAGUGUGGGGGAAUUUGAUAAGUGCAUAUUUUCCACAUAUUUUGCUUUUAAUUUCUCCAUCUUUUUCUUAUUUUGAUCUUAAAUAUUCUAGUUAUUUUAGUUAAUUUUUAAUUUAAUAGGGAAUUAAUUAAUAUACAUAUUUUAUUUUUUUAUAUAUUUGCUAGUUAUUUUUAUUUCUUAUUUUUAAUUCAUUGUAUUAUUUUAUUGAAUAGGAAAUUAAUUGGAGAUUGUGGAUAAUAAAAAGGCAUGAAGAAAUUCAAAUUGAGAAGGAAUGAAGAUUAAAUUGGAAGACAAAAAUCAAAGCAAUUAAUCCAAUUGAGAAAUGUUGAAUAAUUAAAAGAUUUAAUUUUUUCCAAUUGGCAAAUUGGAGUACACGUGCAUGGCAUUGCAAAAGUGGAAAGCAUUUAAACGGGCCCACAAUUGACUUUCAAAAGUUGGAAUUAAUGGCUUUGGGUGGCGUUAAAUUGGAAAAGGAUUUCAAUUAAAAUUGAAAAAGGAUUUCUUUGGAUUUGUUGGAGAAGAAUUCGGUCAACUAGCAUUAUAAAAAGAGAGCAGCUGCUGGACGGAAGAAAAAAAAAAAGACAGGAGAGAGAGCAGGGGCUGAUCCAAUUCGGCAAGAAGAAGAAAAAAAUCAGCAGCCGGAAUUCAAUUGAAGAAAAAGGCAGCCGCUUGAAUUAAUCUCCAUGAUUAGUUUUGUCAAUUCUCUUAUUCUCAAUUCAAUUAUGUUAGGCUAGAUUUUUAUUUGGUUGAGGGUGAAUUCAAAACCCUAAACAUGCUAUGCAAUUAAAUUUAAAUUCUAUCAUUCAAUUUAUUUAAUUGAGAUUGUUUAUGUUCUUCUAUAAUUAAUGUUCAUGGUUUAUUCUUGUUUUAUUUAAGUGGCCAAUUAGAUAGGACUUGAAUAAAUUUUAUUGCUAGAUUAAAAUUCUUAAUCCGUAAUUGUCUUGAUAUUUUAAUCAUUAGUAGCAGGUUGGAAUCAGUGAUUUCAAUUGAAGAACAUAACCUAGGUUAAAUAAUCCGAGCUUGUGUGUUUAUUGCCUAGAUCAACCUAAUAUCUUUCUCUGUUUAAUGCUUCCAUUAUCUUAAAUUUAAAGAGCUUGUUUUAAAUUAUUUAAUGGUUAGAGAUUAUGUGAAGAGCUUAUUUUGCCUAACGACACACUAAGGAAAGAUUGAGACUAACAGAGCUUAUUGUUGUCUACGGUUGAUAGUUUUAAUAUAAAUUGAUGGUAGAAUUGAUAUAUUAUGUGCAUGUUUGGUGGUGGCGAAUGAUCCUUUAACCAAAGUUUUCAUCAUUAUUAUUUCCUUCUCAUUUAAUUAGAGUUUUUAUUAAAUUCUUGUUCGUAGUUUUAAUUUCUUUAUUUCUUACUAUUUAGUUAAAAAUUCAUAAACCCCCAUUUUAUUUAUAAUUGGCAUUUUCUUUAGUUAGAUUAAUUUAUAUUAUUAUUACUAUUAUUAUUAUUACUAUUAUUUUAUUUUAAAUCUUGCUUUGGAGUUAAUAAUAAAUAUAACUAGCAUAGUCUCUGUGGGAUCGAUCCUUACUCGCUCUGUACUAAUUAUUUAUAUUAGUGGUAAGGUUUUAAAUUUGGUGCACCUUAACGACACUACCAAUAAUACAGAUCCGGAUAUCCGGUUUUCCGAAUGUAAGUGCAUCCGGAUCCGCAUGGAUCUUAAUUUUUAAGAUCCGGAUUCGCAUUUUUUAACGUACAGAUCUGAAUUUUUUGAAUUCGAAUCUUCUGAAUAUUUGCUGAUCCAGAGUUUAUUGCCAACCCUAAAUUGAUAAGGCUAUAGAAAAUUCAAUAUCCAGAUCGGAUAAGGAUCCAAUAAAUUAUAAAAUAUUGCGGCUCAAAGCCCAUAUGAUCAUGGGCCACCGCUUGCUCAUGCUUUGAAUCAAAAUUUUCUAAUGAAGUGAGGUUGGAAGCUAAAAGGGGCAAAUGAUGAAAUGGGGUUCAUCAUUUAUUGAGCCCAACGGGACAAGAUCAUCAUUUAAUUCCCUCCUCUUGUCGAUAGAUAUUUGCCGAAUUUUUUCAUUUAAAAAAUAUUAUAUUGGUUAAUAGAAUUUGAAGUUUUACAAAAUAUAAGUUUAAUUUUAGAAAAAAUUAUAUUUGUUAAUUUAAAAUUUUCAUUUGGUGGUUGUGUUUGAGAAAAAUUUUAGGUAUACUCGGAUAUACUCUCUUAUUAUUCAUUGAAUUUGGGCAUUUAAACAUACUAGUAUAGUAUGCAGUAUUUUUAGGUAAUUAGCGGAGAAGUAUACGUGACAAAAAUAUAACACGUGAAACAAUACACAAUGAAAUUAUCUACAAUUUUCCAUUGACUUAGUCAACUCUUCAUUAAUUUCAUUGACUUGAUCAACUCAUGAAUCAUGAUCUAACUUGACAACUUGAAAAUUAAAAUAUGCUAGUAAUUCCGUAAAAUUAAAAUUUAUCUCCCAAAAUUGAUAAAUACUGUGUCACUUUGUCAAAUUACUUAGGGUAAAAACUCUGUGGCUAAAAACUUUUAACAUUAGUUGUAUGCUAAUUGAGAAGGACAAGACACAAAAGAAUUCAAUGAAUGCGACAUCAUGUAACACUAACACUAUUUACUCUUAACAAAUUCUUACAAACGUGAUUCAUGAAAUUAACUUGACUUUUUGUCUAAAAAAGGCCUAAAGAAACAUGCCAAGCAACAAAUAAAGUAGUCCAAACGUGAUUCAUGAAACUUGAUAGGCACUAUCUAAAUAGUAUUAAUAUGGCAACCAAAAACAUCCGCGCAAAAUAGACUUUCUUGGACGAUCCAUGCCAAUCAACAAAUAAAGUAGUCCAAACGUGAUUCGUGAAACUUGACUUCUUGUCUAAAAAGGCCUAAAGAAACAAGACCAAAAUUUCCAUGCAAUAGCAAUAUGGUGGCCACAAUGCACUUUUUAAGCCAUUUUUCAAAACUAAGUUUCUUCGUAUCACAUGCACUAUUCAAGCAAUUUUUCAACAUUUUCUCCUUCCCCUAAAAGCUACAUGCAUGAAUCAUGUCCCAAUCAAUUUCUUGGCAAAAAUUGGAACGCAAGAACCGAUUGGAGCAUAAGGACAAUGUCACGAUUCAAGAUUCUCAGCAAGACCACGUCACAAUGCAUCACUUUUGGAAAGUAAUUUAGCAAUUUCCAAUGCCUUAGCUGAUUAAUGGCUUGAACAUGUCACGAUUGGUCCACAUUAUGCACAUGGCAAGAUCAAACAAAAUAUCACAGCUAGCUCGACGACUACUAGCCAAAAUAACAAGACAAUGACGGCCAGUUACAAACUCUUUACGAAGGAAAUACCGAAAUAUGAAUAUCCCUCCUAAUCACUUUCUUAUAUUAUAAUUAUUUUGUACAUAUAACAGAACACGUUCUCUCUUGUAAACAAGUCAAGAAAACGGUUUUAGUUUUCAUAUCAAUAAUGGAAUCCAAAAUCUUUCACAGCUUGCUUCUCCUUUGGACGCUUGAAAGACUUUCUUACCUGGCUAAGACUGAAAAUUGUUUGCGGUCAACUCGUGGCACCCUUAUUGACACGCAAAGAACUUACAUCGAGGAGUUGUUUGAUUUUAUGUUUCAAAUUAAGUACCAUAGCAUUACUACUUCUAUAAAUAACUCAUUUGAGCUUCCAGCCUGUUAUUUGUAUUUUACGUUUCUGUUUCUCUUCAUAAAUAUUUUUUUUUCCAUUCUCUUUUUCUUCCACUUUCCCGACUCCCAAACACCACCAGUCUUUGAUUUUCCUAGAGUAUUAACUGUCUGUUUACACGAACAUAGACCGACUGUUUGUCUAAUUACUGUCAAGAAACAGCAUACUCUGUCUCGGGGUCUCUUCGUUUAUUGACUUGUCACUUGUGAACGGGAUAAUUAAAGGGCAUUCCUUUCUUCAAGAAAGAUUGCCAAGAAAGUACCAUCCAUUAGACACGUUAAGAGUUAUUUUACAUUAAAAAUGAUAAUAAUCAUAAUAAUCGGUUUAGUGUUACCCCUUUAUUAGGUAAUGACUGUCCGAUUGUCUUCGCUUUCAUUGACUUCGCAACUGUGAAUUCUAAGCCGGGUUAAGGAUUGACAAAAUGUUAUAACCCAUAAAGCACGGAUAAUUAAUUAAUGGGCCACUGAUUUCUUCUUUAAAGGCUAAUUCUUGGUAAAGAUCAGAAAGUUCUCAAAUAAAAAUUCGGCUUUGUGGAAAUUAAAUUAAAAGCAAUUAAGCAUUAUAAAUUACUUAACAGCUUAAUCGAGUUUGGUUUUGAAAAAUAUAUCUUUAAAUCUCUUGUAAUUAAAGAUAAUUAUCAUAUUACCGUCUCAAAUGGACCGAUUUCAAUCAAAUGAAAUCUAGAAAAUUGAGCAGCUCAUUGAUGUAUUUGAUCGAACUUGUGUCAGAGUCUUCGUUUUAGAAGAGUGCACAGCAGCUGCCAGGUCCACUUGGCAGUUGGCACGCUAAAAAUUUUCUGUUGACCAAUAAUUUUGAAAGGGAUAUUAUUAAUUUACUAUCAAAUAUUUUCUAACACAUCACUUUACUAUCAAAAUUUUUUGACAAUAAUUUUUUGUCACUUAAUAUUUCAAUUUUUAUCAUUUUAUCAUCAAAAAAUAGUAAAUGCAUGCGUAGUGUCAGUUAUUCAUAAAAAUGGUUGUUGAAUUGUCCUGUUUCUCAUUUGGUUUAAUUUUCAUAAAUUCGACUCACACAAUUCAAUUAUGAGUGAAGAGUUUUUUUUUGGGAAAAAAUCUGGUCUUCCAUUUACUAGAAUCACGUCUGAAUGAUUUUGUUAUUUUUCUUUUGUUUGAAAUAUACGUGGAAAAUGUUGAACACUUUGUAGGAUUUAGAAGAAUUUGAAAGUUUGAAUGCAUAUAGUUUACUAUCCAUCAACUAGUGCAUAUUCUGUAUUUUAUGAAAUCAAAGCUGGUUGAUUGAGAAAUGGACCUUAUUACAUGUCAUAAGAUUUUACAGUGCUUUCUAAUGGAGCAAAAUAAAAUGAUUCUUACCUGCACAGAAAAUUAGAUGUUACACUUAAAUUUAUUAUCCAUCUCUAUUGUUUAUAUGACACUGAAGUAUUACCUAAAUUAGCCUUUCAAAACUUCAUUUUCAAAAAUCUAUGGUUGUGAUGCGUCUCUAUAAACUCACUCGUACAAAUUCUAUCUAAUGCCAAUCAUUUUAAACUCUGUUCUGAACAGAGCAUGAAAGGAUAUGUUCACUUAUCUAGUUAUGUUUUUUAUGCUUUCACUUCACUUGAUUCACCUUGUCCCUCUUUUAAAACAGCUGCAUAUGCUGGAGUGCCAAAUCCAUCACAAGGAUCAUAUUACAGAGUAUUUCGGGAUUCAAGACUGUAUGCCACGCUGGCAAGUGCGCUCUCACAGAUUGUGGAGAUGGCACCAAAGAUUGUAAACUAACUAGUACUGAAAAAUCCUAUUUGCACAUAAAAUUGCAUAAAAUAAAUAGACUGAGAAAUAAGAUUAAUAAAGUAAAUAAAUUUAUCUUUCUAGUGUUUUUGUGUACGUACAAGUAGCAUUACUCAUUAGCAAUUAGUCUAGAGUGUUCUGAUUUUUUCUAAUAAGUAGCUCACUUGAGCCUAGGACUUGUAACUAUGUUUUACGUUUCUGUAACUUUCUAAUAAAGAUUUUUUUUUUUUAAUUUUCAAUUUCUCUUCCAUUUUCCUGACUCCCAAACACCACCAAUCCUUGAUUUUCUAGAGUAUCAGCUAUCUAUUUCUACAAACACAAAACUACUAUUUACUUUCAAGAAACAACGUAUUCUGUGGUUUAUUGGCUUGUGCCUUGUGAACGGGGCUAAUGUUGGUCUAACUACUUUCACGAAACAACGUACUCCGUGGUUCAUUGACGCGCACGGGGCUAAUUGUCUCCUCUUCCAUUGACUCUGUCAAUUCAUGACUUUGACGCGCACGGUAGCUGCUAACUGCCUUCUCCAUUUGACGUGCAAAAAACUUUCUUGAGUCGGGUUAAAAUUAAUUGAUCAUUUUAUUUGGUGAUAAUGACUUAGUUGUCAAGUCAUGAGUUUGAUGAUGAAGAGGACGAAAAACAUUACUUUAUUAUUUAAAAUAAGACUAUCAAUUAAAUGGAAUCUUACGGAAUUAGAGUGCUUGACUUCUUUUUACAGAAUUAUGAAGUGAAAAAGGAAAUUAAGAAAUUAAAUACUUUUCAUGCGAGUGGAGAAGAUUGGGUAGCGAUUACAUGAAAUAAAAGAAAAAUAAUUUAAAAGUACAACACUUUAAUAAUCUCAUUCCCAAUCAUAUCGGUAUAAAAAUUAUGUAGAUUUAUUGAAUAACUAUUGAUUUUACUUUGGUAAUUUCUUUCUAAAAGUGAGGUAAACAUUUUUAUUUUCUUUGCAUUCGAGCUUUCUUUCUUUUGCGCUGGCCUUCACACUCUUGACCGUAUUUCAUGUAUUUAGUUUUUGUCAUCAUGACUGGUGAAAUAAAAAUAGUCCUCAUUUCAAGGAUUGACAAAAACGUUGUGCUCAUACCGAUUAAUGGGGAACUGAUUUCGUCUUCUUAAAAGAGAAUUAUUUGCAGCGCGGUAAUUAGAAGAUUUCUGUAUUAUAUAGCCAAACCUAAGUGAUAAGAAUUUCCAAAUGAGAUAUAAUUUGGAGGGAAACAAAAAACUAAUUCAAGUUAAAGACCAGCAAUUUCCAUAUGUGAUAUAUCCUUCACUCUUUGACGUAUCCCUGGGGCAAUGUAAGUUGACUUUAUAUUAAAACAAAACAUAAUUACAAUUAUCAUCACUGAUUUGUAUAAUUUUCAGGACUAGUAAAUUAUCUCAAUUUUUAAAAAACAUAAUUACAAUUAUCGAUCGAACACCACUAAUUCCAACAAUUCAUCCAAGUUUUUCAACUUUUUAGAUAUUUGAUAUAUGUCAUGUUUUAACUUAGUACGAGAAAAAAAUUAUAGAAUUUUUUUUUUUUCAAAUUAGUGGAAUUAUUUUACGAUAAAACUAUCACAAUCACAUUUAAAAAUAUUCUUUAAACUUUCACUAUUUCUACUGUUAUUCUUUAAACUUUUUUCUGAACAGAGCAUGGAGGGUCGCUUAUCUAAAUAUGUUUUCUGUGCUUUCACUUCACUUGAUUCAUCUUGUCCCUCUUUUAUAGCUUCUAUCUCGUGUGAGCUUAGAACCUGCAACUUGUAUUUUACGUUUCUGUUACUUUCUCUUUCAUUUUCCCGAUUCCCAAACACCAUCAGUCCUUGAUGUUAUAGAGUAUUAGCUGUCUAUUUGUUCAGACAUAGAGCUACUGUUCCCAGUCCCACUGUAGAUCUUCAGUGGUUAGCUCACUAUUGUUUGAAUAUUAAAAUUAAUUUGUUAAAUAAAUAAAGAAAACAAGAGACAAUUGCCAUAUAUAUUCCAUAUUAAUUAGUCACCGUCCGAUUGUCUCCACUUCCAUUGACUCUGUUGAUUCAUGCUUUCAUGAAGUGAAACGUUUAACACUCUGUUCUGAUCCGCAGGAGAGGAGGAAAAACAUAAUUUUAUUAUUUCAUUCCUGACACGCGCAAUGAGCUUUCUUAAUUGAUGAAUGUGACAUGAAGCUCUAUAAAUAGUUUAAUUUGUAAAAUUGUUAAAAUUUGUUAAAUUUCAUUUAAUUGAUGAAUGUGACAUGAAACUCUAUAAAUAGUUUAAUUUAUAAAAUUGUUAAAAAUUUAAAUUUCAAGUAAGGUAGAUAAAAUGAUUAACUUUUUUCAAUAUUUAGAUAAUUAACAUGUGUCAUGUAACUAUGAGUGAAUGAAUGAAAUUUUUGAAGUACGAAUCCAUUUACAAGUUACGACUUGUCUUGUUUCUCAUUUUACUUAAUUUUCAUAAAAUUGACUCAUGAUCAAUUAUGAGCGAAGAGUUUGUUGGUCUUCCAUUUAUUGUAAUCAGAUGAGUGUGAUUUAAUUAUUUUUUCCUUUUGCUUGAUGUCCCGAAAAUUAUGAAUGCUUUUGUAGGAUGCAGAAGAUUAAAAAUUUUAAUGCAUAUCUAUAGUCAAAACUGAGGAAACAGAACAUUAUUGCUUCUAUAAAUAGGUCAUUUCAGCUUAAAACUUGUUACUUGUAUUUUACAUUUUUGUUUUUUUAACUUUUUCUUCCAUUUUCCCAAACACCACCAAUCCUUGAUUCUUUUCCUAGAGUAUUAGCUGUCGAUUGUUACAAACAUAGACAUACUGUUUGUCUAAUUACUAUCAAGAAACAACAUACUCUAUCCUGGAGUCUCUUCGUUUAUUUAAUAUUUAGGUUUAUUAAUAUACUACAUUAUUAAUUAAAUUAAUUAAUAAUUUAAAUUAAUUAAAUAAUAAAAGUUAAAUGAUUAUAUUUAAAAUCCAAGUAGUAUUUUAAUGUAAUGAAACCUAAAUCCCACCUCUAUACCACAUUUGUUAUACAAUGUAAUGCAACUAUAAAUUAUAAUUAUAUGAAAAUAAUAUUUUAAUACAAUAUAAUACAAGUAUAAUAGUAUUACAAGUGUAAAGGCUGUAAUAUUAAUUAGCCUGUAUAAUAUUAUGCCGUGCUGGCAAGUGUGCUAUAACAGAUUGUCGAGCUGGCACCAGUUAUUUUAAACUAAUAUUAGUAAUUAGUCUAGAGUGUUCUGAUUUAUUCUAUAAAUAGCCCAUUUAAGCUUUUUUCUCUAUUCCUUUUUCUUUCACUUUCUCUUCCGUUUUCCCGACCCUCAAACACCGUCAAUCCUUGAUUUGAACUGCUGUUUGUUUGUCUAAUUACUUUCAAGAACAAUACCCUCCAUCCCGCGGUCUCUUCGUUUAUUGACUUGUGAAUAUCAAUAAAUUUUUAUUACAUUCAAGAUAAGGACUGACCAAAUUAUUAAAAUGUGAUGCCACGUGUGUGAGUAAUUGGAUUGGACUGACCAAUACUUUGACGUUCAUAUUGGUUUAGGACCAUUCAUAAUUAUGACUUAAAUAGUUUCCAUUAAUAUCGAUUUUUCUAGAUUCUAAUUUCUAAAUGGUUAGAAGUUUCAGCCACUUAAAGCAAAGGAAUAAUCGCCCUUCUUGCACGGAAGCACGGAUAUUCCAGGAUUAAAAUCCUAGCCUAACUCCAACGCCAGGGAUUGGCAUCUAUUCCUAAGACAAAUUAACUAAUUACAACCGCUUAAUAAUAAUAAUAAUAUAUUAUUGUUGAGAUGAUGCGCUGGCAAAUCAUACAGGUGUACGUCCUAACCAAUAUGCUACGUUUCCCCACAUUAUAUAUUGUUUGAGGGAAAUGCUUCGAUGAGACCAGAAGUGAUGAGCAGAUAUUUGGUGGCAGAGUUCUGCGAACAGGUGCGUCCUGUAAGAGCCUGGUAGCAGGGGAACAGGAGCAGGAAUAUUCUGCUCGUCCAAGAACAUGCCAUUCACGAGGACGAACUCCUGUUAGAGGCAUGAGGCCAUUCCUGCUAGGGGUCGAGGCAAGGAGGCCCGGUCAACGACAGUUGGUAAGGCGUGCAUUCCUCCCCGAGAAUCAAGGCGCGAAGUCCAUCUCCAUUUGCCCACAAUGGCGAUAAUGGGGCAUCCACAUCCGAGAGUGGGGAGAAUAACGGGCGUGGACUACAGAAGACUGGGAUUCAGAGGAAGCCUAUAAAAAGGUAGCCAACGAAGGUAAAAGGGUUGGACUUUUUGCUAUUAGAACUAAGAAAAGAAAACUCUAAGAACUGAGAUUGAAAAGACACCAUAGGAUUCGUGGCAAACAUUCCCAGAACCUUCAUAUCUGACUUGAGCGUCAGAUGGUUUACGCCGGGAAAACAACCGGCGUACUCUGACCUGCUUCUGUGUACGCAGGAACUUUUGGAGAAGAAACCUUACGAGGAGAGAUCCUGGUCGUGGUAGAGUUGAUCGAGCCGAGUUCCUGGUCUUGGUAGAGAAGGCAACCAGAAUCUCGCAUCAACAUUUUGGCGCCGUCUGUGGGGAGCUGAGAAAAAAGCUUCUGCUGAUAGCAAGAAGAGGAGUGAAGCAAGUGAAAAGCAAUGGAGACAGGAGGAAGUAGUGCACAAGGGGGUGAUAUAAGGCUUAAUGAUUCCGUGACGUUGAGGGAGAUAGCCAGUGAAGCGCGGGAAAAAGCCAUGUUCGACCGGAUGGAACGGAUGGAAAAGCAAAUGGAGACCCUGACAACCAUCCUGCAUGAGUUGCGGAGUGAACGAAGAGUAACCCAGGAGGAAAGGGUGAGAAGUGGUGGAGUGGCACCAGGUCCCGAUAGUACGAGGAGAAGUCGAACCACCGUGAGAUUUGGUGGUGAGAGAGGUAACAUACCUCUGCGGGGAGAAUUUCAUAGAGAGGAAGAGCAAUCCCCGGCGAGACAGAUUUUUGAGGAGGACGACGGGGUGGCGAAUGCAGAGGAAACAGAGUUGAGGCAACACUUGCAUGAUUUAGAGCAAGAGCGGGAUCAAGUUGCAGCACGUGACCCUGGUCGUGCAGUGCAGCUGGAGGAGGAAGUGCGCAGGCUAGCGCAGAUAAUUGACGACAUGCAAGGAAGGAGUAGAGCUCCUGGUUGGAGGAUAAUGCUGGACGGAGAAUCACCGCUCGCAGCAGAGAUCAUGAGGGCAGUUAUUCCGAGAGAUUUCCGCCUCCCAGAUCUUAGAUAUUCGGGACGAACUGAUCCGCUGGUGCACAUAGAGCGCUUCAAUGACAUAACUGGGGUACAAGGAUUAUCUCAAUCCCAAAGGUGCAGGGUGUUCCCACUAUCCCUUGAGGGACGUGCACGAGAGUGGUACAUGAAACUUCCUCGGGGGAGCAUUAAAACCUUCGAGCAGAUGUGCCAGGAAUUUGCAGAGCAGUUUCGUGGGGCAAUGGCACCAGAAGAUGACAUGAUGGAGUUGAAAAGCAUGAAGCAGAGGGAACAAGAAACACUUCGGGAAUUCAUCAAGAGGUUUCACCGUGCUGUCCUUGAUUUGGGAGCCUUCAACCAUCCUCAAGCAUUAAGGGGACUGAAAGAAGGGGUGAAGAUAGGAAGACUAUGGUACAAUUUGAGAAGCCCAGUUAUUCAGACGUAUACAGCCGCAUACGAGCAGGCUAAGAAGGACAUUGAGAUUGAAGAGGAAAAGACAGCACGAAUCAAGACAGACCAGUUAGAAGGGUUGGGGAAGAAAGAAAAGAAAGCAUUGCCAGGGAAUGGGCCGAUCAGGAGGAGGGACCACUAGGCCUCAGGUAGUGGAGCAGGAGGUCGGGUAACUACUUACCAGCCUCAUCAGAGGCCACCAUAAUAUCAGCGCAGCAGGGUGCAACCUCCUCGUUCCCCAGCUAGGGAACUUUGGAGAAGGCAUGACUCGGCAUAUGGUGGUCUUCAUCAACACUCCCACGGUAGUAGAGUGGGCAGACCAGAAGUGCUGCCACCGCCUCCAACUCAGAACGGAGCAAACAGAGAAAGGGCAGUGCACCUGAUCGACCAGAACCAAGACUAUGGGCGGUAUACUUCCUUGAAGAUGUCCCUGGACGAGGUGUACGAGGCCAUAAAGGAUCGAGGGUUGCUAUACCUCCUUGCCCCAAUAACAAAGCUACCCAGCAGGAGGGAUAAGGGACGCUAUUGUAAGUUCCAUGGCACUCAUGGCCACACCACAGUAGAUUGCAGGGAUCUCAAGACCCAGGUUGAAGAUUUGGUGAGAAAUCGGUACCUGCACGAGUUUAUAGAUGGGACCUUCCCAAUGGUAGCCUCGACAAGCGAAAGGGAGCAGAGUGACAGAAACUUGAGGCGCGAGCCGCCUGCAGUAAGGGUGAUAGCUGGGGGCCCAACAUUGGCUGGAGAUUCCAACAGGUCGAGGAAGAAUUAUGCUAGAUACGCCAUGACUAGCAAAGAUGUGUUCUUCAACACCCCAGCAGCCAAACGUGCAAGAGUCAGGCAAGUGCCAAUCAUGUGGACAGAUGAGGAUGAAGAAGGGAUUCUAUACCCCCACGAGGAUGCUUUGGUCAUCAAGGCCACUGUUGCCAGCAAGAAGUUUGACAGGAUACUGGUUGACAUAGGGAGCUCAGUUGAUGUGUUGUUUAAGUCAACCCUUGAGGAGAUGGGAAUAGCAGACCUGAAGUUGGAUUACACCAAUACCUCAUUGAAGGGGUUUGGAGGAGGAAAGUUGGUCCCUCUAGGCGUAGUCGAGCUGCCUAUCACGAUUGGGAGCUCCCCGACAGAAAGGACAAUGAUACUGGACUUUGUGGUAGUGGAUGAGGAAGGUCCUUACCAGAUGAUCCUAGGCCGGCCAUUUCUGAGGAUGAGCAAAGCGGUGCUGUCCAACCAUUAUCUAGCUCUCAAGUACCGGGUGAAUGGGGUAGUUGGACUGGUACGAGGAGACCAGAGGAUCGCAAGAAGCUGCUACUCCUCGGCAACAAGGGAAGCAAUGCAGAUAACAUCGCUUGAUACCCGAGUGGAAAACAAGAAUGGCAGACAAGAACCUGUGGAGGAUCUAGAGACAGUAAGCCUGGGACUAGAGAAUCCGGGAAAGACGAUCAGAAUCGGGUCGAAGCUUAAGGAAGAGCAAAAGCAGGAGUUGGUGAAAUGCUUACAGGCUCAUGCAGAUGUGUUUGCUUGGACACAUGAAGACAUGCCAGGGAUUAAUCCUGAGGUAGCAUGUCAUAAGCUGGCAAUAAAGAAAGGUGCUCGGGCAGUAAGGCAGAAGAGGAGGUGCUUUAACCAGGAGAGGUAUGAGGCUAUAAAUGGCGAGGUGGAAAAGCUCUUGAGAGCAGGAUUCAUUCGAGAAGUCAAUUAUCCCGAGUGGAUUUCGAAUGUGGUGUUGGUAAAGAAGGCAAAUGGCAAGUGGAGGAUGUGUGUGGAUUUUACAGAUCUCAAUAAAGCAUGCCCGAAAGACAGCUUCCCUUUGCCAAAAAUCGACCAGCUAGUAGAUUCAACAGCUGGGCACGGCCUGCUUAGCUUCAUGGACGCGUUCUCGGGAUAUAACCAAAUCCCCAUGUACGAGCAGGAUGAGGAGAGCACUGCUUUUAUCACUAACCAGGGUUUAUUCUGUUACAGGGUAAUGCCAUUUGGUCUCAAAAAUGCUGGGGCCACCUAUCAGAGGCUGGUGAAUAAAGUCUUUAAGCCGUUGAUCGGGAAAACCAUGGAGGUGUACGUGGAUGACAUGAUCACCAAGUCCAAAAUCCCGAAGGAACAUGUCGGACACCUCGAGGAGACAUUCGGGCUUUUGAGGAAGUAUAAAAUGAAGCUUAACCCGGAGAAGUGUGCUUUUGGGGUCAAGUCAGGGAAAUUCCUUGGAUUCAUUGUGAGCCAUAGGGGAAUUGAGGCAAAUCCCGAGAAGAUCCAGGCGAUCGUGCAGAUGAGGUCUCCUCAUAGCCUAAAGGAGAUGCAGAGCCUCACGGGGAGGUUGGCGACAUUGAGCAGAUUCAUAUCUAAGGCUACAGGUAAGUGUCAGCCGUUCUUUCAAGUGAUAAGGAGGGGAAAGAAAAUAGAAUGGACUCCAGAAUGCGAGGAAGCCUUCUAGAACUUGAAGCAAUACUUGCAGCAAGCACUUCUGCUGUCCACACCGAGGGUUGGGGACAAGUUAUUUCUGUAUUUGGCGGUAUCAGAUCGGGCCACAAGUUCUGUUCUGGUGAGAGAGGAAGAAAGGGUUCAAUAUCCGAUAUAUUACACUAGCAAGGCCCUGCUCGACGCUGAGACCAGAUACCCACCGUUGGAAAAAUGGGCACUUGCCCUUGUGGUUGCUGCUCGGAAGCUGAGACCAUACUUCCAAGCAUUCCCAGUCUCGGUAAUAACAAACCAGCCAUUGCGUCAAACUCUGCACAAGCCAGACGCCUCUGGUCGGCUCGUCAAGUGGGCUGUAGAGCUGAGCGAGUUCGACAUAGACUACAAACCCCGAGCAGCGAUAAAGGCUCAGGCAAUGGCCGAUUUCGUAGCAGAAUUCACAGAGCCCGAAGUAUGUUUGGACCAACGAGAGGUAGCUACAGACAGUGGCGAAGCCCAAGUAUGGCAAAUGUUUGUAGAUGGGUCAUCAGGGGAGCAGGGAUUGUCUUGGAAGGACCGGAGGGGGAGCAGAUCUCUUAUGCUGUAAAGUUAGAAUUCGCAGCCACAAAUAACCAGGCAGAGUAUGAAGCCUUGAUAGCAGGUUUGGAAUUGGCUAAGGCCGUGAAAGCAGACAGAGUGAAGAUCAGAACUGAUUCCCAGCUGGUUGCAAAUCAUGUCAGUGAAAGAUUUCAACCAAGAGAGGAGAAGAUGGAGCAGUACCUGAAGAUAGUCAGGCAGAUGAUGGGGAAAUUUGAAGCAGUGGAGGUGGUACAAAUCCCCAAGGAGCAGAAUAGUCAAGCAGAUAUUUGGCCAGGAUGGCAGCGGUAGCAGACCCAAAAAUGCCAAAGUCGAUCCCUCUGGAGGUGAAGUCCAGCCCGAGCAUCGAACAGAAUUUGGGGGUGCUACGGAUAGAACAAAAAUGCUCGUGGAUGGACCCAAUAAUUUCGUACCUUAGAGACGGGGUAUUACCACCAGAUAAACUGCGAGCUCGGAAGGUUAGAGCCCAGGCCUCGAGAUACACGAUGAUUGAUGGGGUACUGUAUCGGCGAGGAUAUACACUACCUUUCCUUCGAUGUUUGGAUGAGGACGACGCGGAUUACGUACUAAGAGAAGUACAUGAAGGGAUUUGCGGAAAUCAUUCUGGUGGGAGGUCCCUGGCCCACAAGGUUCUAAGACAGGGAUAUUUCUGGCCAACAAUGCACCAGGAUGCGCAAGGGAAGACCAGGAGCUGUGUAAGCUGCCAGAGUUUUGCAAGUUUCUCCAACCAACCACCAGAGAAGCUCACCUCUAUGGCCUCCCCAUGGCCAUUUGCUCAAUGGGGAAUUGAUCUGAUCGGCCCGUUGCCAAAGGGACGAGGAGCAGCAACGCAUGCAAUAGUUGCUAUAGACUACUUCACGAAGUGGAUAGAGGUAGAAGCCCUUAGCAGGAUCACAGAGAAGAAAACAACAGACUUUGUGUGGAGAAACCUGGUUUGUCGAUACGGGAUCCCUUAUGCCUUGAUAACGGAUAAUGGUAGGCAGUUCGAUAAUCACAGCUUCAGGGAUUUCUGCUAGAACCUCGGGAUAGAGUUGAAGUAUUGCUCGCCGGCUCACCCUCAAUCUAACGAACAAGUAGAAGCAACCAACAAGACAAUCAAGAGGCUUUUGAAAACCAGGCUUGGAGCAAAGAAGGGUGCUUGGGUUGAUGAGCUAUCAGGCGUACUAUGGGCAUACAGGACAACCCAUAAGACAGCAACGGGGGAGACACCGUUCGCCUUGGCUUUCGGACAUGAAGCGGUCAUACCAGCUGAGAUAGGAACCACCACAUACCGAACAGAUCAUUUCAACGAGCAGGACAACGACGAGCAGAUGUGUUUGAAUUUGGACUUGCUAACGGAAAAAAUGGAGCAAGCAACCGAGCGAUAAGUCAUUUACCAGCAGAGGGUUGCCCGAUAUUAUAACCAGAAGGUGAAUGUACGGCAGUUCAAGGUCAGAGAUUGGGUGUUAAAGAGAGUGAAUCAGAACACCAAAGACUCAACUCAAGGAGUGCUCGGACCGAAUUGGGAGGGGCCAUACAGGGUCAAGCAGCUAGUUGGACCAGGAGCUUACAAGUUGGUUCGCAUAGAUGGCCACGAGGUGAAGCGCCCAUGGAACGCAGCACAUCUCAAGAAAUAUUUCCAGUAAGAGUCGUUCAUAUUUUCAAGUUCUUUCUGUUCGUGUUCGUUGUUAUUUAUUUUAUGUCAAAACGAUCUCAUGUAAGCCGAAUUCAACAAUAAAGGGAUCAAUGAGGAAUUUCAGUCAGCUAUACUGUCAUCGAAGAAUUUUCUAAGGCAUGCAAAGGCUCAUCAAGUCUCAAAGCCUGUUUUAUGGCGAGACAGAAGCCAAGCGUGCCAGGGUUUGCUCGACCGCGCGAAGGUGAGCAGAACCCCCAAACAUCGAAAUAUUUUCUAAGGCAUGCAAAGGCUCACAAAGUCUCAAAGCCUGUUUAUGGCGAGACCAGAAGCAAGCGUGCCAGGAUCUGCUCGACCGCGCGAAGGCGAGCAGAAUCCCAAGCAUUGAAGAAUUUUCUAAGGCAUGCAAAGGCUCAUCAAGUCUCAAAGCCUGUCUAUGGCGAGACAGAAGCCAAGCGUGCCAGGGUCUGCUCGACCGCGCGAAGGUGAGCAGAACCCCCAAACAUCGAAAUAUUUUCUAAGGCAUGCAAAGGCUCACCAAGUCUCAAAGCCUGUUUAUGGCGAGACCAGAAGCAAGCGUGCCAGGAUCUGCUCGACCGCGCGAAGGCAAGCAGAAUCCCAAGCAUUGAAGAAUUUUCUAAGGCAUGCAAAAGGCUCACUAAGUCUCAAAGCCUGUCUAUGGCGAGACCGGAAGCCAAGCAUGCCACGAUUUGCUCGAUCGAGCAAAGGCGAGCAAAAUCCCAAGUCAUGUAGAAAGACCAUAUUCUAAGCCAAAGCCUGCUCGACCAAGUGAAGGCGAGCAAACCUUCAAAUGGAAAAAUAACUUGUAAAUACAAACGCAAGAAAGUAAUCAAAAACAGUUUUUAUUAAUUUAUCAAUAACCAACAAAGUUGUUCAUUACAACGCAAGAAAUAUGUUCAAGAAGAUGGCGGAUCAGUAAGCCGAGCAGCUUCGGUUGGCUGGACCUCCUCAGGUGCAGGGGGGUAUCACCAGUUGCGUCCGGUGGGGUGCUCGCCUCGCCAACAUCAGCAGGGAUUGUACGAGGAGGAGAGUUUUCCUCCUCAAUCACGAUUGGCUCCACCCCUUCGGCAUCUUCCUUGGCCGCCUCCUCGUCUAUAUGUUGAGCAACACCAGCUGCUAGGUCAUCCAUCUUCAUAUCAGGAUACUGCUUCCCGAGGACGGCCAUGAUGUAACGAUAGGAAUGCCGAAGUCCCUGGUCGUAUUGAUUGUCGGCCUCCUUCUCCAAGUUCUCGACCUGAACUCGGUGGGAAUCGCGGAGAGAUUCGAGCUGAGCCUCAUACAUAGCCUUCUGCCUUUGAAGAUCCUCCUUGACCUUGGUCAACUCCUCCUCGAGGGUAAUGGCUUUUGCUUGAGCAAGAGAUUCUUGCUCUAUCAGCUUCAGGUUCUCGACAUUCAGCUCCCCUGCUUUCUUCUCGGCAUGGUCAGCUCUGGUCAUCGCCGACUGAAUGUCCUCCUUCAUCUUCCUGUCAUAACGGCCAACCUUGGCCUUAUAGUAAGUGGUCAUGCAGUUGAGAUGGAAAGCGCUAUACUGCAUGGCUCCUACCAGCUCGCCCAGGGUGUAGCCAUCAAAGUCCUCCAGGUCCUUCUUGCUCACGAGUUUAGAUAACUCAUUGAGAUAGAGGACCAAGUGUUCUGCUCGGUUGUCAGGUAAGCGAGACCGAGGCCGACAGGAGGAGAAGAGGACGCAGGAUCUAUGGCUGCUCCACUAGUUUCCCCGACUUUGGCAGGAGCAGAAGGUAAAGUCUUCAAGGGAGAGACCUGCUGUACGAUGUUGGCCCGCUUUGCAGUAGGGGCGUCCUUGUUCUGGUCCGUCUUCGUGGUUUGAGGUCGAGAACGUUUCCUGUUCAGAGCCCCAAUCACAGCGUCCUCCAUCUUAUGGCCAGGGAGUAUCAAGCGAGACUCGAGCAAGUUGUAAGUAGUUAUCAGUUCUCGGCUCGAGCAGGAAUUGACUAGUACAGCCUCAACCCGUUUGAGCUGGUCAGGUUUGAGCGGGAAGUGAACACCCCACGAACCUGCAAUACAAACAGACACUUGGUUAGAGACAAACCAAUAAAGCGAGAACAAUUAUGGAUACAAGACAUCUAAAGCGAGCAGGCAACCUGGGACCGUGAAACGGGAUGGGACACGAUAAUCCUUCCCGUCCAUUUGUGCAACCUGACCCCAAGGACCCCCAGCAAAAAAGAAUUUUCUCUUCCAAGCCCCACCACCACCAGUUGGAAGAUCAGUUAUGGGUUUCAUGCUCUUGGUGCUAGAUUGGAAGUAGUACCAGCCGGCAUCUUUGGGGCUGCUCUUUAGUUGGUACAGAUGCUUAGUCAUCUGAAGUACAUGUUUUUAGGAGAUGAUGAGACACUUCCGGUGAUCAUCUCUUCAAAGCUUAGUACUUUAGAGGAAGAGAAACUUAUUAGAGUGCUAAAGGAUUACAAAAAGGCUAUUGGGUGGACAAUUGCAGAUAUUAAAGGGAUAAGUCCGUCCACGUGCAUGCAUAGAAUACUACUGGAGGAAGAUGCCAAACCUUCAAUUCAAGCUCAAUGCCGUUUGAAUCCACUCAUGAUGGAAGUAGUGAAGAAAGAAAUUCUAAAACUUCUUGAUGCAGGUAUAAUCUAUCCAAUUUCGGAUAGUAAAUGGGUAAGUCCGGUACAAGUGGUACCGAAGAAAACUGGUAUAACAAUUGUUGAGAAUUCUUAUGGUGAGUUAGUACCUACCCGAGUUCAGAAUGGGUGGAGGGUUUGUAUUGAUUUUAGAAAGCUUAAUUCACUCACUAGGAAUGAUCAUUUUCCUAUUCCUUUUAUUGAUCAGAUGCUCGAUAGGUUGGCAAGAAAAUCUCACUUGUGUUGUCUUGAUGGCUAUUCAGGUUUUCAUCAGAUACCAGUUGCGCCCGAGGAUCAGGAGAAGACUACCUUCACAUGUCCUUUUGGAACCUUUGUGUACCGACGUAUGCCAUUUGGUCUUUGUAAUGCUCCCGCCACUUUUCAGAGGUGCAUGGUCAGUAUUUUUUCAGACUAUGUAGAAAACACUAUAGAGGUAUUUAUGGACGAUUUUACGGUCUAUGCUGAUUCUUUCGAUGAUUGUCUCUAUAAUCUGAAGAAAGUGCUUGAAAGAUGCAUUGAAACAAACCUUGUCUUAAAUUAUGAAAAAUGUCAUUUUAUGGUAGAUCAAGGCAUUAUUUUGGGUCAUGUAGUCUCUGCUAGAGGAAUUGAGGUAGAUAAAGCUAAAAUAGAUGUUAUUAAAUCUUUACCUUAUCCCACAUGUGUGCGGGAAGUUCGUUCUUUCCUUGGUCAUGCAGGUUUCUAUAGACGAUUUAUCAAGGAUUUUUCGAAGAUAGCUCAGCCUUUAUGCAAGCUUCUUCAGAAAGAUGUGACAUUUGAUUUUAAUGAAGCAUGCAAGGUAGCAUUUGAUAAACUUAAGGAGUUAUUGACUUCAGCUCCAAUUAUACAGCCACCAAACUGGAGCCUCCCUUUUAAGAUAAUGUGCGACGCCAGUAAUUAUGCUGUUGGUGCUGUUCUCGGACAAAGGGUUGGAAAAGCUGCUCAUGUGAUAUAUUACGCAUCAAGGACACUUGAUAGUGCUUAGUACAAUUACUCAACAACGGAAAAAGAACUUUUAGCUAUUGUUUUUGCUUUAGAAAAAUUCCGUUCAUAUUUAUUGGGUACCAAAGUGAUUGUUUUUUCUGACCAUGCAGCUCUUAGAUAUUUGCUCGCCAAGAAGGAAGCGAAACUGAGACUUAUCCGCUGGAUCCUACUGCUUCAAGAAUUCAACUUGGAGAUCCGUGACAAGAAAGGAACAUAAAACUUAGUUGCAGACCACCUUAGUAGAUUGACCACGAGUGAAGAAGCAGCACUUUUGAAAGAUGAUUUUCCAGAUGAGCAUCUCUUUGUAACUCAAGGUAUGGUUCCUUGGUACGCUGACAAGGACACUACCUAGUGAUCUGACGAGGGCUCAAAAAGAUAAAAUUAAGAGCGAUGCUAAAUACUAUGUUUGGGAUGACCCUUACUUGUGGAAACAUUGCUCUGACCAAGUCAUCAGAAGGUGUGUAUCUGAGUUUGAAAUUCCUUCUAUUCUUCAAUUUUGUCACUCAUAUGCAUGUGGUGGUCAUUUUGGUCUCAAAAUGACAGCAUCCAAGGUGUUAGAAUGUGGUUUAUUUUGGCCUACUUUAUUUCGUGAUUCAUAUAUGUUUUGUAAGUCGUGUGAGAAUUGUCAAAAGACUGGUAAUUUAAGUCAUAGAAAUCAAAUGCCACUUACCCCUAUUCUUGUAUGUGAAAUAUUCGAUGUGUGGGGCAUUGGUUUUAUGGGACCUUUUCCCUAAUCUUUUGGCAAUGCUUACAUUCUUUUAGCAAUGGAUUACGUUUCUAAGUGGGUAGAGGCUAAGGCCACCCGGACUGACAAUGCUAAAGUUGUUGUAGAUUUUGUCAAGUCUAAUAUUUUUGCCAGGUUUGGUGUACCGAGAGCGAUGAUAAGUGAUAGAGGCACUCAUUUCUGUAAUCGAGUGGUGGAAGCUUUGUUCAAAAGAUAUCAUGUUACCCACCGAGUGUCUACCGCUUAUCAUCCACAGACAAGUGGACAAGCUGAGAUAUCAAACAGAGAAAUCAAGUCUAUUCUUGAAAAGACAGUUAGUCCAAAUCGAAAGGAUUGGAGUUUGCGAUUAGAUGAUGCAUUAUGGGCGUAUCGCACCGCUUACAAAACUCCCAUAGGUAUGUCUCCUUAUCGUUUGGUAUUUGGUAAGCCUUGCCAUUUACCUGUAGAACUUAAGCACAGAGCAUACUGGGCGGUUAAGCAAUGCAAUAUGCGGAUGGAUGAAGCGGGAAAGCAGAGGAAGUUGCAGCUGCAAGAGUUGGAGGAGAUUAGAAAUGAAUCCUACGAGAGUUCGUGAUUUUACAAGGAAAAGACGAAGACAUUUCAUGACAGAAUGAUUUUCAGAAAGGAGUUAUCUGUUGGUCAAAACGUUCUUCUUUUUCAUUCUAAACUUAAACUUUUUCCUUGUAAAUUACGUUCUCGUUGGGUAGGACCUUUUAUUGUUACUAAUGUUUUUCCUCAUGGUGCAGUUGAGAUUCGGAGUCCAACCUCUGAUAAAGCCUUUAAGGUAAAUGGUCAUCGUUUAAAACCUUUUUAUGAAGGUUUUUCGGUGAAUAUUGUAGAGGAAAUGGCUCUCGAGAGUCCUAUUUAUGGAGAUUGAUGCAUAAAUGUGUCUAGCCAAAGACAUAAAACAAAAGCGCUUUUUGGGAGGCAACCCAAAUGAUUUGUUUAUUUUGGUUUUUGUUUUAUCUUCUUUUAGUUUUGAUUCAGAUUUUUUUUAAAAUAAUGUGUUUGCUUAUUUUGGCCAGAAGAAAAUUUUUGAUAAGGCGUGCCCACGUUUUAACUAAUAAGUACUUCUGUAAUUUUUAAAGUAAAAUAGUUUUAAGGCGUGCCCACGUACUUAUUAGAAAAGUACUUCUGAAAUUUUUAGUUCUCAAAGUGAAAAAAAAAAAAAUUAAUGUGUUUGCUUAUUUUGGUCAGAAGAAAAUUUUUGAUAAGGCGUGCCCACGUCAUAACUAAUAAGUACUUCUGUGAUUUUUAAAGUAAAAUGGUUUAAAGGCGUGUCCACGUGCUUAUUAGAAAAGUACUUCUGAAAUUUUUAGAGUCUCAAAGUGAUUCAUUAAAAAAAUAUAUAUUUUUUAAAAAAAAUAAUUUUAUUUUAUUUUUUAAAAAACAAAAAAUGAAAAAAAGAGCUUUUCUUUUGUUCUUCUUUUAUAUAUUUAUUUAUUUAUUUAUAAUAAAAAAAUCAUCAUUGUUCAAAAAAAAAAAAUUUACUGUUCACAAAAUCCCUAAUUUUCCAGAUCUUGUUUUCUUCUCCAGCCGCUUGCAGCACACCAGCAGCAAACCAGCCCGCCGGAAAAUGCAAGCCCCGCAACGCAGCGCGAACCAGCAACGCAAACCACCAGAGCGCAACGCAAGCCCCCGCGCGCGCAGCACCAACAGCCCACGAAGCAGCCGCAGCAACACGAAGCAUCUCUCACGCACAACAGCCCCGCAGCGCAACGAACCAGCAACGCGAACCAGCUCUCGCGUGCAACAGUCCCGCAGCAACAAGCCGCCCCGCGCGCGCAACACAGCCACGCACCAGCAUCCCGCACGCAACCAGCAGUGCGCAACCAGCCCCAAGCUGCGCAGCAAGCUCAAGCCGAGCAGCAAUGCAACGCAACUAGCCUACGCCCUGUAUUCCAGCCGGGUAAAUUGAAAUCCGUGAGUGCAAUUAUUGUAACAAUGCCAAAGAGGAAAGCAUCUACUUCCAAGUCAUCGAAAAAGACACCCGUCGCAAAGAAAUCUAAGAUUGCCGCUCCCACUACGGUUCCAUGGAACACAAUUUCAUAUUCACGCCAAGCCGUGAGACAAAGAUCGAAACAUGGAAAAGGCAUGAGUGUUUUGCCACUUACGGAAUCCAAUCUCGGAGGGUGCCUCGCAUUCGCGACUCAACAAGAGAAAGAGAGGUACAAAGAUAUUUCCACGCGCAAAAUACUUCCAGCUAAGUAUAUUCAUUACCCGACUCUUGAAAAAUUGAAUGUUAAGGAUAAUUUUGAUUCUUUGAUAGAUAAGAUUGGGUUGCGUAAAUUUUUUGAUGUUGAUUGUUUGGGUUAUGUUGAGUUGAUUAGGGAGUUUUAUGCUACUUUUCAAUUUAAUAUGCCGAAUGAUUUUACUUUGCAUACCCUGGAUGUCAUUAAGUUUAGGUUAAUGGGAUGAAAUUUUUCACUCUAUCACGGAUUUUAACUAGCUUUAGGAUUCAUUGAUGAUGAUUAUUCUUCUAGUGAUGCAUAUUUAGGAACAACUUGUGACUUUAGCGAAAAUUUUGAGCCUUAUGGUCUUUGGCGUAAUUUAUCUGUUGAUCACAAUGCCUAUGACCCGAGCAAAUCAAAGAGUUCUUUCUAACGUGAUCCUGUUUUGAAAUGUGUGCAUCGAUUCUUAGCAUAUAAUUUUUUAGGCAAGAAAGAUCACUCAUGAGUUUUCUCUAAAACUGAAUUUUAUUUUAUCUGGUGCAUGUUAAAUGAUGUGAGGCCUAAUUUAGGUUUUUGGUUAGCGGAUCAAUUUCAAAGUGUGCUUAAACGGUAUAGGACUUUAUUUCUUGGUCCAUACAUUACUCUGUUAGCUAUAAACCUAUGUGUGCUUGAUCCCAAUAAUAAUGAUUUGCAUCCUGCUUGCAAAAAGGAAUUUUUUGAUAUGUCUGUGUUUGAAAGAACAGGUGUGGUCGAAUUCAAGGAGGGGAGAUUUCAAUUUACUGAACCAGGACCCACUCAAAUUCCAAAGAAGCUUUAUGCUAGGAGUGCUGCUACCUCUAAUGACGAGUUUGACGACGACACUGCUGCCCCGCCAACUAUUCCUUCUACAUCCGCACCACCUUUGAGCAUUCAGUUAGAGAAAAUGGAGCACAAGCUGAACAAGAUGGAGCAUAAUUUGGCCGCAUACUUCGAGAGUGUGGGAUUUACCCCACCAUUUCCGCCAAGCCCAUAAACGUUAUGUGGAUCAAAGCUCACAAUUCAGGGAAGUUUCUUUUUGCCUUUAAUCUUUUAUCCUUACGCUUUAAUUUUUAUGUGAGCUUUGAUUAUCUUACAUUAGGGACAAUGUAAGUUCUUGGUGUGGGGGAGGGAUUUUUGCAUUAUUGAUGUCUAGAAGUAGUAUUUUCACUCUACUCAUCCUUAAAUGAUUUUGGAGUUAGUAUGCUUCAUAUAUUAUUAUUUUUUUUCUUUUCUUUUCUUUCUCACUACUCUUUUCCCAUCUAUCUCAAAUUAUUUACAUCUAUUUUUAUUCUAUCAUGCUCUUUCAUCACUCACAUUUUAUCUUUCACUUUUCAUAUUACUACAUACAUCUUUCUCACUUCUUAUCAUUUUUACAUUUUUUUUUAUAUAUCACUCAUACCUUCUUCUCAUUCUACACCACUAUUGAUGGUUGAUUCAUUUGAAGAGUGUACAUGAUUUGAUGGCAAAUUUACCAACUUUGUGAGGAUUUGAGCCUAUGAGCAACCACUUUGCUCUAAUAUUUUUGUUAUGUGAAUAUCAAUCUUAGUUUGUUUAUUCUAGAACUUGCUUUGUUAUGCAUGUUGAAGCCGCAUUACGGGAUUUUAUGCAUUAAAAUGAUAAGGGCAAACCCUUUUCCAUUUUUCUAUUCUCGCAUUUUUUUUUUCUCUACCCGAAGACCUUUAUUUGCUAUCUUUGUUUGAGCCUUAACCAUUACCCAUCUAAUUUUCUCCGUCUACUUAACCAUUUUUCUUCUUUUUUAGCCUCAAUUUAAGGAGAUUUUUGGACUCAUUGUGUGGAUAUAUUUUGUUGCUUUUUCUACCUUGUAAUAAAGUUUCUCAAUUAGAUCAACAAGCAUUAUGCUUGAAUUAAAUUGUGCAAGGUUCGUUUCUUUUGUUUGAUUCAAAAACAACAAAAAAAAGAAAAAAAAUUGAAAAAAAAAGAGAAAAAAAAUGUUUACAUUCUUGGUGACUUGAGUAGAAAUAAGCAUUUUGAUAUCAUAAGUUCAUUCAAUGAGUUCAUUCUUCUCAUUUUGAUCUCUUUUUCUUUCGUAAACCUUUCUUUUUCAUUCAACCUAUUUAACCCCAUUACAACCCUUUUAAGACCCUUAGAUUUUUGCAUUUUAUUCAUGUUUUGUGGAUUGAGAUGUGAUAUAUGAGCAAGCUUAUGGUAAUAGCAUUCUUUGAUUUGAUUUGAGUGAAUAAAUGACACCUUAAACACUUUGAGUGCAUGGAGUGAAGUUAUUGAGAGGGCUAUUAAAUCUUGUUGCACUUGAAUUUUGAAUGGAUCUUCUUGGUGGUUGAAUGUUCUUAUUCUAUCUUAUGAAAUUCUAUGCUUUAAAAUCCUUGUCUCUCGAAUGUUGAUCGACUUAAUUUCUUGAGGUAUGCUUGCUUAAAAUUGUUUUUGGAUGAGUUGAGAUGAGAAUUGAGUGGAGAUUUGAGAUUAAUCUUGAGUUAUAUGCUUGAGGACAAGCAUCAUCUUGGUGUGGGGGAAUUUGUUAGAGUGCAAUUUAUGCACUAGUUUUGCAUUGUUUACUUCUUUUAAUAUCGAUGUUUUGCACUUAAUAAUAGUGAUUUACUUGUGUUUUACUUUUGUAGGUGCAAUUCUAUUGAUUAGUGAUAAAAUUGAGCUACAAGAUGAUGUUUAAGGAUGAUUGUUCUCUUGGAGAAAUUAUGAGCGGCAGAAGAACUUUGUUGAUAAGGCGUGGGCGCAUGCUGUCAACUGUAAACCUGCAGUUUUUAGUUUAACGUGUUUUGUAUUUUUGGUUAUUUUUGUAAUUACGGAUUUAAUAUUUCAGAUAUUAGUAUUUUAUUUUAAAUAGAAUUCUAGAGGAGAAGAGAGAGAGAGUAUUUAAGGGAGUAAUCUAUUGUGAAAAAGGGGGGAUUUUGAUUGGAGAAAAAGAAAGAAACCCUAGAUCUAAUUUUUCUCUUCUCUCUAUAAAGAACUAAACUUAUUUUUCUAGUUGAAGGUUAAUGAAGCUUUGAUUCAUCACUACUGUGAGAUCUUUCUUAUGCUUUAAUUAUUUUAUUACUUUUUGGGUAUUUGUUUAUUCUCUGAAUUAGUUUCAUGAUUAUGUUUGUUAAUUAGGUAAUUGGCCACUAUUUAAUUAUCAACUUAAUCUAUUGUCAAUUAAAGGAUUCAUCGUAUGAAGAUUUUAAUGUUUGUGACAAAUAACAUAGCAGAGAGUUGUGUUGUGAGAAUAAACAAUCUAAUUUAAAUGAAUCAUCAUAUGUGUUGAUUAGGAUUUGGGUCUCUCUGGUUUUUCAGGCUGUCAAUUGAUUAAUUCCUAUGAUCGUAUCUAGGGUUGUCUAUUGAUUAGGGAAAUAACCAACGGUCGUACCUUGGUUAUCGACUAGUUAAGGAGAGAUUGGCUAUUAGAGGGUCUCAAUAGCUAUAACCGGUCUAUUCAUAAGUAAUAAUAAUCUAUAUUUGAAUCAAUGAUCAGUAGUCGAAUCAAGCUGAGUUAAUUCCUUCAACCAGAGCUUUCUUCAAUUUGAAUUACAACUUUAAUUUGCAUUCUUGUUAUUUUAAUUUGAUUUUUAUUAUUGUCAACAAUUCCCCCAUUUUAUGUUUUGCGUUUCAAAAGGAUUUAAAUAAUUACCAAUCUCUGUGGACACGACCCUGCUCAAUCACUAUACACAAUUUAUUUAGAGUAGGAAUUUAUUUUUGUUGGCUUCAACAACCAUCAGGCAUUCCCUUCUUGAAGAAAGAAUGCAAAGAGCCCAAGAAAGCACUAUCCAUUAGACACGUUAAGAAUUAUUUUGCUUUUCAUUAAAAAUGAUAAUAAUUAUAAUAAAUUAGAUUGAAUUAAUAAUAUUUGCAUGUGGUAUAUAAAUAAUCAGUUUAGUCACUAAUUAGUCACUGUCCGAUUAUCUUCUCUUUCAUCGACUUCGAAACUGGGACUUCUGAGUUGGAUUAAGAAUUGAAAAAAAUGUUGCAACCCAUAAAGCGCGUAAAAUUAAUUAAAGGGCGCGUAAACUAAUUCUUCUUCUUAAAAGAAAAGUUUUGCAGGGAGAUUGAAAAAAGGCUAAUUCGUAUUGAAGAUCAUAAAUGAGUAUCUGUCACAAAUAGAUCCUUCUGGGCAAAAAUAUUAUUUUAUCAUCUAUCACUAUAAGAAUGAGAUGAAAAUUGUCCUCAUUUAAAGUAUUGACAACAAUGUUAUACUCAAUAUAAUGUAUAAAGCACGCAUAAUUUAAUAAUUGGGGCUGCUAAUAUCUUCCACGUAAUUGGAAGCUCAAAGAGUUUCCGUAUUAGCCGAAUCUAAGCGAUAAGUGUUUCCAUGUGAGCCAUAAUUUGGGAAAAAGACCAAUUCAAGUUAAAGAUCAUGGAAAGAGAUCCUUCUGUCUUUGGCGUAAUGCUUGGGCAACGUAAAUUGACUUUACAUUAAAACAAAACAAAACAAACACUGUCAACAAGCAUUAAUGUCAUUUGAUGCAUGAAAGACAAUUAGUCCCAUUUUUUGUCCUGUUUACUUGACUUGGGCAAUUUACCGUCAACUUUUCUCAUCUACGUCAGGUAAUGUGGCUUUUAUUUGGAAUGAAGAAGCCAAUACUUGGACCGAGUGUAGCAUCACUGAUUUGUAUAUUUUUCAGGACUAAGUAAAUUAUCUCAAUUUAAAAAAAUAUAUAAUUACAAUUAUCGAUCGAACACCACUGAUUCCAACAAUUUAUCCAAAACUAUCUUUGAGUUUUAAGGAAUGUAACAUUUAUGAUAGAAUGGUCAAGUCUUUCAACUUUUUAGAUAUUUGAUAUAUGCCAUGUUCUAACUUACAAUGAGAAUAAAAUUAUAGUAUAAUUUUUUUAAAUUAGUGGAAUUAUUUUACGAUAAAACUAUCACAACAACAUUUAAAUAUAAAGUUAUUCUUUAAUUUUUCACUACUUUUAGUGAUAUUCUUAAACUCUUUUCUGAAUGGAGCAUGAAAGGACUACUUAUCUAGAUACGUUUUUUAUGCUUUCACUUCGCUUGAGCCUAGAACUUACAACUCGUAUUUUACGUUUCUCUUACUUUCUCUUCCAUUUUCCCGACUCCCAAACACCAUCAAUCCUUGAUGUUGUAGAGUAUUGGCUGUCUAGUUCUACAAACAUAAUAAAGAAAACAAGAGACAGCUGCCAUAUAUAUUCCAUAUUAAUUAGUCACCGUCCGAUUGUUUCCACUCCCACUGACUCUGUCGAUUCAUGCUCUGAUGAAGUGAAACGCUUAACGCACUAUUGUGAUGCGGAGGAGAGGAGGAAAAACACAAUUUUAUUAUUGCAAUCCUGACACGCGCAAAGAGCUUUCUUACUCGGCUCGGCGGCUAAUUCUUUAUAAUUUGUUAAAACUCAUUUAAUUGAUGAAUGUGACAUGAAGCUCUAUAAAUAGUUUAAUUUGUAAAAUUGUUAAAAUUUUAAAUUUCAAGUAAAGUAGAUAAAAUUAUUAACGUUUUUCAAUAUUUAGAUAAUUGAUAUACGUCAUUUACUGUGAGCGAAUGGCUGAAAUUUUUCAUAGAAAACACAAUGCUUGUAUUAAAAAUUUUAAGUGCGAAUCCAUUUAUUGUAAUCAGAUGAUGUGAUUUAAUUAUUUUUUCCUUUUGCUUGAUGUCCUGAAAAUUAUGAAUGCUUUGCAGGAUGUGGAAUAUUAAAAUUUUUAAUGCAUAUUCAUAUUGAAAACUGAGUAAACAUAACAUUAUUGCUUCUAUAAAUAGAUCAUUUCAACUUAAAACCUGUUACUUGUAUUUUACAUUUCUGUUCCUUAUCAUAAAGUUUUUCUCUGUUUUUUUUUUUUUUGGGUUUCACUUUUUCUUCCACUUUCCCGACCCACAAACACCACCAAUCCUUGAUUCUUUUCCUAGAGUAUUAGCCGUCUAUUGUUACAAACAUAGACAUACUGUUUGUCUAAUUACUAUUAAGAAACAACAUACUCUGUUCUGGGGUCUCUUCGUUUACUGACUUAUGUGACACGUUAAGAAUUAUUUUGCUUUUCAUUAAAAAUGAUAAUGAAAGAAUGCAAAGAGCCCAAGAAAGUACUAUCCAUUAGACACGUUAAGAAUUAUUUUGCUUUUCACUAAAAAUGAUAAUAAUUUUAAUAAAUUGGAUUGAAUUAAUAAUAUUUGCCUGUGUGAUAUAAAUAAUCGCUUUAGUGUCGCCCCAUCAUUAAUGAGUGACUGUCCGAUUGUCUUCUCUUUCAUUGACUUUGAAACUGUGACUUCUGAGUUGGAUUAAGAAUUGACAAAAACUGUGACUUCUGAGUUGGAGAUCAAUAAUUUUGUAAACAAGCCACCGUCUACGACCGUGGGUUGAAAGGAAAGAGGAUUAUGUUUUCAUUGUUUUGUACUUUGUUUCUGUUAAAGUAAGGUAAACAUCUUUCUUUUGCUUUGGCCUUUACUCUUGACUGUAUUUCAUGGUCAUAUUCAAUCUCAAUCUUCUGUAGGUUUGUGGCUGUUUUAUGAGUUACGAUUUUUUAUAGGGUUGCAUGUAGAUGAUACAUUUAUAUACAUUUUUUCUUUUUUCUUUUCUUCUUCGGUGAAGAUACUAAAAUUUAGUUUUUGUUAUCAUGUGAAAUGAAAAUAGUCCUCAUUUCAAGGAUUAAUGGGCCACUAAUUUCGUCUUCUUAAAAGAAAAUUUUUUGCUGCGAGGUAAUUGGAAGCUCGAAGAUUUCUAUAUUACAUAGCCAAACCUAAGUGAUAAGAAUUUCCGUAUGAGAUAUAAUUUGGAGAAAAAAAAAAACCAAUUCAAGUUAAAGAUAAAAAAAUCUGUGUUCCUUAAAAAACAUAAUUCAAGCCACACAAUUUUUCUUGUUUUAUUUGAAAAAAAGAAAAUUGUGUUCCUCACAAAAACACUUUAACAUUUGUUGUCUCAUAGAGGGAAAUGUCCUUCACUCUUUGACGUGUCCCUGGGGCAAUGUAAACAUUAAAACAUUGUCAUGUAGUUAAAACAUUGUCCACAAACAUUGUCAUGUAGUUAAGAAAAAUUUAAAUUUGACAAGUGCAAGAGAUUGGUGGGACUCAUUUGAUUCAAGAAAAACAAUCAGUCUCAUUUGAUACGCAAAGGGCUUUUUUACUCUGCAGCCAAUAUUUUGAUGAAUGUCACAUUACUGGUUUGUAUAAUUUUUCGGACUAAUAUAUUAUCUCAAUUUUAAAAAAAAAAUGCAAUUGCGAUUAUCAAACACGACUAAUCCCAACAAUUUAUCCAAAAAUUUGAGUGUCAAGAAAUGUAGUAUUUAUGAUAGCAUGGCUAGUUUUUUCAAUCAAACUUUUUAGAUAAAUGAUAAAUCAAUAUAUGACAUGUUACUAUCUUACUAUAGGAAGAAAAUUAUGGAAUAAUUUUUUGAAUUAAUAGAAUUAUUUUACGACAAAACUUUCACAAUCUAUUUUUAAAAAUAAACUUAUUCUUUAAAUUUCUCGUUACUACUCCUACUUGUCCUGUUAUACUACUUAAUGGCACUGGUGAAGCCUUGAAUUAUCAAACAAAAAGCAAAAACACUUCAACAUCUGUUCCACUGAGCACUGUUAAAAUCAUACGAUAAAAUGAGUACUUAUGUUAAAAAAAAAAAAAAGAAAAACAAUCAGUCUCAUUGCGUCCUCUUUCAUUGACAUAGGCAAUUUGCGGUCAACUUGUGGUACCCUUAUUGACACAUAAAGAUCUUUCUUACACUACGGCCAACACUUACUUUCAGGACUGGUAAAUUUUUCAAAUGUAACAGAAAAAAAUACAGAAAUAUAAUUUCAAUUUAUCCAAAAAUUUGAGUUUCAAGGAAUAUAGCAUUUCUUAUGUGUCAUGUUAAUAUAGAGAAGAAAAUUUUAAAAUUUAUUUUUUGAUAAAAAAACUCACAAUCAUAUUUACAAAAAAAAAGUUUUAUUUAAAAAAAAUUCACUCCUCUUCCUACAUAAUUUAAGAAUUUAACAUUAUAAAUUAAGCUUUUUAAUCAAAGUAAUAAUCUCUCCUUCGGUGCGCAAAUGCUAAAAUUUAAUAUUAUAUCCGUUGACGAUAUUUGAUCCAAAUUCAGAGAAUAAAAAUUCUAACAGAAUUAUGAAAUUCGUUACUAGAAAUUUGUAUAAAAGUCACGAGAAUAGAAGGUUUGAUCAUAGGAAAUUAAUAUGUCCCUAUCCGAUGCAAAAAUGAUUAAAAAGAAAAACAAAAGUCAUGGGCUUAUUUAGAAAAAAGAAAAAAUUACAUUUCAGCUUAACGCAUGCCAGUCUUUUUCUCCUCUACUUUCUUAGAAAUUUUGGUUUCACUAUAAAUUCUUGGUAUAUAGCAAUCUUAAGAGUGUCUUGCAUUACCAAUCCAAUUAAGCACACACUUACAAUCUAAAAUACUCUCAUCUCAUGGAAAAGCGUCAUUCACUCAGCAUUAUGAGCAGAUUUCUCUUACUCCGUUGUUUGAUUCUUAUUUCCUUAUUUAUCGCAGCUGCAACAGCCAACACAAGUACUAUUACCACAGACCGAGAUGCUCUGCUUGCCCUGAAAGCUCACAUAACUCAUGAUCCAACCAAUUUCUUCGCCAAAAAUUGGAAUACAAGUACUCCGGUCUGCAACUGGACAGGCGUCACUUGUGAUGUCCAUAGCCAUAGAGUCACAGUUUUGAAUAUUUCUCGCUUAAAUCUCACCGGCACCAUCCCUUCUCAGCUUGGGAAUCUUUCUUCUCUGCAAUCACUCAAUCUCAGUUGUAACCGACUUUCUGGUUCCAUUCCCUCUGCCAUUUUCACCACGUACACACUGAAAUAUGUUAGUUUCCGUAAAAAUCAGCUCUCCGGCGCUUUUCCUUCUUUCGCCUUCAACACGUCCUCUUUACAAUAUCUUGAUUUUGGUUUCAAUACACUGUCUGGUGAAAUUCCUGCAAAUAUUUGCAGUAACCUUCCUUUUCUGGAAUACCUUGCUUUGUCCCAAAACAUGUUUCAUGGAGGAAUACCGUCCGCUCUAUCAAAUUGCGCAUAUUUGCAACGAUUAGGUUUGUCAAGCAAUGAUUUCUCGGGGGUCGUACCUAAAGAAAUCUGCAAUUUGACCAAACUUAAGGGAUUAUAUCUUGGCGGUAACAGACUCCAAGGUGAGAAUAAUCACGGAGUUUAAUUAUGAAAAUUGUUCCAUAAGUUGUGAUAUGAAUAAUGUUCCAUACGACAAUUUGCACGCGUUGAUUAAUUUGCAGGAGAAAUUCCUCGAGAGUCUGGCAAUCUUGCCGAAUUGGAGCUGAUGUCGUUAUCAGAAAACGAACUCCAAGGUAUGAUAAUGAACUUUUUGCAAUUUCAUUCUAGCCUCUGGUUGCUUCUGUAUUCAUUCGUUUGUUCGUCAAUUAUGCUCCAUGUUUUAUUGCUCAGUCUAGUGGAUAAUGUUCAGUCUCAGAAUUUAUAAUACCUUGAAGGUUAGUAGCUUUGAAAAUAAGAAACUGCUCAUCUGCUAAAAAGUUAACUUAGUAUUUAAGUUUUUGAAUUGAACAUUUUGAAAAAAGUCUUGAGAACUGGCCCUCCUUAGUAUUUCAGCUGAUAAAUAUGAAAAAUAGGCUAGAAGAAAUUAUUGCUGUGUGUGCUUAACUGCUUAUUCUACUUGGGCUUCUGGCUUGAUUACAUGGUCGAGCACUUACACCUGUUAUAAUAAUAGGCUUUUACUCUCACCACACGUUCGAUAAUUUCUUAACCUUCCCAAUUAGGUUAUAGCAAUUUAUAUAUAAAUAAUUAAAGCAUACUAAAGCUAGCAUACAAUACUCAUGACUUAGGCUUGCUGCGUUACCCAUUACACACGGUCGAACACUUACACCUGUUAUAAUAAUAAUAGCAUCCGCCGAUCGACUAUGAGUGAUCAAAUUGUUUGCACAUAUGUAAUUUGCAGGAGCAAUUCCACGGGAG